CUACUUUAAUCUGGAAUUUAAUGAGUUUGUGGUUGGAUUCUGGUUCCCAUGUAGUUGUAGCAACUCUUAACACCACUAUUGCUUCUAGUAACAAAUCAGGACCUGGCAUUUAAGUAGCUUUUUGGUGUGUUCUAAGCUCUUCUUAGAUAAUUGUGUCAUAGCUCUCUUGCUCGUGUCGAGCAUAACCUCAAUGCCCUUUGCAGUUAUGAUAAAGGAGCUCACUUGUUCUUACCAUCCUCUGUCAUGCGGACACAUGGUGCUAAACAGCAACGUGAAGCAGUUAAGAGGGCACCUAAGAAUCAGCUACAAGCAGUUUUUGAGGUCUGUACAUAUUAGAUGCAUUGCAUGGUUACUGAUGCAUAUUUUAUUGUUUGAACUAAAUCAUCUUUUGGUACUAACAUGUGAUGUUCUUUGAACAAAAUCUCAUACUGAUAAUUUUGUAUACCUUCACAUGCUAUCACAUGUGUAGAUUUUACCAGCUUAGCUUCUGGUUUAACAAGGAUUCUCCUUUGUUUGAGUUAAUUUUCCAGGCCCUGGAAUACCAAAUGGAGGGUAAAUAAGAGGGUACUUAGUGUCGUUCAUAGAAUAUGGAGUAAUGGAGGCUGUCUUGCUGAUUUGGUAGUGAUGUGAGUAUCUUUUCUAACUUUCCUCAAUGUAACUCGUGUUUUUUUUUUUAGAAACUCCUUUACCUUUACCUUUGUGUUCCAAGAAUUGAUCAUGAUGUCUAUAGCAAUUAAAAAACCUUUCUCGUUUAAUUUCUUCAUUCAGGUUCCUUUACCUGAGAAGCCAGAAACAGAGUUUUUCAAUUUUCCUUCAUUUGAGAAUGAUUUGUAUAUUUACAACUAUAUAAACACAUAAAUACAUAAACAUUAAUAUAUAUAAUCAAUAUCAAUAUUUACACCAAAAUUGAACUUUCUUCGUUUAUAAAUAGCAAUGCGCCAAGCCUAAAUAUAUUAAGUCUAAUGUUAGCUAGACCUAGACGCGGUGGAUCUAGCACUAGCUAGACCCAAGAAAUGAUUAAGUCUAUCCACCGCCAAACCCAAAUCUUGCUAGGUCUAGCACUAGUCAGACCUAACCAAAAUUGAGCUUGGUAGUGUGUCAGGCCGACGCAUGUUAGGUUUGGCGCUAGCCAUACCCAAUAGAUAAUUGAGUCUAAUUACAUAAACACUCCCUAGUCAAAGGUUUUAGAUAGAAUAUUUGCAAUGGGAGAGGAAUUAGUGUUUGUGAUCGGAACAUCAAAGUUGGGCUAUUUGCGUUAGGAAUAUUGAAGUUUGAGAUUCUAAAGUCGAUUUAUGGAUUUCCCUUUGUUUUUCGGUUUGGUUAAGAAUGUGGUGGCUAAGUUUUUUUAUUUAAUUCAAUGAAAAAUUUAUAAUAUCUAAAAUAAAAGCUUUAUAGUUAUUAGUUUAAAAAUAAUAAUAAUUUUGUAAAUAAUUAGAUAUUUUUGUAAGAUUUUUUUACAUGUGUUAGUGAGGAUAUAAAGUGUUAUCAUAAACAAUAAUUUUUUAAAAAAAGCUUAAUUCAUUAUUAAUUCAAUAUUGAAGGAUGAAAUUAAAAAAAAAUACAAAUAAAAAAAACCAUAGGUCAACUCACUAAACUCGCAAUACGGGUCAUAAAAUUAAAAUAAUUUUAUAAAAAAAAAACAACAAUAAAUUAUGAAGCUUAAUUUUUAAGGAGACAAAUACUGAAAGAAAGAAAAACAUGUAGAUUUUAAAAAAAAAAUACCACUGCAAAUUUUAAUUUGGUAAGAUUUGUUGUUAAUAUUACUAUAUUAGAUGAGACGCGCUGGAUCUACAAAUGUUGUGCCUGCUAUUUCUAUUCGAAUAUUUCUUUUGAAGCUUUUGAAAAGAAAUAUUAACAUUUAUCAUUCAUUUAUGCACUUUUGACCAAAUUUUUCUUUUGCUUUUUUAUGUUGUCCCACUGAGAAGACCUUUUUUGUUCUUUUGUGUGAAAAAAAAACUAAAUAAACUAAUUAGAAAAUAAAAAAAGUUUGGGUCCAGUUCAAUUUCAGUUUUAAAAUUCUAAAACUAAUUGAACUAGAUCAAGUCAUAGACUAGUUAUUUUUAUUAUAUUCCCAUUAUUAUUUAUUAUUCUAUAGAUUUUUCUACAUUGAAGCUUUUGAAAAGAAAAUUAACAUUGAUCAUUCAUUCACUUUUGAAAAAACUUUCUUCUGCUUUUUUAUGUUGUUCCACUGAGAUGACCCUUUUUUGUUCUUUUGUGAAUUGAAAUUAUAUUACAUGUUUGUAAUUGUUUCAUCUCAUUUUUAUUUUUUUUUAUUUUUGAAAAGUAAACUUCCUUUAAUUAGAUUAUCCUUAAUAUCAAUCCCAUUGCUUUUUGCAGGUCUUAUCAAGCUGUUUUAAUUAAUUUUUGUUGCAUAAUUUGUAAUUAAUAAACAUGUAAUUAUAAAUGAAGGAAAGAAAAAAUUGGUUGGACUUGUUGGUUUCAAUUUUAUGUUUUUGGUUUUAUCUUUUUUAUUUGUUGUUUAAAGCCUUUUUUAACUCUUAAUCAAUUCUUUAUUUUUUAUUAUUUUUUUAAGUAUAAAAGUAUAUUCCAAAGAAUAUUUUAAAGUAAUUGGGCAAAUAACAUUGUUAGCCACGGAGAGAUCAAUGGUAUGGACAAAAUCAAUAGUAUAAUGAUUGGACUCAAAAACUUUCAAAGACAAAAUCAAUAGCAUACGAUCCCUCAAACUCAUUAACCCCUCACAACUCACUCCUUUCCAGCCAACUUGAUGUGUUGUGUGCUAAUCCGAUGAAAAUCGAGAUCCCAAAGAGGGUGAUGCCGCUGAUGGUUGGUUCUCUUCCUCCUUGUGAGUUUUUACAUAAUAAAAUAGCGGCCUUAAUUACGAGAGUUCUUCCAUUUUUACAUAAAAAAUGGCUGGGAUUUCCUUUCGUUAUUUAGCAAUACGCUGUGUUAAUGAGCUUAAAGUUAUUAUGUUAUUGAUUUUGUUUUAAUAAGGCCUCUCAUCUUUGAGAUUUAUUAAUCCAACCAUUAUUCUAUUAGUCCAUCCAUAUCGUUAGCCCUUUCCUCACUAAUGCUAUGCUUUUGGUUAUUAAUUUUGAGAUAUUCUCUUCUAUGUUAAACAUAUCUAAGUAUAUCUAAAUCCAACUAACCAUUACUAACCAUAAUUUUUUAAAUCUUAUUUUUUUCAAAUCAUGAUUAUAGAAGCUGUCUCAAAAAUAAAUACGCUCUCAAGUCAGUUGGACCAGUGGUAUGAUGAGACCAUGUUUCUGUGCGACAAUAUGGCUUUUUAUUUUUUUUGUGAAUAAAAAGAACAAAACCCUCAAAUAUCAAAUCUUUAUAUGUUUGAAUAUCUAAAAAGAAGAAAAAGCAAAAAAUUUCAAACUUUUUUCCUCUAUUUAAAAAAGGGGGAAAAAAGCAAUAUAUAUAGGUCAUGGAUUUCUUUUCCUUGUUUUGUUAUAUGGAGAGCAGUUAGAUCUCACUAAAGCAAAUAAUUCAUCAAUCAUAAUCAAAACUCUAAACAAAGCAUGCAAGUACACCAUGAAUAUUAAUGUUGUUGGUAAAAAAGUAAAAAUGAUGUGUAAAUUGAGAUGGAGAGCUAAAUAUAUAAAAAUACCAAAAAACAAAACGAAUGCUACAGUCAAAUUUUGAACAUCUAAAAGAUAUCUUGUGUGCGACUAUUUCCAUGUCACUAUGCACGACAGAAAAAAGAGAGGAUGCUAUAUUCAUACAUCAAUCAAAGAAUGUGUGGAUCCAAGGAGAACAAUGAACAUCCCAAAAGGAGUCUGAAAGUGAUGAAUUAAGAUUUUAUUUGUAUAUUUUUAUAAAAAUUCAAUAAAGAUUUAUAAGUUUAAAUUUCAGGAAUAUAAACAUGCACCAAUGAAAAUAUGUCAGGUCUGACGCUAGUCCAAUUUAGACACAUUGGGCUUGGUAGUGUACCAAGUUCCAGACAUGCUAAGUCUAGUAGUUUGAAAUGACCUUUUUUUCUUGGACAAGCUCAAGAUAAUGAUCAUCCUCUCUUGAGUCUAAUAUUUGAGAAUAGCUCAUUCUCUAUGAGCAUUAGCUAUAAAAGUCAUUCAAAGACCUAUUAUAUUUCAUCAAAUAUUAAUAUAGAUGUAAUAAAUAUUUAUCUAUCAUUAAAUGUUAGAAAGAUCUCUUCACAAAAAAACAAGAUUUAUAGGCUAUAAAUACACAAUGAGACUUUCAGAAUAGAGGUUCACAUUCUUCAUAUUUUACUGCAUAUAUAAUUUCAAAGCAUCUCUCUUUAAAAUAUUAUUGUAUUUUUUUUCUUUUAAAAAAGAUAUUUAUUUAAGUAUGGAUUUCAUUAUAAAUCAAAAGUAUUAAUAUGAUUUUUAUUAUGGAAAGCAAAAAGCAAGAAACUAUUUGCUAUUAUUUUUAAUUUUAACAACUUUAAUUAAUGGUAUAGCUAUUCGAAUAGCUAAAAUACAUUUCUUCUACUAAAAUACUAUUUCUACAUACAAAAGCCAACGUCUCUUUAUCUAUGGUUGGCUUUUGUUUUUCUCUUUAAAGACACAACAAGAAGAAGAAAAGAAGCUUGCAAACCUAAAAAUUUUAACAUUAUUAUAUAAAACUGAAAACUGAAAAUAUUAAUAUAAAUAAAUUUUGAUUUUAAAAGUGUAAAAUUUAAACUUUAAAUUAUAUCUUUAAACUUUCAUAUUACUUCAUUAAUUUUAUAAAUUACUCAUAUUAAUUAUAUAAUAAAUAACAUGAUUAUAUUAUAUAAAAAAUAAUUAAACUAGUUAUAUAAUUAUAUUAAAAUUAGUUUAAUAUAAAAUAGAUUAAAAUAUAAUUAGCUUUUUCUAAAUGGUUUUUUAGCAUUGGAAUGUAUAUAAAUAAAUAAAAUUAUAUUUAUAUUAUUUUAAAAACCAUUUUAUCGAUUUAAUUUCAACUUUUAAAAAUAGCAUGUUUUAUUGGAGUUGCUCGUGUGCAGAAUUAUAUAAGGGAGAGAGGAAGGCAACAAAGGUAAAGAGACAAAAGAAGUCCAAACAUAAUAUAACCCCUGCUCUUGACAGGAAGGUGCCUCUGCUGCCCAGUGCGCGUUCGAUAUCCCUUUCAUUUCUGGUUUGGGAAAGUGGUUUUAGACCCGUUUGGAAAUUUGAUUUUUUUAAAUUAUUUUAUAUAUAUAUUUUUGAAUUGUUUUGAUGUAUUUAUAUUAAAAUUAUUUUAAAAAUAAUAAAAAAAAUUAUUUUUAUAUAUUUCUAAAAAAAAUUACUUUAAAAAAAUAAUUACUACUACAUUUUUAAGCAUCAUGGUAUAAGAUUUGAGAUGAGAUAUUGGUAAUGGGAGAAAAAUUGGUGUUUGAGAUUAGAAAAAAUCAAAGUUGGACUGUUUGUCAUAAAAAUAUUAAAGUUUGAGAUUCUAGAAUCAAUUUAAUAUGAUUUUUUUUUUGUUUUUCGUUAAUUAGUUCCAGUUAAUAGGUUGGUGGCUAAGUUUAUUUAAAAAAAAAUUGGAAUUUAUAAUAUUUAAUAUAAGAGUUUCAUAGUUAAUAGUUUGAAAAUUCAUUAAAAAAUACUUUUCAACUGUGAUGUGUGUGUCCCAACCCCUGCUCCUGACAGGAAGGUGCCUCUGCUGCCCAAUGCGCGUUCGAUAUCCCUUUCAUUUCUUUUUCUACUUUUUCUCCACCGAAACUCCAUCUUCUUUACAGUGUAAGAAAAAGAUCCGUAAGAAAAUCCUUGGAAACUUACCAGUACGAGUUCUUGACCUAAAGCAACCGGAAAAAAUUCGAAGUCAUUGGAAUAAAAAGAAAAGAAAAGGGCUUUCGAAGUUGGUUACUAAGAUACCAGAAGAAUAAGCAAAUAUUGGGUUUGCACUUAGUGUUCAAGCUAUGGUGGCUACAUUAUCCAAGAGGUUCGAUUCAGUUUUGUUAUACAAGCACUAGCUAGUAUAUUAAAAAUUAUAAAUCAAUAAUAACAACAUUAUUAUUAUUAUUAUUAUUAUUAAAAUUAAUAAAGAAAUAAAAGACCAAACUGAUAGAUAGAUCGAAGCCUAGAUAUAUUUUUGUUUCAAAAAAAUGAUUUCAAUUUAAUUAAGACCGAUUAAAUUUAUUUUAUUGUGAAUAAAGAAGUUGAUGCAAGUUUUUAAUCAAAGCCAUAAAAAUUAUAUACAACAACAAAUGUUAGAAUGCAAUAUUGAUGCAAAUCAAAGAAUGAAUCCAAAAAAAUUUAACAAUUUAAGUUAUAUAUAUCAACAUAAGAUAAAUUCCUAGUAUAAUCCCUUUUUUCUUAUUAAUCUAUUUUUCUCAACCAAAAAAUAUAGUUAUUUUUAGUGAUGUAUUUCAUUUAAUAAAAACUAAAGGCAAUUAGAAUAUGUUUGUGUUUGAUAUUGUGUUUUCAUAUUUAUUUAGGUGCUUUUUAAAAUUGUGUUUGUCUUAUAAAAACAUUAAAUUAAUGUUUUUUAAUAUUUUUUAAUGAUUUUAAUGUACUAGUAUUAAAAAUAAAAAAAUAUUUUAAUACAUUUUUUUAAAAAAUCACUUUUAAAAAUAACUUUGCCCCAUGAUAUACUAGCUAAGCAUGCACUAAAUAUCGAAUAGACUCUGAAGAUCCAAAAUACUAAGCUUACAAGGGCAUAAGUUUUUAAAGAAAUUGAGUCUUUCAAUAAGGCCCUUCUAUAAAAGUAGUGUCGACAAUCGACAUAUCAUGAAUAAACCGAAUGAUUUGUGUGGCAGUGUGCUUAAAGAGAUUUAUUUCCACACAGCAUAAUUUUUAAAAGCAAAAGAGAUUGGAAUCAAUAUCCCAAAAGGUUGGCUGGGAAAGCAGUUCGUGACCCGUUUGAAAAUUUGAUUUUUUGAAAAUUAAUUUUUUUAUGUUUUUGAAUUGUUUUGAUCAUAUAUUUAUAUCAAAAAUAAUAAAAAAUUAUUUUAAUACAUUUACAAGCAAAUUAUUUAAAAAUAUAUAUAUAAAUACUACCCAUUCUUAAACUCCCUUAAUAGGAGAGAAUUGGUGUUUGUGAUAGGAGAAAAUCAAAGUUGGACUGUUUGUUAUAAAAAUAUUAAAAUUCAAGAUUUUAAACUCAAUUUAAUAUGAAUUUCUUUUUGUUUUUCUUUAAUUAGAUUCAGUUAAUAGUGUGGUGGCUAAGUUCUGUUUUUUUAAAAAAACAAUGAGAAUUUAUAAUAUUUAAUUUAAGAGCUUUAUAGUUAUUAGUUUGAAAAUAAUAAUAAUUUUUGUAUAUAAUUAGAUAUUUUUUAUUGAUUUUUUUUACAUGCUAGUGAGGACAUAAAAUGUUAUCAUAAAUCAUAAUUUCUUAAAAAAAUAGAAAUAAAAUGAUUAAACUAUACAUAUAAUGAUCAAGGUUCAACGUAAUUACUUUUUAUUGUAUGUAAAAUGUCCUUAUUUACUUCUAAAAAAUAGAUGCUUGACUUGAGAAUUCAUUACAAAACAUGAAUCAACUCAAUUGUGAUGUCUGUGGCCCAACCCCUGCUCUUGACAGGAAGGUGCCUCCGCUGACUGCUGCCCAGUGCGCGUUCGAUAUCCCUUUCAUUUCUCUUUUUGCUUUUUCUCCUCCGAAACUCCAUCUUCUUUACAGUGUAAGAAAAAGAUCCGUAAGAAAAUCCAGGAAACUUACCGGUACGAGUUCUUGACCUAAAGAAACCGGAAAAAAUUCGAAGUCAUUGGAAUAAAAAGAAAGAAAGGGCUUUGGAAGUUGGUUGCUAAGAUACCAGAAGUAGAAAAAAUAUUGGGUUUGCACUUAGUGUUCAAUUAAGUUAUGGUGGCUACAUUAUCCAAGAGGUUGGAUUCAGUUUUGUUAUACAAGCACUAGCUAGUAUAUUAAAAAUUAUAAAUCAAUAAUAACAACAACAUUAUUAUUAUUAUUAUUAUUAUUAAUGAAGAUUAAAAUUAAUAAAGAAAUAAAAGACCAUGAUGUUUUACUAUAGAUAGAUCGAAGCCUACAUGUAUUUUUUUAUUGUUAAUAGAAGAAUUGAUGCAUGUGAUAUCAAGAAUUAUAUACAAAAAUAAAUAGAAUAUAAUAUUGAUGUAAAGUGAAGACUAAAUCAAGAAAAACUGAAAGAUAAAUAUAAUUUAAAAUAUUUGAACGACUUUUGCUUUUUUGCAGACUUUAUCAAGGUUUUUGGUUUCCUAAUUUUGACCAACUGAACGAGUUUGUUUUGAAUUGAUUAUUGGUUUUUUCAAAAAAUUAUUGUUCCUGGUUUGGUGAAUUUCUUAGAUCUAUAUUUGUUAAGGAAACAAAUAUGUAAUUAUGUGCUGUAAAAUAUUUCUUUUCCUAUUGCAGUAUAGAUUUUCUAUUGCAGUAUAGAUUUCCAGAAUAGCUUAGCACAAUUAUAGGAAACAACUCUUGUAUAAAGUUACGUUCUCUAAUUCAAUGAAUUAAUUCAUUCAGGCAAAUAUUCUUUUUCUCUUUCUUACAUGGUAUCAGAGCAAGGUUGACAUACCCUAGCUCUCUGUUUUUUUUGCCGUCUCAAUUCUCUUUUGCUUUGCCGCUACUCAUCAUCAUGGAGAGUGAGCAAUCUUCAAAAGAAGGCAAGAACAAUGCCUUCGAUCCCUUUUUCCUCUACCAUUCUGACCAUCCAGGAUUGAUGCUUGUUUCCAAGCCUCUCACCGGCGAUAAUUAUUCAACUUGGUGCCGAUCCAUGACCAUCUCUUUAAAUGCCAAAUCUAAAUUGGGUUUUAUAGAUGGUACAAUAGCAAUGCCGUCUGCCAAGAGCCAACCAGAUGCUCAUGCUUCAUGGAGAAAGUGCAACGAUAUGAUUCUAUCAUGGAUCCUUAAUUCAAUCACACCGGAUCUUGCAGAUAGUGUGAUCUAUUCAACUACAACCUAGGAGGUUUGGGAAGACCUUCGGGAUCGUUUUUCUCAGAGUAAUGCCCCUCGUAUUUUUCAGAUUGAGAGGGAUAUCGCUUGUCUCUCCCAAGCUCAGAUGACUGUUGCAGCCUACUAUACGAAGCUGAAAGGAUUAUGGGAUGAACUGGGUUCCUAUAACGGAACCAUUUGCUCUUGUGGGGCAGAUCAUAAACGACGCCAGUUGAUGCAAUUUCUCAUGGGUCUAAAUGAAUCCUACAAAGCAAUCAGAGGGCAAAUCUUAUUGAUGAAUCCGUUACCUGAUGUUCGCCAAGCUUACUCUUCCAUCGUUCAAGAAGAAAAGCAGCGCAGCUUAUGUGACAUACAUGAGACAACUGAAACUGCAGCCAUGGCAGUUCAAAGAAAUGAACCCACAGCCUUGGCUGUUCAACCAGGACACGGUUUUUCCCACUCCAAUUCCUCUAACCGCAAGCCAUUGCACUGCUCAUAUUGUGAUAAUGAUCAUCAUGUACGAGACACAUGUUAGAAGUUGCAUGGGUAUCCACCAGGUCAUCCAAAACAUAAAUCAACUCGAUUCAAUCGCAAAGGCAGUCGUUCUCAGUUUGAAAAUUCCGCUCAGUCUUCAGCCAAUCAUGUUAAGGAAGGACCAGCACUACAGGAAAUGCAGUCCGUGAUGAAUGGACUUUCUGAUAUACAAUUUCAGCAGAUAUUAUCUAUUAUGAACAAUAAGGGGACAAAUCAAUCCUCCAAUCCUAAGGGCAAUGCUGCUGGUACUUCUUCAGGUUUGUCACAAACAUCAUUGCGCCUCCAUCGAUUGGUCCUCGAUAGUGGUGAAACUGAUCAUAUUACCUCUUCUCCGAAUUUGCUUAUUAAUAGUCGUCAGAACACUAUUUUACCGCCAAUUAUUAUGCCAAGUGGAGAACAGGCCCCAAUCACAUCUAUUGGAACUUUACCCUUGAACUCUGUUAUUUCUCUUAAAAAUGUGCUUGGUGUGCCAUCUUUUAAGGUGUAUUUGAUGUCUGUGAGUAAAGUUACAAGAGGUCUCAAUUGUUCCGUAACCUUUUUUCCUUAUUGGUGUAUUUUGCAGGACUUGACGACAAAGACGACGAUUGGUUUGGGUAAACAACGAGGUGGACUUUAUUACUUAACCGCAUUGGCAUCAACCACACCGAGACCUACAAUCAAAUCCUCUGCUGCCAUUGCUAGUCGACCAUCUUGUUCUCAUGUCGUCUCCUCCACCGACUUAUGGCAUCGCUGAUUAGGGCAUCUAUCUUCCUCUAGAUUAGAUUUUAUGGCAAAAAAUUUACUCCAUUUCCCUUUCCAAUUCAAAAAUGCUUGUGAAGUUUGUGCACUUUCCAAGCAAUGCUGACUUCCCUUUUCUGCUAGUUCAAUUUCAUUUGUUAGAUCUUUUGAGUUAAUACAUUGUGAUAUUUGGGGGCCCUACAAAAUUCCUUCUCUUUCUGGUGCAAAGUAUUUUUUGACAAUUGUGGAUGAUUAUUCUCGAUUCACAUGGGUAUUCUUUAUGCAGCACAAAAAUGAAACACAACAUUUACUUACAACUUUUUUCUCUUUUGUCAAAACCCAAUUUAAUACUUCCAUCGCCAAUAUUCGAGUCGAUAAUGGGGGGGGGAAUUCUUUUCUAUGCGUGAUUUUUUUCGACAAAAUGGCACCAUUUAUCAACACUCUUGUGUUUAUACACCCCAACAAAAUGGGGUUGUCGAACACAAACAUCGUCAUAUCCUUGAGUCAGCCCGUGCCCUUCGUUUUCAAGCCCAUCUUCCUUUGUGUUUUUGGGCAGAAUGUGUUCUUACUGCUGUCCAUUUGAUUAAUCGUUUGCCUAUAACACUUCUUUCCCAGCAAACUCCUUUUGAACAACUUUAUGGCAAGGUUCCCUCUUAUUCCCAUCUUAAGGUUUUUGGUUGUCUUGCAUAUGCUACUGUUGUGCAUGUCUCUCAUAAAUUCGCUCCUAGAGCCACACGUUGUGUUUUCCUUGGUUAUCCGGUCGGCCAAAAAGCUUACAAACUUUAUGACCUUACCACUCAUAAAAUUUUCACUAGCCGUGAUAUUGUUUUUCAUGAGCAUAUUUUUCCUUUUGAGUCCCCUCCAUCCAUACCUACACCCACUGUACCUGUCCUCCCUCAUUUUAUUUCUGACCCUCCUCUUUCCGACACCUUCCCCACCAUCUCCACCACACCAUUAGAAUUUGUCCAUUCCGUCACCCCUUUCGACCUGACCCUGCCAGAUUCACCUUUCGCGUCUCUGCCUCCAGCCACUUCCACCUUUGCUCCACCCGUUCCUGACAGCCUCGUUCAACCCCCUUCUUUCAUCACUCCAGUGCAACCCUUACAUCGUUCUCAACGACAUCAUAGUCCUCCUCGUGCUUUACGUGAUUAUGUCUGCAACCACGUGACAUCUCCCAAACCAUCCCUGCCUUCAUUGUCUAGUUCCACUAAAGGUAUGCAAUAUCCUCUUUGUAACUUUAUCUCUUACCAUCGUUACUCACCACAACAUCAUUCUUUUGUUGCUACCAUCAGUCAGGAUGUUGAGCCCCGCUCAUACACAGAAGCCGCUUCCCAUUCACAAUGGCAAGCCGCAAUGCAAUCUGAAUCGGCAGCUUUAGCAGCCAACCACACUUGGUCUCUCACUCCUCUCCCUCCUGGAAAACAACCGAUUGGAUGUCGCUGGGUUUAUAAAAUCAAACGUCACUCGGAUGGCACCAUAGAGCGUUAUAAAGCUCGUUUGGUGGCCAAGGGUUAUACACAGUUGGAAGGUAUCGAUUAUCAUGACACUUUUUCUCCCACUGCUAAAAUGCUUACUGUCCGUUGUUUAUUAGCUCUGGCAGCUGCCCAGGAUUGGUCCCUUCACCAGCUCAAUGUCAACAACGCUUUCCUUCAUGGUGAUCUCCAUGAAGAAAUUUAUAUGUGUCCGCCUCCUGGUCUUCAGCGACAGGGGGAGAACUUGGUAUGUCACCUCAAUAAGUCGUUGUAUGGUUUAAAGCAAGCUUCCCGUCAAUGGUUUGCCAAAUUCUCUACAGUUAUUCAAGAUGCUAGAUAUGUUCAGUCCAAAGCAGACUAUUCGUUGUUCACAUGUCGAAAUGGCAAGUCCUUUACCGCUUUGUUGAUAUACGUUGAUGAUAUUCUUAUUACAGGUAAUGAUCUCAAGGCUAUAUCAACUCUAAAGCAAUUUUUGCAUAGUCGUUUUCGAAUUAAAGAUUUGGGUGCUUUGAAAUAUUUUCUGGGCAUUGAGGUCUCUCGGUCAAAGAAAGGUAUUUCUAUCUCACAGCGGAAAUACACUUUGGAAAUUCUAAAGGAUGGUGGAAUUUUAGGUGCUAAACCUGUGAACUUUCCCAUGGAGCAAAACACAAAACUCUCAGAUGUAGGUAAAUUGCUUAGAGAUCCAUCCCAGUAUAGGCGACUUGUGGGACGCCUAAUUUAUUUGACUAUUACUCGACCGGAUAUCAUGUAUUCUGUACAUGUAUUAAGUCGACUCAUGCAUGCACCACGUAAACCACAUAUGAAAGCUGCCAUGCGUGUGUUGCGUUAUUUGAAAAAUGCUCCAGGACAGGGUUUGUUUUUCCCUUCUCAAAAUGAUUUGUCUUUGCCAGCUUUUUGUGAUUCAGACUGGGCUGGUUGUCCAAUGCACUACGGACUAUUAUGUUUUUUUGGGAUCUUCACUUAUUUCUUGGCGAACAAAAAGGCAGAAACCAGUGUCACUCUCCUCAACAGAAGCCGAAUAUAGAGCCAUGGCCGAUACAUGCUAUGAGUUAUCUUGGUUAUGUUCAUUGUUGAAAGAUUUACGAAUAUUGCAUUCAAAACCAACAUUGCUACUUUGUGAUAACAAAGCAGUCUUACAUAUAACAUCCAAUCCUGUUUUCCAUGAAAGAACCAGACACAUAGAAAUGGAUUGCCACUUUAUUCGAGACAAAAUACAGGAUGGUUCGAUUGUGACCAAAUUUGUUACUUCAGCAAAUCAACUUGCGGAUGUAUUCACUAAACCAUUGGGUAAGGAAAAUUUCUCUACCAUGAUUCGCAAGUUAGGAGUUCUCAAUAUUCACUCUUCAACUUGAGAGGGAGUGUUAAGGAAACAAAUAUGUAAUUAUGUGCUGUAAAAUAUUUCUUUUCCUAUUGCAGUAUAGAUUUUCAGAAUAGCUUAGCACAAUUAUAGGAAACAACUCUUGUAUAAAGUUACGUUCUUUGAUUCAAUGAAUUAAUUCAUUCAGACAUAUAUUCCUUUUCUCUUUUCUCACAAAAUUGGAUAGAUCCGGAACAUGAACACCCCUGGUAAUCACCUUGGCUUUAACUUCAACCACCCAAUUACCUCAAAAUUGCAAUCACAUCAGGCACAUGGCGUUGCAUUCGCAUUCAUCCCCUGACUAUGAAAUGGAUUUCCUGGAAAUUGAUCUCCUUGGUAUGCAGGAACCCUAAUUAAAUGAAAUGGAUUUCCUGGAAGUUGAUCUCCUUGGUCUGCAGGAACCCUAAUUAAAUGAAAUGGAUUUCCUGGAAAUUGAUCUCCUUGGUCCCCAGCCUAUUUUCUCCGAGACCGUGUAACAUGUUGAAAAACUGAAAGAUAAAUAUAAUUUAAAAUAUUUAAUCUCUUGUAACCAAAAAAUUAAUUUUCAUCAUUCAUGCACUUUUGACUAAAUUUUUCUUUUGCUUUUUUUAUGCUGUCCCAUUGAGAUGAUCUCUUAUGCUCUUUUAUGUGAAUUGAAAUUAGAUUAGAUGCUUAUAAUUGGUUCAUCUCAUUUUUAUUUUUAUUUUAUUUUUGAAAAGUAAACUUCCUUUAGUUAGAUAGUUUUUUCUUGGCUAUUUUGUUUUGCAUGGUUUAAUCUUUUUUUUUCUUUGAUUAUCCUUGCUGAUAAUAUCAAAUCAUCCCUUUUUUUGCAGACUUUUUCAAGGUAUUUAGUUUCCUGAUUUUGACCAAACUAGACCAGUUUGUUUUGAAUUGGUUUUUGGUUUUUUCUAGAUUUGUUUUUCAAAAAAUUAUUGUUCCUAGUUUGGUGAAUUUUUUCUCCGAGACCGUACAACCAAGAUACUGUUUGAUUUAAUUUUGUUUUUUGAAUUUUUUGGAUUUUAUAUUUUUUUUUUGAAUUCUUAGCUAUCUUUCCGUUUUGUUUUAGGAUAAUAAUUUUCUUACUAUGUUAAGGUCAAUUUCACGCCUAUAUAAAGACUUGUAAAUAUCCAGAGAGACAAAAGUUAUCAAUUCAUUAUUUCAGAAAUAAAAAUAAUAUCUUAGAGUUCUUCCUGUUUUAAUAAAAAAGUUAUCCUUGUAGGGCUUUCAACUAUAUCAAAAAGUCUACCCAUAAUUUUCAUUAAUUGUAUUUAAGAAAGGAGUUAUAGUUUGACUCACGAUGAUGAGGGAUGAAUGUUCUUUAUAGCAUACUUAAAGCUAUUUUGAAAACAUGACCUUUGAGUUUUAGAUAAUUAGACUCGGUUAAGAGGGUGGUGGCUUAGUUUUUUUUUUUUUUUUAUAUAAAAAAUCAAUGUAAAAUUUAUAAUAUUUAAUAUAAGAGCUUUAUAAUUAUUAGUUUGAAAAUAAUAAUAAUUUUGUAAAUUAUUAGAUGUUUUUUGUUGAUAUUUUUGAAAAUAAUAAUAAUUUUAUAAAUUAUUACGUGUGUUAGGGAGGACAUAAAUUGUCAUCAUAAAAUAUAAUUUCUGAAAAAAUAAAGAUAAAAUAACUAAACUACACAAUGAUCAAGUAAUUUCUCCUUUUUAAAAAAAUAUCAUAGAAACUUUUUAUUGUAUCUAAAAUGUCCUAAUUUACUUUUUGAAAAAGAUAGUCAUAGGAAAAACUUUAAAGAUUAGAGAAAUAAACAUGAUUAUUUAAUUUAAUUUUGUUUUUGAGUUUAUUUUCUUAAAAAUAUUUCUAUAAAUUCUUAUUAUUUUCAUUUUAACUAUUUUUAUCUAGACAAUAAUUAAGGGCGUUAUAUGUAUUAGAAUAUGUUCCUAUAAAAUCGCCAAAUUUUUAAAUAAUUCUUACAAUUUUACAGUACUUCGCACGAUUUUUGUGAUUCACCUUAGAACUUUUGCAUGCACAUAUUAAUACACGGUUUAUGGUGUUUUUUUCACGGUCAGUUUUAAAAUUUUGUUGGAAAGUUCUUGGAAUGCAAAAAUAUUUAUGUUAAAUAAUAUGGACUUGAUAAUUCAUUAAAAAAUAUGAAUCACUCAAUUGUGUGGCCCUGCUCUUGACAGAAAGAUCCGUAAGAAAAUCAUUGGAAACUUACCAGUACGAGUUCUUGACCUCAAGAAACCGGAAACAAUUCGAAGUCAUUGGAAUAAAAAGAAAGAAAAGGGCUUUGGAAGUUGGUUACUAAGAUACUAGAAGAAGAAAAAAUAUUGGGCUUGGCUGGAUCUUGUGCCUCUUUAGUCAACACUUACCACACGGUUUGUUUCGUCUAGAUUCGUGAAAUACUCGUUGAAAUUUGGUGUUUUCUGAUUUCUAAGUAGAAUAUAAAUGUUCCAGCUUGAAAUUGCUAAUUGGUAGAUUUAAUUGCCGAAUUUCUUGAUCUUACCUUCUGUUUCAUGUUUGACCACAGGAGCAGGCCUUACACAAAAUAGCGUGGAAAGCAAUUGCUGAACCAAGCGAGGUAGUUGAGGCCAGAAGGGAUCGGUACUAGUUUAUCGCUAUAGGGAUUUUCAUGGCUUCCAGCAGCGUGCAAGGAAUAACCUCAUCUUCAUCUCCUCCUCCUCCACUAUAUAUGCAUGAUGUGUUCCUUAGUUUUAGAGGCAAAGACACCCGGAACAACUUUACUAGCCAUCUAUAUUCUAAUCUGACACAGAGAGGCAUCAAGGUAUACAGGGAUGACAGCGAGCUCGAGAGAGGAAAGACCAUCGAACCUGCUCUCUGGAAGGCCAUCGAAGAAUCAAGGUUUUCUGCCAUUAUAUUUUCAAGAGAUUACGCUUCUUCACCAUGGUGCCUGGAUGAACUUGUCAAGAUUGUUCAGUGCAUGAAAGAGAAGGGGCAAACUGUUCUGCCAGUUUUUUAUGAUGUGGAUCCCUCAGAGGUAGCUGAGCAGAAAGGGAAAUAUAAAAAAGCCUUCGUUAAGCAUGAACAAAAUUUCAAGGAAAACUUGGAGAAGGUCCGGAACUGGAAAGAUUGUCUCUCUAUGGUGGCCAAUCUAUCUGGCUGGGACGUACGGAAUAGGUAAAUCAUCUAUCUACUUAUUUUUAUUCUUAAAAUCUCCCUGUAUUGUUUCAAUGAUGAACAUAGCUUCUUCUUUUUCUUUUUUUAAUGUUUUUCAAUUGAAACAUGUGAUUAAAUAUCAAAAUAAUCACAAUACAACAAGAAUAUCAAAACUAAUUCUUGAAUUAAAAAAUUGUUAGUAUAUAUUUUUAAUCCAUUAAAUAGCUAUUUGUCUAUGAUCAGACUAGUUUUUCUUUAAUUUUGACUUUUAAAAUAAAAGAGGAGCACGUCUCAAAUUUCUAUGGUCACAGUUUUUUAGAAAAAAAAUUGAAUACAAAUUAAAACAAUUCUCAAAUUUCUUGCUAUUUUUUCAUUUAUUUACCAAUGAAAAUCGUUUGUUUGUUUUUUUUAAUCUUUUUUGAAUGUUUUGUUUACACUAGAAAAAUUAUUUUUCAAUUUAUUAUAUAUUCUUCAUCGCAAAAAUCAAUUAGCAAAUGCUUUAGUACUGUUCUUUGAGUUUUGUUAAUCAAAAGAUGGUAAAUAAUAUUGAAUGAAUGAUAAAAUUAUGGAUUUGUUGAUGAAACACUUAGUAGUAAAUGUAUAUUUUUUUCAUAUGCAUGCUUUUUUUUAAUUUAAUUUUUAUGAAAUCUUGAUCUUAUGUGAUCAAGCGCCCAUUUCUAAUCUUUAUGUAAAAUUUCUUUCUUUUCUUCGGUUUUUCUUUAUAUUUAAAAAAAAUAUAUAUUAGAUAGAAAAAUGAAAAUGUAAAAAAACGUUGAAAAAAAAUCUAGCAUGAACAAAUAAAAAGUUAGCUUAAAAACAUAAAAAUUGUGAAGAAAACAAAUUCAUCAUAAGAAAUAAAAAAUUGACUAAAUGUUUUGAAUAUAUUGGUUUUAGCUUUUCAAAAUAAAAUAAAAAGAUUUUCCAUCAUGAAUUAGAAAAUUCCAACUAUUUAUAAAUAAAAGAGACAAAUUUAUUUAUAAUUUUUUUGUGAAUAUUUUUAAUUUUAUGUUUUUCUUUUUAAUUUGGAAUCAAAAUUUGAUAGGUGUCUUUUUGUUAAAAAAAAUGAAUAUAAAAUUAGCUUGUUAAUUUGGACAGGGAAUUUCUAUUAUUUAAUUGAGUUUAUUGGGGCAUUUUUAUAAAAAUAUCAAUAUUACAAAGAAAUUUUUAGUAUGAUUAGAAUACUUUUUUCUGAUUCUAUUUUAGAAUAAUAGAGGACAACUAUAUCAAUUGUAUUAACAAAAACUUAAAGCCUAUUGGAAAAGUACAGUAAAAAUAUUUUGAUUUACAUGAAUUUACUAUUUUUUUCAUUCUAAAAAAUAUAAACUAUUUAUUAGGGAUAAUAAGGUCUUUUAUGGUCAUUGUAGAUAUGAUAGGGGCAGUUAGGUAUUUUUAAAUUUUUUAUAUGAUAUAAUUACAUAGUUGCCCUUAAAAGCAAAAAACAAAAUUAGAUUCUAAAAGCUUUUUUGAAAUUUUACUUUUCACAUCACAAUAAAAUGAAUCUAUAGCCUUUAAAAUAAAAACUUUCUUAAAUUGCCUUCAAGGGAUUAUUCAUAUUUUUAUUUUUAGUUUUUGUUUUUAAUAAUAAUAUCAUAAUAUCAUUUUAUAGACAGUUUAGUAUUUUAAUAAAUAAAUAAAUAUAUAUAAAAAAGAAAUGUGAUUGACGCAUCUAUAAAACACGCAAACGAGUAAGUCCUCCUGCCUUAUAAGCAGCUUGUGAAUGACUUACCUAUUCCGUACGUCAAUCACAUUUGCAUUUGCUUUUUGGUCUGUGAAAACCAAACUUGAUGGAUAUUUUAUUUCCUAGCUUUUGUUCUUGUAUGCAUGCUUCUGUAGUAUCUGUGUGAUUCUAUAGGCAAUAAGAUAGCUAUUGUACGGAUCAUUCUUAGCAUCAAUACAAUCCUAGUUCUGUUUUCAGUUUAUUCUUUCCUUUUCCUCUCUGUUCUUGAAGCUAUCUAUUAUCACGACGCUAUCUUUCUCUAUACUAAUUUCCGACUAAAAGCCAUACAUUUUCGGGGUAUAAUAUGCUAAUGUUUAUUUUUCCAUUAUCACUAUCUAAUUUGAUUUCUGCACGCUGCAUGAUUAAUGUUUUGCACUCUCCUGUGCAGGGAUGAAUCGGAAUCAAUUAAAGCAAUUGCUGACUGCAUAUCGUACAAACUAAGCCUCACUCUGCCAACAAUUAGCAAAGAAUUAGUUGGAAUAGAUUCUCGUCUAGAGGUAUUAAAUGGUUAUAUAGGUGAAGAAACUGGCGAAGCAAUCUUCAUAGGGAUUUGUGGAAUGGGUGGCAUAGGUAAGACGACUGUUGCAAGGGUACUAUAUGAUAGGAUUCGUCGGCGAUUUGAAGGCAGCUGCUUCUUAGCAAAUGUCAGAGAAGCUUUUGCUGAGAAAGAUGGACCACGCAGUUUACAGAAAAAACUUCUUUCUGAUAUCUUAAUGGAACGUGAUAUUAAUAUAUGUGAUUCUUCUACAGGAAUUGAAAUGAUAAAGCAGAAGUUACAACGUAUAAAGAUUCUUGUUGUUCUUGAUGAUGUAAAUGACCGUAAACAACUAGAAUACCUGGCUAAGGAGCCUGGAUGGUUUGGUCCAGGGAGCAGAAUUAUCAUAACAAGCAGAGAUACAAAUGUGUUAAUUGGAAAUGAUGAUACUAAAAUUUACGAGGCUGAGAAAUUGAAUGAUGAUGAUGCUCUUAUGUUAUUUAGCCAGAAAGCUUUCAAAAAUGACCAGCCUGCUGAAGGUUUUGUGGAACUAUCCAAGCAAGUUGUGGAUUAUGCUAAUGGCCUUCCACUAGCUCUUGAAGUUAUAGGUUCGUUUUUGUAUGAAAGAAGUAUCCCUGAAUGGAGAGGUGCAAUUAAUAGAAUGAAUGAGAUUCCUGACUGCAAAAUUAUUGAUGUGCUUCGCGUUAGUUUUGAUGGCCUCCAUGAAUCAGAUAAGAAAAUAUUUUUAGACAUUGCAUGUUUCCUGAAGGGGUUUAAAAAAGAUCGAAUAACAAGGAUACUUGAAAGCCGAGGAUUCCAUGCAGGUAUUGGAAUACCAGUUCUUAUUGAGAGAUCUCUUAUAAGUGUCUCUCGGGAUCAAGUCUGGAUGCAUGAUUUGUUACAGAUAAUGGGUAAGGAAAUUGUUCGUUGUGAAUCCCCUGAAGAGCCUGGAAGGCGUAGUAGAUUGUGGACAUACGAGGAUGUCUGCCUUGCACUGAUGGACAACACAGUGAGUAGCUGAUAGAGAACAUUAUCCAUAAGAUUUCAUAAAGUUUAUUUUAAUUUACGCUCCAUCUCGACAAAUCUCUACUUUGUAUUUGUUUUUUACUUGUAUUCCCUUUCGGUUGACAGGGAAAAGAAAAAAUAGAAGCCAUAUUCUUGGACAUGCCUGGAAUAAAAGACGCACAAUGGAACAUGGAAGCCUUCUCUAAAAUGAGCAAACUAAGAUUGCUCAAAAUCAACAACGUGCAGCUUUCUGAAGGACCUGAAGAUCUUUCCAAUAAGUUACGAUUUCUUGAAUGGUAUUCUUACCCUUCAAAAUCAUUGCCAGCUGGUUUACAAGUGGAUGAGCUAGUUGAACUUCACAUGGCUAACAGUAAUCUUGAUCAAUUAUGGUAUGGGUGUAAGGUGAGAUCAACUAAUUUAAGGGCCUUUGUAUUUCGUUUUAUCAUUUUCCUAUAUGUGUAUGAUAGUAGCAUCCGCAUUUUUUCUCCCUUGCCUGAUUGCAGAGUGCACUUAAUUUGAAAAUCAUCAAUCUCAGCUACUCACUAAACUUGUCCAGGACUCCAGAUCUUACUGGAAUUCCAAAUCUUGAGAGUCUGAUUCUUGAAGGUUGUACAAGUUUGUCUGAGGUCCAUCCAUCACUUGGAAGUCACAAGAAUCUUCAAUAUGUGAAUCUUGUGAAUUGCAAAAGUAUUAGGAUUCUCCCAAGCAACCUUGAAAUGGAAUCGCUUAAAGUUUUCACUCUUGAUGGCUGCUUAAAACUUGAGAAGUUUCCAGAUGUAGUAAGAAACAUGAACUGUUUGAUGGUGCUUCGUUUGGACGAGACUGGUAUUACAAAACUAUCUUCAUCGAUUCGUCAUUUGAUUGGCUUAGGUCUAUUGAGCAUGAACAGCUGCAAGAACCUUAAAAGCAUUCCGAGUAGCAUAAGUUGUUUGAAAUCUCUUAAAAAACUCGAUCUGUCUGGCUGCUCUGAACUUAAAAAUAUACCAAAGAAUUUGGGGAAAGUUGAAAGUUUGGAGGAGUUCGAUGUAAGUGGAACUUCAAUAAGACAACCGCCAGCAUCUAUUUUUCUUUUAAAGAGUCUUAAAGUAUUAUCUUUUGAUGGAUGCAAAAGAAUAGCUGUGAAUCCCACGGAUCACAGGUUGCCUUCUUUGUCGGGUUUGUGUUCUUUAGAAGUACUGGAUUUAUGCGCUUGCAAUCUAAGAGAAGGGGCACUUCCUGAAGAUAUUGGCUUCUUAUCUUCUUUGAGGUCUUUAGAUCUGAGCCAGAAUAACUUUGUUAGCCUGCCUCAAAGCAUAAAUCAGCUUUUUGAACUGGAAAGGCUUGUCUUGGAGGAUUGCUCGAUGCUUGAAUCAUUGCCUGAGGUUCCAUCAAAAGUUCAAACAGUAAAUUUGAAUGGUUGUAUAAGCCUAAAAGAAAUUCCAGAUCCGAUAAAGCUAAGCAGUUCCAAAAUCUCAGAGUUCCUCUGUCUUAACUGCUGGGAAUUGUACGAGCAUAAUGGCCAAGACAGCAUGGGGUUGACCAUGCUUGAAAGAUACCUCAAGGUCUUCUCUUAAUCAUACCCCAACCUUUUUGUAUCGCUCUCCCUCUCCCGCUAUCUAUCUAACAUUUUGGUUUUUCAUGGUACAGGGUUUGUCUAAUCCAAGACCUGGAUUUGGUAUCGUUGUUCCUGGAAAUGAAAUUCCAGGCUGGUUUAACCAUCGAAGUAAGGGAUCUUCAAUUAGUGUGCAAGUGCCUAGUUGGAGCAUGGGGUUUGUUGCGUGUGUUGCAUUCAGUGCAAAUGGAGAAAGUCCUUCUCUCUUUUGUCAUUUCAAAACCAAUGGAAGAGAGAAUUAUCCUUCGCCGAUGUGUAUUAGUUGUAACUCUAUCCAAGUUCUGUCAGAUCAUAUUUGGCUAUUCUAUCUAUCUUUUGAUUACCUUAUAGAGCUUAAAGAAUGGCAGCAUGGAUCCUUUAGCAACAUUGAGUUGUCAUUUCAUUCUUCCCAGCCAAGAGUAAAGGUGAAGAAUUGUGGUGUCUGUUUGUUAUCUUCUCUAUAUAUUACAUCACAACCAUCUUCUGCCCAUUUUAUUGUUACAAGCAAAGAAACAGCUUCUUCAUAUAAAGCUUCUUUAACUCUCUCUUCAUCGUACCAUCAUUGGAUGGCCAGUGUUUUCCCUGACAUCAGAGUCGCAGACACUAGUAAUGCUAUCACCUAUUUAAAGUCAGAUCUAGCUCGGAGAGUCAUUAUCUCAUUGAACGUAAAGGCAAUUAGAUCAAGACUUUUUAAGGCCAUUGAAGAAUCAGGGCUGUCAAUUGUUAUAUUUUCAAGAGAUUGUGCUUCUUUACCUUGGUGCUUUGACGAACUUGUCAAGAUUGUCGGAUUCAUGGAUGAGAUGAGAUCGGACACUGUGUUUCCAGUUUCGUAUGAUGUCGAACAAUCAAAGAUAGAUGAUAAAAAAGAGAGUUACACAAUUGUCUUUGAUAAGAUUGGAAAAAAUCUCAGGGAAAACAAGGAGAAGGUACAAAGAUGGAUGGAUAUUCUCAGUGAAGUUGAGAUUUCAUCUGAAUUGAGUUCAUCGGAAAGGUAAUAAUUACUUCUUUUUUGUGUGUGUAGCUCGACUUAUCAACCACUUCAAGUAAAUGAAACUUGGAAUGCUGAAAUAUCAAAUUUCAGAACUUAAUGUUAACAAAUCUGCACCGUGCAAGGUUCAGUACACAAUGGGGUUACAAGUAUUUUUUUCAAGGUAGAUUAUGAAUUUAAGAAAAAUUAAUAUUAAACUUAGUUGAGUUUAUGGUCUGGAUUAACCCGACAUGUUUUACUAUGGACGAUAUUGUUUACUUUAAUUUUUUUUUAGGUUUGUUAUAAAUUCAAAGGGAGAAAAAUAUUGAACCGGUUGAGUGUAUUAUCCAGGUCACAAGUUUGUUUUUAAAGGUUGAGUAUAAAUUUUUUUAAAAAAAUUUCAACCUAGUUGAGGAUUUUUUAUAAAGAUUGAGUUUUUUUAUGGUGUUGUGUAUUUUUAAUUUUUUAAUUUGUUUUUUUUAAGUUUAAUAUAAAUUUAAGAGAAAACAAUUAUUGAACCUCGUUGAAUUCAUGGUUCGAAUCACAUAUUUAAUUUUUUUAAGGUUUAAGGAAAAAAAUAUUGAAGCCGAUUGAGUUCAUGAACUGAGUUACGGGUUUAACGAGUUAAGCCACAAUAACCAGAUAAUUUUUUUUUCUAAUGUUGCUUUUUUUUUUAUUGAUAUCUUUUUAUAUAUAUCUUAUUUUAGAUAAUUUUCAAUUUAUGUUUCAAUUAAUAUCACUCAUAUGUGAUUUGUUUUGUUUAUUUAACUUUUUUUUUUAAUAUAAAUUGUUUUUUGAUGGUGUUGUAUGUAUUUGUUUUUAAAUGUUGAAAAUAAAUUUAAGAGAAAACAAUAUAGAGUCUGGUUAAGUUCAUGGUCUGGGUCACAUGUUUAAUUUCUUUUUUGUUAAAGGUUGAAUACAAAUUUAAAAGGAAAACAAUAUUGAACCCGGUUGAGUUUAUGCUCCGGGUCACGGAUUUAACGAGUUAAGCCACAACAACAAAACAAUGUUUUUUUUUUCUGAUAUUGCUUUUUUUUACUGAUAUUUUUUUAUAUAUCUUUUUUAAAAUAUUUUUUAAAUUUAUGUUUCAAUUAAUAUUCCUCAUCUGGUCUGUAAAAGAGCGUCAUCUUAUUUUUUUCACAAACAUCUUGCAACAAAAAAAAAAAAGGUUAGUGGGCGUGGGCCCUAACAAAAUGCGGCAAUUGGGUUGGCUUAACUUAGUAGUCCCAACAACGCCUGACCUUUGCUUUUUUUUUUCUUUUAUAUGUUUUUUUUUUUAAAUUAUAUUUAGAUUAACAUCCCUUCUCUUUUUUUUAUGUUGUUUAGAGAUCCUCUUUGAAAUGAUGGUUAAUUUUUAGUUAUGCAUUUAAUUUUUGAGAAAGUUUUUCUAAUUCAUUUAUAUAUUUUUUAAUUUUUUGUACAGAUGAAAUUUAUUCUUGAAAAUAAAAAUUUUUAUUUUCAAAUAAUAUUUCUAAUAUGUGCAGCCUUGCAUAUUAUUUUUUUUCAUUUUAUUUUAUUCAAUUAAUUUGAUGUGUAUGUCUACUUUUAUUAUCGUUUGAUUGAAUAAAAAACUUGUUUUAAUUAAUAAAUUUAGUAAAUACAAUCACGUAAAUAUCUCGUCUUUCGAAAUUAAAUAUCUUAAUCUACACUAGUUUCUCGAUUUUUCCACUUUUAUGUUUAGUUGUAGUUUAUAGUUGUUGUUUUUUACUUAUUAACACACAUAAUUCUUGAUUUAUUUGAUUAUAUUUAUGCAUAUUUUUUUUUCACUUAGAAUUUUUUAAAUACAAAAACAUGUUGAAAAAAUCUAUCUAUAAAUUUUUUAUUAAAUUUUUUUUUAACACCCAACAAAACAUGUAACAUCGAUUCCAUGUACAGUUUGACUAUAUCUGAGCUGCAGCAGCUGCUCGAGCAGCAGGAGCAGGUGCUCGAGCAGGAGGAGCAGAACCUGCAGCAGGAGGAGCAGCAGUUGCAGCAGUUGCUCGAUCAGCAGGUGCUCCAGCAAUGGCGACGGCAGGUGCUCCAGCCGGAGAGGCGACAGCUGCUCCAGCCGGAGAGGCGGCAGCUGCAGCAGGAGCAGCGGCUGCGGCGGCGGCUGCGGCAGCUCCGUCUGCGGCGGCAGCUCCGGCAGCUCCGGCUGCUCCAGCAGCGGCGGCAGCUCACCGGGUUUUGGUUAGUAAUUAACUUGCUUUAGCUUGAAGUUCUUCGGCAGUUUUUGCUCAUGGUUUUGGUUUGGGGUAAUUAGAUUCACAUUUUACUACCAGUAUAUUAAAAUAAUAUAUAAAAAAACUUAAUUUAAAAUAAAAAAAAUAAACUUAAUUUUUUAAAAAAUAUAUUUUUAAAAUAUAAAAACAAACAAACAAUCUACCCGACAACCUAUUAGAUCAAAUCAUGAGGAAAGGCGGCAUCUUUAAUUUGUUACUUUUACACAAAAGUGUUUGUUUGUUUCUUGGAUUCAAUUUGCCAAAUUCUCAGUUAUUCUUGAAUUAACAUAAAUCUUGCAACUCAAGUUUUGGAUUUUAUAUAUUUCCUUUUAUUUUUUAGUUAAAUAUAUUUUUAUUUUUUUUACUAAACAAACACAACAUACUGUAAAUAUAAAUUCAAAAUAUCUUUACUAUAAUAAAAAAAAUUAAUUUAGUAACAAUUUGUUUUAUAAGCCUGACAAAUUGUCGCUUUUAAAUAGAAUAUGAAUUUUGGAAGGUAUUUCUUUAGUAAUUAAUAAACUUCUAUACUUUUCUCUUAGAUGCACCAACAAUUUUUAUUGUUAAUAGCUUUAUAUUUACAACUAUAUAAACAUAUAAAUAUUAAUAUAUAUAAUCACUUACUCCAAAAUUGGACUUGCUUCGUUUGUAAUUGGCGAAAUAUCAACCCAUGAAGAUUUUAUGGGAAAACCCAGUUUUAUUUUUUUGAGAAAUAGUGGUAGUACUAAUGGGAAUCGGUGUGGUGGAUUUUGUCCAAGAGGGUAUGUAUGUGUAGCUGAGGCAUUGUCAUCAACAGAUGUUGAAGAUAAUGUGUCUGGUGCCGAUGAAGUGCAAGAAUUGCAGCCAGAAAUGAGGAAAGAAGAGGAGCACUUUAGGAGGAGGAGGCUACGUGCUAACCCUGGAAUAGGGUCAAGGAAGCAUAGGGUCUUAAGGAGAAGGCAAGUGAAGAUUGAGGCGGAAGCAUGGGAGCUGGCAACGAAAGAAUAUAAGGAGCUUUUGAAGGAUAUGUGUGAGCAUAACUUGGCUCCUAAUUUGCCAUAUAUGAAGAGUUUGUUCCUUGGUUGGUUUGAGCCUUUUACAGAUGCAAUUGAGCAGGAGGUAAGUAAUUUUUAAUGUUUUAUUUGCUUAUUUUUACUUGCGGUUUGAUUUGUAGACAGAGGAUAAUGAGUGCCCCUAUAAAAAUAUUGAAAGAUAAGAGAAAACAUAAAGUUUCUUAAAUUUACUUUUAGACAACCUUCAUCUGAGGUGAUGAACUAGGAAGAAAGAUGAAGGUUACUAUGUACAAUUAUGAGAUAAAAAUCAGCUAUGGAGCUAGUAGUGCCUGGAAAAUUAGAUUUUGAAGUUACGUUCCGUAAAGUUUUGUCGAAUGUUGAAUGGGGUUUUUCUGGAUUUCUUUUUUAUAUAUCUAUAGUUUUUACUUUCAGUCCAAGUUCUUCUGUUGUUCAUGGUUCCAGGGAAGACACUAAAUGUAGGUACGAAAAACAAUGUAGUGUAAGAUCCUUUAGAUUUUUUACAAUUUUUUCAUUAUGUGUUAAACUUUUCAUAUCACGGGCCUUAUUAGGCUGAAUAUUCUAUUACGCCUUUCUUUAUUGAGCUACAAUUUCUUCAAAGCAUGGGCAUGGUGGACUCAUAAGAGUGACAUUCAACUUUCCUUUGUCAGAGCUCAUCUCAUGUUUCGACAUUGCUUCAUCUAGGAACUCUUCUUCUCCUUGCACUUGUUGUCUCACUAUAGUACCUCGUUGGAUCCUCUGGGUACUCCUGCAUAAUCUCCGUAUGCCCUCGUGCAAUUUAUGUUCUCCAGAUUUAUCUAUACUCCUUGCUUAUGUUUGACAGUAGCUCAUCCUGUCACAACACCUGUCCAAGUCAAAAUAAGGUGUCAAUCUUUAUCCCCUUGCUAUAUUUCUCUUUCAUUAUUAGGAUCUUCAUCAAUUCUCCCCUUGAGAAAUCACAGUCACCGAAUCUAAUUUCUUUGGAGAAAUCACCACUCCAUCAGAUCCUUGAACAUACUGAACCCAACUAUUCCCUUAUGCCGUCAUCUUGCUAGUCUCCAACCGUUUCAUUACAAACUGUUAUAUAUACGAAAAUAGUACCGUAUGGAUAAUCCUUCCACUAAGCAAGUUCCCAGGAAAGAUUGGAGGGGUCACACCGGUCCCGCUUAAAACCCAAUCUCCUAAACAGAACUUCUAAGGCCAUAUCUAUCCAUCGUACUGUCUUUCCGUAUAUACAACCAUUUGCUAGCUUUAUUGCAGCUUUCUUUUACAAGUGAUCUGGAAUAUCUUGGUUCUAUACUUGAUUUCUCAACAUCUGACGAGACUACCAGUGCUUGGAUUCGUCAAGAUUGGUCUUCGUUAAUUUCCACUCUCCACCUCAAAUCAUCCACUUGAUCAGGUGUCCAAAGUGUUCCAAUUUUGCCUUCCUUCAAGGUAACUAAAAAAUCUCCCCGCUUAGCAGUUCAGCACAUGUAAUUGGAUAAACAUGUGAACCUUCUUCUUCUUCAUCUCCAUCGACCACCAUAAUGACCUUCAGAUGCCUCCUAAUCGGGCAAUCUCUCUUAAAAAUUCACCACCACCACUUUUGGUCUCAAUCUCAACGAUCAGACUGUACCAUUGCAUCUAAAACGAUCAAAUUAGCUAGAAACAAGUCUGAAAUCAUCGAAAUCGCAUUUCAGACGGCUAAAAUUUGAUCAAAACAAUUCUGGUCUGAUAAACGGCCCAGAUUCAAUCUCAGAUCCGAUUGCACAUAGAAUCCGCUACACAAGAUCCUAUACCUCGGCUCACGGCUCGACUCCUCUCGGCUCAGCUCUCGGCUGAUGAUGUGGCAGGUGGGUCCCAAUGUGCUGACGUGUUAGCUGACUGGGCGCUGACAUGGCAUGCCAACUGUGCAUGCUGACGUCAUGCUUAUGUCAUCCUUAUCCAGGUCAGUCCCAUGGGUCAAGUCAACUAGUAUUAGGGUUGGGUCAGCCCAUCCGGGCGAAGAAGACGAGUGGCACGCGUGGGGGGCGUCUGCACGCGUGGACAACCACCUCGUCGGCGCGUGUGGCCAUGUCUGACAUCCGAUUUCGAUGUCGUUUUCACCAGUGUGAUCGUCUCUUCCUCUUCUACACAGUGGUAUGGUCAAAACACCAUUUUGACAACUUUCAUUUUUGGGCAAAAAUCAAACACCACUUUAAACCAUGUGCUCUGAUACCAAUUGUUAGGAAUUCUGACUCCUAUGCGCGGACCGGUGAUGUUCUGAUAGUUACCCAUUGUAGGCUUAGCACACUGAGACACAAUAUUUAACGUGGUUCGGCAAAUCGCCUACAUCCACGGGAGAGGUCCAUAUUAUUAGAGAUAGAGAAAGGAUACAUACAAAUACAUGGAGGAGGAGGAUCACUUCACUCAACUCAACUCACAUCUCUCAUUGCUGCACUUGCAGCUACUGUGUAGAAGAGGCUCUGCCUCUCCAUUUCUGUAAUCUCCAUUGGAAGGGAAACUAAUUGUCUUGCAGGUGUUUAUUGAAAACAUGUUGAAUGUGAGAUAUGAGAUGGAAGGGUUUGUCUAGGAUUCUCAAUAAAACAGAGAACAUUGUCUUUAAACAUUAAAGAGCAUUUGCUAAUCACAACCAUGUCUAAUACGGUAAAAUUAACAUUAUUGCCACAGGCAGGAGAAUUUAGGGAUUGCUAUGGAAUUCUUUAUUAUAAUGUUUUUGAUGUUAAAGGGAGAGGUAUACUUCAUGGAAAAGAAUGAUUGGCAGUUAGAGAUAAAAUAUAGAGAAAGAAAAUGUGUUAGGUUUUCUACAAGGAUGUUGUGGUGGAUUAUUUUAGCGCAAGAAAAGACAAGAGUAUAUGUUUGGCAAGUUAGUUAGGAUAUGUUUUUCAUGGACUUUGGUUAAGUUUUUCAUGAAUAGGUGAUCACAAUCCUCAUUGGAAAAACUACACAUGCUUUGGAAUAUGAAGAGGCCUCUAUAGCAGCUUCUGUCAUUCAACCUAUUGCCUUUAAAUCUGAUAAGCUCCCUAGCCCUUUUGGUUGUAAAUUGCCCAUUAGGACUGAGAUUCCUGGACACACUUUCUAUCUACAAAAAGAAAAGAUUUAAACCAGUGAUUGCACUCUGAAUAUCUUUAUUUGAUCAGAUCUAGCAUCAGACGAAAAUCAUUUCAUGAAUUGGUCUUGGGGAAAGAGCACUUUGUUUUCUAGCAAGUUUAUAGUGGGUCUUGGCUCUUUCACUCAAUCAUCAUGCAAAUUGCAGGAGGCACAUUAGCAUAGUCCUCACUAAAAUUAAUUUUAGAUCCUUGUAUACAAAUUUGGAAGAUGCAAAUUCUUCAUACAUGUUCCUUACAUAUGCUACUUUAAUCUGGAAUUUAAUGAGUUUAUGGUUGGAUUCUGGUUCCCAUGUAGUUGUAGCAAGUCUUAACACCACUAUUGCUUCUAGUAACAAAUCAGGACCUGGCAUUUAAGUAGCUUUUUUGGUGUGUUCUAAGCUCUUCUUAGAUAAUUGUGUCAUAGCUCUCUUACUCGUGUCGAGCAUAACCUCAAUGCCCUUUGCAGUUAUGAUAAAGGGCACCUAGGAAUCAGCUACAGCCAGUUUUUGAGGUCUGUACAUAUUAGAUGCAUUGCAUGGUUACUGAUGCGUAUUUUAUUGUUUGAACUAAAUCAUCUUUUGGUACUAACAUGUGAUGUUCUUUGAACAAAAUCUCAUACUGACAAUUUUGUAUACCUUCACAUGCUAUCACGUGUAGAUUUUACCAGCUUAGCUUCUGGUUUAACAAGGAUUCUCUUUUGUUUGAAUUAAUUUUCCAGGCCCUGGAUACACUAGGGAAUACCGAAUGGAGGGUUUGCUCCCUCUGUGGUCUCAGGUUCGAGCCCUGUGGUUGCUCAUAUGAUAGCCACUGGAGGCUUACAUGAUCGUUAACUUCAGGGCCCGUAGGAUUAGUCGAGGUGCGCGCAAGCUGGCCCGGACACCCACGUUAAACUAAAAAAAAAAAAAAGAGGGUACUUAGUGUUGUUGAUAGAAUAUGGAGUAAUGGAGGCUGUCUUGCUGAUUUGGUAGACCACAGUGAUGUGAGUAUCUUUUCUAACUUUCCUCAAUGUAAUUCGUGUUUUUUUUAGAAACUCCUUUACCUUUGUGUUCCAAGAAUUGAUCAUGUAAACACAUCAUACAUGUAAAUAUGAAUACACAAUAUCCAUACCCUAACAAAAAUAUUAAUUUAGUAAUAGUUUUUUUUUAUAAGCCUAACAAAGUGUCGCUUUGGUAGGCAUGCUUUAAAAUAGAAUAUGAAUUUCGGAAGGUAUUUUUUUUAUUAAUUGAUAAACUUCUUUACUUUUCUCUUAGAUGCGCCAACAAUUUUUAUUAUUGAUAUUUACAACUAUAUAAACACAUAAAUACAUAAACAUUAAUAUAUAUAAUCAAUAUCAAUAUUUACACCAAAAUUGAACUUUCGUUUAUAAAUAACAAUGCACCAAGCCUAAAUGUAUUGAGUCUAAUGUUAGCCAGACCUAGACACGGUGGAUCUAGCACUAGCUAGACCCAAGAAAUGAUUAGAUCUAGCUACCGCCUGACCCAAAUCUUGUUAGGACUAGCACUAGUCAAAUUCAACCAUAAUUGAGCUUGGUAGUGUGUUAGACCAAGGCGCAUUGAGUCUGGCAUUGACCAGACCCAAAAGAUAAUUGAGUCUAACACCAUAAACACUCCUUUGUCAAAGGUUUGAGAUGGAAUAUUUGCAAUGGGAGAGGAAUUAGUGUUUGUGAUUGGAACAUUAAAAUUGGGUUGUUUGUAAGAGGAAUAUUAAAGCUUAAUUCAUAAUAAUGUUGAAGGAUAAAAUUAAAAAAAAAUACAAAUAAAAAAACCCUAGAUCAACUCGCUAAAUUCACAACACGAGUCAUAAAACUAAAAUAAUAUUAUAAAAAAAAAUCAACAAAUUAUAAAACUUAAUCUUUAAGAAGUAAAAUGUUGAAAGAUAAAAAAAGCAUGUAGAUUUUUUUAAAAAAAAAAUAUCAUUGCAAAUUUUAACUUGGUAAGAUUUUAUGUUAAUAGUAUUAUAUUAGAUGAGUCCAGCUCACCAUAAGCCUACAUGGAUGAAUAUGAGUUAAUGGUGAGUCGAGCUUGUAUAAUAAUUUAUGGGUAGCAAAAGUUGUGCCCAGUAUUUCUAUAAUACGACGAGGUUUAAUUUCUUUUUUUUUCAUGGUUAUCUCUCAGUGGAUAGCAGCAUCAAUCAUAAGAACUUCUAUAUUUAUAUCUAAUUUAAAUACUAAUUAAACGUGAUAAGAGUGGGAGUUAAAUAUAACGCUGCACAUCAAAUGCUCUUCAAAAAAAAAAAUCUACAUUGAAGCUUUUGAAAAGAAAUAUUAACAUUUAUCACCUUCUGCGUUCUAUUUGUUUAACUGAAUAUAGAGCCACCUUGUUACACUUUAUUAUUAUGAAUAAUAAAAUAACUCCAAACUGCAUUUAUUGGAAGCUUCUGCGAUGUGCCCAUCAAAUACGACUAUAGUGAAUCCCUGGAUAAGAGAUCGUUGCUUUCGACUUUCCGACCGCCGUUGCAUAGCUCAUCACAGCCAUCCCCACUUUCAAAAACAGCAGCAGCUCCCAUUCCUGUGCCUGCAUUUAAUUAGUGACAACAGUUAGCCAUAAGCAUACGUUUCCAGCAACACUCCACGCACCCAGAGAGAGAGGGAGAAGAAGAAUACCUAUGCACAUUGACACCACCCCGAAGCGACAGUCCAUGCCACGACGCUUCAUCUCAUGCAGUAAAGUAGCCACACAUCUAGCACCUGUAACAGUUGAUGAGGCAUGAAUUAGUCUCAGAAAAUGAUUAAACAAAUAACUGCUGCACCACAUAUUCAUGUGUAAAAUUAAAGAACAUAUAUUAAUGGAUUGAUAUCACAAAGAUCACCGUACACAACUCAAAAGUGAUGCUCUAUACAAGUCUUGAGCAGAUUUACAAGCACCAAAAACUGUUUCCACCACCGACACAACGCAAAACCCCUGAAUUUACCCAUGUUUGUGUCAAUUCAUUUCUGCACUUUUGACCAAAUUUUUCUUUUGCUUUUUUAUGCUGUCCCACUGAGCAGACCUUUUUUGUUCUUUUGUGUGAAAAAAAAACUAAAAAAACUAAUUAGAAAAUAAAAAAAAUAUUUAAAAUUCUAAAACCGAUUGAACUAGAUCUCAUAGACUAGUUAUUUUUAUUAUAUUCCCAUUUUUAUUUUUUAUUCUAUAGAUUUUUCUACAUUGAAGCUUUUGAAAAAUUUACAUUGAUCAUGCUUUUUUAUGUUGUUCCACUGAGAUGACCCUUUUUUUUUCUUUUAUGAAUUGAAAUUAUAUUACAUGUUUGUAAUUGUUUCAUCUCAUUUUUAUUUUUGAAAAGUAAACUUCCUUUAAUUAGAUUAUCCUUAAUAUUAAAUUAUCCCUUUGCUUUUUGCAGAGGUCUUAUCAAGCUGUUUGGUUUCUUGAUUUCAGUUGAAUUGAUUUUUAGUUUAUUUCACAUUAUAUUUUCAUGAAAUGAACAGGACAAUAAACUCUUUUAAUAAUCAUCUUGCCUUUAACUUUAAUUAGCUAUUUCAAAUAAAAAUUAUUAAUUUAAAUUUUACAAACUUUAUAAUUACUAAUAAUUUAUAUAAUUGUUAAUUUUAAAACUGUAUAAUUAAUCAUGAUAUAUGGAAACUGCUACAAUACUCAUGUUAAUAAUGAAAACAAAAUUACAAUCACAUCAGCAUGGUUGAAUUAUUCAUGGUUGCAUUCGCUUUCACCCCCUGACUAUGAACAGGAACCCCAAUUAAAUGAAAUGGUCCACAGCGUUUUCGGUCAACCAAGUCGGCUUCCACUUGCAGCACAAUUCAUCAAAAAACGAUGUGAAUUAUCAUUUGAUGUCGAACCAGGUGGACUAUCAGCUGCAGCCACAAUUAUUUGAUGCAUAGCAAAAUAAUUAUUCAGAAUCACAGUACCUUGGCAGUCCUUUCCAGCCAAAUUGAUGUGUUGUGUGCUAAUCCGACGAAAAUCAAGAUCCCAAAGAGGGUGAUGCCGCUGAUGUAGUAGUUGCAAUGCCGAGGAUAUCUAGAGAAAACUGUGAGUAACCCUGUCAAAUUUUUUUAUUUUUAUUUUACUCGAUCUCAUAAUUAAAUUUUUGUUGCAUAAUUUUUAAUUAAUAAACAUGUAAUUAUAAAUGAAGGAAAGAAAAAAUUGGAUGGACUUGUUUGUUUCAAUUUUAUUUUUUUGGUUUUAUCUUUUUUAUUUGUUUUUUAAAGCCUUUUUUAACUCAAUCAAUUCUUUAUUUUUUAUUAUUUUUUUAAGUAUAAAAGUAUAUUCCAAAGAAUAUUUUAAAGUAAUUGGGCAAAUAACAUUGUUAGCCACGGAGAGAUCAAUGGUAUGGACAAAAUAAUAGUAUAAUGAUUGGACUCAAAAACUUUCAAAGACAAAAUCAAUAGUAUACGAUCCCUCAAACUCAUUAACCCCUCACAACUCACUAACCCAAAUUCUCUUGUUUUUGGAUAAUUAAAAAGAAACCAUUUUUUAUGUUGUUUUGAAUUUUUUUUAUUUACUAUUUGAGAUUUUAUAAAAAAAAAUGGUUUGAUGACAGAGGAAUCCAUCAUGUUUGUAUUGAUGGUUGAAAUUGUGUUUGGGAUUUCAUUAAAUUUUUUAUAAUUGUUUUUUCUUAAAAAAAACAUUUUAUAUUUUGUUACCAGCAUGGAGCUGUGAAAAUGAAGGGUUGUAGUGGCGAGGAAUGUUUUUUGGAUUUAAUUUAAUGUUUUUUUUUAAUGUCAGUUAAUUAUAUAAUUUUCUUAAGAUCAAUCUUUUAAUAAAAAAUAUGUAGGAGCUAUAAAAUUGGUGGGACUUAUUCUUCUUAUUUUGAUUUUUUUUUUUUUGAAAACAUGUUUUUCUUUUCAGUGCUUACGAACUAGAUCAAAACAUGUAUUACUUUUUAUUGUAUGUAAAAUGUCCUUAUUUACUUUUAAACAUAGAUGCUUGACUUGAGAAUUCAUUACAAAACACGAAUCAACUCAAUUGUGAUGUGCGUGGCCCAACCCCUGCUCUUGACAGGAAGGUGCCUCUGAUGUCCUUAUUUACUUUUAAACAUAGAUGCUUGACUUGAGAAUUCAUUACAAAACACGAAUCAACUCAAUUGUGAUGUGCGUGGCCCAACCCCUGCUCUUGACAGGAAGGUGCCUCUGCUGCCCAACACGAAUCAAAUUUUUCUUUUGCUUUUUAUGUUGUCCCACUGAGAUGACUUUUUUUGCUCUUUUGUGUGAAUUGAAAUUAGAUUAGAUGUUUAUAAUUGUUUCAUCUCUUUUUUUUUUCUUUUUUUUUUGAAAGGUAAACUUCCUUUAAUUAGAUAGUAUUUUUUUUUUCUAUUUUGUUUUGCAGGCUUUAAUCUUUUUUUUUCUUUGAUUAUCCUUACUGUUAAUAUUAAAUUAUCCCUUUAUUUUUUUUGCAGCUGCCAAGAUAUUUGGUCCCGAUUUUUAAAUGUACCAAAUUGAAUCGGUUUGAUUCAAACUGGUUUUCAGUUUAUUUUGGAUCAUUUUCUCAAGAAAUUGUUGUUUCUGGUUGAUAUUUUUAGAUCUAAACUGUACCAAUCCAGACAAUGAACACCCCUAAUAAUCGUCUUUGCUUUAACUUCAACCAGCCAACUACCUCAAAUUUGCAAUCACAUCAGGCGCAUGGCGUUGCAUUCGCAUUCAUCCUAUUUUCUCCGAGACCUGUUGAAAACUUGCAGUUUGGUGGUGGCGGAUUCAGUGAGAUGGACCAGUGGUAUGAUCAGGAAGUAGUUUUAUCUUUUUUAUUUGUUGUUUAAAGUCUUUUUUAACUCUUAAUCAAUUCUUUAUUUUUUAUUAUUAUUUUAAAUAUAAAAGUAUAUUCCAAAGAAUAUUUUAAAGUUAUUGGGCAAAUAACAUUGUUAGCUAGCCACGGAGAGAUCAAAGGUAUGGACAAAAUAAUAGUAUAAUGAUUGCACUAAAAAACUUUCAAAGACAAGGGACCUCAUCAAAUCAAAUCAAUGGUAUACGAAUCCCUCAAACUCAUUAACACCUCAUAACCAAGAAAAUAAAAAUCGGUAACAUUAUUGAGUAACAGUAAUAAGUUGUAAAAGAAAUAAAGAGAGAGUUUGAUGUAUUAAGGAGUUUAAGAGUUAAAGUGUGUUUUUAGAGAUGAAAGAAUUGAGAUUAAAGGAAAGUAUGAAGGAGAGCUUGAUUGAAUUUGUUUUGGUUUUUGAUUCUUUAUUCUGUAAAUGUAAGAAAACUUUUUUCCAUAAUGAUUCAUUAUUUUGUUUUUUAUGUUUGUUCUUGAAUUGAGUAGAAGUGGUAUAAUGUAAAGUGAUUCAAGACCUGUUUGGAAAUUUGAUUUUUUUUUAAAUUAUUUAUAUAUAUAUUUUUAAAUUGUAUUGAUGUGUUUAUAUCAAAAUUAUUUUAAAAAAAUAAUAAAAAUAAUUAUUUUUAUAUAUUUUAAAAAAUAAUCACUACCAAAUUUUCAAGCAUUUAUAGUGAAAGGUUUGAGAUGAGAUAUUGGUAAUGAGAGAAAAAUAGGUGUUGGUGAUAAAAAUAUUAAAGUUUGAGAUUCUAAACUCAAUUCAAUAUGAUUUUGUUUUUCGUUAAUUAGUUUCAGUUAAUAGGGUGGUACGUGGCUAAGUUUAUUUAAAAAAAAAAUCAAUGGGAAUUUAUAGUAUUUAAUAUAAGAGUUUUAUAGUUAACAGUUUGAAAAUUCAUUAAAAAAUACUUUUCAAUUGUGAUGUGUGUGGCCCGGCCCUGCUCUUGACAGGAAGGUGCCUCUGCUGCCCAAUGCGCGUUCGAUAUCCCUUUCAUUUCUAUCUUCACUUUUUCUCCACCAAAAGAAAAUCCAGGAAACUUACCAAUACGAGUGAGUUCUUGACCUAAAGGAACCGGAAAAAAUUCGAAGUCAUUGGAAUAAAAAGAAAGAAAAGGGCUUUGGAGGUUGGUUACUAAGAUACCAGACGAAUAAACAAAUAUUGGGCUUGUCUAGAUCUUGUGCCUCUUUAGGCAACACUUAGCACACGGUUUGUUUCGUCUAGAUUCGAGUAAUACUUGGUAGAAAUUUGGUGUUUUCUGAUUUCUAAGUAGAAUUGUACAAAUUGCUAAGUGGUAGAUUUAAUUGCCAAAUUUCUUUUUUUUUUUUAGUUUAACGUGGGUGUUUAGGCCAGUUUUCGCGCACCUCGACUAAUCCCACGGGCCCUGAAGUUAACGACCAUGUAAGUUUCCAGUGGCCAUCAUAUGAGCAACCACAUAACUCGAACCUGAGACUAUAGAGAGAGCAAAUCUCUUAAUUUCAAACUCUUACCACUUGGUCAUCACCUAGAUAGUUAAUUACCAAAUUUCUUGAUCUUACCUUCUGUUUCACGGGCCCUGCAAUUCAUAUUUUUUUUUACUUGGUAAUUAAGUAUGAGAAAGAGUUAAAUUUUUUUUUUAAAAAGAGGUGUGCCUUAAGUGUGAUUUUACUUUUGAUUUUCUUUGAAUUUAUUCUUGACCUACAUGGAAAGAAAACAAUAUAAAAGUAUUAUUUUGUAAAAUAAAAAACAAAGCCACUAAUUUACCCUAAUAUAAAUCCUGCAGUCAAUUAAAAACAAAAAUAAAAACACAAAUUGUGAGCAAAAUUUUUCUACAAAAAAAUUGAAGUAAAGCCACCAAUUAAUUUAUCUUUCAUCAAACAAAAUAAGGAAACUUAAAUUUAAAAUUUAUUUUAAUUUUAUUUUGAGAUGUUUGUUAAUAAUUUGAUGAAAUUUUUUUAUAUAAUUCUAUCAUUUUUGCUUUUUUUUUUCUCAGAUUUGCUAAUUCUACCAAUUGUUUUUUAAAUUCUUGUUAUAGUGAUUUUUUUUUCUAAUUAAUUAUAUAUAUUUUAUUGGUUUGUUUUGAUUAUGUUUGGAUUUUUUUAUGUUGUUUUUAGCAGAGCCACUAAAAUUAUCAAUUUUUUCUUAUGAUAUAUGUUUUGAUUUUAGGUUGAACCAUAAACAAAAUAAGAAGAAUUGAUAUGAUAAUCGAUGAUUUUUAUUUUAUGAAAGAACGAUGAGUACAAUUAAAAUAAAUAUGUAAAAAUCAUUCUUUAUUAUUAUUUUUAUUUAUUUUAAAGUUUAUCAAACAUAAAUAAUGCUUCGUUUUAUUUAUGAUGUGUGAUGUGUAUGAUGGUUUGGGAAAGCGGUUUCAGACCCGUUUGGAAAUUUAAUUUUUUUAUAUUUUUAAAUUAUUUUGAUAUAUUUAUAUCAAAAUUAUUUAAAAAUAAUAAUAAUAAAAUUAUUUUAAUAUAUUUUUUAAAAAAUUCUUUUAAAAAAUAACAACUAUUAUAUUUUUAAGCACCCUAGCCCUUAGUAAAAGGUUUGAGAUGAGAUAUUGGUAAUGAGAGAAGAAUUGGUGUUUGCGAUCGGGGAGGAAUUAAAGUUGGGCUGUUUGUGAUAAAAAUAUUGAAGUUGGAGAUUCUAAAAUCAAUUUAAUAUGAUUUUUUUUUUCGUUAAUUAGUUCCAGUUAAUAGGGUGGUGGCUAAGUUUAUUUUUUUAAAAAAAAAAUCAAUGGGAAUUUAUAAUAUUUAAUAUAAGAGUUUUAUAGUUAUUAGUUUAAAAAUUCAUUAUAAAAUACUUUUCAAUUGUGAUGUGCGUGGCCCCACCCCUGCUCUUGACAGGAAGGUGCCUCUGCUGCCCAAUGCGCGUUCGAUAUCCCUUUCAUUUCUCUUUUCGCUUUUUCUCCACCGAAACUCCAUCUUCUUUACAGUGUAAACUUACCAGUACGACUUCUUGACCUCAAGGAACCGGAAAAAAAUUCGACGUCAUUGGGCUUGGCUAGAUCUUGUGCCUCUUUAGCCAACACUUACCACACGGUUUGUUUCGUCUAGAUUCGUGAAAUACUCGUAGAAAUUUGGUGUUUUCUGAUUUCUAAGUAGAGUUGUACAUGUUCCAGCUUGAAAUUAGUAAUUGGUAGAUUUAAUUGCCAAAUUUCUUGAUCUUACCUUCUGUUUCAUGUUUGACCACAGGAGCAGGCCUUACACAAAAUAGCGUGGACAGCAAUUGCUGAACCAAGCGAGCUAGUUGAGGCCAGAAGGGAUCGGUACUAGUUUAUCGCUAUAGGGAUUUUCAUGGCUUCCAGCAGCGUGCAAGGAAUAACCUCAUCUUCAUCUUCUCCUCCUCCACUAUAUAUGCAUGAUGUGUUCCUUAGUUUUAGAGGCAAAGACACCCGGAACAACUUUACUAGUCAUCUAUAUUCUAAUCUGACACAAAGAGGCAUCGAUGUGUACAUGGAUGAUAGGAAGCUCGAGAGAGGAAAGACCAUCGAACCUGCUCUUUGGAAGGCCAUCGAAGAAUCAAGGUUUUCAGUCAUUAUAUUUUCAAGAGAUUACGCUUCUUCACCAUGGUGCUUGGAUGAACUUGUCAAGAUUGUUCAGUGCAUGAAAGAGAUGGGGCAAACUGUUCUGCCAGUUUUUUAUGAUGUGGAUCCCUCAGAGUUUUAUGAUGUGGAUCCCUCAGAGGUAAUCGAGCGGAAACGGAAAUAUGAGGAAGCCUUCGUUGAGCAUGAACAAAAUUUCAAGGAAAACUUGGAGAAGGUCCGGAACUGGAAAGAUUGUCUCUCUACAGUGGCCAAUUUAUCUGGCUGGGACAUACGGAAUAGGUAAAUCAUCUAUCUACUUAUUCUUAUUCUCAAAUCUGCCAUGUAUUGUUUCAAUGAUGAACAAGCAUGAUAGUAAAUGUGUACUUUUUUCAUAUGCAUGAUUUUUUAUUUUUAUUUUUUUAUGACAUUUUGAACUGAUGUGAUCAAGCAUUUCUAAUCUUUAUAUAAAACUGCUUUCUAUUCUUAGGUUUUUCUUUAUAUUUUGAAAAUAAAAUAAAAUAUUAAACAGAAAAAUUAAAAUGUAUAAAAAUGUUGAAAAACAAAUCUAGCAUGAACAAAUAAAAAGUUAGCUUAAAAAAUUAAAAAUGGUGAAGAAAUGACAAUAAAUUCAUCAUAAGAAAUAAAAAAUUGACCAAAGUUUUUGAAUAUGUUGGUUUUAGCUUUUCAAAAUAAAAUAAAAAGAUUUUCCAUCUUGAAUUAAAAAAUUCAAACUAUUUAUAAAUCAAAGAGACAAAUUUAUUUAUAAUUUGUUUUGUGAAUAUUUUUAUUUUUUUAUUUGGAAUUAAAAUUUGAUAGUUGUCUUUCUUUUACUAAUGGAUUGUAAUAAUGAAUUUACUAAUUUUUCAUUCUAAAAACAAUACACUACUUAUUAGGGAUAAUAGGGUAAGUUGAAAACAAUACACUGCUUUUUUUUUUUUUGUCUUUUUUUUAUGAUAAAAAAAAAAGAAGAAAAGUGGUUGGCUUGUUUGUAGAACACACAAGCAAGUAAGUUGUUCUAUCUUAUUUAAGGAGCACGAGAAAUGGCUUAUGACACCCAAAAAAAACCUUCAUUGAUGUUUUAUGAUUCACCACGACAUGACCUUCUUCCCUGAGUGACAUGACCUUCCUCCCUGAGUGACAUUUGUGGAGUAAUUCUUUUUGGUCUAGCACCAAAUGACUUUUUUUUUUUUUCUUUUAUCUUUAUCCUCGAAUUCCGCACCCGACCUUCUAAACUUGUAUAGUAACCCUUCAAUCAGGUUUUUUUUUUAUAUUUGGUCUAUUUCCUUUCAAUUGAUAUUUUUUUAUUUGAAUUAUUUUUUAAAAUUGAAAUUUGUUGUUAAUUUUAUACUUUUUAAUUUUUUAAUCUAUUAGAUUUAAUUCUCAUUCUUUUGAUUACUAUUUAUUUUAUGUGAGAUUAUUUUUAUUUUAUUUUUUUAUUGAUUUCAUCCUUCAUUUUUUAUUGUUAUGUUUUUUUACCUUGGCAAGUUUUUAAAAAAUUGAUAUAUAUAUAUAUAUAUAUAUAUAUUAUUUCUAAUUUCAUAUUUUAAUAUUAAAUUAAGCUUUUUGGUUGAGUCUGGAUUUAGAAUUUAACGGAUUGAGAAUUUGGGACACUAACCUAGGUUUAAGAGAUUUGUCUAGGUUUGUUUUUUUUUUUAACUCAUGUUUUUUUUUUUUGUAGUUUCAUCAUUCAAUAUUUAAUUUAAUUAAAGACGACUGAGCUCUAUUAAUUUUUUUAUUUGCUUUCUAUAAGAUUUUUAAAUAAUUUUAAAAAUAAUCGGGGUUAUUUUAAGUCUUUUUAUUUCUCAUUCUUUGUUAAAUCUAGCUGCUAUUUUUUAAAAAAUUCUUUUUUUUAAUUGAAUAAUUUUUUAUGUUUAGCUUUUAAUAUUUGGUUGAUUGAAAUCGGGCGCUAUUUUAUUUUGAUAUGGGUUCCAUGGAGUUUUCACGGAUUCGUGCUUCGGAUAGCAAGUUUCACAUGUUUACCAUAAUUAUUCCAUAUCGAUCUAGUGUGUUGUCAUCACAAUUAUAUUUUUAAAUAAAUAUAUCAUCAGAUAUAUUAAUUUCACAAGAUGAAGAAAUGGGUUGUGAAAAUUUAAGUUCAGCAUCUCAAGGUGCAUGGAUUCAAUUUGCGCAACCUUAGGGAAAUUUUCUUCAGGCUAUGCUAAUAUGGGAAAAAACUCAAAAAUUAAUAAAUUUAAAGUUGUUUUUUUAAAGUUAAUUAUGCAAGAUAAUUGAUUUUUUUGUUAAAAAUAAUUAUAAAAAUAACUUAGUGGUCCAACAAAAAUAUGAUAGAACUCCUUUUGCGUCUAUUAAAACCAAACUUAAUGGAUAUUUUAUUUCCUAGCUUUUGUUCUUGUAUGCAUGCUUCUGUAGUAACUAUGGGAUUCUAUAGGCAAUAAGAUAGCUAUUGUACGAAUCAUUCUUAGCAUCAAUACAAUCCUAGUUCCUUUUUCAGUUUAUUCUUUCCUUUUCCUCUAUGUUCUUGAAGCUAUCUAUUAUCAGUGCCCUAUUUUUCUCAAAGGUUGGUGUAUUAAUUUCCGGCUAACAGCCAUACAUUUUCGAGCUACAAUAUGCUAAUGUCUAUUUUCCCAUUAUCACUAUCUGAUUUGAUUUCUGCACACUGCAUGAUUAAUGUUUUGCACCCUUCUAUGCAGGAAUGAAUCGGAAUCAAUUAAAAUAAUUGUUGAAUACAUAUCGUACAAACUAAGCGUCACUCUGCCAACAAUUAGCAAAAAAUUAGUUGGAAUAGAUUCUCGUGUAAAGGAAUUAAAUGGCUAUAUAGGUGAAGAAGUAGGCAAAGCAAUCUUCAUAGGGAUUUGCGGAAUGGGUGGCAUAGGUAAGACGACUGUUGCAAGGGUACUAUAUGAUAAGAUUCGUUGGCAAUUUGAAGGCAGCUGCUUCUUAGCAAAUGUCAGGGAAGUUUUUGCUGAGAAAGGUGGACCACGCCGUUUACAGGAACAACUUCUUUCUGAAAUCUUAAUGGAACGUGCUCCUGUAUGUGAUUCUUAUAGAGGGAUUGAGAUGAUAAAGCGGAGGUUACGACUUAAAAAGAUUCUUCUUAUCCUUGAUGAUGUAAAUGACCGUAAACAACUAGAAUACCUGGCUAAGGAGCCUGGAUGGUUUGGUCCAGGGAGCAGAAUUAUCAUAACAAGCAGAGAUACAAAUGUGUUAACUGGAAAUGAUGAUACUAAAAUUUACGAGGCUGAGAAAUUGAAUGAUGAUGAUGCUCUUAUGUUAUUUAGCCAGAAAGCUUUCAAAAAUGACCAGCCUGCUGAAGGUUUUGUGGAACUAUCCAAGCAAGUUGUGGAUUAUGCUAAUGGUCUUCCACUAGCUCAUGAAGUUAUAGGUUCGUUUUUGUAUGAAAGAAGUAUCCCUGAAUGGAGAGGUGCAAUUAAUAGAAUGAAUGAGAUUCCUGACGGCAAAAUUAUUGAUGUGCUUCGCGUUAGUUUUGAUGGCCUCCAUGAAUCAGAUAAGAAAAUAUUUUUAGACAUUGCAUGUUUCCUGAAGGGGUUUAAAAAAGAUCGAAUAACAAGGAUACUUGAAAGCCGAGGAUUCCAUGCAGGUAUUGGAAUACCAGUUCUUAUUGAGAGAUCUCUUAUAAGUGUCUCUCGGGAUCAAGUCUGGAUGCAUGAUUUGUUACAGAUAAUGGGUAAGGAAAUUGUUCGUUGUGAAUCCCCUGAAGAGCCUGGAAGGCGCAGUAGAUUGUGGACAUACGAGGAUGUCUGCCUUGCACUGAUGGACAACACAGUGAGUACUACUGAUAGAGAACGUUAUCCAUAAGAUUUCAUAAAGUGUAUUUUAAAGUAUAUCUCUACUUUGUAAUUGUUUUUUACUUGUAUUCCCUUUUGGUUGACAGGGAAAAGAAAAAAUAGAAGCCAUAUUUUUGGACAUGCCUGGAAUUAAAGAGGCACAGUGGAACAUGAAAGCCUUCUCUAAAAUGAGCAGACUAAGAUUGCUCAAAAUCAACAACUUGCAGCUUUCUAAAGGACCUGAAGAUCUUUCCAAUCAGUUACGAUUUCUUGAAUGGCAUUCUUACCCUUCAAAAUCAUUGCCAGCUGGUUUACAGGUGGAUGAGCUAGUUGAACUUCACAUGGCUAACAGUAGUAUUGAACAAUUAUGGUAUGGGUGUAAGGUGAGAUCACCUAAUUUAAGGCCCUUUGUAUUUCUUUUUAUCGUUUUCCUAUAUAUAUAUAUGAUUGGCUAACAGUAUCCAUGUUUCUUCUCCCCUGCCUGAUUGCAGAGUGCAGUUAAUUUGAAAAUCAUCAAUCUCAGCAACUCAAUAAACCUGUCCAAGACUCCAGAUCUUACUGGAAUUCCAAAUCUUGAGAGUCUGAUUCUUGAAGGUUGUACAAGUUUGUCUGAGGUCCAUCCAUCACUUGGAUGUCACAAGAAGCUUCAAUAUGUGAAUCUUGUGAACUGCAAAAGUAUUAGGAUUCUCCCAAACAAUCUAGAAAUGGAAUCACUUAAAGUUUUCACUCUUGAUGGCUGCUCAAAACUUGAGAAGUUCCCAGAUAUAGUAGGAAACAUGAACAAAUUGAUGGUACUUCGUUUGGAUGAGACUGGUAUUACAAAACUAUCUUCAUCGAUUCAUCAUUUGAUUGGCUUAGGUCUAUUGAGCAUGAACAGCUGCAAGAACCUUGAAAGCAUUCCAAGUAGCAUAGGUUGUUUGAAAUCCCUUAAAAAACUCGAUCUGUCUGGCUGCUCUGAACUUAAAUAUUUAACAGAGAAUUUGGGGAAAGUUGAAAGUUUGGAGGAGUUUGAUGUAAGUGGAACUUUAAUAAGACAACUGCCAGCAUCCGUUUUUCUUUUAAAGAAUCUUAAAGUAUUAUCUUUGGAUGGAUGCAAAAGAAUAGCUGUGCUGCCUUCUUUGUCUGGUCUGUGUUCUUUAGAAGUACUGGGUUUACGUGCUUGCAAUCUAAGAGAAGGAGCACUUCUUGAAGAUAUUGGCUGCUUAUCUUCAUUGAGGUCUUUAGAUCUGAGCCAGAAUAACUUUGUUAGCCUGCCUAAAAGCAUAAAUAAGCUUUCUGAACUGGAAAUGCUUGUCUUGGAGGGUUGCACGAUGCUUCAAUCUUUGCUUGAGGUUCCAUCUAAAGUUCAAAUAGUAAAUUUGAAUGGUUGUAUAAGCCUAAAAACAAUUCCAGAUCCGAUAACGCUAAGCAGUUCCAAAAGAUCAGAGUUCAUAUGUCUUAACUGCUGGGAAUUGUACUAUCAUAAUGGCCAAGACAACAUGGGGUUGAUGAUGCUUGAAAGAUACCUCCAGGUCUUCUCUUAAUCAAACCCCAACCUUUUUCUAUCUCUCUCACUCUCCCUCUAUCUGUCUAACGUUUUGGUUCUUUAUGGUACAGGGUUUGUCUAAUCCAAGACCUGGAUUUGGUAUCGUUGUUCCAGGAAAUGAAAUUCCAGGGUGGUUUAACCAUCAAAGUAAGGGAUCUUCAAUUAGUGUGCAAGUGCCUAGUUGGAGCAUCGGGUUUGUUGCCUGUGUUGCAUUCUGUGCAAAUGGUGAAAGGCCUUCUGUUUUUUGUGAUUUCAAAGCCAAUGGAAGAGAGAAUUUUCCUUCGCCGAUGUGUAUUAGUUGUAACUCUAUCCAGGUUCUGUCAGAUCAUAUUUGGCUAUUCUAUCUAUCUUUUGAUCAUCUUAAAGAGCUUAAAGAAUGGAAGCAUGAAUCCUUUAGCAACAUUGAGUUGUCAUUUCAUUCUCUCGAGCAACGAGUAAAGGUGAAGAACUGUGGUGUCUGUUUUUUAUCUUCUCUAUAUAUUACAUCACAACCAUCUGCCCAUUUUAUUGUUACAAGCAAAGAAACAGCUUCUUCAUAUAAAGCUUCUUUAGCUCUUUCUUCAUCUUACCAUCAAUGGAAGGCCAGUGUUUUCCCUGGCAUCAGAGUCGCAGAUCGGGCCCAGAGAUUCAUUGUCCCAGUCGGGAAGGAACCAGGGAAAGUAAUGGCAAUUAGAUCAAGACUCUUUGAAGCCAUUGAAGAAUCAGGGCUGUCAAUUGUUAUAUUUGUAGGAGAUUGUGCUUCUUUACCUUGGUGCUUUGAAGAACUUGUCAAGAUUGUCGGAUUCAUGGAUGAGAUGAGAUCGGACACUGUUUUUCCAGUUUCUUAUGAUGUCGAACAAUCAGAGAUGGAUGAUCAAACAAAGAGUUACACAAUUGUCUUCGAUAAGAGUGAAGAAAAUUUCAGGGAAAACGAGGAGAAGGUGCCAAGGUGGAUGAAUAUUCUCAGUGCAGUUGAGAUUUCAUCUGUAACGAGAUCAUUGAAAAGGUAAUAAUUACUUCUUUUUUGUGCCAAGGUAUUACUACAAGUAAAUGAAACUGGGAAUGCUGAAAUAUGUUAAUAAAUCUAAUCUAUUUUUUAUGACAAUUAGGAAAUGUAUUCUUGAAAGUUAUGAAUUGUUAAAUACUUACAUGAGUUUUAAAUUAUAUAGUAAAUUAUUCGUUUAAUAAUUGAAAAUUUUAAACUUUAUAGCAUUUGAAUUUUAAAAUAACAAUAAUUGAUUCCAUGUAUAGUUUAAUGGGAAAAAGAAUGUUUAGUUUUCACGUCAUUUUUAUCUAAUCUAUUUUUUUAUGAUAAUUUUACCUGAACCGAAAGAUAGAACACAACACUUCUGACUUCUCCUUCUCACUCUUAGCAGCAUAGGAGCUCCAGCAACGCAGCAGCAGCAGCAGAUCCAGAUCUACCUCCACCAGCAGCAGAUCCAGCUCUACCUCCACCAGCAGCAGAUCCAGCUCUACCUCCACCAGCAGCAGCAGCGAAUCCAGCAUCUCCAGCUGCUCGAGCGGCGGCAGGGUUGGCUCCAACUGCUCGAGGAUCGGCUCCAGCUGCUCGAGGAACGGCUGCGGCAGCCCCAGCUGCUCGAGGAGCGGCGGCUGCAGCGCCAGCUGCUCAAGCAGUGGCUGCAGCGCCAGCUGCUCGAGCGGCGAGGGGAGCUCGAGCGGCGGGGGGAGCUCGAGUGGCGGGUGCUGGAGUGGGAGCGGCGGCAGCGGGAGCAGCGGGAGCAGCGGGAGCAGCGGAAGCAGCGGGGGCUGCUGGAGCAGCGGAAGCAGCGGGGGCUGCUGGAGCAGCGGCUGCUGGAGCAGCGGCUGCUGGAGCUGGAGCAGCGGCUGCUGGAGCGGGAGCUGGAGCGGGAGCGGGAGCGGGAGCAGCGGCUGCUGGAGCUGGAGGGGCGGCUGCAUGAGUGGCGGCUGCAUGAGUGGCAGCUGCUGGAGCGGGAGUUGGAGCAGCUGCGGGAGCAGCUGCGGGAGCGGCCGGAGCGGCCGGAGCGGCAGCUGGAGCGGGAGCAGCGGCUGCUGGAGCUGGAGGGGCGGCUGCAUGAGCGGCGGCUGCUGGAGCGGGAGUUGGAGCAGCUGCGGGAGCGGCCGGAGCGGCUGGAGCGGGAGCAGCGGCUGCUGGAGCAGCGGCUGCUGGAGCGGGAGCGGCGGCUGCUGGAGCGGGAGCAGCUGGAGCAGCGGCUGCUGGAGCAGCGGCAGCUGGAGCUGCAGCAGCUGCUUGAGCAGCAGCAUGAGUUUUGGUUACGAAUCUAACUUGCUUUAGCUUGAAGAUCUUCGUCAGUUUUCCAUGGAUCUAAUUUCUUAUUAGCUCUUGAUUUUUUUUCCUUGUUAAUUACCAUCAAAGUACAGUGAGCAGUGAUUGCAAGACAUCAUAUGAUCUUCCUUGUUGUUUGCAUGUUCAUCAAAGCAGCCAACACGAGGGAAAAAACAUAGCAAUGAUUUUCAUCAUGAUAGGACAGGGCCUUGUUUUUGCACAUGGUUUUGGUUUGGGGUAAUUAGAUUUACAUUUUGCAAUCAUAAGAUUGAUAUUUUUUUUUUAAAAGUUUUAUUAUUUAAUAUUUAAUUUAAUUAGAGAUUGAGUUUUAUUAAUUUUUUAUUUUUUGAUUUUUAUAAAAAUUUUAAAUAAUUUUAAAAAUAUUUUUUUUAGUUUUAUUAUUUAAUAUUUAAUUUAAUUAGAGAUUGAGCGUUAUUAAUUUUUUUUAUUUGUUAUUUAUAAAUUUUUUAAAUAAUUUUAAAAAUAACAGGGGUUAUUUUAAGUCUUUUUAUUUCUCAUUCUCUGUUAAAUUUAGCUACUAUUUUUUUAAGAAAUUAUUUUUUAAUUAAAUAAAAUUUUUUAUUUUUGACUUUUAAUAUUUGAUUGAUUGAAAUUGGAUUCUUUAUUUUAUUUAGAUAUGGGUUUCUUGGGGUUUUUUCAGAUUGUGAGUCUCACAUGUUAAUCAUAGUUUUUUUUUAUAGAGCAGAAUUAUCAUAACUAGCAGAGAUAAAAAAAGUGGUAACUGGAAAUUAAUAAUACUAAUAGAAUUUAUGAUGAUGAGAAAUUGAAUGAUGAUGAUGCUUUUAUGUUGUUUAGCCAGAAAGUUUUCAAAAAUGACCAGCCUGCUAAAGAUUUCGUGGAACUAUCCAAGCAAGUUGUGGGUUAUGUUAAUGGCCUUCCACUGGCUCUUGAAGUUAUAGAUUCGUUUUUGUAUUAAAAAAGUAUCCCUGAAUGAAGAGGUGAGCUUAAUAGAAUGAAUGAGAUUCCUGAUGGCAAAAUUAUUGAUGUGCUUUGCAUUAGUUUUGAUGGUCUCCGUGAAUCAGAUAAGAAUAUAUUUUUAGACAUUGCCUGUUUCCUGAAGGGGUUUAAAAAAGAUCGAAUAACAAGAAUACUUGAAAGCCGAGGAUUCCAUGCAGGUAUUGGAUUACCAAUUCUUAUUGAGAGAUCUCUCAUAAGCAUCUCUCGGGAUCAAGUCUGGAUGCAUAAUUUAUUACAGAUAAUGGGUAAGGAAAUUGUUCGUUGUGAAUCCCCUGAAGAGCCUGGAAGGCGUAGUAGAUUGUGGACAUACGAGGAUGUCUGCCUUGCACUAAUGAACAACACAGUGAGUAGUUGAUAGAGAACAUUAUCUAUUAGAUUUCAUAAAGUUUAUUUUAAUUUACACUCCAUCUCUACAAAUCUUUACUUUGUGAUUGUUUUUUACUUGUAUUCCCUUUUGGUUGACAUGGAAAAGAAAAAAUAGAAGCCAUAUUCUUGGACAUGCCUGGAAUAAAAGACGCACAAUGGAACAUGGAAGCCUUCUCUAAAAUGAGCAAACUAAGAUUGCUCAAAAUCGACAACGUGCAGCUUUCUGAAGGUCCUGAAGAUCUUUCCAAUAAGUUACGAUUUUGUAUUCCUUCAAAAUUUUCAGGAAUAUAAAUAUGCAUCAAUAAAAACCUGUCAGGUCUGACGCUAGCUAGAUCUAGGUAUAUUGGGCUCGACAAUCUGUCAAGUCCCGGACAUGCUGGGUCUGACAGUGUGGAAUGGCUUUCAUUUCUUGAGCAUGCCCAAGAGAAUGAUCAUUGGGUCUAACUUAUGGGAAUAACUCAAUCUCUACGAGCAUUAACUACAUUUGAUGUCCUAAACUCUAAUUUCCUUACAUCUUUUAGGUGUAUAAAAGUCUUCCAAGAACUCAUCAUAUUUCCAUCAAAUAUUAAUAUAGAUGUAAGAUAUAUUUAUCCUUUAUUAAAUGCUAUCGAGUCUCUUUAUAGAAGAACAAGACUCAUAUGCUAUAAAUACACAAUAAGACAUUCAGAACAGAGGUUCACAAUCUUUAUUUUCUACUACAUAUAUAAUUUCAGAGUAUUUUUUUCUAGAAUAUUUUUAUAUUUUUUUUUUAUAAAAAAAACAUACUUAUUUAAACAUCAGAUUUCAUCAUAAAUAUGUUCAUAGCAAAAAAUGAAAAAGAAAAAAAAAGCUGAUUCAGCAAAGCAAAUUAUUAAGGGUCUGUAUUUGCUUUCAUUAACUAAAAUAGCCAGAGAAACACAAUCCAUAUAUACAUGCCUGGAAUAAAAGAGGCACAAUGGAACAUGAAAGCCUUCUCUAAAAUGAGCAAACUAAGAUUGCUCAAAAUCGACAACGUGCAUCUUUCUGAAGGACCUGAAGAUCUUUCCAAUAAGCUACGAUUUCUUGAAUGGCAUUCUUACCCUUCAAAAUCAUUGCCAGCUGGUUUACAGGUGGAUGAGCUAGUUGAACUUCACAUGGCUAACAGUAGCAUUGAGCAAUUAUGGUAUGGGUGUAAGGUGAGAUCAACUAAUUUAAGGCCCUUUGUAUUUCUUUUUAUCGUUUUCCUAUAUAUAUAUGAUUGGCUAACAGUAUCCAUAUUUCUUCUCCCCUGCCUGAUUGCAGAGUGCAGUUAAUUUGAAAAUCAUUGUACUAACCCAAUUCUGGGUUAUUCCCUAAAAUUCAUUUUUUUUAAAAUAAAAACAAAAAAAAUAAAAUAAAAAAUAAAAGCUGGCAAUGUGGAGAAAGCUGAUCAAGAAAAAUAGGCAAAAUAGGCAAAAAUCAAUCUGCAAUUUUCAGAGGAAAUUCAAGGCCUUUCGGCGCCCCAUUGUGCCCAAAAUCAGAGAAAAAAAUGCAAAUUCAAGAUCAAAUUAAAUGAUUAUUGGACAAAUUUGCAUAAAAAUUAAGUCCAAUAACAUAAUUAAAUUUUUAAUAGGCCAAUUUGAUUUAAUCAUGGGUCAAAUUAAAUUUUAGUUAUGUUUAAGAAUUAAUUUAGGUCCAAAUGAAGGAUUUAAUUAAGUGCAAGUACUUAAUUAUACUUUAAAUGGGUCAAAUUAAUUUUAUUUGGGGCUUAAUUGGUGAAAAAUUAAGUUUGGGAGCCUAAUUUGGGCUUAAUGGAGAAGAUUGGAAUUUUAAGAGACCAAAUUUAAUUUUUACCAAGUUAAUUGAUUGAAAUCAGGGGUCAAAUUGCAAGAAAAUUGAAGUUUUGGGGCCAAUUAGGGGUUAAAUUGACAAAAUCCAAAGCCAAGGGCCAAUCUGCAAAAGGCGCCAAACUAUAGGGGUCUAAUUGACAAAAGCCGGGGGUCAAAUUGAAGAAAUUGAAAGCUGGAGGACUCAAUUGAAAAUCGGCAAAAAUCCCUAGCUUUUGAUCCAAAACGGCGCCGUUUUUGGUGUUUAAGAAAAAACAAAGAGGGGGAAGGGACCAGGCGACGCGUCACCUGGUCACUGUUCAUCUUCUUCCCCACAAAACUGCCCGAGUAGCAGCUCUCCAGGCGCAUUUUCUACCUCGUUUGGCCUCCAAAUCCGACAACGCAUGCACCAAAAUGUCCACCUGAAACCCCUUUAUCCUUGAGAAUGGUCCGGUCGGGUAGAAAAACUUUGAAAUGGCUUCGUUUAUUGGCCCAAAGUGGCCACCUCGUUCAGUCUGCAGCCUUGGAUUGCCAAAUUUGGCAAUUCGAGGUGCACACUUUGAACCAACGGAUUGGAUUCCUCGAGUCGAAUCAAGGGCUGAGACUUUUUCCCGUUGAAGACAAGAUUACCCUCUUUCCAGCCCUAUAAAUAGGAGCCAAUGUCAUGCUCAGGGGGAGGGGAAAAUUGAGCUCAAAAUUGGCAAAACAUCAGCUUUUCCUGCCCGGUUUUCCUGCAACCAGCCUUCUCUUUUCUUUUUCUCUCCGCCGUGGCCUCCAGCCGCCACCACUGAUCUCGCCACCGUCCUUCCCAAGAAACACCACAUCCCAUCCAUCACCCAGCAACCUCACCACAGUCACAGUACCUCUCUUUCUCUCCCUCUCUUCUCUGCAAAAAUCUUAUCCUCUGCCACCGUGACUCCAACAGCGGCGGCGACAGCAGAGGUAGCAACCAUCUUGCCCAAAAGCUCUCUUCCACUCCUACCAGCAGCAGCCGGAGUAGCAGCUCCUUCCUCAGUCACACCAACAGCUCCAGCCGUGAGCUUUCCUUCUCCUCUGCAGGAAUCUGCUCCUUCUUCUUCCAGCCGGGACCAGUGCACGCCGCCGUCCUCGCCGCCUCCAGUCGCACCGCGCACCACCAGCUAGGCCGCCGACUCUCUCCACGCCAGGUAAUUCUCUCCUCCCCGCUCCACCCUUUUCAAAAACCUUUUUCCAACUAUUUUUUUUUUCAGGAUGCAGAUGUAGACUUUAAUAUUUGUGGGGUGUAAAAUUACACGAUAAAGUACACCCUCGGGUAUUAAACAUACAAGGUGUAAAUAAAUGCCAUCCUAAAAUUCAGACUUUAGAACGGUUAGGAUUUAACCCAAUAAGGUAGAGACUCCCUCACGAAGGGAGAUCUGCCUUGAACCUUAGAAAAGACCAACGAAUAGAAACUCGACCUAGAAAAACAAUCAAACAACAAUGCAGCUUACCUUAGGUAGGGUGCACUGGGGGUGAUGCAUCUUCCCCUUGCACAACCAGUCCCUUACUCAGACUCUCGCAGACCAUAGGUUCCUAGUGACCAUAAUACUAGGUGGCGACUCCAACGAACCAAGCAAAACACAAAUAAAAGAAAAAUCGCCAGCAGACGCCGCGCGGAUUUUCCGACGUGCGACAGAAUGGCGACUCCACUAGGGACGCCUUGUUUGGUCGGACUAAGCUUUGUUUGUUUGUUUAAUUAUCUGUUUUGGUCUGUUUAAAUGUAUUGUUUCAGCACUUUUAUUUCUUGCUCAUACAUAAAUAAUGUGUUCAUGCUUUUUUAAAUUCUUGCAAGAUAACCCAACACUAGGAUAGGAGGGGAGUAGCGGUCUGCCCCAUGACUUUCAGUCGGGGUUCAGAUUCACGAAACAUCCAACUAUGAGCUGCGUGUUUACUUGGUGAUAGCGGACACAUAGUGCCCGAACCUUCCCUUGUAAACCCCUAUACUGCCUUUACGUGAGGUGGUCACUGGGCAGUUCAUAUACCUUUUUGAGACCAGCUAGAAAACAUAUCCUCAUUUUUGGGAUCCACAAAUCGAAUCCCAACCGUACAUACAUGACUUUCUUGAGAAGCUUUCCUCAUUUUUGGGAUUUACAAAUCAGAUCUCAACCGUACAUACAAGACUUUCUUGAGAAGCUUUCCUUAUUUUUGGGAUCCACAAAUCGAAUCCCAACCAUACAUACAUGACUUCCUUGAGAAGCUUUCCUCAUUUUUGGGAUCCACAAAUCAAAUCCCAACCGUACAUACAGUACUUCCUUGAGAAGCUUUCCUCAUUUUUUGGGAUACAAAUCAAAUCCCAGCCGUACAUACAAGACUUUCUUGAGAAGAUUUCAUCAUCUCUGAGAUCGAUUUACAAAUCAGAUCUCAACCAUACAGGUAUGACUUCCUUCAGAAUAUUUCAUCAACCCUGAAGCUGAUUGUUGAAAUCACUUUCAUGUAUUUCACAAAAAUGUUGAAAUCACUUUCAUGUAUUUCACAGACGGGUCGGUUCACAAAAACAUUGUUGAAAUCACUUUCAUGUAUUUCACAAUGCUAAUCUGAAAUCACUUUCAUGUGUUUCAUAAAACAAAUGUUGAAAUCACUUUCAUGUAUUUCACAAAAAAAAAAAAAACCAAUGUUGAAAUCACUUUCAUGUAUUUCACAAAACCAUUGUUGAAAUCACUUUCAUGUAUUUCACAAUGCUAAUCUGAAAUCACUUUCAUGUAUUUCACAAGACUAAGAUUGAAAUCACUUUCAUGUAUUUCACAAAAAAAAACCAAUGUUGAAAUCACUUUCAUGUAUUUCACAACAUUAAUCUGAAAUCACUUUCAUGUAUUUCACAAGAUCAAUAUUGAAAACACUUUCAUGUUUUUCAUUUGGGCAGGUCGCCCAUAAGAAUUAGUCCAACUGAAAAAUCUGUGUAUUUUUUCAACACUUCCAUCAUUUUUCUUUACAAAACUUACUAUGCAAAGUCAAAAGAAAAUGAAUUUUCCAAUGCCUUUGCACCGUAAGCAUUGUAAAGAGGGGGCAACUGUUGUAACCCAAUUUUGGAUCCACCAAGAUUUUCUCAAAUGUUAUUUUAUUUCUAUUAUUAUUUAUAAAAAUCCAAAAAAAUUAAGAAAAAGAAAAAUUCAAAAAUAUAUUUUUCUCGAGUCAACCGCAUCUUUCCGUCAAAACCGAGUCCACCAGGUCAAUACGGGUCAAACCAUGUCGACCAGGGUAAAAAAUGAGUUUCGGGCCGUUUCGGGUCAAAGCCGUCAUUUUUGACCAAAACCGAGUUCACCGAGUCAAUACGGGUCAAACCAUGUCGACCAGGGUAAAAAAUGAGUUUCGGGCCGUUUCGGGUCAAAACCAUUAUUUUUGACCAAAACCGAGUUCCCCAGGUCAAUACGGGUCAAACCAUGUCGACCAGGGUAAAAAAUGAGUUUCGGGCCGUUUCGGGUCAAAACCGUUAUUUUUGACCAAAACCGAGUUCACCAGGUCAGUACGGGUCAAACCAUGUCGACCAGGGUAAAAAAUGAGUUUCGGGCCGUUUCGGGUCAAAACCAUUAUUUUUGACCAAAACCGAGUUCACCAGGUCAGUACGGGUCAAACCAUGUCGACCAGGGUAAAAAAUGAGUUUCAUGCCGUUUUGGGUCAAACCUGUUAUUUUUUGGUCAAAACCCGGUCCACCGGGUUUAUAUCCAUUGAAAGUUUUUUUUUAUGUUUCAACAUAAUUUUCGGUAAUUUAAAAUUGAUUUUUAGCGGUUGAAUCGGGCUUUUUCUAAUACUGAUUUAAGUUUUAAUUUUACCUGUAUAAAUAUAUAUUAUUAUAUAUAAUAAAACAAAAUUAAUAAUACAGAAUUGUCGCGGGGCAGUUACAUUUAUUGUAGGCGAGCAGUUGGAUGGAUAUAUUUUUUUAUUUAAACAAGAUGCUUGCUGUCCCCUCUCAUUGGCUAUAAAUAGCCAGUGAGGAAAAACAAAAAAGAGGGAAGAAAAAGAAAAGAAAAGAGUAUCACUAUUCAAGUUUUUUUUUACUAUUUCUUCACAAGAGUAGGAUAUUGAUUUAAAAAAAAAACAAUAUGGAAAAUACCAAAUAUAUCCUAACCGUUAGAUCUAAUAGUGUUUAGAUCUGAACCGUUGAUUUAAGAGGAUACAAUAGGGCUUACCACACCAGAUUAAAACCCAAACACAUCUCAGCCCUUGAAAUAAUCUAAGCUUUGAUCCCGUUGCGCCACGUCACCCGGUGUACCGAGAUUUCGGUGUACCGCGUCACACCCGAUCCUACCUCUGUUCAUCCGGACCGUCCGAUCAACCUGCAGAUCGGGCCAAUCCCAGCCGCACGAUCUUUCCAGCCGAGAUCCAACGGUGCACAGUGUUCAGCAGUACCGGUGUACCAUACACGCGUUCAUACCAUAGCAUAAUCUCGGACUCUCUCUCUCCUCUCGUCGGCGACGCUCUCUCUCUCAUCCGAUCUCCACUUUCCGGCCGUCUCCAGCCUCCGAACCACCACAGAAAGGUUUCUCCCCUGCUGUAAAGAAAAACCCUGGUGGUUGUCAUCGUUAUCUCGGCCUCAUCUGGCCGGAAAAGGACCGCGAUCGUCGGCUGCCACCGAAGCUUCAAGUUGACGAUUCUCCCUCUUCAGCCAUCAACGACCGUCGAGACCACCGCCAUCAGAACCCUCGACAUCAGAUCUACCAGGAUCGACCAUCGGUUGGCCAGAAAUCUCGCCGGAAAAUCUCACCGCCUCCAACAGUAGCCGCGCGUGUGCCACACGCGCCGCCAGUGGCAUUUUCGUAAUUUUCGGAGAAAUUCGAGGGUAUUUCAGUAUUUUGCCUAUACAGUGGCACUCAGGUAAUGUUUCGGGGUUUCUACUGGUAUUUUUGAUAUUUUUUAUAUAUAAAUGCUUGUAAAUUUUCUUGCAUGUUGUAAAAAAUACAAAAAUCAAAGUCGACACGUCUCUUUUUUAAAAAAGGACCGAUGUCAAAAAUGCAAAUACCAAAUAUGGAUUAUGUCCAUUAUUUCUUUUGGUAACCCAGACGUAAUUCUCCGUUUUUAGGGAUAAACGUCAAUAUUUUAGACGAGUCUCCUAAUUUUUAGGGACUGAUGUUAUUUUUAACGUGUCUCCUAUUUUUAGGGACCGACGUUAACCAUUUGAAAAAAAAAACAAAUUACCAAUAAACCCAAAAUAUAAUGGAUUAUAUCCAUUAUUUCUUUUGGUAACCCAGACGUAAUUCUCUUUUUUAGGGUUGAAACGUCAUAUUUUAGACGAGUCUCCUAAUUUUUAGGGACUGAUGUCAUUUUUAACGUGUCUCCUAUUUUUAGGGACCGACGUUAAUCAUUUACAAAAAAUUACAAAUAAGCCCAAAAUAUAAUCGCAUUUGAAUCAAAUAAAAAACACACAAGUAAGGGUAACCUUUCUUUUGAAAGGAUGUUUUAAGGGUGGUGUCUACCUUCCCUUAAUCAUAACUAACCCCGUACCCGAAUCUCUGGGACCAGUGUCUAAUUUGGGAUUUCUAGUUCCCUCAAAUUACUAGAUGGCGACUCCAAUAAAAUCUUUGUUUCCCCCAAUUGAGAAAAAACCCUUUUUGUUAAAUAAACAAAAAAAGCGGGAGCCGUCGCCUGACGUCGUGUAUCGACAUAUGUUGUCCCACUGAGAAGACCUUUUUUGUUCUUUUGUGUGAAAAAAAAAACUAAAUAAACUAAUUAGAAAAUAAAAAAAAUUUGGGUCUGGUUCAAUUUCAGUUUUAAAAUUUUAAAACCGAUUGAACCAGAUGAAGUCAUAGAGUAGUCAUUAUUAUUAUAUUCCCAUUAUUAUUUAUUAUUCUAUAGAUUUUUCGAAGCUUUUGAAAAGAAAAAUUAACAUUGAUCAUUCAUUCACUUUUGAAAAAAAAUUCUUUUGCUUUUUUAUGUUGUUCCACUAAGAUGGCCUUUUUUUUUUCUUUUGUGAAUUAUGAUUUGACGUCAAACCAGGUGGAUUAUCAGUUGCAGCCACAAUUCACAAUUAUUUGAUGCAUAGCAAAAUAAUUAUUCAGAAUCACAGUACCUUGGCACUCCUUUCCAGCCAAUUUGAUAUAUUUUAAUAUAUUUCUAAAUAAAAAAGCUUUGAAUCUAUUAUAAUCUCAAUCAGGUCGAAAUCGAGAUGAAGGUUUACAAGGUCAAAGACAGCGAUCAAACACUCAUAAAUGCAAUGAACAGCUUGUUUUGGACUUCCCACGUAUACACCUGUUUUCUACCAUUAUAUCUGAAAAUGUCUUCAACAAAGCAUAUUCUCCUUCUUCUUCAUUUUUUAAAUGUUUUGAUAUGCAUAUUAAUUCAACAUUACAUAAGGCUUUUAUGAAUAAAAAGCCAUAAACAAAUGUGCAGCAGACAUCCAUCAAUGCAAGAAAUGCCCAUUUUCAAGAACUCUAAGCAACUCCUAUAUCAUUAUAAGAAGCACUGUCCAGUUGUUCUCAUGAAAUUAUUUUCCUCUAACCUCAUUAACAAUUCAUUGAGAAUCCCAAUAACUGAUUCAGUCACUUAAAAACCAGAACAAAACCCUCAAAUAUCAAAUCUUUAUAUGUUUCAAUAUCUAAAAAGAAGAAAAAGCAACAAUUUUCAAACUUUUUUCCUCUAUUUAAAAAAGGGGUAAAAAAGCAAUAUAGGUCAUGGAUUUCUUUUUCUUUUUUUGUUACAUGGAGAGUAGUUAGAUCUCAUUAACGCAAAUAAUUCAUCAAUCAUAAUCAAAACUCAAAACAAAGCAUGCAAGUAAACCAUGAAUAAUGUUGAUGGUAAAAAAAAAUGAUGUGUAAAUUGAGAUGGAGAGCUAAAUAUAUAAAAAGACCAAAAAAAACGGAGGAUGCUAUAUUCAUACAUCAAUCAAAGAAUGUGUGGAAACAAGUAAAAUAAUGGACAUCCAAAAGUGAAGUUUGAAAGUUAUGAAUUAAGAUUUUAUUUGUAUGUUUUUAUAAAAAUUCAAGAGAGAUCUAUAAGUUUAAAUUUUCAGGAAUAUAAAUAUGCAUCAAUAAAAACCUGUCAGGUCUGACGCUAGCUAGAUCUAGGUAUAUUGGGCUCGACAAUCUGUCAAGUCCCGGACAUGCUGGGUCUGACAGUGUGGAAUGGCUUUCAUUUCUUGAGCAUGCCCAAGAGAAUGAUCAUUGGGUCUAACUUAUGGGAAUAACUCAAUCUCUAUGAGCAUUAACUACAUUUGAUGUCCUAAACUCUAAUUUCCUUACAUCUUUUAGGUGUAUAAAAGUCUUCCAAGAACUCAUCAUAUUUCCAUCAAAUAUUAAUAUAGAUGUAAGAUAUAUUUAUCCUUUAUUAAAUGCUAUCGAGUCUCUUUAUAGAAGAACAAGACUCAUAUGCUAUAAAUACACAAUAAGACAUUCAGAACAGAGGUUCACAAUCUUUAUUUUCUACUACAUAUAUAAUUUCAGAGUAUUUUUUUCUAGAAUAUUUUUAUAUUUUUUUUUUAUAAAAAAAACAUACUUAUUUAAACAUCAGAUUUCAUCAUAAAUAUGUUCAUAGCAAAAAAUGAAAAAGAAAAAAAAAGCUGAUUCAGCAAAGCAAAUUAUUAAGGGUCUGUAUUUGCUUUCAUUAACUAAAAUAGCCAGAGAAACACAAUCCAUAUAUACAUGCCUGGAAUAAAAGAGGCACAAUGGAACAUGAAAGCCUUCUCUAAAAUGAGCAAACUAAGAUUGCUCAAAAUCGACAACGUGCAUCUUUCUGAAGGACCUAAAGAUCUUUCCAAUAAGCUACGAUUUCUUGAAUGGCAUUCUUACCCUUCAAAAUCAUUGCCAGCUGGUUUACAGGUGGAUGAGCUAGUUGAACUUCACAUGGCUAACAGUAGCAUUGAGCAAUUAUGGUAUGGGUGUAAGGUGAGAUCAACUAAUUUAAGGCCCUUUGUAUUUCUUUUUAUCGUUUUCCUAUAUAUAUAUGAUUGGCUAACAGUAUCCAUAUUUCUUCUCCCCUGCCUGAUUGCAGAGUGCAGUUAAUUUGAAAAUCAUUGUACUAACCCAAUUCUGGGUUAUUCCCUAAAAUUCAUUUUUUUUAAAAUAAAAACAAAAAAAAUAAAAUAAAAAAUAAAAGCUGGCAAUGUGGAGAAAGCUGAUCAAGAAAAAUAGGCAAAAUAGGCAAAAAUCAAUCUGCAAUUUUCAGAGGAAAUUCAAGGCCUUUCGGCGCCCCAUUGUGCCCAAAAUCGGAGAAAAAAAUGCAAAUUCAAGAUCAAAUUAAAUGAUUAUUGGACAAAUUUGCAUAAAAAUUAAGUCCAAUAACAUAAUUAAAUUUUUAAUAGGCCAAUUUGAUUUAAUCAUGGGUCAAAUUAAAUUUUAGUUAUGUUUAAGAAUUAAUUUAGGUCCAAAUGAAGGAUUUAAUUAAGUGCAAGUACUUAAUUAUACUUUAAAUGGGUCAAAUUAAUUUUAUUUGGGGCUUAAUUGGUGAAAAAUUAAGUUUGGGAGCCUAAUUUGGGCUUAAUGGAGAAGAUUGGAAUUUUAAGAGACCAAAUUUAAUUUUUACCAAGUUAAUUGAUUGAAAUCAGGGGUCAAAUUGCAAGAAAAUUGAAGUUUUGGGGCCAAUUAGGGGUUAAAUUGACAAAAUCCAAAGCCAAGGGCCAAUCUGCAAAAGGCGCCAAACUAUAGGGGUCUAAUUGACAAAAGCCAGGGGUCAAAUUGAAGAAAUUGAAAGCUGGAGGACUCAAUUGAAAAUCGGCAAAAAUCCCUAGCUUUUGAUCCAAAACGGCGCCGUUUUUGGUGUUUAAGAAAAAACAAAGAGGAGGAAGGGACCAGGCGACGCGUCGCCUGGUCACUGUUCAUCUUCUUCCCCACAAAACUGCCAGAGUAGCAGCUUUCCAGGCGCAUUUUCUACCUCGUUUGGCCUCCAAAUCCGACAACGCAUGCUCCAAAAUGUCCACCUCAAACCCCUUUAUCCUCGAGAAUGGUCCGGUCGGGUAGAAAAACUUUGAAACGGCUUCGUUUAUUGGCCCAAAGUGGCCACCUCGUUCAGUCUGCAGCCUUGGAUUGCCAAAUUUGGCAAUUCGAGGUGCACACUUUGAACCAACGGAUUGGAUUCCUCGAGUCGAAUCAAGGGCUGAGAAUUUUUCCCGUUGAAGACAAGAUUACCCUCUUUCCAGCCCUAUAAAUAGGAGCCAAUUUCAUGCUCAGGGGGAGGGGAAAAUUGAGCUCAAAAUUGGCAAAAAAUCAGCUUUUCCUGCCCGGUUUUCCUGCAACCAGCCUUCUCUUUUCUUUUUCUCUCCGCCGUGGCCUCCAGCCGCCACCACUGAUCUCGCCACCGUCCUUCCCAAGAAACACCACAUCCCAUCCAUCACCCAGCAACCUCACCACAGUCACAGUACCUCUCUUUCUCUCCCUCUCUUCUCUGCAAAAAUCUUAUCCUCUGCCACCGUGACUCCAACAGCGGCGGCGACAGCAGAGGUAGCAACCAUCUUGCCCAAAAGCUCUCUUCCACUCCUACCAGCAGCAGCCGGAGUAGCAGCUCCUUCCUCAGUCACACCAACAGCUCCAGCCGUGAGCUUUCCUUCUCCUCUGCAAGAAUCUGCUCCUUCUUCUUCCAGCCGGGACCAGUGCACGCCGUCGUCCUCGCCGCCUCCAGUCGCACCGCGCACCACCAGCUAGGCCGCCGACUCUCUCCACGCCAGGUAAUUCUCUCCUCCCCGCUCCACCCUUUUCAAAAACCUUUUUCCAACUAUUUUUUUUUUCAGGAUGCAGAUGUAGACUUUAAUAUUUGUGGGGUGUAAAAUUACACGAUAAAGUACACCCUCGGGUAUUAAACAUACAAGGUGUAAAUAAAUGCCAUCCUAAAAUUCAGACUUUAGAACGGUUAGGAUUUAACCCAAUAAGGUAGAGACUCCCUCACGAAGGGAGAUCUGCCUUGAACCUUAGAAAAGACCAACGAAUAGAAACUCGACCUAGAAAAACAAUCAAACAACAAUGCAGCUUACCUUAGGUAGGGUGCACUGGGGGUGAUGCAUCUUCCCCUUGCACAACCAGUCCCUUACUCAGACUCUCGCAGACCAUAGGUUCCUAGUGACCAUAAUACUAGGUGGCGACUCCAACGAACCAAGCAAAACACAAAUAAAAGAAAAAUCGCCAGCAGACGCCGCGCGGAUUUUCCGACGUGCGACAGAAUGGCGACUCCACUAGGGACGCCUUGUUUGGUCGGACUAAGCUUUGUUUGUUUGUUUAAUUAUCUGUUUUGGUCUGUUUAAAUGUACUGUUUCAGCACUUUUAUUUCUUGCUCAUACAUAAAUAAUGUGUUCAUGCUUUUUUAAAUUCUUGCAAGAUAACCCAACACUAGGAUAGGAGGGGAGUAGCGGUCUGCCCCAUGACUUUCAGUCGGGGUUCAGAUUCGCGAAACAUCCAACUAUGAGCUGAGUGUUUACUUGGUGAUAGCGGACACAUAGUGCCCGAACCUUCCCUUGUAAACCCCUAUACUGCCUUUACGUGAGGUGGUCACUGGGCAGUUCAUAUACCUUUUUGAGACCAGCUAGAAAACAUAUCCCUCGUAUAAUAACCUAGAUUUUUUUCUAAACUUUACAGGAUUUUUAUUGCUAAGACCAUGACUUCCCUUACCUUUUCGGAAUAUGGGGAAAGAUCUGAGAUGAUACAAGUAAUUGAAGGGGAUUGCCCAAGAACCAAGGUUGAGGAAUUACCACACAUAACCAAAGUGCAUUAUUCCGUAGACACCAUAAAGAAGUUGGCCUCUCUUCUGGGAUAUAUUGAUGAGAAUCUGUUUGAGAAGAAGUAUGGAAGAAUUGCUCAUCUAAUAAGAAUGCCUGUUCAGAUUUCAGCGGUCAAAGCCUUGAUGCAUUUCUGGGAUCCAAGCUACAGAUGUUUCACCUUUGGGGAUAUUGAUAUGACUCCUACUCUUGAGGAGUAUGCUCAGAUCUUAAGUUUUCCUAAUAGCCCCUACAAAGUAUACUUCAGACAAAGAAUUGAGAAUACAGUUACAGCAGUUGCCAAACUUCUACAUUUGGAUCAAGUUGAUCGGUACAGGAUACCCAAUGGAGGUUUCAAGUGGAAGAUGAUCGAGAAUAAAUUAAAGACAGAUAAGGAAGAAGGGAAGUUAGGAGAAGAAAGAUAUCAGAUAAUUGCUUUUGCCAUAUUUGGGUUGGUUCUGCUUCUUUCAGAAGCCGCCAGAAUUAUUAGCAUUGAAGUUGCUAAUGCCUUCCUCGAAUUUGAAGAGGUAAAGAAUAACCCUACUUCAGCUAUCUUAGCUGAAACCUUCCUAUCUCUAAACCAUUGCAGAUUACAUGGGAAAGGGGCGAUGCAAUGCUGUAUCCCUCUCUUAUUCAUGUGGAUAGUAAUCCAUUUGGAAGCAUCAAAAGAAGUCUUCAAUAAUUCUUGGUGGUUUAACAUGAGGCCUCUUGAGUUGGUGCUAGCUGAAGAAUGGAAUGAUUUGGAUGAAAAGGAAUGGGUAGAAAAAUACCGAGAACUUCCCAAAACUAAUUUCAGAUGGAAAGCUCCUUGGGUAAGUGGUUCAUCUUACCUCAUGAGUUGUGGCGACAAGGCAUGGGUUCCUUUGAUUGGCUUAACUGGAUAUAUCAGCUACUCACCCUCAUUAGUAGCUAGACAGUUUGGAGGAGUACAACACGUGCCAAGAACUUGGGCGGUGGCCGAAUAUACCGGUCUGUUUAAAGAAGCUAGCUCUUUGGAUAUGUUAGACGCCAUCAGAAAUGACUGGAAGCAGCCUGUUUUGGUCUCUAAGGAAGAGCAUAAAAAAGAGUUCUCUGUUAGCCCUGCAUAUUCAAUAUGGGGGAGUGGCAGUUCAUCUAAGAUACUUCAAAAAGCAAAAAAGCAAAGAAAAGCCUAAGAUAAGUCGUCUGUGACGUUCGAGCUGAAAAGAAAAAGGGUCAACAAUGAGGAAGACCUCCGAGAAGAGUUGGAUAAGCUGAGGAUUGAGCUCGGUAAUAGUAAAAAUCAUCAAAGAUUCCUGGAAGACCAACUUUUGAAAGAAGAAGAGAUGAAGGCCUCUCUGGAUCAACAGUUGAAGGAAAGAGAUGAGCAGAUUGUUAAGCUAAAGAAGAGCCAGCAUGAAGCAAAUCAGCAACUGAAUGAGGGGAAGGCCAAGAAUGACGAGUUGGUAAAAAAGAAUGACGAGUUGGUAAAAAAGCAUGUAAUGGUGGAGCAUGAAUUGGCGAGUCUAAAAAAGGCCUCGGAAAGUAGAAAGUCUGCCGACAAAGAAACAAUAGCUUUUCUGAAGAAAGAAAGGGACCGGUAUAAAUUAAAAUGGGAGGCUGAAAAAGAGAAGAAUAGAUUGGCUGAUCUCGCCAUUGAAGAAGAAAAAAGGGUAAGGACUCGAUAUCAGAUGCAGGCUGAAGAUGAGAGAGAAGCAAGAAGGGUAGCUGAGAUAGAGAUGAAGGGAUACCUGGAUAAGAUAAAUGGUAUGAGAAACCGAGUGUCUGUGAUACAAGCCGAGCUUGAGUCCCGAGAGGAAGAAGCAAAGGAAAUCAAGACUAGAUCAUCAGUUUUGAUGCACAACUAAACACUAAGGUAGCCGAGCUUGAUGUAGAGAAGGAAGAAUUGCAAAGGGCCAGAAAUCAGAUUCAACAGUUGGAAAAGGUGGUUCGAAUUUUGGAGACAAACAAUGAAACAUUAGCCGCCAGCAAUGGAACAUUGCUUCAAGAUAACACCGUGUUCCAUUACAAGAUUGAACAAACUGACAAGUUAAUCGACAUGGUGGCUAGAAAGGCAAAUGAGCUACGAGCAAAGGCUACCAGGAUUGCCAACAACCGCCAUAGAUACGAGGAAUAUUUGAAUGAAGUUUCCUCUUUCAUCAGGAUUGUGGCCAAUAGAGGGAUAUCAUUUGAAUGAAGACACUUUGUAUGAACCACUUUGUACUAUGUCUACUUUUGGAACUUUCAUAAUGUGUACGAAAUUUAAUCAAUCAAUGGAAUUGGGUAAAACCUCUUUGUGAGUAUCAGAUUUCGGAUGUUACCUGUAUUUGGCGAAGGAAGUCAUGGAUUAGCUCUUUAAAUCCAUAUACAUGCAUUUGCAUUCAUGUUUAUACAUUCAUUCAUUAUAACACACAUGCAUACACCAGGUCAAAAUAUAGGUCCCCAAAGAACUUACCACACCCGACUUCGAGCAAGGAACAUGGAAGAUGAAGCACGUGCUUACCGUGAGGCUCAUUUCCAAGAAGAGUUGGACUCUUUAAAGGACAGUGUGGCUCGCCUCACCGGCUUACUCGAGCAAGUACUAAGGAAUACCUCGGGUGAAGGUCCUUCAACUAGGCCUGCUCCUCUCCCAACAAACCAACCUGAAGAGGUAAUGGGAGAACAUGUGCAGGAACCCCAACACAAUCCAGUUUUCAUGCAGUCGCCAACACCCGUACCACCUGUACCAACACCAGUACUGUUGUAACCCAUUUUUGGGUCCCCACAAAAUAUAUAUAUAAAUAUGUAUAUAGCCAAAGGAGGUUAAGAAAAAAUAACAGGAGGCAGAAGCGCUCAGAAAAUGGUUGGAAAAUCGAUCAAUAAGGUUAAAAAUACAAAGAUUGGAUUUUUGACAGUAUAUUCUUGAAGGAGGAGAGCCCUGUUGAGAAGGAAAAUUUGAAAUUUGAGGAGAAAAGCCCAAAUUUGGAUGUUUAUGGACUUAAUUUGAUUUUUAAAUGAAUUUAUAGAGGAUUUGAUUGCAAGAAAAAUUGAUUUUUAAGUCAAUUUGGGCUUUAAUUAGAAGAAAUUUAAGUUCUGGGGCCAAAAUAUAUUUUUUAGGAAUUUAUUAGGUCAAAUCAGGGGCCUAAUUGCAUAAAUAUUGAAGUUUAAGGGCCAAUUAGGGACUUAAUUGAGAAAAUCCGAAACCAGGGACCAAAUUGGAAGAGGCGCGUAAAUGGAGGGGCUGGAAUUAAUUGAUUCAGGGGCCUAAUUGAAGAAAUUAGAAGUUUUUUGAUCAAUUAAGGGCUCAAUUGCAUAAAUCAGACACCAAGGACUAAAGUGAAAAACGCGGCCAACAAGAGGGACGAAGACCGAAAUUGGCAGGGAUGCAAUUGAAGAAAGAGAAGAUGAUUGAGGGCUGAUUUGAAAUUUGGCGCGUUUUGGCGCCACAUUUAAAUGAAACGGCGCGUUUUCUCCAAAACGACGCCGUUUCAUACAUUCAAAAAAAAAAAAAAAAAAAAGAGCAGAACGGUGUCGUUUUGAAACGACACUGUUCAUCUUCUUCCCCCGAUCACGCAGCGGGGAAGAAGGAGAAAGGGAAGCUUUAAUUUGAAUUUUGCCGGCCACUCUCUCGCCUGGAGCCCACCGACCGGACACAAUGGCCGACCAUCCACCGCGCACCACCCACCGAACCUCGGCAGCCGCGCCCAAUGGCCGACCAGCCGGUUGCUCCCCCAUGAGAGCUGUAAAAAACAGCGUCCUUGGCCUCUAUAAAUAGAGGCCAAGAACGCUGAGAGNNNNNNNNNNNNNNNNNNNNNNNNNNNNNNNNNNNNNNNNNNNNNNNNNNNNNNNNNNNNNNNNNNNNNNNNNNNNNNNNNNNNNNNNNNNNNNNNNNNNNNNNNNNNNNNNNNNNNNNNNNNNNNNNNNNNNNNNNNNNNNNNNNNNNNNNNNNNNNNNNNNNNNNNNNNNNNNNNNNNNNNNNNNNNNNNNNNNNNNNNNNNNNNNNNNNNNNNNNNNNNNNNNNNNNNNNNNNNNNNNNNNNNNNNNNNNNNNNNNNNNNNNNNNNNNNNNNNNNNNNNNNNNNNNNNNNNNNNNNNNNNNNNNNNNNNNNNNNNNNNNNNNNNNNNNNNNNNNNNNNNNNNNNNNNNNNNNNNNNNNNNNNNNNNNNNNNNNNNNNNNNNNNNNNNNNNNNNNNNNNNNNNNNNNNNNNNNNNNNNNNNNNNNNNNNNNNNNNNNNNNNNNNNNNNNNNNNNNNNNNNNNNNNNNNNNNNNNNNNNNNNNNNNNNNNNNNNNNNNNNNNNNNNNNNNNNNNNNNNNNNNNNNNNNNNNNNNNNNNNNNNNNNNNNNNNNNNNNNNNNNNNCAUGCAGAACGAAUAGCGUUCUGCAUGCAGGGGCGGGGGAGAAAUUAAUUCUCCCCCCGCCCGUUUUGUUGCUGGGCCAGGCGGGUCCUGGCCCAGCCCAGUCUUCUGGGCCGGGUUUGGCCCAGAAGAGAAUUUUUUUUUGGGCCGAGAUCGGCCCAAUAUUUUUUGGGCCGACCUCGGCCCAUCAUUGUCUAGACCAGUCUUCUGGGCCGGGCCUGGCCCAGAAAAGAUUUUUUGGGCCGAGAUCGGCCCAAUACAUUUUUGGGCCGACCUCGGCCCAUCAUGGUUUUGGGCUGAGUCCGGCCCAGUGGUUUGGGCCGGCCCAGCCCGAUUUAAUAUUUAUUAUAUAUAUAUAUAUUAUAUUUUGUAUUAUUUAUAUAUAUAUAUUUAUAUAUAUGAAAAACAUUAUAAAAAAUUGCAAAAAUUAUAGAAAAAUAUAUGUGAUUUUGUUGUAAUUUUAUUAUUAUAUUUUGAUUAAUAUUGGUUGGUAUUUUAUUUUGUAAAGAUACAAAACUCGGUAUUAAAAUACCCGGUUUUCAUCAAAACAUCAAAGAUUUUCAAAACAAAAAAUGUCUUUUGCUUUCAAAAAUUUUCUAAAAAAUAUCUUUGAAAAUAUUGUUGAUUUUUCGGCAUUUAUUUUAUCAAAGUGGAUUAAUAUUUGGUUGUAUUUUUUACAAACCCAGUAUUAAAAUACCCGAUUUGCGUCAAAGCGUACAAAAAUACAUAUUUUUUUUUUUAAAAAAAAAUGUUUUGUUUUAAAAUACGGCCUAGUCUCUCCAAUAUAUAUAUAUAAAUAUUAUAACAUCAUAUUUUCACAACAAAAGAAAUUUCAAAACAAUAUAUGUAUUAGCAUGCAUUUUGGCUUUAAUAACCAGUUUAUUCAAGUCAUGAGAACUAGGCCAAUAUUUCAAAAAUUCUAAAAAAAAUCUUUUUGUCCUUGGGAUUACUAAUUUUUACAUAAAACGUUUUCCUGAUAUUAAAAAUGUUUUUUUUUACAUAGACAUUAGAACGGUUAGGUUUUACCCGAUAAGAUAAGGACCUCCUUAUUGAGGAGGACUUUUCUUGAACCAUAGACGGACCAACAACUAGGAAACACAACGAAACCUUAAAUUUUAUCAGACAAUAAAAUGAUGCAGCUUACCUUAGGUAGGGCGUAUUUGGGGUGCUAAUACCUUCCCUUUACGCAACCAGUCCCCGUACCCGAUCUCUGAGACCAGUUAGGGUUCCUAGUGACCAAAAUACUAGGUGGCGACUCCCACACCAUUUUUCACUGCUAAGAGACAACGAAUUCCUUGUCUCCCCACAUUGACCAGAUAUAUAUAUCCCCCAUCCCUUUUAUUUUAUUUUUUGUGGGUGGACGAUCGCCGCGACGUCGCUCACGUGCGACAGAAUGGCGACUCCACUGGGGACCUUGUGGAUUAAGCUUUGUUUUUGUCUGAUUUGUUUUUGUUUUCGUGUGUUCAUUGUUAAUAUGCCUUUCCUUUUGUUACCUGCUUAUACGCUUUAAAUAUUUUUACACAUAUUAUUCAUGCAUGUAUAGAACUGUCUCAUACAUCUUAUAGAACUGUCACAUGCAUCACAUACUUUGAUGAUUGAGAGCACACACAAACUUUAAGUUAAGUGGGGGACUAGCAGCUUACCUUACGACUGUUAGUCAAGGUUUAAGUUUGUGUAAACCCCAACUCUUCGCUGAGUGCUUAGACUGGUAAUAGUUGGUACAUGUGACCAUCUCAUUGCCUACAAGCCCCCAUAUUGCCUCCACGAGGGCAAUCACUGGGACAGCAAGAGACCCUUUUUAGAGACUGAAUAGCCAACCUACCCUCGUCAAACACAAAAGAUUUAGAACCAGGCUAUAGGGUGUAUGCCCCCACAAAAUACAUUCUUGCAUAACACAACCUAAACCAUAAAGUAUUUGGUUUUCAGGUCAUUUUGAAACGAUAAGAUGGCCAUCAUUACCAAAUUUACUACUGUGGAAUAUGGGCAGAAUUCUGAAUUGUCACAACUAUCAGAGGGAGAUUGCUCUAGAUAUGAUGCAAGGAAGCUUCCAGUAGUCAAAGACCUGAAUUGCGUAGUAUACGAGAUGAAGAGAAUAUUGGGCCAUAGUCAGAAUAUUGAUGAGGCAGCAUUUUUUGGGAAGUAUGGGCGAUUAUUGGAAAUUGCAAAGAUAGGAGUAUUGAAUCCAGCAAUUAAAGCUUUGAUUAACUUUUGGGAUCCCGAUUACAGAUGCUUUUCUUUCGGAAAUGUGGAUUUGUGUCCCACUAUAGAGGAAUAUGGAAUGUUGAUGGAGUUUCCCAAACACCUGCACCAAGUUUAUUUUCCUUUGAGAAAUGACAAGGUGAUUCCUGAGUUGUCGAAAUUAUUGAAGAUUCCACAUCUGAGCAGAUUUUUGGAGAAGAAUGGCAGCGGUUUAAAGUGGAAAUUUUUGGAGGUUGAACUAGAAAAGAAAAAGGAGCAAUACGCCUCAGUGGUAGAAAGAGACAGGUUAAUCGCUCUAGGGAUCUAUGGUCUCGUGUUAUUUCCAAGCUUAAAAGGGGUUAUAAGUCUAGAAGCUGCUGCUGCAUUCGUGGAAUAUGAAAGUACUCAUGUCAACCCUACAACUGCCAUAUUAGCUGAGACCUUGCUGACCCUCAACCAUUUUAGAAAAACAGGGAAAGGCGCAGUAAGAUGUUGUACUCAGUUAUUAUACAUCUGGAUGGUAAGCCAUGUUGAAACCAAGAAGCCGAUCUUUAAUAAUUUUUGGUGGUUUAACCAAAAACCUUUGAAGAUAGUAGAGGAAGAAGAAUGGGGAAUCCUAGGUGAUCAGGGUUGGAUGAAAAAACUCCAAGAGUUACCUAGUAGCAACUUUAGUUGGAAGGCCCCUUGGGUUAAAUCAGUUGAUGUCAUAGUAAGUUGUGGACAAAAAUGCUGGGUACCUUUAAUUGGGAUCACAGGUUAUGUCAGCUACGCUCCGGCUUUGGUGAUAAGACAAUUAUGUGGCAUACAACACAUCCCAAGAACUGUGGGACUUGCUGAAUUUUCCGGAUUUUUCAAGGAUCAAUCCGCGCGAGAAGUUCUUGAAACCAUCAAACAAGAUUGGAGCCAGUUGACUCUAAUUCAAAAGGAGUCAGAAAGUUUGAGAGACCCUAGCUCAAGUGAAGGAUAUGAAAAGUGGAGGAAUUUGACCCCGAUUGCCAUUCCGAAAAAGCCAUGUUCUGCAGAUGGGCCUUCACGAAUUGAAGAAGGGUCUUUGAAAAGAAAAAAGGUCAGUAAUGAAGAAGACCUUAUGGAGCAAAUAGAAAGGCUACAAAUAGAAUUGGGAAAGAGUAAGGGAGAUAAAGCAGCAUUAGAAAGGAUGAUGAUGGAAGGAGAUAAAAGCAGAGUGUUUCUAAACGAACAGCUCGAAUCCAAAGAUGCGAAAAUCGGGAUGUUGGAGCUGCAAUUGAGCAAAGGAAAGGCUGUAAUAGAGGAGUCUGAGAAAGAAAGAGGAAGACUGAUUUUGGAUUUUAUGCAAAGCAGCUCUGAGUUGGAAGCAUUGAAAGCCGACUUCGAUGGCUAUCAAGAGAAUGUUGAGUACAAUCAGGACAAAUUCUUGCAUGUUAAAGCAGAGUUGUUAGACCGAAUUGAGAAGUAUGAUGAGUUAAACAAGAAAUAUAUGAUGAUAGAAAGUCGGCUAACUGAAUUACAAGAGUUCGAAAGAAAGGGGAAUGAAGAGGAGGUUUUGAAGGCAGAUUUGGCAGUUAAGAAAAUUGAAAUUAGAAUGUUGAAGGUGAAGUUUGACAAAGAACGAGAAAAGGUGAAACAGUUGACCAACAGGUUGGAAGUUUCAGAAAAACAUAAAGAACAGAUCGACACCAACAACAAUACUUUGAAUCGGAACAACAUGGUGCUUAUAGAGAAGAUGGCCAAGGUAGAUGAGCAAAUGGAUGAAGCUGCCAUUCACGCACGAAUUAUUAGAGCCAAUGCUCGAAGGGUGGGAAGGGACAUCCUUCGUUAUCGACAAAGCUUGGCUGAGACAGAUGCCUUUUUAGAGAAAAUUGAGAAUCGAGGCCUCGCUUUCCUACCAGUGGCUAGAGAUAUGGAUGAAGAAGAAGAUUGAUGUAUUUAUCUUUUUAUUAUUUUGUACCCUCUCUUCAAGAGAUGUAUUAGCCAAUAUUAAUGAAAAGGGGCUUUGACCCAUCUUUUAUAAAUAUAAGCCUACCAAAGCAGCAGCUUGAGCACAACUACUCCUGAUAAGGAACGUGACAAAAAGAGUCCAUGCCCAUUACACAAGAGGAAUGUUGGCCAUCGAUCGUUUUUUUUAAAAAAAAAACAAGUUUCUAAGAGUAUUCAUGCAUUGUUUAUUUAUCACACAUUCAUUUACAUUUUUUUCAUGCAUCCCAGACCGUGAAACAUAGGUCCCACAUCCAAAAUCCACAACACCCGGUCUCGAGCGAGAAUGGAGAACGAAGAAAGAGCUCACUUAGAGUCACAUUAUCAGACCGAGUUGGAGUCUGUAAAGAAUGAAGUUUCUCGGCUAACCGACUUACUUGAGCAGCUUCUAAGGGCUAAGAAUGGGGAGGGAACAUCAGCACGACAGCUUGAAGGAGCGCCAGCAGUUCACAUUCCUCAAGCAUCUCAAAACCAGGGGGCAAACUCGGCCAAUGAACAACAGUUUGUGCCUAUUACUCCUAGCCUACCACCUCAUACUCCAGUCACUGUUGACCUAACAACGGAGGGAGUCCCGGAUAAUAGGUCUCCCAGUUUGAUAGACCAAGACAAGCUGUUUGCUCUGGAAGAAAGAUUAAGGGCAGUUGAGGGUAAUGACUGGUUUGACCCUAUGCGAGCAGCCGAAGUAUGUUUGGUACCAAACAUCGUGGUACCAAAAGAUUUUCGCAUACCAGAGUUCAUUAAGUAUACCGGUUUGGAAUGCCCAAACACUCACCUUCGAUCCUACUGCAACAAAAUGGCGGAAGUAAUCCGUGAUGAUAAAAUGCUAAUCUAUUUCUUUCAAGAUAGCCUAGCAGGAUCCGCUUUAAGCUGGUACAUGAGGUUAGACAGCAUCAGGAUCAAGAGCUGGAGAGACUUGGUGGAGGCUUUCCUCAAACAGUACAAGUUUAACAUGGAAAUCGCUCCUGAUCGAACAAGUUUAAUGGCAAUGGAGAAAAGAAGCCAGGAGUCAGUAAGGGCUUAUGCGCAAAGAUGGAGGGAUGAGGCAAUGCAUGUCCAACCCCCUUUGAUAGAAACGGAGAUGGUGAGCUUGUUUGCCAAUACCUUCAAAGCACCUUAUUAUGAGCACCUAAUGGGUAGCUCCUCUCAACAUUUCUAUGAUGCGGUACGCAUAGCUGAGAGGAUAGAACAGGGGAUCAAAGCUGGGCGAAUAGCAAUGCCAGUGGAAAAGAAGGGCUUUAUUGGAAGAAAGAGAGAAGGCGAUGUUAACAAUUUGGAGGACGGGUAUAAGGGCAAGAAAGUAGAUUCCCACAAUCCACAAGUACCUACCUCUCAAUUCUCACGCAUAAACUUUAACCAAUCUUUUUCGCCUAAUCGAACAAAUAACCAAUCAAACUACCAAAAUCACUACCAAAGACCCCAUACGAGAUACCCUUCGGAACAACUACCACCGCUACCCAUGCCUUUGAAGGACAUGUAUGCCAAACUGUUGAGCAUUGGGCACAUAGCUCCUAUCCCUACACUACCAUUACAACCACCAUUCCCAAUUUGGUACAAGCCCGAGUUAACUUGUGAGUACCAUGCGGGUAAUCCUGGGCAUGGGAUUGAAACCUGUUACGCUUUCAAGAAAAGAUUGAUGGAGCUUAUUAAGAUAGGAUGGGUAUCCUUUGAAGACAAGCCCAAUGUUAAUUCAAACCCGUUGCCUAAACAUGCCUCAAGUAGUAGUGGAAUAGGCAUGAUAGAAGUUGGAAAUCAAUGCAAGGUGUUGAAGGUGUCUAUGGAAAAGAUGUACUACAUGUUAGUACGAUCAGGAUUUCUAGAGGCAAAUAUGGAAGGCCAUUCGGAGGGAGGUAGUUAUUGUGAGUUCCAUGGCAGAGAUGGACACUAUAUUGAGGAUUGCAUCGAGUUUUGCGAAAAGAUUGCAAAAAUGUUAAAAAUGAGGCAAUUAAGAAUUGAACCCAUGGAGAACAGGGGUGAGGUGAGUAUGAUAGAAGAUCAGAUGGAGAUGACAGGAGUAUGCAGGGUCCAACAAACAGCUAAUGGUCCCCCAAGGCUAAUCUUGGUUAAACCAUCCUACACAAAAGGGAAUCACAAUGCCAUGCCUUAUAAUUAUGGUUAUGCCUCCAACGUUCAAGCUCCUCUUCCUUUGUCCCAGACUGAGAUAAGUGGGUUGACCAGGAGUGGUCGUUGCUUUACUUCCGAGGAGUUGAGGAAGGAAAAGGGUAAAGAAGUGGUAGAUCUUGACAAAGCACUAGAAGUUAAUAAGCCGGUAACAGAAGAAGAGUCGAAUGAAUUCCUGAAGUUGAUCAAGCAUAGUGAAUAUUGCAUAGUUGAUCAACUAAAGAAGACUCCAGCUAGGAUCUCCCUUAUGUCCUUGAUACUCAGCUCUGAGCCGCAUCGAAACGCCUUGCAAAAGGUAUUGAAUGAGGCAUAUGUACCCCAAGACAUUGAGCAUAAAACCAUGGAGCAUCUAGUGGGGAGGAUCCAUGCAACUAAUUACCUAUACUUCACAGCAGAUGAGCUCGAUACUGAAGGUACCGGACAUAACAAGCCCUUAUACAUUACGGUUACGUGCAAGGACUGCCUCAUAGGAAAAGUACUCAUUGAUAACGGCUCGGCCUUUAAUGUGUUGCCAAAGCACAUGUUGGAAGAAAUGCCGAUCGAUGAAUCCCAUAUAAAGCCAAGUACUAUGAUGGCCAGAGCGUAUGAUGGCUCACCUAGGCCAAUAAUUGGGACUCUAGAAGUGGAGCUAUAUGUGGGACCACAAAUGUUCCUAGUAACACUUCAAGUUAUGGAUAUUCAUCCUUCCUAUAGUAUGUUGUUAGGAAGACCUUGGAUUCAUGCAGCGGGGGCAGUAGCUUCAUCAUUGCACCAAUGCCUGAAGUAUAUCAUGAAUGGGAUGUUGGUAACUGUCAAGGCUGAGGAGACAGUAUCCAUGAUAAAGAAUGUAGCUGUGCCUUUUAUCGAAGCGAAUGAUUGCAAGGAUAACAAUAUCCAUGCCUUUGAAAUUGUGAACACUGACUGGGUGCCGGAGAACACAGUGCUAAGAAGGCCAAGGAUCUCAGAAGCAGCAAGGAUGGCAAGUCUAUGCCUUUUGAACCGCGGGAUCCCAUUUCAGUAUAACUUUAUUAUCAGGAUACCGAAGGGGUUAAUCUGGCAAGGAUGAAAAGUGUUGCUCAAAGAUUUGGGUUAGGAUACCAACCUAACCAAGAAGAUUAUCGGUGGGCUGCUGGUCGGAGAAGGGCAAGAAGGAUGGCUAGAAUUAAAGGAAGAGAGCCUGAUGAAGAAAAGCUAGAAAUCCCUCCCCUUAGCAUGUCAUUCCCAAAAGCUGCAUACAUAAUGCAAAAUGAUAAAGAAGCCGAAAGCCUUAAUCAAGAGCUGUCAAACAUGAGCAUAAAUACCUUGGGGGAAAACAAGGUGGAAGAAGAUGACAUGAAGACAGUAGCAAGAAAGGGAGAUGAAGCACUCCCACAACUGACGGUCUACACCAUAGAAGAGGUCUCCGCCAAGACCUUUGUGCGCAAGUUGGCUCAAGACGAGAAGUUUCAGAAUUGGGUGACCCAAGAAGCUCCAGUGGUUUUCAAAAUGUAAACCAAUUUUGUUUAUCUUAACAUGCUUUUGUCAUUGCUUUGUUUGGUUUUCAUUUAUUUUCGCUAGUCGACAAUCAAGGCUCAAUUGUCGGUUAGACUUUAUGUUUGUCAUGGAGCCCACUUUUUCUUUAAAUAAUUGUGAGAUCAUGCACUUUCCACAAAUUGCUUUCUUUUUUAUGCAUUUACACCAAACACUUCCCGCUUUCAGGAAUCCUGAAAGCGGAUCUCCAACAACAUCACAUAUAUUUAGCAUCAAGAAUAAAUGGCCAAACUUGAACGAGCAUGUGAUAGCUAUGGAAGAAGAAGAAUGGGAUGAAAGCAAUAUUAGUGAAUUCACCAGGCUAGUAGAACAACAGGAACAGACUUGGAAGCCUAUCGCCGAGGAACUCGAAACCAUCAAUGUGGGUAGUGAUCAGCUCAAGAAAGAGUUGAAAAUAGGUACCUUAGUUACUUCUGAACAAAGGACAAAAAUGAUCGCCCUGUUACAAGAAUAUGCAGAUGUCUUUGCUUGGUCUUAUGAAGAUAUGCCUGGUUUGGAUACAAAUAUUGUAGUACACAAGAUACCGUUGGAAGAAGGCUGUAAGCCAAUCAAGCAGAAGCUGAGGAGGGCCCACCCGGAUGUCUGGAUCAAGGUCAAGGCAGAACUCGAGAAGCAAUGGGAUGCUGGCUUUCUAGAAGUAGUUAGAUAUCCACAAUGGGUAUCUAACAUUGUUGUGGUACCUAAGAAGGAGGGGAAGAUUAGAGUAUGCGUGGAUUUUCGGAAUUUGAAUAAAGCUAGCCCCAAGGAUGAUUUUCCUCUACCACACAUAGAUGUUUUAGUGGACAAUGCUGCCCGGAGUUCCACAUAUUCCUUUAUGGAUGGUUUUUCAGGAUACAACCAGAUAAAAAUGGCUCCGGAGGAUAAGACGAAAACAACUUUUGUUACACCGUGGGGGACAUUCUGCUAUAAGGUCAUGCCAUUUGGAUUGAAGAAUGCAGGAGCAACCUAUCAAAGAGCAAUGGUGACUUUGUUCCACGACAUGAUGCACAAGGAAAUUGAGGUGUAUGUAGACGACAUGAUUGCCAAGUCUAAAAGAGGAGAGGAUCAUGUUGAAGUUUUGAGGAAGUUGUUUGAGAGAUUGAGGAAGUAUGAAUUAAGGCUCAAUCCUGCCAAAUGUUCAUUUGGAGUUAAAUCGGGUAAGCUGUUAGGUUUUGUGGUAAGUGAUAGAGGUAUAGAGGUGGAUCCAGAUAAAGUAAGGGCCAUCCAAGCUAUGUCAUCCCCUAAGACGGAGAAGGAAGUAAGAGGAUUCUUGGGAAGGAUAAACUACAUUGCUCGGUUCAUAGCUCAGUUAACAACGACGUGUGAACCAAUAUUCCGACUACUAAGGAAAAAGAAUCCUGGAACCUGGAAUGAGGAGUGUGAGGAGGCAUUCAAUAAAAUCAAGCAUUAUUUGCAAAAUCCACCUUUACUGGUCCCUCCGGUAUCGGGAAAACCUCUAGUAUUGUAUCUAACAGUGACUGAAGCAGCUAUGGGAUGUGUAUUGGGUCAGCAUGAUGAAACCGGAAGGAAGGAAAGAGCUAUUUAUUACUUAAGUAAGAAAUUCACUGAAUGUGAGUCUAGAUACACGGAGAUAGAAAGGCUUUGUUGUGCGUUGGUGUGGGCAGCAAAGAGGUUGCGGCAUUAUAUGUUAUACUAUACCACUUGGUUGAUUUCAAAAGUGGAUCCUCUGAGGUAUAUUUGUAACAAGCCAUUUCUCUCAAGUCGAAUUGCAAGGUGGCAAGUUCUAUUGGCAGAAUAUGACAUAGUAUACAUGACAAGGAAAGCCAUAAAAGGAAGUGCAAUCGCGGACCAUCUGGCUGAUAAUGCUGUUGAAGAUUACGAACCCUUGGAUUUUGACUUCCCUGAUGAAGAUAUAUUGUCAAUAGAGAAAGAAGAAGAGCAGACAGAUUGGUGGACAAUGUUUUUUGAUGGUGCAGUGAACGUAUAUGGUAACGAGGCCGGCGCGGUAAUAAUCUCUCCUGAUAAGAAACAGUAUCCAGUUUCGGUUAAACUACAUUUCGAGUGCACCAACAAUACAGCUGAGUAUGAAGCUUGUAUCCUUGGUCUAGAAGCGGCAUUAGAGCUGAAGAUAAAGAAGUUAGAUGUGUACGGAGAUUCAAUGUUGAUUAUCUGUCAGGUUAAGGGGGAAUGGCAGACCAAAGAGGAAAAGUUGAGGCCGUACCAGGAAUACCUGUCCACGCUAGCGAAGGAAUUUGAAGAAAUUAGAUUCACCCACCUGGGAAGAGAAGGGAACCAUUUUGCAGAUGCUUUGGCCACGCUAGCAGCUAUGACUACCAUUGAUCUCAAGUGCAAGGUACAACCGGUACACAUUGACAUUAGAAAUGACCCAGCUCACUGUUGUUUAGUUGAAGGAGAGAUAGACGGACAGCCUUGGUAUUAUGAUAUCAAGAACCUUGUGCAAAAUCAGGAAUAUCCAGUGGGAGCCUCCAAAACGGAUAAGAAAACCUUGAGAAGGUUGGCUACAGAUUUUUAUUUAGAUGGAGAGAUUCUGUACAAAAGAUCAUUUGAUGGAACCUUGCUAAGGUGUUUGAAUGAGGCAGAUGCUAGAAAGGCAUUACGGGAGGUCCAUGAGGGGAUUUGCUCAACCCAUGCUAGCGGGCAUAUGAUAGCAAGGAAAAUCCAAAGGGCUGGUUAUUUUUGGAUGACACUAGAGAAAGACUGCAUCGACUAUGUCAGGAAAUGUCACAAGUGUCAAGUUUACAGUGAUAAGGUCAAUAUGCCACCAGCUCCUCUAUUUAAUCUGAUAUCUCCUUGGCCAUUUGCAAUGUGGGGAAUCGAUGUAAUUGGUCCGGUUAACCCAAAAGCUAGCAAUGGGCAUAGAUUCAUCCUUGUGGCUAUUGACUACUUCACCAAAUGGGUGGAAGCUAAUUCGUAUGCCCAUGUAACACAGAACGUAGUNNNNNNNNNNNNNNNNNNNNNNNNNNNNNNNNNNNNNNNNNNNNNNNNNNNNNNNNNNNNNNNNNNNNNNNNNNNNNNNNNNNNNNNNNNNNNNNNNNNNUGACCGAUAAUGCACACAAAUUCAAUGCCAAAAUGAUAGUGGAGCUGUGUACUAAAUGGAAAAUCAAGCAUUCGAAUUCCUCACCAUACCGACCAAAAAUGAAUGGCGCAGUAGAAGCCGCCAACAAGAACAUCAAAAAGAUUAUUCAGAAAAUGGUAGUCACAUAUAGAGAUUGGCAUGAGAUGUUGUCAUUCGCUCUUCACGCAUACCGCACUACAGUGAGGACCUCGACAGGAACUACUCCAUAUUCUUUGGUGUACGGUAUGGAAGCAGUGAUGCCUUUGGAAGUAGAAAUCCCGUCGUUAAGAGUAUUGAUGGACUCCGAAUUAGAAGAGGCCGAGUGGGCCAAAGUGAGAUAUGAGCAACUGAACCUGAUCAGUGAAAAGAGGAUGGCCGCAAUAUGUCAUCACCAACUGUACCAGAAACGAAUGGCCAAGGCAUAUGAUAAGAAGGUUAGACCGCGGUUGUUUCAAGAAGGGGAUCUAGUAUUGAAGAAAAUAUUGUCACUACCUGGAGACGAUCAAAGCAAAUGGGCACCGAAUUAUGAAGGUCCUUACAUAGUAAAGAAGGCAUUCUCAGGAGGAGCACUGAAGUUGGCUAGAAUGGAUGGAGAAGACCUAGCUCGACCUGUGAAUUCUGACUCUGUAAAAAGAUAUUAUGCUUGAUGUAGGCUCCUAAAUCAAUAAAGCAAAGUUUGGCCAUUGACUUCUUUCUCUUUUGCAUUGAUCUCACAACAGUCAUUUUUACAUUAAUCCCAACAGUGCAUGUUUUGUUUUAUCUCAUUUAAAAAGUGUAGCGUCGGCUGAACGAAUUUCUUCUCUCUAUAAAAGCCUAGACUAGAAUCACACCCCUACACUGGGGGCAAUAAGAGAUAUUUUCAUGUACGAAAGCCUAUAGAUUUUGAAAACCAAGCUAAAACAUUUGACAAAAGCAUGACAAAGAGGCAAUGACAAGUCAUAUAUUUUGGAAAAAGGACUAUUUGAAGAAAGUCAGAGAUUUCUUCUCCAAGAAUAUGAUCGGAGGCAACACGAGAGAGGAAUCCAGCAUACGACUUCAAAAGCAAGCUCAUGAUAAGAUGGAAUCUCAUGAACUCGAAGAAGAGGAUGGGGCCUAUGUUUCAAAACCAGGUACGAAUGCAUGCAUGGCAUUUAAUCAUAAAUCAUUGCAUAUAUGUUUUUUUGGGAUCGUUACAGGAGGAGACCUUAAUACAUUCCAACAAAAUUGAAGACGAAGAAAAAAUCAUUGAGUUGAUUCUAAAACAACAAGAAGAGAAAAUAAUAAUGUUCAAACCCUGCCAUCAGGAAGAGCGACAUCGAGCAAGCGGUAAAAGGGAAUCGCCAGAGGGGACUCCAGGUUAACCGAUUUACAAGAUAGAUUUUUUGGUUUUUGAUUAAAGGAGAUCGCCAGAAGGGAUCUCAUUAUUUCAGCUUCGAAUAAAAGGGAAUCGCCAGAUGGGAUUCCAAGUUGUCUUAGAUCGCAAGAGGGGAUCUUGUAUUUCGAUAUUGGUCAAAGAAGGUCGCCAGAAGGGACCUCGCGUAUCGCUUUGAAUAAAAGGAAUCGCCAGAUGGGAUUCCAAGUUAAAGGAGACCGCCAGAAGGGAUCUCGUGUUUCGCUAUUUGAAGGUCGCCAGAUGGGACCUCGUAUUACCUGUUUUAAAAAAAAAGGAAUCGCCAGAUGGGAUUCCAAGUUGAUUAAAGGAGAUCGCCAGAAGGGAUCUCGUGUUUCAUUAUUUGGAGGUCGCCAGAUGGGACCUCGUUUUUCAUGAAUAAAAGGAAUCGCCAGAUGGGAUUCCAAGUUGAUUAAAGGAGAUCGCCAGAAGGGAUCUCGUGUUUCACUAUUUGGAGGUCGCCAGAUGGGACCUCGGUUUUCAUGAAUAAAAGGAAUCGCCAGAAGGGAUUCCAAGUUGAUUUAAGGAGAUCGCCAGAAGGGAUCUCGUGUUUCAUUAUUUGGAGGUCGCCAGAUGGGACCUCGUUUUUCAUUAAAUAAAAGGAAUCGCCAGAUGGGAUUCCAAGUUGACUAAAGGAGAUCGCCAGAAGGGAUCUCGUGUUUUGAUAUUUGGAGGUCGCCACAUGGGACCUCAUAUUUCGUUUGAAUAAAAGGAAUCGCCAGAUGGGAUUCCAGGACGAUUAAAGGAGAUCGCCAGAAGGGAUCUCGUAUUUCGCUAUUUGGAUGUCGUCAGAAGGGACCUCAUAUUUCAACAUUGGUUACAAGGAAUCGCCAGAUGGGAUUCUAAGAUUUUUUGUUGAAGGAGAUCGUUAGAAGGGAUCUCGUAUUUCAAUAUUGGUUAAAAGGGAAUUGCCAGACGGGAUUCCAAGUUGAGUAAGCAAUAAUUAUAGAUUUUGGUUUAGAGAGAUCGCCAGAAGGGAUCUCAAGAUGAUAAAUUUUGAUCAUAGUUUUUGAAGUUAAGGAGGAUUGCUGUAAAAGACAAGUUUCAGGUCAAUCAAGCUUCAACCAGAUCAGUUUUGGGAGUUCCGUUUAGGGUUUAUCUUUAUAAAACUUACUGCGCAAAACCUCUGCUCCGUAAGCAUUAUGCUGUAAAAGACAAGUUUCAGGUCAAUCAAGCUUCAACCAGAUCAGUUUUCGGAGUUCCGUUUAGGGUUUAUCUUUAUAAAACUUACUGCGCAAAACCUCUGCUCCGUAAGCAUUAUAAAGAGGGGGCAUCUGUUGUAACCCAUUUUUGGGUCCCCACAAAAUAUAUAUAUAAAUAUGUAUAUAGCCAAAGGAGGUUAAGAAAAAAUAACAGGAGGCAGAAGCGCUCAGAAAAUGGUUGGAAAAUCGAUCAAUAAGGUUAAAAAUACAAAGAUUGGAUUUUUGACAGUAUAUUCUUGAAGGAGGAGAGCCCUGUUGAGAAGGAAAAUUUGAAAUUUGAGGAGAAAAGCCCAAAUUUGGAUGUUUAUGGACUUAAUUUGAUUUUUAAAUGAAUUUAUAGAGGAUUUGAUUGCAAGAAAAAUUGAUUUUUAAGUCAAUUUGGGCUUUAAUUAGAAGAAAUUUAAGUUCUGGGGCCAAAAUAUAUUUUUUAGGAAUUUAUUAGGUCAAAUCAGGGGCCUAAUUGCAUAAAUAUUGAAGUUUAAGGGCCAAUUAGGGACUUAAUUGAGAAAAUCCGAAACCAGGGACCAAAUUGGAAGAGGCGCGUAAAUGGAGGGGCUGGAAUUAAUUGAUUCAGGGGCCUAAUUGAAGAAAUUAGAAGUUUUUUGAUCAAUUAAGGGCUCAAUUGCAUAAAUCAGACACCAAGGACUAAAGUGAAAAACGCGGCCAACAAGAGGGACGAAGACCGAAAUUGGCAGGGAUGCAAUUGAAGAAAGAGAAGAUGAUUGAGGGCUGAUUUGAAAUUUGGCGCGUUUUGGCGCCACAUUUAAAUGAAACGGCGCGUUUUCUCCAAAACGACGCCGUUUCAUACAUUCAAAAAAAAAAAAAAAAAGAGCAGAACGGUGUCGUUUUGAAACGACACUGUUCAUCUUCUUCCCCCGAUCACGCAGCGGGGAAGAAGGAGAAAGGGAAGCUUUAAUUUGAAUUUUGCCGGCCACUCUCUCGCCUGGAGCCCACCGACCGGACACAAUGGCCGACCAUCCACCGCGCACCACCCACCGAACCUCGGCAGCCGCGCCCAAUGGCCGACCAGCCGGUUGCUCCCCCAUGAGAGCUGUAAAAAACAGCGUCCUUGGCCUCUAUAAAUAGAGGCCAAGAACGCUGAGAGUGGGAGGAGGAAAAACAGAAAAAGAAAGAAGAAAAUGAGAAGACCGAAACAUAGAAAAAAAAGAGGAAACGGAGGAGAGAGNNNNNNNNNNNNNNNNNNNNNNNNNNNNNNNNNNNNNNNNNNNNNNNNNNNNNNNNNNNNNNNNNNNNNNNNNNNNNNNNNNNNNNNNNNNNNNNNNNNNNNNNNNNNNNNNNNNNNNNNNNNNNNNNNNNNNNNNNNNNNNNNNNNNNNNNNNNNNNNNNNNNNNNNNNNNNNNNNNNNNNNNNNNNNNNNNNNNNNNNNNNNNNNNNNNNNNNNNNNNNNNNNNNNNNNNNNNNNNNNNNNNNNNNNNNNNNNNNNNNNNNNNNNNNNNNNNNNNNNNNNNNNNNNNNNNNNNNNNNNNNNNNNNNNNNNNNNNNNNNNNNNNNNNNNNNNNNNNNNNNNNNNNNNNNNNNNNNNNNNNNNNNNNNNNNNNNNNNNNNNNNNNNNNNNNNNNNNNNNNNNNNNNNNNNNNNNNNNNNNNNNNNNNNNNNNNNNNNNNNNNNNNNNNNNNNNNNNNNNNNNNNNNNNNNNNNNNNNNNNNNNNNNNNNNNNNNNNNNNNNNNNNNNNNNNNNNNNNNNNNNNNNNNNNNNNNNNNNNNNNNNNNNNNNNNNNNNNNNNNNNNNNNNNNNNNNNNNNNNNNNNNNNNNNNNNNNNNNNNNNNNNNNNNNNNNNNNNNNNNNNNNNNNNNNNNNNNNNNNNNNNNAAUUUUAUUAUUAUAUUUUGAUUAAUAUGGGUUGGUAUUUUAUUUUGUAAAGAUACAAAACUCGGUAUUAAAAUACCCGGUUUUCAUCAAAACAUCAAAGAUUUUCAAAACAAAAAAUGUCUUUUGCUUUCAAAAAUUUUCUAAAAAAUAUCUUUGAACAUAUUGUUGAUUUUUCGGCAAUUAUUUUAUCAAAGUGGAUUAAUAUUUGGUUGUAUUUUUUACAAACCCAGUAUUAAAAUACCCGAUUUGCGUCAAAGCGUACAAAAAUACAUAUUUUUUUUUUUAAAAAAAAAUGUUUUGUUUUAAAAUACGGCCUAGUCUCUCCAAUAUAUAUAUAUAAAUAUUAUAACAUCAUAUUUUCACAACAAAAGAAAUUUCAAAACAAUAUAUGUAUUAGCAUGCAUUUUGGCUUUAAUAACCAGUUUAUUCAAGUCAUGAGAACUAGGCCAAUAUUUCAAAAAUUCUAAAAAAAAUCUUUUUGUCCUUGGGAUUACUAAUUUUUACAUAAAACGUUUUCCUGAUAUUAAAAAUGUUUUUUUUUACAUAGACAUUAGAACGGUUAGGUUUUACCCGAUAAGAUAAGGACCUCCUUAUUGAGGAGGACUUUUCUUGAACCAUAGACGGACCAACAACUAGGAAACACAACGAAACCUUAAAUUUUAUCAGACAAUAAAACGAUGCAGCUUACCUUAGGUAGGGCGUAUUUGGGGUGCUAAUACCUUCCCUUUACGCAACCAGUCCCCGUACCCGAUCUCUGAGACCAGUUAGGGUUCCUAGUGACCAAAAUACUAGGUGGCGACUCCCACACCAUUUUUCAUUGCUAAGAGACAACGAAUUCCUUGUCUCCCCACAUUGACCAGAUAUAUAUAUCCUCCAUCCCUUUUAUUUUAUUUUUUGUGGGUGGACGAUCGCCGCGACGUCGCUCACGUGCGACAAGUACCAAUUGUCAUGGAUGCAUUCGUUAAUGAGUCGCACAAAACUAAGCCAUCUGAGGAUGUUGAUCAAGACAAGAUGGCAGCACUAGAGGCCAGGAUUAGGGCCAUUGAGGGAAUAGACUUAUAUGACCCUGUGCGAGCUGUAGAAAUGUGUCUAGUCCCUAAUGUGGUGGUACCAAAGAAAUUUCGAGUUCCGGAAUUUAUCAAAUACACCGGCACUCAAUGCCCUGUUACCCAUCUCAAAUCUUAUUGCAACAAAAUGGCAGAAGUAGUUCACGAUGAAAAACUACUAAUGCAUUUCUUCCAAGACAGCUUGAGUGGAGCGACAUUGAGUUGGUAUAUGAGGUUAAAUAAUACCAGGAUCCAUACAUGGAAGGACCUCGUGGAUGCUUUCAUCAAGCAAUAUAAAUACAACAUGGAUAUUGCUCCUGACAGAACCAGUUUGUCUAACUUGGAGAAAGGAGAUAAAGAAAGCAUAAGAGAGUAUGCUCAAAGAUGGAGAGAUUUGGCAGCACAAGUCCACCCCCCUCUCUUGGAAAAGGAAAUGGUUGCUCUGUUUGCUAACACACUAAAAGCGUCAUACUAUGAACACGUGAUGGGUAGUUCGGCCCAACAAUUCACGGAUUCUAUGGUCGUGGCUGAACGAAUAGAAAAAGGAGUAAAGAGUGGAAGAAUCUCUGCACCUGUGGAGAAAAGAGGUUUUGGAGUGAAGAAGAGAGAGAUCGACCAUGUCGAAAGUAGUUACAGAAGCAAGAAAGGCCCUUUCCAAACAUAUAACCCUCAAUCCUCUUCACCCCAAGUUGCCAACACCAACUUCAACUUUCCAAGUCCAGCCAGAAAACUUGAACCCCAAAGCCACCAAGUAAAAAACCAAGCUGAAAGUUUCCCCAAAAGAAACUACCAAAGAACCUCAGAACAAUUGCCUCCAUUACCGUUACCCCUAAAUGAGAUGUACCAAAAGCUGCUAAGUAUUGGGCAAGUAGUCCCUGUGCCUUUGAUACCCCUCCAACCACCUUACCCCAGCUGGUAUAAGCUGGAUCUCACUUGCGAAUACCAUGCCGGUAUAGCUGGACACAACAUCCAUACUUGCAAUGCCUUCAGGAGAAAACUUCUGCAACUGAUCAAAGCAGGAUGGAUAGCAUUUGAAGAUGCCCCUAAUGUCAAUGCAAACCCUCUACCCAAUCAUGCUUCGGGUAGUGGGUCUGUAAACAUGUUAGAAGAGGGACACUCAAAAAUCUUAAAGGUGUCAAUGAAUAGGAUCUACCAAAUGAUGGUAGAUGCAAGGUAUGAAGAGGGUAGCGAGAAAUGUUGUGAACUUCAUAAUGAAAAAGGCCACGUGAUCAGCCAUUGCGAGGGCUUUCAUAAAAAAGUGAUGCAAAUGAUGAGUCGAGGGAUGCUGCGAAUUGAGAAAGCAACAAAUGAAGAGGUGUUCAUGAUGGAGGCACCAAAGAAAGAGGUGUGUCGAGUGCAUUUCACUACCGGAAAGCCAUCCAGAUUGGUCUUGUCCAAACCAGUAGUGGAACAUAAAGGGAACUAUAGUGCUUUACCUCACGACUAUGGGUACUCUUUCAAAAGCACUCCACAACCGCCUAUCUUUCAAGCAGAAAUUAGGGGUUUAACCCGUAGUGGCAGAUGUUUCACCCCAGAAGAGUUGGAAAAACAAAGAAAAGUUAAGGGAAAAGAAGGGGCUGAUGUAACUGAAGAAAUAAACAAACCUGCCACGGAAGAGGAAACCAACGAAUUCCUAAAGCUGGUGAAACACAAUGAAUAUAGUGUUGUUGAACAGCUCAAGAAAACACCAGCCAGAAUAUCGUUAUUUUCUCUGAUUCUAAGCUCUGAGCCACAUAGAAAGGCUUUACAAAAAGUACUGAAUGAAGCAUAUGUUCCUCAAGACAUCAAUCAAGAAACCAUGGAACAUUUAGUGGGAAGAAUCCAGGCCUCAAAUUAUAUAUACUUCACUGAAGAUGAAUUGAGUCCUGAUGGUACUGGGCACAACAAGCCGUUAUACAUUACGGUGCGUUGCAAGGAAAUUCUAAUCGGAAAGGUGCUCAUUGACAAUGGUUCUGCAUUGAACGUCCUACCAAUGCAUAUGUUGAAAGAAAUGCCUGUCGAUGAGUCACACAUGAAGCCUAGCACCUUGAUGGCGAGAGCAUAUGAUGGUUCACCAAGGCCGAUCAUUGGGACCCUAGAAAUAGAGCUAUAUGUGGGGCCACAAAUGUUCUUGAUAACAUUACAAGUAAUGGACAUUCAUCCAUCUUACAGCAUACUAUUAGGAAGGCCAUGGAUUCAUGCAGCUGGAGCAGUGGCUUCUUCAUUGCACCAAUGCUUGAAGUAUAUCAUGAACGGAAUGCUUAUAACUGUCAAAGCCGAAGAGACAGUUUCCAUGAUAAGAAAUGUGGCCAUACCUUUUAUUGAAGCAGAAGAUUGUAGAGAUGGGAAUAUUCAUGCUUUUGAAAUUGUGAAUGCAGAAUGGGUUCCUGAAGGCACAGUGCUGAGAAAGCCUAAAAUCCCAGAAACGGCGAAGAUGGCUGCCAAAUGCUUUUUAAAGCAUGGGGCUCCUUUUCAAUGUAAUCCUGAGACCAGAAUGCCUAGCCUGAUCAAGCCAAACUGUGCAAAUCAAAGAUUUAGGCUUGGAUAUAAGCCCAAGAAAGACGAUUACAAGCGGGUCACUCAGGUUAAAAGAGAAGCAAGAAUGGCGAGGAUUGAAGGAAGAGAGCCAGAAGAAGAGGGACUUGUCAUCCCACCACUCCGAGUGUCUUUCCCAAAGGCUGCAGAAGUGAUUAGAUCUGGCAUAGUGGAUCUUCACAUCAAUACCUUGGAGAGCCAAGAAGAAAAACGAAUAGAGGAAGCGGAUCUGGAGAUAAAGGAUGAGGUUUUGCCACAACUCUCCAUUCACACCAUUGAUCAACCUCCUGCCAGAUUUUUCGUGCGAAGAUUGGCUGAAGGAGAGGUGUACCAGAACUGGAAGAUGGAGCCUGCUCCUAUUGUGUUUAAAAAGUAAUUGUUCUUGUUUGAUAAUGCUCGGACUUGUUUGCCUUGUUUUGACUUGUGCUGAUCUUGCCGGUAUUUUUAGCUCAUGAUACCGCAAGAAUUUUCUAUGUUAACCAAGCACUUUUGUUUUAAUGAGAUCAUGCAUUUUCUUGUGUCCAAUCGCGUGCUUGCAUUUUUUUAUCUUUUCACAAAUCACUCUUACACGAGCACGCCUUACACUUUCAGGAAUUCUGAAAGUUCCAUCGAUCCACAAAAUCAUUGCACUAAGAAUAAUUGGCCAAACUUUGAUAAUAUGAUUGCAAUGGAUGAUGAAGAAUGGGAAGAGGAAGAUCUAAAAGAGUUUACUAGGCUGGUAGAAAAUUCAGAAAAAGCCUGGGAACCGGCCAGUGAGAAACUAGAAGUCAUUAACGUCGGAGAUGAACAAGAUAAUAAGGAAUUAAAGAUUGGCACUCUUGUCACAACUGAAGAAAGAAAUAGACUAGUCUCUCUAUUACACGAGUAUGUAGAUAUUUUUGCCUGGACUUAUGCCGACAUGCCUGGUCUAGAUACUGACAUAGUUGUACAUAAGAUUCCUUUAAUCGAAGGGAGCAAGCCAAUUAAGCAGAAAACCAGACGAAUGCGCCCGGACAUGUUACUCAAGGUAAAGUCCGAGAUACGAAAACAGUGGGAUGCAGGGUUUCUAGAUGUAGUCCAAUAUCCACAAUGGGUAGCUAAUGUGGUCGUAGUCCCAAAAAAGGAUGGGAAGAUUCGGGUGUGUGUGGACUAUAGAGAUUUGAACAAGGCGAGCCCAAAAGAUGAUUUUCCUUUGCCCCAUAUAGACAUUCUCGUUGAUAAUGCUGCAAGAAAUGCUACAUAUUCUUUUAUGGAUGGAUUCUCUGGUUAUAAUCAAAUUAGAAUGGCUGAAGAAGAUAAAGAGAAGACCACUUUUGUCACACCAUGGGGAACGUUUUGCUAUAAAGUAAUGCCAUUCGGAUUGAAGAAUGCUGGAGCCACAUAUCAAAGAGCAAUGGUUACCCUAUUCCAUGAUUUGAUGCACCAAGAAGUGGAAGUUUAUGUGGAUGACAUACUUGCAAAAUCAAAAAAAGAGGAAGAUCACGUGCAAGUGUUAAGAAGACUAUUUGAAAGGCUUCGAAAAUUCCAGCUAAAGUUGAACCCUGCAAAAUGCUCAUUCGGGGUGAAGACAGGAAAAUUAUUGGGCUUCAUUGUGAGUGGUCGAGGAAUAGAAGUUGAUCCUGAUAAAGCUAAAGCUAUCCAGGAGAUGCCUGCUCCUAGAACAGAAAAGGAAGUACGAAGUUUUCUCGGGCGCCUGAAUUACAUAGCUCGAUUUAUAUCCCAGUUGACGGUGACUUGUGAACCAAUCUUUCGUUUGCUCAGAAAGAAAAAUCCUGGAGUAUGGGAUGACGAUUGUCAAGAAGCCUUCGAUAAAAUAAAGAGGUACUUGCAAAAUCCACCAUUACUAGUACCGCCAACACCGGGGAGGCCUUUGAUCCUGUACUUGACAGUAACAGAAACAGCUAUGGGCUGUGUGUUGGGACAACAUGAUGAGUCAGGAAGGAAAGAGCAAGCUAUCUACUACUUGAGUAAAAAAUUCAAUGAUUGUGAGUCGAGAUAUACAACAAUUGAGAGGUUGUGUUGUGCUUGGGUUUGGAGUGCAAAAAGACUCCGGCAGUAUAUGCUAUACUACACAACCUGGUUGAUUUCAAAAUUAGAUCCGCUCAAGUAUAUUUGUGAAAAGCCUUACCUGUCAAGUAGAAUAGCAAGGUGGCAAGUGUUGUUGGCAGAAUAUGACAUUGUCUUUAUGACAAGAAAAGCUGUAAAAGGAAGCAUAAUUGCCGAUCAUCUUGCAGAUCAUGCCAUGGAGAACUACGAGCCGCUAAACUUUGACCUCCUAGAUGAAGAUGUGAUAGUAGUAGAGAGUGAAAGUGGGGAAAGCGAUCAGUGGACCCUCUACUUUGAUGGGGCAGUAAAUGUAUCGGGGAAUGGAGCCGGAGCUGUGGUGAUUUCCCCAGAAAAUAAGCAGUAUCCCGUUUCAACAAGGUUACUGUUUGAAUGUACCAAUAAUACUGCCGAGUAUGAAGCCUGCAUCAUUGGCUUGGAGGCUGCUCUAGAACUUGAAGCCAAGAAGCUUGAGGUCUUUGGAGAUUCCUUACUAAUCAUCUGCCAAGUCAAAGGUGAGUGGCAAACCAAGGAUGAGAAGUUGAAGUUGUAUCAAAGUUAUCUCUUGAAGUUAGCCGAUGAAUUUGAAGAAAUCAAAUUCACCCAUGUAAGCAGAGAUAAGAAUCAGUUUGCUGAUGCCUUAGCAACCUUAGCUUCGAUGACACAAGUUGAUGCUAAAAGCAGGAUACAACCAAUAAAUAUCGAGGCCAGAAGCUUUCAAGCCCAUUGUUACUUCAUUGAAGAAUCUCCAGAUGGGAAACCAUGGUACAAUGAUAUCAAAGAGUUUCUCCAUAUCGAGAAUAUCCUGAAGGGAUUUCCAAAAUAGAUGAAAAGACUUUGAGAAGAAUGACUGUGGGUUUUUACUUGGAUGGGGAAAUCUUAUAUAAAAGGUCAUUUGAUGGGACUCUGCUCAGAUGUUUGAAUGAAAAUGAGAUUGAACAAGCAUUAAAAGAAGUCCAUGAGGGGAUCUGUGCUACACAUGCUAAUGGGCAUACAAUGGCGAAACAAAUUCAAAGGGCUGGAUACUUAUGGUUGACCAUGGAGAGAGAUUGUGUAGACUACGUGAGAAAAUGCCAUAAGUGUCAAAUAUAUGGCGACAAGAUAAAUGCGCCUCCGGCACCUCUAUUCAAUAUGAUCUCGCCUUGGCCUUUUGAUAUGUGGGGUUUGGAUGUUAUAGGGCCAAUCAACCCCAAAGCAAGCAAUGGGCAUAGAUUCAUUUUGGUGGCCAUCGACUACUUCACCAAAUGGGUAGAAGCCAACUCUUAUGCCCAUGUAACACAGAAAGUAGUCAAGAGAUUUAUUGAAAAGGACUUGGUCUGUCAUUAUGGUCUGCCGGCAAGAUUGGUAACCGACAACGCCCAGAACUUUAAUGGGAAGCUGAUUGACGAAUUGUGCACCAAAUGGAAGAUUAAGCACCUCAACUCUUCCCCUUAUAGACCAAAGAUGAAUGGGGCAGUCGAAGCAGCUAACAAGAAUCUCAAGAAGAUUAUCCAGAAAAUGGUGAUCACCUACAAAGAUUGGCAUGAGAUGCUCCCAUAUGCACUUCAUGCGUACCGUACCACUGUUAGAACUUCGACAAAUGCCACCCCAUACUCUUUAGUAUAUGGAAUGGAGGCGGUUGUGCCCUUGGAAAUAGAAAUCCCAUCACUGCGGAUCCUGAAGGAUGCAGGACUGGACGAAUCAGAAUGGGCAAGGUCAAGAUUUGAGCAGCUAAACUUGAUCGAUGAGAGAAGACUAGCAACUAUUUGCCAUCACCAGUUAUACCAAAGCAGGAUAGCCAAAGCUUACAACAAGAAGGUCAAACCAAGGGUGUUCGAGGAAGGAGAUCUGGUGUUAAGGAAGAUCUCACUAGCGUCAGGAGAAGAUCAAAGUAAGUGGGCACCAAACUACGAAGGGUCAUAUGUGGUGAAAAAGGCCUUUUAUGGAGGGGCUUUAAUUCUGACCAAUAUGGAUGGAAGGGAUCUACCAAGGCCUGUAAACUCAGAUGUUGUAAAGAAGUACUAUGCCUGAUGUACUUACCUAUAUCAAUCAAUAAAAUUGAAGUUUGGCCAAGAUUUCUUUAGUGUGUUCCCCCUAAAAAAUUUAUGCAUGAUCUCAUGUUUCAAUAAAGAUUUUUGGGAAUUCAAAGUGUUAGUACAAAACUAGAGUCAAAUUGAUGUUUGUUCAAACAAAUAAGUUCUGAGAAUUCAAAUGACAUCCUGACACUCGAAAAAACCUGAAAGACAACCCAAGCACCAUGAAGUGACUCUAAAGCUGAGUUUUAUUUGCAUGAAUAAUGAGAAAUCACUCUGCAUACUUGCAUGAACGCAAGGCUUACCGAUCCUAAUUACAUGCAUUUGAGAUGAAGAAAGGCCAUCUUUGAUAACUCUUUCACAAAUUCUAAAAAAAUCCCUUGCAGUCCCCUUUUGAGCCUGGUAGUGUUUUUUGGAAAUAACCUUGACUAGGAUCACACCCUACACUGGGGGCAAGUGCCAAAAAAAAUCCUUAAUGAUUGAAAGUGCCCAAACAAUACUGGGGGGCAUAAAAAGUCUUCAACGAUGAAAGUGCCCAAACAAUACUGGGGGGCAUAAAAGAAAAUUCUCAAUCAUCGAAGGUGCCCAUACAAAGCUGGGGGGCAUAAAAAAAAAUCCAAAAAAAUUUGAGCAAAAAAAAAAAAAAGAAAGAAGCCAAGGCAAUGAUGCUCAAAAUCAAACGAAAAAAACAAAAACAAAGAGAAAGAGCCCAAGCCCAACAUUGGGGGGCACCGUGGACCAUUUUACAAAUCAAUUCCAAGGUCUAGAAAUGUAUGAACAAAAGAGUUUGGGAUAUAAGCACUAGUGAUCCUUAGUCUUAAAGUCCCUUAAACACCUUUUGAGCCUACAAAUAUCAUUUUCUUCAUAGUCAAUGGCCCAAGCCUACAUUACGUGCCUAAUCAAGCCCUUUCUGAUCAAAGGCAAGCAAUUUGGAUCGGUAGGCAGUGCUUUCUCAUGCGAAACAAAUCAUUUAUCAUGCAAAUAGAAAUGAAUGCUUUGAAAAACANNNNNNNNNNNNNNNNNNNNNNNNNNNNNNNNNNNNNNNNNNNNNNNNNNNNNNNNNNNNNNNNNNNNNNNNNNNNNNNNNNNNNNNNNNNNNNNNNNNNNNNNNNNNNNNNNNNNNNNNNNNNNNNNNNNNNNNNNNNNNNNNNNNNNNNNNNNNNNNNNNNNNNNNNNNNNNNNNNNNNNNNNNNNNNNNNNNNNNNNNNNNNNNNNNNNNNNNNNNNNNNNNNNNNNNNNNNNNNNNNNNNNNNNNNNNNNNNNNNNNNNNNNNUUGGCAUGAUCAAGCUAGAGAGCAAUUCACCAAAACACAUAGGGUUGGCUCCAUGAUUCCCCUUCUAAGAAAAUAGGAAAUGUUGGGUUAAGCUGGAAAUCUCUUCAGAUAAAGGUUUGAGGGAUAAGAUGUAUGUUGAUGUCAUAUCCUGCCCGGGGGUCAAGAUCACAAGAUGUGACUCGAGUAAGCAAGAGCGAAAAGAGACAUCAAAGCUUACUAUCAGACACUCCAACUCUUGAGAAAAGAAAGGCACCAUGAAGAAGAGGGGACCUAUAUUUCUCAGGUAAGUAUACAUGCAUAUCGAUCACGAUGCAUCCUCGACGUAUCGGUGUCUUACCAUCACCUCCUUUUUGAGCGGGCAUUGAGCCCCAUCAUUCAGAUAGUAUGCUUUCUAGCCCUAUCUUCUUCCUUUUUAGUGCGCCUUAGAGCCAUCAACCACCUUAGGUAGUGUGUUUUCCAACCCUGCCUCCCUCUUUAGUGCGCCUUAGAGCCAUCAACCACCUUAGGUAGUGUGUUUUCCAACCCUGCCUCUUUUUAAGUGCGCCUUAGGGCCAUUAACCACCUUAGGUAGUGUGUUUUCUAACCCUGCCUCCUCUUUUGAAUGUGCCUUCGAGCCCUCACCUCUUAGGUAGUGCGUUGUCCAACCCUGCCUCUUUUUAAGAGCUCCUUCGAGUCCUAACCUUUUAGGUAGUGUGUCUUUCUAACCCUACCUCCUUUCGAGUGCGCUUUCUAACCCUCAAGAGGAUUCAUCAUUCCUCAACAAGAUGAGCCUACCUCCUUUCGAGUGCGCUUUCUAACCCUCAAGAGGAUUCAUCAUUCCUCAACAAGAUGAGUCAAUCAUAUCUCAUCCUUGUUUUUCUUCUUUACAAUGCUUACUAUCUAAAGUCUCUUACGAGACUUUCUAUCAUAAGCAUUGUAAAGAGGGGGGCAAUUGUCAUAACCCAAUUCUGGGUUAUUCUCCAAAAUUCAUUUUUUUUAAAAUAAAAACAAAAAAACAAAAUAAAAAAUAAAAGCUGGCAAUGUGGAGAAAGCUGAUCAAGAAAAAUAGGCAAAAUAGGCAAAAAUCAAUCUGCAAUUUUCAGAGGAAAUUCAAGGCCUUUCGGCGACCCAUUGUGCCCAAAAUCGAAGAAAAAAAUGCAAAUUCAAGGUCAAAUUAAAUGAUUAUUGGAUAAAUUUGCAUAAAAAUUAAGUCCAAUAACAUAAUUAAAUUUUUAAUAGGCCAAUUUGAUUUAAUCAUGGGUCAAAUUAAAUUUUAGUUAUGUUUAAGAAUUAAUUUAGGUCCAAAUGAAGGAUUUAAUUAAGUGCAAGUACUUAAUUAUACUUUAAAUAGGUCAAAUUAAUUUUGUUUGGGGCUUAAUUGGUGAAAAAUUAAGUUUAGGAGCCUAAUUUGGGCUUAAUGGAGAAGAUUGGAAUUUUAAGAGACCAAAUUUAAUUUUUACCAAGUUAAUUGAUUGAAAUCAGGGGUCAAAUUGCAAGAAAAUUGAAGUUUUGGGGCCAAUUAGGGGUUAAAUUGACAAAAUCCAAAGCCAAGGGCUAAUCUGCAAAAGGCGCCAAACUAUAGGGGUCUAAUUGACAAAAGCCGGGGGUCAAAUUGAAGAAAUUGAAAGCUGGAGGACUCAAUUGAAAAUCAGCAAAAAUCCCUAGCUUUUGAUCCAAAACGGCGCCGUUUUUGGUGUUUAAGAAAAAACAAAGAGGGGGAAGGGACCAGGCGACGCGUCACCUGGUCACUGUUCAUCUUCUUCCCCACAAAACUGCCCGAGUAGCAGCUUUCCAGGCGCAUUUUCUACCUCGUUUGGCCUCCAAAUCCGACAACGCAUGCACCAAAAUGUCCACCUGAAACCCCUUUAUCCUUGAGAAUGGUCCGGUCGGGUAGAAAAACUUUGAAACGGCUUCGUUUAUUGGCCCAAAGUGGCCACCUCGUUCAGUCUGCAGCCUUGGAUUGCCAAAUUUGGCAAUUCGAGGUGCACACUUUGAACCAACGGAUUGGAUUCCUCGAGUCGAAUCAAGGGCUGAGACUUUUUCCCGUUGAAGACAAGAUUACCCUCUUUCCAGCCCUAUAAAUAGGAGCCAAUUUCAUGCUCAGGGGGAGGGGAAAAUUGAGCUCAAAAUUGGCAAAAAAUCAGCUUUUCUUGCCCGGUUUUCCUGCAACCAGCCUUCUCUUUCCUUUUUCUCUCCGCCGUGGCCUCCAGCCGCCACCACUGAUCUCGCCACCAUCCUUCCCACGAAACACCACAUCCCAUCCAUCACCCAACAACUUCACCACAGUCACAGUACCUCUCUUUCUCUCCCUCUCUUCUCUGCAAAAAUCUUAUCCUCUGCCACCGUGACUCCAACAGCGGCGGCGACAGCAGAAGUAGCAACCAUCUUGCCCAAAAGCUCUCUUCCACUCCUACCAGCAGCAGCCGGAGUAGCAGCUCCUUCCUCAGUCACACCAACAGCUCCAGCCGUGAGCUUUCCUUCUCCUCUGCAGGAAUCUGCUCCUUCUUCUUCCAGCCGGGACCAGUGCACGCCGCCGUCCUCGCCGCCUCUAGUCGCACCGCGCACCACCAGCUAGGCCGCCGACUCACUCCACGCCAGGUAAUUCUCUCCUCCCCGCUCCACCCUUUUCUUCUUCGUGUUCUUCGUAGCCGCUGCAUGCAAAAUUCAUUUCUGCAUGCAGUGGAUAAUUAAUUAGCCACCUGCUUGGGCCCGACCCCAAAAAAAAAAUUCAAAAAAAAAUUAAAAAUCAUUUCAAAAAAUUUGUGAUUUUCUUAAAUAUUUUUCUACCAAGUUUGCUUAAUAUUAGGUUGCAUACUUACAUUGUAAGAUAAAAGUCCGGUAUUAAAACAUCCGGUUUCCUCCGAAAUAUUUCAAAAAAAAAAAUUUUCAAAAAAAGAAAAAAAUAUUUUAUUGCAUACGGCCAAGUCCUAAAGAAUUUUCCAAGCAUGUUUUUAUGUUUAAGAAGAAAAAAAUGCAUCUUUCUCACGUUUUAAAAAUCCAAAAAAUGGAUAUCAUAACUAGUUUAUGAUCAUCCGUUAGGGUUUGGCCAAAAUAUCAAAAACCUUUUUCCAACUCUUUUUUUUUUUUUCAGGAUCCAGAUGUAGACUUUAAUAUUUGUGGGGUGUAAAAUUACACGAUAAAGUACACCCUCGGGUAUUAAACAUACAAGGUGUAAAUAAAUGCAAUCCUAAAAUUCAGACUUUAGAACGGUUAGGAUUUAACCCAAUAAGGUAGAGACUCCCUCACGAAGGGAGAUCUGCCUUGAACCUUAGAAAAGACCAACGAAUAGAAACUCGACCUAGAAAAACAAUCAAACAACAAUGCAGCUUACCUUAGGUAGGGUGCACUGGGGGUGAUGCGUCUUCCCCUUGCACAACCAGUCCCUUACUCAGACUCUCGCAGACCAUAGGUUCCUAGUGACCAUAAUACUAGGUGGCGACUCCAACGAACCAAGCAAAACACAAAUAAAAGAAAAAUCGCCAGCAGACGCCGUGCGGAUUUUCCGACGUGCGACAAUCAUCAAUCUCAGCAACUCAAUAAACCUGUCCAAGACUCCAGAUCUUACUGGAAUUCCAAAUCUCGAGAGUCUGAUUCUUGAAGGUUGUACAAGUUUGUCUGAGGUCCAUCCAUCACUUGGAAGUCACAAGAAUCUUCAAUAUGUGAAUCUUGUGAAUUGCAAAAGUAUUAGGAUUCUCCCAAGCAACCUCGAAAUAGAAUCACUCAAAGUUUUCACUCUUGAUGGCUGCUCAAAACUUGAGAAGUUUCCAGAUGUAGUAGGAAACAUGAACUGUUUGAUGGUGCUUCGUUUGGAUGAGACUGGUAUUACAAAACUAUCUUCAUCGAUUCAUCAUUUGAUUGGCUUAGGUCUAUUGAGCAUGAACAGCUGCAAGAACCUUGAAAGCAUUCCAAGUAGCAUAGGUUGUUUGAAAUCCCUUAAAAAACUCGAUCUGUCUGGCUGCUCUGAACUUAAAUAUUUAACAGAGAAUUUAGGGAAAGUUGAAAGUUUGGAGGAGUUUGAUGUAAGUGGAACUUUAAUAAGACAACUGCCAGCAUCCGUUUUUCUUUUAAAGAAUCUUAAAGUAUUAUCUUUGGAUGGAUUCAAAAGACUAGUUGUGCUGCCUUUUUUGUCUGGUCUGUGUUCUUUAGAAGUACUGGGUUUACGCGCUUGCAAUCUAAGAGAAGGGGCACUUCCUGAAGAUAUUGACUGCUUUUCUUCAUUGAGGUCUUUAAAUCUGAGCCAGAAUAACUUUGUUAGCCUGCCUUAAAGCAUAAAUCAGCUUUAUGAAUUGGAAAUGCUUGUCUUGGAGGAUUGCACAAUGCUUGAAUCAUUGCCUAAAGUUCAAACGGUAUAUUUGAUUGGUUGUAUAAGCCUAAAAACAAUUCCAGAUCCGAUAAAGCUAAGCAGUUCUAAAAUCUCAGAAUUCAUAUGUCUUAACUGCUGGGAAUUGUACUAUCAUAAUGGCCAAGAGAGCAUGGGGUUGACGAUGCUUGAAAGAUACCUCAAGGUCUUCUCUUAAUCAUACCCCAACCUUUUUCUAUCUCUCUCCCUCUCCCUCUAUCUAUCUAACACUUUUGUUUUUCAUGGUAAAGGGUUUGUCUAAUCCAAGACCUGGAUUUGGUAUCGCUGUUCCAGGAAAUGAAAUUCCAGGGUGGUUUAACCAUCAAAGUAAGGGAUCUUCAAUUAGUGUGCAAGUGCCUAGUUGGAGCAUGGGGUUUGUUGCGUGUGUUGCAUUCAGUGCAAAUGGUGAAAGUCCUCCUCUUUUUUGUCAUUUCAAAGCCAAUGGAAGAGAGAAUUAUCCUUCGCCGAUGUGUAUUAGUUGUAACUCUAUCCAGGUUCUGUCAGAUCAUAUUUGGCUAUUCUAUCUAUCUUUUGAUCAUCUUAAAGAGCUUAAAGAAUGGAAGCAUGACUCCUUUAGCAACAUUGAGUUGUCAUUUCAUUCUUCCGAGCAACGAGUAAAGGUGAAGAAUUGUGGUGUCUGUUUGUUAUCUUCUCUAUAUUUUACACCACGACCAUCUUCUGCCUUAUUGUUACAAGCAAAGAAGCAGCUUCUUCAUUUAAAGAUUCUUUAGCUUUUUCUUCGUCGUACCAUCAAUGGAAGGCCAACGUUUUCCCUGGCAUCAGAGUCGUAGAUCGGGCCCGGAGAUUCAUUGUCCCAGUCGGGAAGGAACCAGAGAAAGUAAUGGCAAUUAGAUCAAGACUCUUUGAAGCCAUUGAAGAAUCAGGGCUGUCAAUUGUUAUAUUUGCAGGAGAUUGUGCUUCUUUACCUUGGUGCUUUGAAGAACUUGUCAAGAUUGUCGGAUUCAUGGAUGAGAUGACAUCGGACAUUGUGUUUCCAGUUUCUUGUGAUGUCGAACAAUCAAAGAUAGAUGAUCAAAAAGAGAGUUACACAAUUGUCUUUGAUAAUAUUGGAAAAAAUCUUAGGGAAAACAAGGAGAAGGUACAAAGGUGGAUGGAUAUUCUUAGUGAAAUUGAGAUUUCAUCUGGAUCGAAAAGGUAAUAAUUACUUCUUCUUCUUUUUUUUGUGUAGCUCGACUUAUCAACCACUUCAAGUAAAUGAAACUGGAGAUGCUGAAAUAUCGACUUUCAGAACUUAAUGUUAACAAAUCUUUUUUCUUUUUUUUUUUUUUUUUUUUGCAUGGGAAAAACACCGUGCAAGGUUCAGUACACAAUGGGGUUACAAGUUUUUUUUUUUUUUUCAAGGUAGAUUAUGAAUUUAAGAAAAAUUAAUAUUAAACUUAGUUGGGUUUAUGCUCUAGAUUAAACCGACAUAUUUUACUAUGGACAAUAUUUUUUUUUUAGGUUUGUUAUAAAUUCAAAAGGAGAAAAAUAUUGGUCAGGUAUCCAGGUCACGAGUUUAUUUUAAAGGUUGAGUAUAAAUUUAAAAAAAAAAAUUUCAACCCAGUUGAGGUGUGCAUUUUUAAUUUUAGAAAUUUUUUUAGAAGAUGAAUAUAAAUUUAUGAAAAAACAAUAAUUGAACCUCGUUGAAUUCAAGGUUCGGGUCACAUUUAAUUUUUUUUAAGGUUUAAGGAAAAAAAUAUUGAACCUGGUUGAGUUUAUUAACUAAGUUACAGGUUUAACAAGUUAAGUCACAAUAACCGGAAAAUUAUUUUUUUUUCUAAUGUUGCUUUUUUUUCUAAUAUUUUUUUUUCUAUAUCCUUUUUUUAGAUAAUUUUCAAUUUAUGUUUUAAUUAAUAUCACUAAUAUGUGAUUCAUUUUGUUUAUUUAACCUUUUUUAAUAUAAAUUAUUUUUUGAUGGUGUUGUAUGUAUUUGUUUUUAAAUGUUUAAUAUAAAUUUAAGAGAAAACAAUAUAGAGGUUGAGUUCAUGAUCUGGGUCACAUGUUUAUUUUUAUUUUUGUUAAAGGUAACUUGAUUGAGUUCAUGCUCCGAGUUGUGGAUUUAACGAGUUAAGCCACAACAACAAAACAAUGUUUUUUUAUAUUACUUUUUUUUACUGAUAUUUUUUUAUAUAUCUUUUUUAAAAUAUUUUUUAAAUUUAUGUUUCAAUUAAUAUUCCUCAUAUGUGAUUAUUGUUUUAUUUAUUUUUGGAUAGUUAUUGUUUUUUAUGGUAUUGUUCGUAUUUAAUUUUUAAAAAACUUAUUAUGAUUCAUCAAUAAUGUUUUUUAUCUUUUUGUAUAAAAUAACUUUAUUUUAAAAAAUAAAAAAUAUUUAUUUUCAGAUAAUAUAAUAUGUACAACAACCUUAUAUAAUAUUUUUUAUAUUUUUAUUUUAUUUAAUCAAUUUAAUAUGUAUGUUUUUUCUAAAAUCAUUUAAUUGAAUAAAAAGAUUAAUUUCAAUAAAUAAAUUAAAAAAAAUAUAACUGGAUAAAUGUUCUGUUUAUUAACACAUUUGAAUUUUUUUAAUUUUAUUUUUAGUUAUUUUUAAUAUAUUAUUAUUAUUAUUAUUAUUGUUAUUAUUAAUUCCCAUAGUUAUCAAUUUAUUUGAUUAAAUGUAUGUAUGAGCUUUUUAAUUUACAGUUUAAAUUUUUUUAUGUAUAAAAUUGCAUCAGAAAAACAUGCAUGCACAACUUUUUUGUAAGAGAAAAAAAUAUCUAGUAUGUACAAGAGUAUCAUUUUACUUUUUUCACAAACAUCUUGCAACCAAAAAAAUAGUUAGUGGGUGUUGGCCCUAACAAAAUGCGGCCAUUGGAUUGGCUUAAUUUACUAAUCUCAACAAUGUUUGGCCUUUGCUUCUUCUUCUUUUUUUUUUUCUUUAUAUGUUUUUUAAAAAACAUUUAUAUUUAGAUUAACAUCCUUUUUUUUUAUGUUGUUUAGAGAUCCUCUUUGAAAUGAUGAUUGUUUUUUAGUUAUGUAUUUAAUUUUUGAGAAAUGUUUUUUUUAUGUUUUAAUCUUUUGUAUAGAUGAACUUUAUUCUUGAAAAUAAAAAAUUUUAUUUUCAAAUAAUAUUUAUAAUAUAUGCAGUCUUGCAUAUUAUUUUUUUUCAUUUUAUUUUAUUCAAUUAAUUUAAUGUGUAUAUCUAUUUUUAUUAUCGUUUGAUUGAAUAAAAAACUUGUUUUAAUUAAUAAAUUUAGUAAAUACAAUUGCAUAAAUAUCUCGUUUUUUAAAAUUAAAUAUCUUAAUCUAUAUUUGUUUCUCGAUUUUUUCAUUUUUAUUUUUAGUUAUAGUUUAUUGUUGUUGUUUUUUACUUGUUAACACACAUGAUUCUUAAUUUAUUUAAUUAUAUUUAUAUAUAUAUUUUUUAUUUUUACUUAGAAUUUUUUAAAUAUAAAAAUCUAUAAAUUUUUUAUUAAAAAGUUUUUUUUGACACCCAACAAAACAAAACAUGUAAGAUGUAACAUCGAUUCCAUGUACAGUUUGACUAUACCUGAGCAGGAGCAGCUGCUCGAGCAUCUGCAGUGGUGGCAGCAGCAGCUCGAGCAUAAGCUGAUGCUCAAUCAGCGGCAGUGGCAGCGGCAGCAGCUGCAGCUCGAGCAUAAGCUGAUGCUCGAUCAGCAGCAGCUCCAGCAAUGGCGGCAGCAGCAGCUCGAUGAGCUGCUGCUCGAUCACCAGCUGCGACGGCAGCAGCAGGUGCUCCAGCAGCUGCAGCAGCAGUAGGUGCUCCAGCAGCUGCAGCAGCAGCUCCCUGGGUUUGGAUUAGGAAUUUAACUUGCUUUAGCUUGAAGAACUUCGUCAGUUUUUGCUCAUGGUUUUGGUUUGGGGUAAUUAGAUUCACAUUUUACUAUGUAUGGAUUUUCUUCUUAAAUUUAGGAUAAUCUCAUGUUUGCGGAUGGAAGGAUUGUUUCCAUAUUAAAACUUUUACAUGGAAAGCCAUUAUUUUGGAAUCGCUAUUCUGCCUAUUUUUUAAACUCUGGUUUUGGGUGUAAGUGUUAGAUUUAAAUUAAAAACAAUAUAUAUUUCUAAAAGAUAAAACCACUAAUUUCUUAUCAAUAUAAUUUUUUUUCAUCAAUUUCAUUCAGAAUUCUUUGAAAUUAAUUUUUUAUUUAUCUAUAAUUAAUUUUAAGUAUUUUAAUAUUUCAUGUUAUAAUUAAUACUCAUGCAAAAAAAAUAUUUUUCAACAAAAUCUUAACAUAUUAAUUUAAUUUUUGAUUAAAAUUUAAAUACAAUAACUAUGUUUUAAAACUAAUUUCUCCUAACUGUCAAUAAAUCAAUUCAAUUCAAUAGCUUAAGCUAUUAGGUGAGGUCUCAAGAUAUGAUUUAUAUUAUUUCUAACACCCUCUCAAGUGAAAACAUUUUAAACUUGAAUUUAUAUAAGGUCACAUUACCUUGUGUUUAAUUUUUAUAAAAUAAAUAAGGAUGAUAUUGGGAUUUGAACCCGUGAUCGUUUGGUUAUCAAGGCUUUGAUAUAACGACAAAAAACAAGUUUAACUUAAUAACUUAAAUUAUUAAGUAAAAUUUCAAAAUAUAAUUUAUAUUAUUCACGUGUAUUUUACAUUCAAAAUACAUGAAAAUUAAUUUUACAUACGGCUGAGCUGUGCUUACGGAACAGGCACUCUGCACACAAAAUGAUAGUUCUUUAUUUUAAGAAGCCUCUUUAUUAUUAUGUAAUAUUAUUGUGUAAUAGUUAUUUUUUUCAAUAUUUUUUAUUUUAAAAUAUUUUAAAAUAAUAUUUUUUAUUUUUAAAAAAUAAUUUUUGAUAUCAGUAUAUUAAAAUAAUAUAUAUAAAAAACUUAAUUGAAAAUAAAAAAUAAACUUAAUUUAAAAAAAAUAUAUUUUUAAAAUCUAAAAACAAACAAAUAAUCUACCCGACAACCUAUUAGAUCAAAUCACGAGGAAAGGUGGCAUCUUUAACUUGUUACUUUUACGUAAAAAGUGUUUGUUUUUUUCUUCUCAAAAACAGAAAACCACCUUCGAUGUGCAAUGCAACAUUUCAUGCCCCAAGGUAGCUAGCUGCUGUCAAAACCCUGCGAUAUUGGAAAUUAAAGUUUGCUGAUAGUAAUUUUAGGUUAUAUCUUUGGUGAACAUCUUGGAUUCAAUUUGCCAAAUUCUCAGUUAUUCUUGAAUUAACAUAAAUCUUGCAACUCAAGAUAAAUUUUUUUUUUUUACAAAGACUUAUUUUUAUUAAUUUAUAUUUUGUAUUUUAUAUAUUUCCUUCUAUUUUUAGUUAAAUAUAUAUAUUUUUACUAAUUAAUAAACAAUUUUUAUUAUUAAUAGCUUUAUAUUUACAACUAUAUAAACACAUAAAUAUUAAUUUAUAUAAUCACUUACUCCAAAAUUGGACUUGCUUCGUUUGUAACUGGCGAAAUAUCAACCCAUGAAGAUUUUAUGGGAAAACCCUGUUAUUUCUAAGUGAUUGGUUAGCAAUUCACGAUGAAGAGAAAGACCACACCACUUUAUUGAAUGAAAGCUGGUUUAUAUAAUCAAACCAUUACAACAGAAAUCAGAAAAAUAAGCAACCCACGUUUGACUCUCCUACAAACGUGGUUAACAAACAAAGAAUAAAUCAAAUCUAAUCCUUUGAUCCUAUUAGCUAGGAUAUUAUUGACUGACUUAGUCCUAACAAUCCCUCCCUUAAACUGCAUUGCUGUCAGUAAGCAGUUUAUUCGUUUGGUACCUCACAAACACCCAGUAAGCUUCUUAGUUUCUCAAAUGCAUCCAUCUUCAAAGCUUUUGUCAUAAUAUCAGCAAUUUGAUCUUGUGUAUUGCAGUGCUUCAGCUCAAUUAUUCCUUCCUUGCACAGCUCACGUAGAAAAUGAAAUCUAAUAUCUAUAUGUUUGCUUCUGCCAUGCAUAAUCGGAUUCUUUGCUAAUUUAAUUGAAGACAUAUUAUCACAGUGUAUGAUAGUAUGUGUCCCUUGCUUGCAAUCUAUCCUUUCAAGUACUCUUCUCAUCCAUACUGCUUGACACGCACAAUGAGCUGCAGAUAUAAAUUCUGCCUCAGUUGUUGAUAAAGAGACUACCGGUUGUUUCUUGGAGCUCCAAGCAACUGCUCCUUCACUUAGCAUAAAAACAUAUCCCGAAGUACUCCUACGAUCAUCUUGAUCCCCGGCAUAGACACUAUCAGAGUAGGCCAUUAAUCUUUCAUCACUUGCAGCUUCUCUUUUAUAAUGGAUGCCCAAGUUCACAGAUCCCUUCACAUAUCUCAAAAUUAUCUUAAUAGCCUGCAUAUGUAGAGUUGUAGGUCUCUCCAUGUAUCUACUGAUCAGACCAAUCCCAAACAUGAGAUCUGGCCUGGUUACUGAUAAAUACAUGAGAUUUCCAACCAUUUGUUUGUAUUGAGUAACAUCCACUUGCUCGCCAUCUUCAUUUCUCAUCAGCUUCAUACCUGGUAUCAUUGGAUUGCGAACUGAAUUUGCCUUUUCUAGACCAAACCUCUCCAGUACUUCAAGUGCAUAUUUUCUUUGCUUAGAUAAAUUCCUUCAUCAUUCUGCACGACUUCUACUCCAAGGAAGAACUUCAUUUUACCUAAAUCAGUCAUAUCAAACUCUCGUUUCAUUGAAGCUUUGAAAUCAGCAAACAUCCCCUCAUCACUUCCAGUGAACACCAAAUCAUCUACGUAUAUGCAUACUAUCAGAAUUUUCUUGUCUUCUUGAAUUUUAACAAACAGAGUAUGCUCACUUGGACAUCGAGCAAAACCUUCCUUCACAAAAUAUGCUUCAAUCCUGCUAAACCAGGCCCUUGGUGCCUGCUUCAAACCAUAUAAUGCUUUCUUCAACUUGAGGACUUUGUGUUCUUCUCCUUUUUUUUCAUAGCCGAGAGGUUGCUCUACGUAUACAUCUUCGUCUAAUUUCCCAUGAAGAAAUGCACUCUGUACAUCAAGUUGAUACACCUUCCAUUUUCUUUGUGCUGCUAUUGCUAGAAUCAUCCGAAUUGUGUCCCAUCUUGCUACUGGUGCGAAUACCUCAGUGUAGUCGAUUCCAUGUUGCUGUGCAUAUCCCUUUGCUACAAGUCUGGCCUUGUAUUUGUCAACUUCACCUUUUUCAUUAAGCUUUGUCUUGUAUAUCCAUUUCACCCCAAUCUUCCUUGAAUUAUUCGGCAGCACAGUUAGUUCCCAUGUGUCAUUCCUUUCUAUCGCAGCAAUUUCAUUGUCCAUGGCUUCUCUCCAUUGGUGAUUUUUUUCAGCUUCUUCAUAGGUGUGUGGAUCUCCAGCAGUAGUGUAUAACACCAUAUUUUGUGUUUCCUCUUCUUUAGAUAAGCUUGCUCCCAUGACAUAAUCCUCCAUCCAGUGUGGUGCUCUUCGAUUUCUGACACCUGCAGCUUGAAUAUGCUCAUUUUGUUCUUCUGCUUCAAGUUCUUCAACAGCAUCUCCAGUACCUGCUUCAUCUCUAAUUUCAGCAUCUCCAGUACCUGCUUCAUCUCCAAUUUCCCUAAUCUGUUCUUGUGUCUGCUCCUCAUCUUUUUCUAUUCUUCUUCAUGUAUACUGUCAUCAUUAUCUCCCCAGCGUAGCAGUAUACUAGUGUUGUCUUCUGCCCAGUUCCAAGUUGCAUUUUCUUCAAAGAUGACAUCACGACUAAUUAUCAACUUCUUUGUGAGAGGAUUAAACAUUCUGUAACCUUUUGUUUCUUCACUGACUCCCAACAGUACACAUUUUAUGCUCCUUGAAUCCAGCUUUGUUCUUUUUUCAUGUGGUACAUGUACAUGACCAAUGCAACCAAACACUCGAAAAUACCCCACUGAGGGUUUGACUCCACUCCAUGCUUCUUCAUGUGUGACUUCUUUUACUGCUGCAGUAGGACUCCUAUUUAGUGUAUGUAUACACCAAUUUACAGCUUCUGGCCAGAAUUCUCUGGGAAUGUGUUUUUCAGACAAUAUGCUUCUAACUAGAUUCAUUAUUGUCCGAUUCUUCCUCUCAGCAACACCGUUUUGUUGAGGAGUAUAUGCAGCCGUUAAUUGUCUCUUGAUCCCAUUCAUACUGCAGUACUCAUUAAACUCUUUCGAAGUAAAUUCACCACCUCUAUCCGUGCGUAAACAUUCCACCAAGGAACCAGCCUCUUUUUCAACUAGAUUCUUGAAUUUUUUGAACAUAUUAAGAGCAUCUGAUUUUUCUGAAAUGAAAUACACCCAACACUUUCUACUAAAGUCAUCAAUGAAAGUGAUUAGAUACCUCUUGCCACUAUUGGAUUCCGGAUUCACAGGUCCACAGAUGUCUGAGUGGAUGAGUUGUAAUUUGUGUGCUGCUCUCCAGUGACUUUUCUUUGAAAUGUUGUCUCUGUGUUGUUUGCUGCUCAAGCAAUCUGCACAUACUUUGGUAGGAGCUUUAAGUAGUGGCAGCCCAUUAACCAUUUUGUUGUAAUACAGCAUCCUCAAACCUUUGUAGCUGAGAUGAGCAAAUCUGCUAUGCCAUAAUUGUGCUUCACUUUCUUCACUGGUUUGAAAGAAAGCCACUGAUUCUUUUGGAGGUAUUGUUGCAAGCAUUAUGAACAUUCUGUUGACUGUCAUGGCUAUCUCCAUGAUGAGGCCUCUACUUGGAUGAAAUAGCUUGCAUGUAUUAUUUUUAAUCAGUAUUGUUAAUCCUUUCUCCUGUAGUUGCCCUAUGCUGAGUAAAUUGUUUCUCAGCUCCGGAAUGUAAUAAACUUCAUCAAUCCUUUGUAUUGCACCAGCUACUUUCAACUUUACACAUCCCUUGCCCAUUACUGUCAUUCUCGAAUUGUUGCCAAGCUUGACUGAAUGUCUAAAUUUUUCAUCUAAUUCUGUAAACCAUAGUUUAUUCCCACUCAUAUGAUUGCUGCAACCGGAGUCCAAAAACCAUACCUCUUCUCUAGUUGAGUUAUGAAGUUCCACAUGUGACAUCAACAACAUUUCUUCUUCGCAAUCCAAUUCUGCAUAAUUUGCUGUUUUUUCAUAACCAGGACAUUCAUAAGAGAAAUGUCCUAGUUUAUGACAUCGAAAGCAUUCAAUAAUAGCUUUAUUGAAAGAUUGUCUUCCCCAGCUCCUGCCUCUGCCUCUGAAACUUCCUCUGAAUCCUCCACAGUUUCUACUCCUUCCUCCAAAUCGAACAUCUUCUCUUGCUUCAGACAUGACCUUAAGAACUUGCUCUUCCUCUUUGUGCCCCUUCAUCCUUUGCUCAUGUACGAGCAAACUACUUUGAAGUUCAUCAAUAGUCAUUUCAGCAAGGUUAUUUGAUUCUUCGAUUGAGCAUACGACAUAGUCAAAUUUUGUCGUCAUAGAUCUCAAAAUUUUCUCAAUAAUAACAAUCUGCUCCAUUCUUUCACCAUGUGUUUUCAUUUUGUUGACAAUGGUAAGAGUUCUCCCAAAGUACUCAUCAACACUCUCACCAUCCUUCAUUCCGAGUAGCUCAAAUUCUCUCCGCAACGCUUGUAGUUGUGCUCUUUUCACCUUAGUGGACCCUUGAUAUUUCUGACGCAUUGAAUCCCAUAUUCCCUUUGCAGAGUCUCUAUCCAGGAUUGUUUCCAUGAUAGUGCGAUCAAUGGAUUGAAAAAGAUAAUUUUUCACUUUUAAAUCUUUCAAUCUCAGCUCCUCCAUGUGUUUCUGUUGGACCUCCGUGUGUUCUGCUCCAGUUGUGCUUGCAGGAAUUCCACUCUCUAUUAAACUCCAGUAAUCUUUGGAACGUAGCAGAUUUUCCAUUAACAUAGCCCAAUGAUCAUAGUGACCAUCAAAUCUGGGAAUCGCUGGUUGAACAAAGUUUCCCUCUGCCAUGGCUUUGGCUUUGAUUUCACUCCUCUCUACAGAAUAUUUCACUCCUCUCUGUGUUUCAGAUGGUUACCACUCAACUCACUGAUUUCUCACACUCCUCUCUGUUUUUACUCUUCUCUUUCUCGAGAACGUUCACUCCUCUCUCUUGAUCAGACUCUUUUGUUGAAGCUCUGAUACCAAUUGUUAUUUCUAAGUGAUUGGUUAGCAAUUCACGAUGAAGAGAAAGACCACACCACUUUAUUGAAUGAAAGCUGGUUUAUAUAAUCAAACCAUUACAACAGAAAUAAGAAAAACAAGCAACCCACGUUUGACUCUCCUACAAACGUGGUUAACAAACAAAGAAUAAAUCAAAUCUAAUCCUUUGAUCCUAUUAGCUAGGAUAUUAUUGACUGACUUAGUCCUAACAAACCCAGUUUUGUUUUUUUGAGAAAUAGUGGUAGUACCAAUGGGAAUCGGUGUGGUGGAUUUUGUUCAAGAGGGUAUGUGAGUGUAGCUGAGGCAUUGUCAUCAACAGAUGUUGAAGAUAAUGUGUCUGGUGCCGAUGAAGUGCAAGAAUUGCAGCCAGAAAUGAGGAAAGAAGAGGAGCACUUUAGCCGGAGGAGGCUACGUGCUAACCCUGGAAUAGGAUCAAGGAAGCAUAGGGUCUUAAGGAGAAGGCAAGUGAAGAUUGAGGCGGAAGCAUGGGAACUGGCAACGAAAGAAUAUAAGGAGCUUUUGAAGGAUAUGUGUGAGCAUAAGUUGGCUCCUAAUUUGCCAUAUAUGAAGAGUUUGUUCCUUGGUUGGUUUGAGCCUUUUAGAGAUGCAAUUGCAAAAGAGCAGGAGUUGAUUAGAACGGGGAAGAGUAGGCAGGGUUAUGCUCUGUAUUUUGAUCUGUUGCCAGCUGACAAGAUGUCUGUUAUUGCAAUGCAUCAACUCGCAGCAAUGGUAAUGACAGGUGGGCAACAUGGAUGUGCAAGAGUUGUGACUGCUGCUUGUAUGAUUGGUGAUGCAAUUGAGCAGGAGGUAAGUAAUUUUUAAUGUUUUAUUUGCUUAUUUUUACUUGCAGUUUGAUUUGUAGACAGAGGAUAAUGAGUGCCCAUAUAAAAAUAUUGAAAGAUAAGGGAAAACAUAAAGUUUCUUAAAUUUACUUUUAGACAACCUUCAUCUGAGGUGAUGAACUAGGAAGAAAGAUGAAAGUUACUAUGUACAAUUAUGAGAUAAAAAUCAGCUAUGGAGCUAGUAGUGCCUGGAAAAUUAGAUUUUGAAGUUACGUUCCAUAAAGUUUUGUCGAAUGUUGAAUGGGGUUUUUCUGGAUUUCUUUUUUAUAUAUCUAUAGUUUUUACUUUCAGUCCAAGUUUUUCUGCUGUUCAUGGUUCCAGGGAGGACACUAAAUGUAGGUACGAAAAACAAUGUAGUGUAAGAUCGUUUAGAUACUACGUUUUUACAAUUUUUUCAUUAUGUGUUAAACUUUUCAUAUCACGGGCCUUAUUAGGCUGAAUAUUCUAUUACGCCUUUCUUUUUUGCGCUACAAUUUCUUCAAAGCAUGGGCAUGGUGGACUCAUAAGAGUGACAUUCAACUUUCCUUUGUCAGAGCUCAUCUCAUGUUUCGACAUUGUUUCACUAUGGAUUUAUACUUUUGCAUUUCCCUGUUGGGGACAGCAAUUAUCUUUAUCAUUUCAAUUAUGUGUGUUCUUGUUUGUGCCUUUCUUUUGUAAGUUGUUUAAGUUUUUCUCUUAGUUUAGACUUUAAAGGCACGCGUGACACUUUGCUCUACUGUCUCUUCUGAUUAUGGGAGUUGCUUCCUCUUUUCUUUUCCUUUUUUUUUAAAAAAAAAAACUAUACAAUGAAGAGAUAUUUAGAUGUACCAUUCUUAAUCCAUUUUUUGGACCUCCUACCUCUUCAGUCUUGUUCUCUUUCUUUGAACCGAGGACUGAAUCUGUAACAGUUUCUGUGAUGAAACAGAUUAGAAUACACAAUAUCUUGGAGAAAACAAGGAAGAGAAAGGAAAAGGCUAAUGAGAGCAAGAAUGGUGUAGAAGGUGAAUCCCCUGCUGUCAAGAAAAAAGGUUACUGAUUUGAUUAAAAAACAAAAGCUGCCAGCUGUGAGGAAGAUUGUGAAGGGGAAGGAUGAUUCAAAACCAUGGAAUGCAGAUGCUAGGGCUAAGGUUUGUGUGCUUGUAAUCAUUGAUAAAGGCUAAUUUUCUUGAACAAAUGUAUCGUGUACGAAUUUGAUUUCUGUCCUUGCACUUUGCAGGUUGGAAGCCGUCUAAUUGAAUUGCUGUUACAAACAGCUUAUAUACAGCCUCCCUGUGAUCAGUUAGCUGAUACUUCAUCUGAACCUCGACCUGCAUUUGUACAUACAUUCAGAACUGUGUCAUAUGAAAAUAAGUAUGGAGUUAUUCUUUAAUUGACUCGAUGAGCUUAAUUUAUCUUUUCUUCCUUGUAAGUGCUCCUAACUGAUGCACAAUGGCCUUUUCUUAAACAGGAAGGGUGCGAAAAAAUACGGUGUUAUUCAAUGUGACCCACUAGUCCUCAAAGGCCUAGAGAAAACUGUGAGUAACCCUGUCAUAUUUUGUUCUUCUAGUGAUAUCUAGUUUUCAUAUUUUAUCAUCCUUUAUGACAUGAACUUGUGUCGGGGUGCCAUAUACUUUCAAAGCAGAUAGGUUAGUUUCUAGAUUUUAGAGCUGAAACAGAUAAGAUUUGUAGCCAAUUUCCAUGGUGCCUCUUAAGUUGCAGAUGUUUGUCUUUCAUUCUUUUUUCUUGCACAAGAAGUCAUAAAAAUGUUGUUUCUCCAAACAGGCUAGGCACAUGGUGAUUCCUUAUAUGCCAAUGUUGGUGCCACCACUUAGAUGGAGAGGGUAUGUUAACUUGUUUUAUAUUUACAGUUUUUCCACGAUUGUCUUGUUUUAAUUUAAUAUUUUUUAGUUGGAUAUAUUCCAAGUUCAGAAAUAUUAACAUAGUGUUUUGGUUACUUCUGCUUGAUGCCUGGAGCUGUUUUCAAUUUUCAUGUCAAGUUAAAUGCUUAAAAUGGUAUAAUAGAUGAAGGGAUGAAUCUCUGAUUAUAAAGACUGGAAUUCCAAUCCCAAUUUCAGUGAAUUGAAAUUUACAUUUCGGCAUGUUUCAAGGCUCUGCCUCUCCAUUUCUGUAACCUCCAUUGGAAGGGAAACUAAUUGUCUUGCGGUGAAGUGCAUCUUGGCUUCAAAGCAGCUUUUCCCCCAAUCAGUCUUGGUGAUGUGCAUCUUUCCUACAUUCAUUCAGAAGCAGUUGCACGAUGACGUCUGUCAGGAGUCAUGGCUAUGUUUCAGAGGAUAAACCAAGAUGAUAAUAUGAAAAUGUCCUUCAUGUAAUCUUAACUCUCAAUUGAUGCCGGGGUCUACUGGAUCAUGGACAGUCUUUGAAUAACAUUAUCCCCAGUAUGAUCUGAAUGUGCUCCUUCAUUGAUUAUCUUUCUUUGAACACUCAUGUUCUCAGUUUACCGAUUCAUUAUUUAAUCAUCUUUAUUUGCUCCCGGUUGAUCUGAAUACUGUUUGUUUUUCCUUUUCAGAAUCCACUAUAUUGCCCCCAAUGCCCUUUGCAGUUAUGAUAAAGGACCUGGCAUUUAAGUAGCUUUUUGGUGUGUUCUAAGCUCAUCUUAGAUAAUUGUGUCAUAGCUUGUGAUAUUUACCUCUCUCUUACUCGUGUCGAGCAUAACCUCAAUGCCCUUUGCAGUUAUGAUAAAGGAGCUCACUUGUUCUUACCAUCCUAUGUCAUGAGGAUACAUGGUGCUAAACAGCAACGUGAAGCAGUUAAGAGGGCACCUAGGAAGCAGCUACAACCAGUUUUUGAGGUCUGUACAUAUUAGAUGCAUUGCAUGGUUACUGAUGCGUAUUUUAUUGUUUGAACUAAAUCAUCUUUUGGUACUAACAUGUGAUGUUCUUUGAACACAAUCUUAUACUGAUUAUUGUGUAUACCUUCACAUGCUAUCACAUGUGUAGAUUUUACCAGCUUAGCUUCUGGUUUAACAAGGAUUCUCUUUUGUUUGAAUUAAUUUUCCAGGCCCUGGAUACACUAGGGAAUACCAAAUAGAGGGUAAAUAAGAGGAUACUUGGUGAUAGAAUAUGGAGUAAUGGAGGCUGUCUUGCUGAUUUGGUAGACCACAGUGAUGUGAGUAUCUUUUCUAACUUUCCUCAAUGUAACUCUUUUACCUUUGUGUUCCAAGAAUUGAUCAUGAUGACUAUAGCAAUUAAAAAACCUUUCUCGUUUAAUUUCUUCAUUCAGGUUCCUUUACAUGAGAGGCCAGAAACAGAGUUUUUCAAUUUUCCUUCUUUUGAAAAUGAUUUGUAAAUAAGCUGAAUGUUUUUCUCUUCCCCUAUAUUUAGCUGCUUCUCCCACUACAUACCCUCCCCCUAUGUCAUGUUCUUUUUGUGGUUGGAUUGCUCCAAGUUCACUCAUUAUUUUUAAAUUCAAUAAAAAAAGACAGAAAAUAUAUCACAAUAUAAUUUAUGUUUUGAAUUCUAUAAUUUUCUUUUAUCUUUUUAGUUAAAUAUAUUUUUAUCUUUUUUAUAUUCAAAAUACUAAACAAACACAACAUGCAUGUAAAUAUGAAUACACAAUAUCCAUACCCUAACAAAAAUAUUAAUUUAGUAAUAGUUUUUUUUUAUAAGCCUAACAAAUUGUCGCUUUGGUAGGCAUGCUUUGAAAUAGAAUAUGAAUUUGGGAAGGUAUUUUUUUUUAAUUAAUUGAUAAACUUCUAUAUUUUUCUCUUAGAUGCGCCAACAAUUUUUAUUAUUUAUAUUUACAACUAUAUUAACACAUAAAUACAUAUACAUCAAUAUAUAUAAUCAAUAUCAAUAUUUACACCAAAAUUGAACUUGCUUAGUUUAUAAAUAGCAAUGCGCCAAGCCCAAACGUAUUGAGUCUGGUGUUAGCCAAAUCUAGACGCGGUGGUUCUAGCAUUAGCUAGACCCAAAAAAUGAUUAGGUCUAGCCACUGUCAGACCCAAAUCUUGAUAGGUCUAGCGCUAGUUAGACCUAGCCAUGAUUAAGCUUGGUAGUGUGUCAAGCCGACGCGUGUUGGACAUCCAUCAAGUCUUUUCAAGCAAUAGAAGUUCAGAAAAACAAAAGAGAUGAGAGUUAAAAAAAAAAAAACAUGUGAGAAAGCAUGCGAUAAAAACAAAAAAAUACUAUUAGAAUUCACAGUAAAAUAAAAAAAAUACUAGUCAGUUUUUCUAUUGAUGUAGAAUAGGAAAGAAGACGAGGGAGAGAAUAGAUGACGGAGGAAAAUUGUGUUGAAGAAUGUGGGGAGGAGAGCAGUAGGAGUUGAUAUUCAGAUUUUAAAUGUCGAUUGUCAAAAGCCUUUCUAAAACAUAAUAUAUAUGCGUUCUCUUCUUAUGAGGUUUGAUAAUUGGUAAGAGUGUCCUAUAAAAUAAUUCCUAAUAAAUGCUAAAAAGUCAUAAUAAAACUCUUAAUUAAUACUAAAAAUCUUGUUAGUGUAAAUGAAGGAAAAUAGAUUUGGGUAAUAUUAUUUAUAUAUUAAUAAAGUAAUAUAAGAAAAAAAGAUAAAAAGUUAUAUCCUGACAAUAACCGUUAUAAUUAUUCACCACUCUUCAGCCUUGUAAUUAUGUCUGUUAUACAGUAUUAAUAGACAAGUAAGAAAAAAGAAUAUUGAAAAGAAAAGAAUGUAGAACAAAAUAGACUCUCAAAGAAAAUUCUCGGCCAAUGAUCCCAUUAAAAUUGUUUCUGCAAAUAAGGUAUACUUAGAUAGUACAAGAAAAUGAUGAUUAUUUAUUAUUUAAUGUGAUUGUGCUUAACUAGUAAUACUGAUCAAAAGAGUAUAAUUUGAAUGAAAAAGAACUCAAGGGAUGCACAAAUGUGCAGGAUUGUUAUCCGCUUUACAACCUUACAUGUUUCAGUAUAAUAAGCGUUAGGGAUAUUCAAGGAAACUGAAAAAUUGAUUAAACCAAAAACAAAGCAAUCCAAAAAAUCAAAUUAAGAAGAAAAACUCAAUAAACUAAUUAGAAAAUAAAAAUACUUUCCAUCCAGUUUAGUUUCAAUUUUAAAAUUUUAAAACCAAUUGAAUCAGAUCAAGUCGUAGACUAGUCAUUAUUAUUAUAUUCCCAUUAUUAUUUCCUAUUUUAUAGAUUUUUCUACAUUGAAGCUUUUGAAAAGAAAUAUUAACAUUGAUCAUUCAUGCAUGCACUUUUGACCAAAUUUUUCUCUUGCUUUUUUAUGUUGUUCCACUGAGAUGACUUUUUUUUUUGUUUUUUUUUGUGAAUUGAAAUUAUAUUAGAUGUUUGUAAUUGUUUCAUCUCAUUUAUAUUUAUUUUUUUAUUUUUGAAAAGUAAACUUCCUUUAAUUAAAUUUUUCUUUUUUUUGCUAUUUUUUUUUGUAGGGUUUACUCUUUUUUCUUCUUUGAUUAUUCUUAUUGUAAUAUCAAAUUAUCCCUUUGUUUUUUGCAGGUCUUAUCAAGCUGUUUGGUUUUUUUAUUUUGAAUAAAUCGAACUGAACUGAUUUAAUUUAAAUUGAUUUUUAAUUCAUUCCGGAUCGGAUAAUAAACACCCCUAAUAACCAUCAAAUCAUUUUCUCACGAAAUGGAACCGGAGAAUAAACAAUUAAACACCCCUAAUAAUCAUCUUGGCUUCCAGCUAUCUCCAAAUUGCAAUCACAUCAGGCACAUGUCGUUGCAUUCGCAUUCACCCCCUGACUAUGAACAGGAACCCCAAUUAAGUGAAAUGGUCCACAGCGUUUUCGGUCAACCAAGUCGGCUACCACUUGCAGCACAAUUAAUCAAAAAACGAUGUGAAUUAUGAUUUGAUGUCGAACCAGGUGGACUAUCAGCUGCAGCCACAAUUAUUUGAUGCAUAGCAAAAUAAUUAUUCAGAAUCACAGUACCUUGGCAGUCCUUUCCAGCCAACUUGAUGUGUUGUGUGGUAAUCCGAUGAAAAUCAAGAUCCCAAAGAGGGUGAUGCCGCUGAUGUAGUAGUUGCAGUGCCGAGGACUUUUAUGUAUAUAUAAUUAUGUAUACUGUGUUUUUUAUUUUUAUUUUACUCGGUCUCAUAAUUAAAUUUUUGUUGCAUAAUUUUUAAUUAAUAAACAUGUAAUUAUAAAUGAAGGAAAGAAAAAAUUGGAUGGACUUGUUUGUUUCAAUUUUAUUUUUUUGGUUUUAUCUUUUUUAUUUGUUUUUUAAAGCCUUUUUUAAGUCUUAAUCAAUUCUUUAUUUUUUAUUAUUUUUUGAGGUAUAAAAGUAUUUUCCAAAGAAUAUUUUAAAGUUAUUGGGCAAAUAACAUUGUUAGCCACGGAGAGAUCAAUGGUAUAAUGAUUGGACUCAAAAACUUUCAAAGACAAAAUCAAUAGUAUACUAUACGAUCCCUCAAACUCAUUAACCCCUCACAACUACCUCAAAAUUGCAAUCACAUCAGGCACAUGGCGUUGCAUUCGCAUUCAUCCCCUGACUAUGAAAUGGAUUUCCUGGAAAUUGAUCUCCUUGGUCUGCAGGAACCCUAAUUAAAUGAAAUGGAUUUCCUGGAAAUUGAUCUCCUUGGUCCACAGCCUAUUUUCUCCGAGACCGUCCAACCUGUUGAAAACUUGCAGUUUGGUGGUGGGUGUUUAGUAACAAAUCAAAGUGGGGUCCAUUAAAAAAAUUAAGUUUGAAAGAUAAUUUUUUUUAACAGUUUUUACAUGUUUUUUAACCGAGUUUCGUAAAAAUUUCUAAAACCUGUUUGUUUUUUCAUUUCAAAAACGCUUUUGAAAAAAGUUUAUUUUUAUUUUUAUUUUUUUCUUUGCUUCAAAUUAAUAUUUUUUUGUGUUUUCAAAUCAUUUUGAUGCGCUGAUAUUAAAAAUAAUUUUUAAAAAUUAAAAAACAUUAUUUCAAUUAAUUUUCAAGUAAAAAACACUUUGAAAAACAACCGCAACCACACUCUCAAACAAAACUACCAAACAUUUUAUAGAUGUUUUUUACUAUACAUAAACUUCAACUAUAAUUUUUACUAAAAUAUAUCUAAAUCCAACUAAACAUAACUAACCAUAUUUUUUUAAAUCUUAUUUUUUUCAAAUCAUGAUUAUAAAAGCUGUCUAAAAAAUAAACACGCUCUCAAGUCAGUUGGACCAGUUGUAUGAUGAGACCAUGUUUCUGUGCGACAAUAUGGCUUUUUAUUUUUUUAUGUGAAUAAAAAGAACAAAACCCUCAAAUAUCAAAUCUUUAUAUGUUUGAAUAUCUAAAAAGAUGAAAAAGCAAAAAUUUUCAAACUUUUUUCCUCUAUUUUUUUAAAAAAGGGGAAAAAAAGCAAUAUAGGUCAUGGAUUUCUUUUUUUACAUGGAGAGUAGUUAGAUCUCAUUAAAGCAAAUAAUUCAUCAAUCAUAAUCAAUACUCAAAACAAAGCAUGCAAGUACACCAUGAAUACUGUUGAUGGUAAAAAAUUAAAAAUGAUGUGUAAAUUGAGAUGGAGAGCUAAAUAUAUAAAAAUACAAAAAAAAACGAAUGCUAAAGUCAAAUUAUGAACAUCUAAAAGGCAUCUUGUGUGCGACUAUUUUCAUGUCACUAUGCACGACAGAAAAAAGAGAGGAUGCUAUAUUCAUACAUCAAUCAAAGAAUGUGUGGAUCCAAGGAGAACAAUGAACAUCCAGAAGGAGUCUGAAAGUGAUGAAUUAAGAUUUUAUUUGUAUAUUUUUAUAAAAAUUCAAGAAAGAUUUAUAAGUUUAAAUUUCCAGAAAUAUAAGCAUGCACCAAUGAAAAUAUGUUAGGUCUGACGCUAGUCAAAUCUAGACACAUUAGGCUUGGUAGUGUACCAAGUCCCGGACAUGCUAAGUCUAGUAGUUUGAAAUGACUUUUUUUUUUGGACACGCUCAAGAUAAUGAUCAUCCUUUCUUGAGUCUAAUCUAUGAAAAUAGCUCAUUCUCUAUGAGCAUUAGCUAUAAAAGUCAUUCAAAGACCUAUUAUAUUUCAUUAAAUAUUAAUAUAGAUGUAAGAAAUAUUUAUCUAUCAUUAAAUGUUAGAUAGAUCUCUUCAUAAAAAAACAAGAUUUAUAGGUUAUAAAUACACAAUGAAACUUUUAGAAUAGAAGUUCAUAAUCUUUAUUUUUUACUGCAUAUAUAAUUUCAAAGCAUCUCUCUAAAAUAUUAUUAUAUUUUAAAAAAAAAAGAUAUUUAUUUAAGUAUGGAUUUCAUUAUAAAUCAAAGGUAUUAAUAUGAUUUUUAUUAUGGAAAGAAAAAAGCAAAAAACUAUUUGCUAUUAUUUUUAAUUUUAACAAUUCUAAUUAAUAGAAUAGCUAUUUGAAUAGCUAAAAUACAUUUCUUCUACUAAAAUACUAUUUUUACAUACAAAAGCCAACGUCUCUUUAUCUAUGGUUAGCUUUUGUUUUUCUCUUUAAAGACACAACAAGAAGAAGAAAAGAAGCUUGCAAACCUAAAAAUUUUAACAUUAUUAUAUAAAACUGAAAACUGAAAAUAUUAAUAUAAAUAAAUUUUGAUUUUGAAAGUGUAAAAUUUAAACCUUAAAUUAUAUCUUUGAAUUUUCAUAUUACUUCAUUAAUUUUAUAAAUUUCUCAUAUUAAUUAUAUAAAAAAUAACAUGAUUAUAUUAUAUAAAAAAUAAUUAAACUAGUUAUAUAAUUAUAUUAAAAUUAGUUUAAUAUAAAAUAUAUUAAAAUAUAAUUAGCUUUUUCUAAAUGGUUUUUUACCAUUGGAAUGCACAUAAAUAAAUAAAAUUAUAUUUAUAUUAUUUAAAAAACUAUUUUAUCAAUUUAAUUUCAACUUUUAAAAAUAGCAUGUUUUAUAGGAGUUGCUCGUGUGCAGAAUUAUACAAGGGAGAGAGGAAGGAAACAAUGGGAAAGAGACAAAAGAAGUCCAAACAUAAUAUAACCCCUGCUCUUGACAGGAAGGUGCCUCUGCUGCCCAGUGCGCGUUCGAUAUCCCUAUAAUUUCUGGUUUGGGAAAGUGGUUUUAGACCCGUUUGGAAAUUUGAUUUUUUUUAUAAUUAUUUUAUAUAUAUAUUUUUAAUUUGUUUUGAUGUAUGUAUAUUAAAAUUAUUUAAAAAAUAAUAAUAAAUAAAAUUAUUUUUAUAUAUUUCUAAAAAAAAUUACUUUUAAAAAAUAAUUACUACUAUAUUUUUAAGCAUCAUGGUAUAAGAUUUGAGAUGAGAUAUUAGUAAUGGUAGAAGAAUUGGUGUUUGAGAUUGGGAAAAAUCAAAGUUGGACUGUUUGUCAUAAAAAUAUUAAAGUUGGAGAUUCUAAACUCAAUUUAAUAUGAAUUUUUUUACUUUGUUUUUCGUUAAUUAGUUCCAGUUAAUAGGUUGGUGGCUAAGUUUAUUUUUUAAAAAAAUCAAUGGGAAUUUAUAAUAUUUAAUAUAAGAGUUUCAUAGUUAAUAGUUUGAAAAUUCAUUAAAAAAUACUUUUCAAUUGUGAUGUGUGGGGCCAAUCCCUGCUCUUGACAGGAGGUGCCUCUGCUGCCCAAUGCGCGUUCGAUAUCCCUUUCAUUUCUCUUUUCACUUUUUUCUCCACCGAAACUCCAUCUUCUUUACAGUGUAAGAAAAGGAUCCGUAAGGAAACUUACCAGUACGAGUGAGUUCUUGACCUAAAGGAACCGGAAACAAUUCGAAGUCAUUGGAAUAAAAAGAAAAGGAAAGGGCUUUCGAAGUUGGUUACUAAGAUACCAGAAGAAUAAACAUUAUUAUUAUUAUUAUUAUUAGAAUUAAUAAAGAAAUAAAAGACCAUGAUGUUUUACUAUAGAUAGAUCGAAGCCUAGAUCAUAUAUUUUUUUUCAAAACAUUGAUUUCAAUUUAAGACCGAUUAAAUUGGAUUGUACUAGAUUUUGAAGUUAGAAGUAGGUCUCCGGAAGAUAUUAGGACGAGUUUGAGGAUUUGUUUUUACUGGAAAUGAAGAAAAAAGGUGUUAGGAUGCACAUGGAUAAUAUUGGUGGCCCUUGAUUUCCUGACUAUCGAAGCAUCCUCGAGAAAACAUAUAUAGCACCACAUGUUCUUCCAAUAAAUAACGUGUUUUUUUUUUUUUUAGAUUAAUGUGAAUAAUUGGAUCAGCUUACGUGUACCUCGACUAAUCCUAUAGGCCAUGAAGUUAACGACCAUGUAAGCCUCCAGUGGCCAUCAUAUGAGCAACCACAAGGCUCGAACCUGAGACCACAGAAAAAGUAAAUCCCUUAGUCCCAAGUUCUUACCACUGGACCACCACCUAGAUAGUUCUAAAUAUUCUUUGUUACUUCUUGUUGUGGAUAUCGGAUUAAAAGUUAUUUUUCAAUAGAAAAAAAAAAGAUGUGAGCACUGUCAACUUUUUUUAAGUUGAAGAAAUUUUUUAUUUUGCAAAAAAAAUGCAUGUUUUUAAUCAAAGCAAUCAGAAUUAUAUACAAUAAAAAAAUGUUAAAAUGCAAAUCAAAGAAUAAAUCUAGAAACUAGGUGAUAAAUACGGUUCAAAAUAUAUGAUUUCAUGUAGCCAAAAAAAUAUUAACAAUUUAAGUUCUAUCAACAUAAAAUAAUUCCUUAGUCCUUUUUUUAUUAUUUAUUGUCAAUAAAAAAUAUGUUUGUGUUUGAUAUUAUGUUUUUAUCUUGCGUUUGAAUACAUUUUAAAAAUAUGUUUGUCUUGUAAAAAUAUCAAAUUAAUAUUUUUUAAGUAUUUUUUAAUGUGUUUAUAUAAAAAAAUUUUAAAAAAAUUUAUACCGCAAUAUUAAACGCACACUAAAUAUCUAAUAGACUCCAAAGGUUCGAAAUAACCAUAAAAAAACAUAUUCAUAAUUAAAUCCUCUUUAUACUAUUAUUGUGAUUUUUUAAAUUUUAUUUAUUUAUUUAUUUAUCAGAAUAUUUAUUUUUUGAAGAAAAAAAAUUACGAGAGUCAUAAAAAAAUUAAUUAAAAAAAUAAUUAAUGGUUUUAUAAUUAUGCCAUGAAUGUAUAUUUUUUAUGUAAUCAUGCAGUAAUAAAAAAGUUGUGCGGAAAGCCAAAAAUCAAAAUUUAUUAUAGAGCCAACGGAAAUAAAGGUCGCGAAGAGGGUGAUGCCGCUGAUGGUUGGUUCUCUUCCUCCUUGUGAGCUUUUGUGGACACGUUCGGCCUCGGACAUUAAAGUUGAGGCAGGUAAUUGAUGGUACUGCAAUUGUGAGGAACGUGCGGUAGAAGAAAUAUUGGAUUAUCUCUUGGAGUCUUCGUCUAUGGUAUGUUAACUAUGGGUAGAAAGUGUCGGGAGAUGAGUGGCUGGGAUUCAUUAAUGAAUAGCGGCGUUACGAAUUUUCAUUAUUGGACGGAAAACCAUUUUUAUGAGUUUGCAUUUCAGGGUGUAGGCUGACGAAAAGCAUGGUUGAAUAGUAGCUAUGGGGUGGCAGCCCGCAUGACAGUAACUAUUUGAAUAUCUAAAAUACAUUUUCUUCUACUAAAAUAUUAAUUUUACAUAUUUACAUAUAAAAGCCAAAAACAAGGAGAAAAUAUAUACAGAACAAGCCUUUAGCCAACUUCUCUUUUAUCUGUGGUUGGCUUUUGUUUCUCUCCUUAAAAACAGAACAAGAAGAAAAAAAAGCUUGCAAACCUCAAAACCUAAAAUUUUUAACAUUAUUAUACAAAAUUGAAAAUUAAAAAUAUUAAUAUAAAUAAUUUUGAUUUUAAAAGUUUAAAGUUUAAAAUUUAAACUUUAAAUUAUAUCUUUAAACUUUCAUAUUACUUCAUUAAUUUUAUAAAUUACUUAUAUUAAUUGUAUAAUUAAUAACAUGAUUAUAUUAUAUAAAAAAUAAUUAAACUAGUUAUAUAAUUAUAUUAAAAUAUAAUUAGCAAUUUUAAAUAGCUUUUUACUAUUGAAAUUGCACAUAAAAAAAGCUAUAUUUACAUCCAUUUUUUCAAUUUAAUUUUUAACUUUUAAAAAUAGCAUGUCUUAUUGAAGUUGCCCUUAUGCAGAAUUACAAGGGAGAGGAAGACAAAAGAAGUCCAAAAAUAUUUAAUUUUUAAACAUAGAUGCUUGACUUGAGAAUUCAUUACAAAACAUGAAUCAACUCAAUUGUGAUGUGUGUGGCCCAACCCCUGCUCUACUGCCCAAUGCGCGUUCGAUAUCCCUUUCAUUUCUUUCUCUACUUUUUCUCCACCGGAAGUCCAUCUUCUUUACAGUGUAAGAUCCGUAAGAAAAUCAUUGGAAACUUACCAAUACGAGUUCUUGACCUAAAGGAACCGGAAAAAAAUCGAAGUCAUUGGAAUAAAAAGAAAGUAGUGAGGGCUUUGGAAGUAUGUUACUAAGAUACCAGAAGAAGAAAAAAUAUUGAGCCUGGCUGGAUCUUGUGCCUCUUUAGCCAACACUGACCACACUGUUUGUUUCGUCUAGAUUCGUGUAAUACUUGUAGAAAUUUGGUGUUUUCUGAUUUAUAAGUAGAAUUGUACAUGUUCCAGCUUGAAAUUGCUAUUUGGUAGAUUUAAUUGCCAUAUUUCUUGAUCUUACCUUCUGUUUCGUGUUUGAUCACAAGAGCAGGCCUUACACAAAAUAGCGUGGAAAGCAAUUUCUGAACCAAGCUAGCUAGUUGAGCCUAGAAGGAUCGGUACUAAUUUAUCGCUAUAGGGAUUUUCAUGGCUUCCACCAGCGUGCAAGGAAUAACCUCAUCUUCAUCUUCUCCUCCUCCACUAUAUAUGCAUGAUGUGUUCCUUAGUUUUAGAGGCAAAGAAACCCGGAACAACUUUAGUAGUCAUCUAUAUUCUAAUUUGAAACAGAGAGGCAUCGAUGUAUACAUGGAUGAUAGGGAGCUCGAGAGAGGAAAGGCCAUCGAACCUGCUCUCUGGAAGGCCAUCGAAGAAUCAAGGAUUUCAGUCGUUAUAUUUUCAAGAGAUUACGCUUCUUCACCAUGGUGCCUGGAUGAACUUGUCAAGAUUGUUCAGUGCAUGAAAGAGAUGGGGCACACAGUUCUGCCAGUUUUUUAUGAUGUGGAUCCCUCAGAUGUAGCCGAGCGGAAACGGAAAUAUGAGAAAGCCUUCGUUGAGCAUGAACAAAAUUUCAAGGAAAAUAUGGAGAAGGUCCGGAACUGGAAAGAUUGUCUCUCUACAGUGGCCAAUCUAUCAGGCUGGGACGUGCGGCAUAGGUAAAUCAUCCAUCCACUUUUAUUCACAAAUCCACCCUUUAUUGUUUCAAUGAUGAACAUAGCUUCUUUCUUUUAAUGUUUUUCAAUUGAAACAUGUGAUUAAACAUCAAAAUAAUCACAAUUAAACAAGUAUAUCACUACUAAUUCUUGAAUAAAUAAUUGUUAGUAUAUAUUUUUGAUCCAUUAAAUAGCUAUUCCUAGCUUUUGUUCUUGUGUGCAUGCUUCUUUAGUAACCGUGUGAUUCUAUAGGCAAUAAGAUAGCUAUUGUAAGGAUCAUUCUUAGCAUCAAUACAAUCCUAGUUCCGUUUGCAGUUUAUUCUUUCCUUUUCCUCUCUGUUCUUGAAGCUAUAUAUUGUCAAGCCCUAUCUUUCUCAAAGAUUGAUUUAUUAAUUUCCGGCUAACAGCCAUACAUUUUCGAGCUAAUAUUUAUUUUCCCAUUAUCACUAUCUGAUUUGAUUUGCACACAGCAUGAUUAAUGUUUUCCACCACCAUAUGCAGGAAUGAGUCGGAAUCAAUUAGAAUAAUUGCUGAAUACAUAUCGUACAAACUAAGUGUCACUCUGCCAACAAUUAGCAAAAAAUUAGUUGGAAUAGAUUCUCGUCUAGAGGUAUUAAAUGGCUAUAUAGGUGAAGAAGUAGGCAAAGAAAUCUUUAUAGGGAUCUGUGGAAUGGGUGGCAUAGGUAAGACGACUGUUGCAAGGGUACUAUAUGAUAGGAUUCGUUGGCAAUUUGAAGGCAGCUGCUUCUUAGAAAAUAUCAGAGAGAUUUUGCUAAGAAAGAUGGACCACGUCGUUUGCAGGAGCAACUUCUUUCUGAAAUCUUAAUGGACGUGCUUCUGUAUGGGAUUCUUAUAGAGGGAUUGAGAUGAUAAAGAGGAGGUUACGACUUAAAAAGAUUCUUCUUCUCCUUGAUGAUGUAGAUGACAAAGAACAACUAAAAUUCUUGGCUGAGGAGCCUGGAUGGUUUGGUCCAGGGAGCAGAAUUAUCAUAACAAGCAGAGAUAAACAAGUGUUGACUAGAAAUGGUGUUGAUAGAAUUUAUGAGGCUGAGAAAUUGAAUGAUGAUGAUGCUCUUACGUUGUUUAGCCAGAAAGCUUUCAAAAAUGACCAACCUGCUGAAGAUUUCGUGGAACUAUCCAAGCAAGUUGUGGGUUAUGCUAAUGGCCUUCCACUGGCUCUUGAAGUUAUAGGUUCGUUUAUGCAUGGAAGAAGUAUCCUUGAAUGGAGAAGUGCGAUUAAUAGAAUAUAUGAUAUUCUUGACCGUGAAAUUAUUGAUGUGCUUCGCAUUAGUUUUGAUGGCCUCCAUGAAUUAGAGAAGAAAAUAUUUUUAGACAUUGCCUGUUUCCUUAAGGGGUUUAAAAAAGAUCGAAUAAUAAGGAUACUUGACAGCUGUGGAUUCCAUGCACAUAUUGGAACACAAGUUCUUAUUGAGAAAUCUCUCAUAAGUGUCUCUCGGGAUCGAGUCUGGAUGCAUAAUUUAUUACAGAUAAUGGGUAAGGAAAUUGUUCGUUGUGAGGACCCUAAAGAGCCUGGAAAGCGCAGUAGAUUGUGGACAUACAAGGAUGUCUUCCUUGCACUGAUGGACAACACAGUGAGUAGCUGAUAAAGAACAUUAUCCAUAAGAUUUCAUAACUUUUAUUUUAAUUUACGCUCAAUCUCUACUUUGUAUUUGUUUUUAACUUGUAUUCCCUUUUGGUUGACAGGGAAAAGAAAAAAUAGAAGCCAUUUUCUUAGACAUGCCUGGAAUAAAAGAGGCACAAUGGAACAUGAAAGCCUUCUCUAAAAUGAGUAGACUAAGAUUGCUCAAAAUCGACAACGUGCAGCUUUCUGAAGGACCUGAAGAUCUUUCCAAUGAGUUACGAUUUAUUGAAUGGCAUUCUUACCCUUCAAAAUCAUUGCCAUCUGGUUUACAGGUGGAUGAGCUAGUUGAACUUCACAUGGCUAACAGUAGUCUUGAGCAAUUAUGGUGUGGGUGUAAGGUGAGAUCACCUAAUUUAAGGGCCUUUGUAUUUCUUUUUAUCGUUUUCCUAUAUAUGAUUGAUAGAAGUAUCCAUAUUUCUUCUCCCCUACCUGAUUGCAGAGUGCAGUUAAUUUGAAAAUCAUCAAUCUCAGCAACUCACUAUACCUGACCAAGACUCCAGAUCUUACUGGAAUUCCAAAUCUCGAGAGUCUGAUUCUUGAAGGUUGUACAAGUUUGUCUGAGGUCCAUCCAUCACUUGCACAUCACAAGAAGCUUCAAUAUGUGAAUCUUGUGAACUGCAAAAGUAUUAGGAUUCUCCCAAACAAUCUAGAAAUGGAAUCACUUAAUGUUUUCACGCUUGAUGGCUGCUCAAAACUUGAGAAGUUUCCAGAUAUAGUAGGAAACAUGAACGAAUUGAUGGUGCUUCGUUUGGAUGAGACUGGUAUUACAAAACUAUCUUCAUCGAUUCAUCAUUUGAUUGGCUUAGGUCUAUUGAGCAUGAACAGCUGCAAGAACCUUGAAAGCAUUCCAAGUAGCAUAGGUUGUUUGAAAUCCCUUAAAAAACUUGAUCUGUCUGGCUGCUCUGAACUUAAAUAUAUACCAGAGAAGUUGGGGGAAGUUGAAAGUUUGGAUGAGUUUGAUGCAAGUGGAACUUCAAUAAGACAACUGCCAGCAUCCAUUUUUAUUUUAAAGAAUCUUAAAGUAUUAUCUUUGGAUGGAUGUAAGAGAAUAGUUGUGCUGCCUUCUUUGUCUGGUCUGUGUUCUUUAGAAGUACUGGGUUUACGGGCUUGCAAUCUAAGAGAAGGGGCACUUCCUGAAGAUAUUGGCUGCUUAUCUUCAUUGAAGUCUUUAGAUCUGAGCCAGAAUAACUUUGUUAGCCUGCCUAAAAGCAUAAAUCAGCUUUUUGAACUGGAAAUGCUUGUCUUGGAGGAUUGCACGAUGCUUGAAUCAUUGCCUGAGGUUCCAUCUAAAGUUCAAACGGUAUAUUUGAAUGGUUGUAUAAGCCUAAAAACAAUUCCAGAUCCGAUAAAGCUAAGCAGUUCCAAAAGCUCAGAGUUCAUAUGUCUUAACUGCUGGAAAUUGUAAAAUCAUAAUGGCCAAGACAACAUGGGGUUGACCUUGCUUGAAAGAUACCUCAAGGUCUUCUCUUAAUCAAACCCCAACUUUUUUUUAUCUCCCUCUCCCUCAAUCUAUCUAACAUUUUGGUUUUUCAUGGUACAGGGUUUGUCUAAUCCAAGACCUGGAUUUAGUAUCGCUGUUCCAGGAAAUGAAAUUCUUGGCUGGUUUAACCAUCAAAGUGAGGGAUCUUCAAUUAGUGUGCAAGUGCCUAGUUGGAGCAUGGGGUUUGUUGCGUGUGUUGCAUUCAGUGCAAAUGGUGAAAGUCCUUCUCUUUUUUGUCAUUUAAAAGCCAAUGGAAGAGAGAAUUAUCCUUUGUUGAUGUCUAUUAGUUGUAACUCUAUCCAACUUCUGUCAGAUCAUCUUUGGCUAUUCUAUCUAUCUUUUGAUUACCUUAAAGAGCUUAAAGAAUGGAAGCAUGCAUCCUUUAGCAACAUUGAGUUGUCAUUUCAUUCUUAUGAGCCAGGAGUAAAGGUAAAGAAUUGUGGUGUCUGUUUGCUAUCUUCUGUAUAUAUUACAUCACAACCAUCUGUCCAUUUUAUUGUUACAAGCAAAAAAGCAGCUUCUUCAUAUAAAGCUUCUUUAGCUUCUUCUUCAUCUUACCAUCAAUGGAAAGCCAAUGUUUUCCCUGGCAUCAGAGUCGCAGACACUGGUGAUGCUUUCACCUAUUUAAAGUCAGAUCUAGCCCAGAGAUUUAUUAUCCCAUUCGAGAUGGAACCAGAGAAAGUAAUGGCAAUUAGAUCAAGACUCUUUGAGGCCAUUGAAGAAUCAGAGCUCUCAAUUAUUAUAUUUGCCAAGGAUUGUGCUUAUUUACCUUGGUGCUUUGAAGAACUUGUCAAGAUUGUCGGAUUCAUGGAUGAGAUGAGAUCGGACACUGUGUUUCCAGUUUCUUAUGAUGUCAAACAAUCAAAGAUAGAUGAUCAAACAGAGAGUUACAUAAUUGUCUUUGAUAAGAACGUCGAAAAUUUCAGGGAAAACGAGGAGAAGGUGCCAAGGUGGAUGAAUAUUCUCAGUGAAGUUGAGAUUUCAACUGGAUCGAGAAGGUAAUAAAUCUGUGCUCUUUAUAACAUCGGUUCCAUGUAUAGUUUGACUAUGCGGUGGGGAUGGGAAAAAUAAUGUUUAGUUCAACCAAAAAGCAUUAAUAGUCCUUUUUAUCUAAUCUAUUUUUUUGUGACAAUUUUACCUGAACCAAAGAUACCUGCUUUACCAAAUCUGAAUAUGGAUAUAAAUUAUUUUUAUUCAUUUGGGUUUGGAGGGAUUAAUAAUUUUAAAGUUUGAAAAAGUUCCCAUUAUGCCACAACACUUCUGACUUCUCCUUCUCACUCUUAGCGGCAUGGGAGCUCCAGCAACGCAGCAGCAGCAGCAGAUCCAGCGGAUCCAGCAGCAGAUCCAGCUCCAGCUCCAGCUCCAUCUCCACCAGCAGCAGCGGAUCCAGCUGCUCAAGUGGAAGUGGCAGCCCCAGCUGCUCGAGCCCCCGCUGCCCCAGCUGCUCGAGCCCCCGCUGCCCCAGCUGCUCCAGCGGCUGUGGCGGCAGCUCCAGCAGCAGCUCCAGCAGCGGAUCCAUUGGAUCCAUUGGAUCCAGGACUGCGACAACUUGCGUGAGCAGCAGGUGCGUGAGCAGCAGCUUGAGCAGCUGUCUGAGCAGCAGCUGCUUGAGCAGCAGCUUGAGCAGCUGUCUGAGCAGCAGCUUGAGCAGCUGCAUGGGUUUUCGGGAAGAAUCUAACUUGGUUUAGCUUGAAGAUCUUCGUCAGUUUUCCAUGGAUCUAAUUUCUUAUUAGCUCUUGAUUUCUUUCCUUGUUAAUUACCAUCAAAGUACAGUGAGCAGUGAUUGCAAGACAUCCUGUGAUCUUCCUUCUUGUUUGCAUGUUCAUCAAAGUAGCCAACACGAGGGAAAAAACAUGGCAAGGAUUUUCAUCAUGCUAGGACGGGUCCUUGUUUUUGCUCAUGGUUUUGGUUUGGGGUAAUAAGACUCACAUUUUGCAAUCUAGGCUAUCGGUAUAUUUUUAUUUUGGCGUCUCGGUGUUUCUGUGACCGUAGAUUCCAAGAGGUUUUUCCAGCUACUAAUUCUAUAAAUCUAAUGAAAACAGAAAUGAGAAACUCGUCAGUUUUUCUAUUGAUGUAGAACGAGGAAGAAGACGAGGGAGAGAAUAGAUGAAGAAUAGAAAGGUGACGUAUAAAGGAAUGUGGGGGGUGGGGGGGGGGGGGGGCGUGCAGAUUUUAAAUGGAUAUGGGUAAUAUUAUUUAUAUUAAUAAAGUAAUAUAAAAAAAAAAAGAGGAUAAAGAGUUACAUCCUACUAAUAAAAAUCAAAUAUCAUUAACUCUUCAUUCUUAUAAAUAAAUAUGUCUGUUAUACAAUAAUAAACAGUAAGAAAAAAUAUUGAAAAGAAAAAAAUAUAGAACAAAAUAGAGGAGAAUGGAUUCUCAAAAAAAAAAAAUCUAAUUUAAUUUUCAGAAGAAUUGUUAAAUAAAGUAGGCUUACUGAGUAAUGUGAUGUGAUAGUAAUUAUUUUUUAAUUUAAAAAUAUUUUUAAAAUGUAAAACAAUAGUAUUAAUUAAUUGUCAAAUUAUGUGCAAACAUUAUAUAUAUUGUCAAAUAUAUAUAUAUAUAUAUAUAUAUAUAUAUUAUUGCUUAUGUGUAUUUAUUGUUGUGCAAUUCUUUUCUCCUCUGUCUGUCUUGUUGAAACAAACUAGAAAGAAAAAUAAUGUGCCAGUUAGAAAUUGAGGGUUGAACACCAACUUGGUGAGAUUGUCUGAAACUUAAAAAGUAAAAAUGUAAUGGCUGGGAGUCGAACUUGGGUAGGCCAAAUACGCAAGAUUUAAGUCUCAUUCACCGCUGGGCCGUUGCUUGAGUUUUGUCACGCAUACAAUAUAAAUAAUAAUCAAACCUAAGACCUUAAGAAGGAACUACUGCAUUUAGUUGUGUUGUGGAUGUAUACAUUAAUAAUAUAUAUAUUUAGAAACAAAGGGUAUAAUUCUGCGUUGGUGAUUUAUAUUAAUGAUGUGGACUAAUUUUUGUGCAUUUUAUUUCCAUGUGCAAUUCUAAAUUAAUGAUAUGUGCAUUGAUUAGUUAUGAUAAAUUAAUUUAUAUAUGUUAUGACUACAAAUUUAUUAUUCACAUAUGUUUAUAUAUAUAUAUAUGUAUACAUGUUUUCCAAACACAGUGUAAUUCCAUGUUUAACCUAGUAGAAUUGUGAAUUUAUUGAAUUCUUAAAAUAUAUGUUAUUUUAAAUAUAUGAUCCUUACGUAAUUAAUUAUGAUAUUAAUAAUAUGAUUAUGAAAAUAGUGAGCUUUCGAUUUUUGAUUUUAAAUAUGAUGUGAAAUCAUUGUUGGCAUAAUUAAUUGAUAUUAAGGAUAUGUAUAUAUGUUUUAGUCAUCUAUUAAAUGUGAACCUCUGACUAAUAAAAUAAUUUUUUAUGUGAAAAAAAAUAAGAAAUGACUAUUGCUACCAGGAAUAUUGUGGCCGAGCUCAAUAUGAUCUUCUUAAGCCAACAAGCCUAAAAUUAAUUAAUAUAUACAUGGUUGUUUCUAGUUCACAAGGUACAAGAAGAAAGAAGCGUAUGCAUCAAAGUGAAUCUCAAUAUAAGCAAGGUAAAGAGAAAUCCAUGGAAAAGGAAAACAUUCUUCUAAGAAGAAAAGGAACAAUCACCAAGAGGUUCCUCUGGUCCACAAAGGGAUUUGAGCUUUCGACAUCUGCUGAUCUCAAGUUGCAUAACCCCACUCUUCAAUUUCCUGACAUAUAAAAUUGAUGAUGGAUCGACUGUGAGACUUGCGAGUCACAAGAGGUUNNNNNNNNNNNNNNNNNNNNNNNNNNNNNNNNNNNNNNNNNNNNNNNNNNNNNNNNNNNNNNNNNNNNNNNNNNNNNNNNNNNNNNNNNNNNNNNNNNNNNNNNNNNNNNNNNNNNNNNNNNNNNNNNNNNNNNNNNNNNNNNNNNNNNNNNNNNNNNNNNNNNNNNNNNNNNNNNNNNNNNNNNNNNNNNNNNNNNNNNNNNNNNNNNNNNNNNNNNNNNNNNNNNNNNNNNNNNNNNNNNNNNNNNNNNNNNNNNNNNNNNNNNNNNNNNNNNNNNNNNNNNNNNNNNNNNNNNNNNNNNNNNNNNNNNNNNNNNNNNNNNNNNNNNNNNNNNNNNNNNNNNNNNNNNNNNNNNNNNNNNNNNNNNNNNNNNNNNNNNNNNNNNNNNNNNNNNNNNNNNNNNNNNNNNNNNNNNNNNNNNNNNNNNNNNNNNNNNNNNNNNNNNNNNNNNNNNNNNNNNNNNNNNNNNNNNNNNNNNNNNNNNNNNNNNNNNNNNNNNNNNNNNNNNNNNNNNNNNNNNNNNNNNNNNNNNNNNNNNNNNNNNNNNNNNNNNNNNNNNNNNNNNNNNNNNNNNNNNNNNNNNNNNNNNNNNNNNNNNNNNNNNNNNNNNNNNNNNNNNNNNNNNNNNNNNNNNNNNNNNNNNNNNNNNNNNNNNNNNNNNNNNNNNNNNNNNNNNNNNNNNNNNNNNNNNNNNNNNNNNNNNNNNNNNNNNNNNNNNNNNNNNNNNNNNNNNNNNNNNNNNNNNNGCACUAAGCCAGCCCUCAUCUAUAUAUUAGAAAAGUGUGCUUAAUAGUCAUAUCUCUUUUCUUUCAAGUGUGUUUUGUAGCCCUUAUAUACUAGAUAAUGCACUUUAUAGUAAUAUUCAUUUUUCUUUUGAGUGCACUUUUUAGCCCUUGUAUACUAGAUAAUGUGCUUUUGAGCUCUAUCCAUUUUCCUUUUAAGUGCGCUUUCUAUCCCUCAUCCAUCAAAUAGUGCACCUUUUAACCUUAUUUUUUUUCCUUUUGAGUGCGCUUUCUAGCAUUCAUCCAUCAGAUAAUAUAUUUUCAAGUCCUAUCCUUUUCUUUUUAGUACGCUUUUUAGUCAUAUCAUUUUCUUCCCAAGUGUGCUUUAGAACUCUCAAUUCUAACACUCUUGGAAAGAUUAACUAUUUUUUUAACUGUAAAUCUAUGAUGUUGUGUCUUUUCUUAUUUACAACUUACUAUUUAAAGUCUCUUAUAAUUUUUUUUGUCAUAGGCAUUGUAAAGAUGAAGCAACUGUUAUAACCUAAUUUUGGGUUCCCCCAAAUUACAAGUUUUUUAAAUGAAAAGCAAUAAAAAAAUUGAAAAUGAAAAAGACUGAUAAAUUAAAAAAAAAAACAGGUUGAGAAGGGUUUCAAAUGCAUGGAAGAACCAAGCUGGAGUUGUAGACAAAAUUGAAAUCCUAAUUGUACCUAUUUGUACCCAAGAUCAAAAGACAAUGUAGAUUAAAGGGCAAAUUCAAUUAUUAUUGGAUUAAUUUGUAUUUUAAUAGGUCAACUUGAGUUAAUCAUGACCCUACUUAAAGGUUUUAUUAAGUUUAAAAAAUAAUUUGGGUCAAAUUAAGAGAAAUAAUUAAGUGUAACGACUUAAUUAGACUUUUAAUAGGUUAAAGUUAUUUUUAUUAGAAAUUUAAUUGGUGAAAAAUUAAGUUUGAAAGCUUAAUUUGGGCUUAAUUGAGAAUAUUAAAAUUUUAGAUGAUCAAAUUUAUUGUUUUUAAGCUUAAUUGUUUGAAUUCAGGGAUAUAAUUGUAAGAAAAUCAAAGUUUAGUGGUCAAUCAAGGAUCAAAUUAAAGAAAUUCAAGAUUAAAAACCUUUAUGCAAAGGAGCAAAAAUUUAGGGCUCAAAUUCGGUUGAAAACAAGGAUGAAAUUUAAAAAAUUAAAAGUUUGAAAUUCAAUUAAAAAUAAAAUCAAAGAACCUUUAUGUAAAAGCAACGUGUUUUUCGAAGCCAUCUCUCCCCUCCACAUCCCUCACACCAUGACACUAAACAUACCUCUCUUGUGACCUGCUAUUGUACCCCCAUCAAGAGCAGAAAAACAAGUCCUUUGGCAGUACUAAGAACACUGCCAAUCCGGCUUUUGUGGCUUUGUUUGGACAUGAGAAGGGUGGUCCAACACGUCCCUCACCCUCUAUAAAUGCCAACCUCAUGGCAACCAUAUGGCAGGGGGGGUAAAAAAGAAAAGAAAAAAGAAGACCAAACACUACACUAACACUAAACCCUCUCUACACCGACGACCUCACAAAAAUCAAACAACCUCAUCUCUUCCUGUCCCAAAGAACAACAACUAGAGACCAUUGAAAGAGCUAUCACAUCAACAAUUGUUUUUCUCUCCUAGCAUUCAUUCCUCCAUCGAUACUCUCUUGUGCACCAGCAACAGCCUUGACAGACCAAAAUUCAUUUUGUUAUGUUUCAAUUCGUGAGUUUGAGAGAGAAAAAAGAAAGUCACUUACGUACUAUUGGGUGAGGUCUUAGUUUUUUCACCGGUUAAAAGUUGUUUUGAUAUUUGAUAUGGAUUUAUUAAGAAGUGUGGGGUGUUUAUUAGGUGUUUUCAAGUUAAAAAUAAAAAAAAAAGUUAUUUAGGUUCAAGAAAAUGAAACCUAACUUUGAAGACCAAACACCUAUCCUUGACCCUUCAGGAAACACCAUCCAAGAUGUUGUGUCUACCCUUAUCCUUACCAUCUCCUUGUAUUUUGUUGGAGAUUCUUCCCAUUUGAAAGAUAAAAAUAUUGAACUUCUCUCCAACCUUCGGUGCAAGAAACUCAGUGACUUUCAGUGGUACAAAAAUACCUUCCUUACUCGUGUUAUGCUUCGAGAAGAUUCAAACCAACCAUUCUGGAAAGAAAAAUUCCUUGCAGGCUUACCAAUUCUCUUAGGAGAAAAGGUCCGCAACAAGAUCAAAGAUACCUUUACAACCAAAACCAUACCAUAUGACCAGCUUACAUACGACGAACUUGUAAGCUUCACACAAAAAGAAGGUCUUAAGAUCUGCCAGGAUCUCAAACUUCAAAAACACCUAAAGUGGGAAAUAAGAUGUACCAGGUAAGAACUUGGUAGUUUCUGUCACCAGUUUGACCUUUCCACCAAAAAACCCUCCUACAGUGGAACCUGUUCACAACCCAAAAAAUAUUCGAACCACAAGCCUCCUUAUAAACAAUCGGCCCAUAAAUACCGACAACAAUUUUAUCCCAAACCAGAUCAACCUUACUACAAAAAGCUCUACAAAUUCAUCAAACCCCACAAACCUUUCCAGUCAAAACCCAAACCAAAAUUUGACCUAAAAAAUAUCACCUGUUACAAAUGUAACCAGAAAGAACAUACAGCCCGUUUCUGCAAAGUCAAUACCAAACUUCAUGAGCUCCAAAUAGACGAAGAUACCAUCAACCAAAUACAAAAUCUUUAUAUUGAAGCCACAUACACUAACCACUCUCCUUCAGACACUUCUGAAGAAGAAUUUCAAAUUGAUGAAAUAGUAACCACCAAUGUUACUUCAGAUUCCUCUACGGAUUCCAAACAAAUUAACCUCCUAACCCAAGACCAAGAAUUCAUUCUUGAGGCUAUCAAGAGACUUGAUGAUCCCCAUCUUCAAAAAACCUACUUGGAUAGACUGUUGAAAGAUUUUCACCAACCAGAACACCCUCCAUAUAAUCCUCCAAACCGCUCUUUAUUACCCUUUACCAGCAUCAAUACAUAUGACCUUAAGAAGAUUCUUAACAAAAAGAAGUCCAAAACCACAGUAACCAUUCCAGAAUUAUAUUAUGAGAUCUAAACCCUUAAAUCCGAAUUACAAACCUUGAAACAAGCCCAACAGAAAGACUCUGCCAUAUUACAACACCUCCUGUCUAAAAUUAAAAGCCAGUUUGACACUGAAUCUGAACCAGAAGAUCAAACCAUUGAAUCUCAUGCAUUGCCCCAUACACUUACAAACAUUGAGCAUAUCCCAGAUGAUUUCCUAAAUGUAUUAACACAAAUAUUUUCAAAAAAAUAUUUGAUUAAAAUUACUCUGAUUUUUUCAGAAGAUUUUAAACUGGACACUAUCGCCUUAUUUGACACAGGUGCAGAUUUAAACUGCAUCAAAGAAGGCGUAGUUCCAAAAUGAUUUUUACAAAAUACCUCUGAAAAACUCUCUGCUGCUAAUAAUUCAAAAUUGCAUAUUGCAGGAAAAACCCAAGCCUCUGUUUUCAACAUGAGCAUUUCUCUUAAAACAUUCUUCGUUGUUACAAAAGAUAUAAACCAUACCAUUAUUCUUGGCACUCCAUUUAUUGACAUGAUCACUCCAUAUCAAACACAUCAUGAUUGUAUUACUACCAAAAUCAAUAGCAUCAAACUUGUUUUCCCAUUCUUAGAAAAAUCUAAGACUAGAAAUUUAAAUUUAAUUAAAGCAUGUUCCAUACAUACAUAUCAUAUCAAUGCACUGAUUCAUGGAAAACAAUUCCAUUUACAUGAUUUACAACACCAUGUUUCCUUUUGUCGUAUCAACAAGCAAUUACAAAACUCUGAUUUACAAAAGAAAAUUAUUGAUUUACAAACUAAGAUUGAACAACAGAUUUGUUCAGAUUUGCCUAAUGCUUUCUGGAAAAGAAAAACANNNNNNNNNNNNNNNNNNNNNNNNNNNNNNNNNNNNNNNNNNNNNNNNNNNNNNNNNNNNNNNNNNNNNNNNNNNNNNNNNNNNNNNNNNNNNNNNNNNNNNNNNNNNNNNNNNNNNNNNNNNNNNNNNNNNNNNNNNNNNNNNNNNNNNNNNNNNNNNNNNNNNNNNNNNNNNNNNNNNNNNNNNNNNNNNNNNNNNNNNNNNNNNNNNNNNNNNNNNNNNNNNNNNNNNNNNNNNNNNNNNNNNNNNNNNNNNNNNNNNNNNNNNNNNNNNNNNNNNNNNNNNNNNNNNNNNNNNNNNNNNNNNNNNNNNNNNNNNNNNNNNNNNNNNNNNNNNNNNNNNNNNNNNNNNNNNNNNNNNNNNNNNNNNNNNNNNNNNNNNNNNNNNNNNNNNNNNNNNNNNNNNNNNNNNNNNNNNNNNNNNNNNNNNNNNNNNNNNNNNNNNNNNNNNNNNNNNNNNNNNNNNNNNNNNNNNNNNNNNNNNNNNNNNNNNNNNNNNNNNNNNNNNNNNNNNNNNNNNNNNNNNNNNNNNNNNNNNNNNNNNNNNNNNNNNNNNNNNNNNNNNNNNNNNNNNNNNNNNNNNNNNNNNNNNNNNNNNNNNNNNNNNNNNNNNNNNNNNNNNNNNNNNNNNNNNNNNNNNNNNNNNNNNNNNNNNNNNNNNNNNNNNNNNNNNNNNNNNNNNNNNNNNNNNNNNNNNNNNNNNNNNNNNNNNNNNNNNNNNNNNNNNNNNNNNNNNNNNNNNNNNNNNNNNNNNNNNNNNNNNNNNNNNNNNNNNNNNNNNNNNNNNNNNNNNNNNNNNNNNNNNNNNNNNNNNNNNNNNNNNNNNNNNNNNNNNNNNNNNNNNNNNNNNNNNNNNNNNNNNNNNNNNNNNNNNNNNNNNNNNNNNNNNNNNNNNNNNNNNNNNNNNNNNNNNNNNNNNNNNNNNNNNNNNNNNNNNNNNNNNNNNNNNNNNNNNNNNNNNNNNNNNNNNNNNNNNNNNNNNNNNNNNNNNNNNNNNNNNNNNNNNNNNNNNNNNNNNNNNNNNNNNNNNNNNNNNNNNNNNNNNNNNNNNNNNNNNNNNNNNNNNNNNNNNNNNNNNNNNNNNNNNNNNNNNNNNNNNNNNNNNNNNNNNNNNNNNNNNNNNNNNNNNNNNNNNNNNNNNNNNNNNNNNNNNNNNNNNNNNNNNNNNNNNNNNNNNNNNNNNNNNNNNNNNNNNNNNNNNNNNNNNNNNNNNNNNNNNNNNNNNNNNNNNNNNNNNNNNNNNNNNNNNNNNNNNNNNNNNNNNNNNNNNNNNNNNNNNNNNNNNNNNNNNNNNNNNNNNNNNNNNNNNNNNNNNNNNNNNNNNNNNNNNNNNNNNNNNNNNNNNNNNNNNNNNNNNNNNNNNNNNNNNNNNNNNNNNNNNNNNNNNNNNNNNNNNNNNNNNNNNNNNNNNNNNNNNNNNNNNNNNNNNNNNNNNNNNNNNNNNNNNNNNNNNNNNNNNNNNNNNNNNNNNNNNNNNNNNNNNNNNNNNNNNNNNNNNNNNNNNNNNNNNNNNNNNNNNNNNNNNNNNNNNNNNNNNNNNNNNNNNNNNNNNNNNNNNNNNNNNNNNNNNNNNNNNNNNNNNNNNNNNNNNNNNNNNNNNNNNNNNNNNNNNNNNNNNNNNNNNNNNNNNNNNNNNNNNNNNNNNNNNNNNNNNNNNNNNNNNNNNNNNNNNNNNNNNNNNNNNNNNNNNNNNNNNNNNNNNNNNNNNNNNNNNNNNNNNNNNNNNNNNNNNNNNNNNNNNNNNNUAUUUCUAAAUUUGAUAUGAAAUCCGGGAUUUUGGCAAAUCCAGAUGAUCCCAAAGAUAGAUACAAAACUGCUUUUACAGUUCCUUUUGGUCAAUAUGAAUGGAAUGUCAUGCCUUUUGGUUUAAAAAAUGCCCCAUCUGAAUUUCAACGCAUCAUGAAUGACAGCUUCAAUGCACAUUCAAAAUUUUGCAUUGUUUAUAUUGACGAUGUACUUAUUUUUUCACAAUCCAUAGACCAACAUUUCAAACAUCUACAUACAUUCUUUCAUACUGCAAAACAAAAUGGUUUAGUUGUUUCUAAAACAAAAAUUUCUCUUUUCCAAACCCGUGUCUGUUUCCUAGGCCAUUAUAUUUGUCAAGGUACUGUCACACCAAUAGCUUUAACCUUUACAAGUAAAUUUCCUGAUAAAACCCAAUUGCAACGAUUUUUAGGCAGUCUAAAUUAUGUUCUGGACUACUAUCCCAAUAUUAGUCGUCUAGCCAAGCCUUUACAUGAUAGAUUAAAAACCAACCCCAUUCCUUAGUCUGACCUCCAUACCGAUCUAGUCAAACGAAUUAAGAAACAGGUUCAAAACAUUCCUCUCCUUCAUUUAGCUAAUCCUUUAGCUCCUAAAAUAGUCGAGACCGAUGCCUCUGACAUAGGAUAUGGUAGGAUUCUUAAACAAGUACAAGAUAACAAAGAACAAAUACUCCAGUAUACAUCCGCCCACUGGAAUGAUUGUCAAAAAAAUUACUCUACUAUCAAAAAGGAAAUCCUUUUAAUUGUUCUUUGUAUUACAAAAUUCCAAAGCGAUUUAUUAAAUCAAAAAUUUCUUUUACGUGUUAACUGUAAAUCUGCAAAAGAAGUUUUACAAAAAGAUGUCCAAAAUCUUGCUUCAAAACAGAUUUUUGCCCGAUGGAAAGCUAUUUUAAGUAUUUUUGAUUUUGAUAUUGUUUACAUUAAAGGAGAUUCAAAUUCUAUCCCUGAUUUCCUAACCCGAGAAUUCCUCCAAAACAGGUCCUGAUGCCACCUAAAGCAAGGGCUAAAGACAAGGGGGAAGCCCCCCAAACACAGCCUACAAAACCAGAAAGCCCCAAGCCUUCUGCAAAACUCGUGUCUUUCGCCAUCCUUUCUGUCAAACCUGUCAAAUCAUGGUAUGAGGCAGUUCUUGAAGAAGAAGAACCUACAAAAUCACCACAGGUCCAACCCGACACUAUUCAACAUUGGGUUGACACCAUCUCCAAAUCACCAGAAUUACUCAUGGCAUUACAAAAAGUGUCCCAACAGGCCUAUAACGACUCCGUAUCUCCAACAGGUAGUAUUUCCAAAUCCCUUUCAAAACCCCAAGGAGGUUUUUCUACUUCAAAACCCCUCCUUUCUUUACAACAAACCAGUUUUCCAAAAACCAAAUCCAAAUAUAUUUUCAAAACUACUUUCCAAAAUAUUUUAACUAUAGAAGAAGGAUUUUAUCAUGAAAAUCCUUCCAUUGUUGCUUCAAAGAUUUUCCCUCCAAAUUGGUACUACAAACCCUGGAAUUUAGCCAAACCACAAUCCUACUAUGCCACCAUCCUUGAGAUUACCAAUUCUGUCAAAUUCAAACACUUCAAACUAUAUUCUGAUCAUAUUGAACCCGCAUAUUCUACAUGCAUCAUUCACAAAGUUAUUCACCCUAAAGAUUGGGGGCAAUCCUUACAUCAACCUCUCUCCUUCCCCAUGCACUUUCGUACAAAUCCUCAGGAUUUCAAUACUACCUAUACGUAUUGGGAUUACCAACAGCCAUGGUUCAGUGCCUUCCUCCUACAAAAUCAAAACCAUAGCCACUCUUGGCUUUUCUACUUCCAUAAUACAAUGAAUACUACAAACUUUCCCCUCUGGUUCCUCCAAUGGUGGGACUACUAUGGUUGUCACGUUGACUACCUCAAAGACCAUCCUCUGGUUGAAAAUGGUUACCUCCAUUUCAAAAAUAAUUUUCAACAGCCCCUUCUGAAAGGAAGUUUUCUUCCCUUCUCAUUUUCUGUACAAAGUUUUUUGUUCCAUGGGUAUGUUCCUGGUUCUAUGACUAUAAUCUACAAAACGGACACCCAGUACUUGUUCGGAAAUUCAAAAUUAAAUGGUGGGAUUCCUUUGCAACUGAGUCCAAAAGUUCCAAAUUAGCUGUUACGGAAUGGUUACAAAAAUAUCAAAAGACUCCCAUUAUUGAUCAUCAUCCUGAAUCAAAGUUUCUAGCCCGAAAGGCUCAAACAGCAGCUCUCCUUGCCUUUGCCAGAACUGAAGAGGAAUACUUACAAAUAGUACAAGGCAUUAUACAAAGCCAAGAUCCAAAAACAGUCUUGUCACACUCUAGCUCAUCUGGCUCGAUAUCUCCUGCCAUUUCCCUUGGAGAUGAUAAUGAAGAUGACUGCUUUGGUAUCUUGCCACCUAUCAAGUGACAUUAAAAAAAAAGUAUUUCGAACUUUCUCAGGCUUAUCUGUUUAGAGCUCAUAUCUUUUUGACUCACCUGUUUUGAGUCUCUUUGCUAAAGCCCAUUUGUUUUAGGCUUUUCCUACAAAUAUUACCUGCUACUAUAAACAUACAAAUCAAGUGUCGGUAGCAAGAAGACAACAAAUGAAAGUCCCACAAAAAACGUGGGCAUCCUCCAUUUUGUCAUCACUCAAUCAUGGCAGGCAAUACCACAUGGGUUCACAUGGGUUCUGAAGGCAUCUCCAAACUUUUCAACAAGAUGUUUUGGCCUCUUCUAGGACAACUCGUCUAUAAAAAGGAGACUCCUACAACCUCAGGAGACAGACUAAUUUUUUCCCAGAAAAUUUUACUCUCCCCUGUAAGUCAUAUCUGUAACCCAUUCUCGUAACCAAUAUCUCCUGUAUUAAUUUUCAUUACAAAUUUAAGUAAGAUAAUCUUAUUUUUAUCUAUAUUUUGUUAUAUCUGUUCCUGUUCUUUUUAUUCUUAUGAUAUUUAUCUUUUUAUUCUUGUUAUAUUUAAGUAUGCUCUAUGUUUGAUCAAGGAUCCUGACAUUGCUGGUCUUGCCUUGUUCAUUCGCAUCAGAAAUCUGUUUAUAUUCUUCUGUUCUUGUUCUUUUAUAAAAUCAGUAUAUAGGCUGGAAACCUGUGACCCGAUCUUUUAAAUCAUUCUCAGGUAUAACAACGCCACGUACUGAACCCUUUGUUUAUAUUUAAAUUUGCUUAUAUAUAUGGCCACCUAACGUUGAGAAGGAAAGAUGAACGAAUUAUUCUCACAAUAUUACUUUGUUUUAACAUGGUAUCAGAGCAACAAAUUUGAUACCCUUUUUCUCUUUUAUUUCCCGAAGUUUAAAUUGUUAGAGUACAGUGCAUUAGAUUAUAACAAGUGUCUAUAGUUAGUUAGUUAGUUAGAAAAGUUACAUGCAGUUAAGCUGUUACAGCUACAUGUGUGUGUGUGUGUGUAACUAACUAACUAUAGACAAAUUAAGCAAUUGAAUAACAGAAAGAAGAAGAUUAAUAAGUUUUCAUUUUUCUCAUCUCUCACUCAAUCUCUCUGUAUAUUACAACUUGAUAUACAUGUUAACAUGGUAUCAGAGCUAUCAGCUCACGCUUGAAGAUCCUCUCUAUUGCUUCCACAUUCUCUCUGCUUCUUCUCUAAAUUCUGAUCUCUGUUUGAUAAUCUUGAAACUUUUCAAUAGUGAUUGCUUCACAACUUCAACUUCUGCAUUCUCCAAUCACAGCUCUUCUCUCCUCUAUUCCCACAUCUAUUAAUGUCAAGCUAGAUGAUUCAAACUACCUCAAUUGGAACUUUCAGAUGUGACUUCUUCUUGAAAGCAAUGGCAUUAUGGGGUAUGUUGAUGGAUCAAUUCAUUGUCCACCUCAACUCAGCUCAACUUCAAGUGAAUCUGGUAUCACCUCUUCUUAGAAUGAUGAAUACAUAGUCUGGAAAAUGCAUGAUCGAGCCAUCAUGCAAUUGAUCACUACUACAUUAUCACCUGUUGUUAUGUCUUGUGCAAUUGGUAGCACUAGCUCCAAGGAUUUGUGGAAUCGAUUGAAGGAACAGUUUUCAAUUGUGUCUAGAACUAGCAUUUUUUAGAUGAAAUCUAAUCUACAAACAAUCAAGAAAGGGCAGAUUCGAUUUCACAAUAUCUUCAUCGUAUUAAAGAAGUUAGGGACUAUCUUUUGGCUGCUGGUGUAUACUUUGCUGAUGAAGAUAUUGUUAUUCUAGCUCUAAAUGGCCUGCCUACUAAGUAUAACAUGUUCAGAUGUGUUAUAAGGGGGCGUGAAAGUGUGAUCACACUGUAUGAUUUUCGAUCACAGUUGCUUGCAAAGGAAGUGAUUGUAAAGGCAUCGGCUCAUGCUCCUCUAAUGACAGCUGUUGUUACUCAUUUUUGGACCCCAUGUGCUGGAGACGGUGUAUACCUCUUUUGAACCAAGUGUAGGAGUUUAACUCAUGUUUGCUGGAGGAUUGAUAAAAGUAGAGAAAGAAAUAUUUUUUUCGAAACCCUGUUUAAGCUGUUUUCUGCUCUCUUUAUCCUUCCCCUUUGCUGCCAAAAUCAUCAGGUUUUCUUAGACUAACUAGGGGUCUUCAUAAUGCUAAAUUCAUUCCUUCGUUAUCUUGUUUUUUAAGGUUGGAUAAAUCCCUUAAAUUUUGCACUAAAAAAAAACUGAUUCUGCUGCUAUCGCAAUUUUUUAUUCCAAAUUAGGCUCUGAUUCUGACUUGGUUUUGUACAUAUCUAACCAUCCUAGCUAUAUUCUGUCACUCAUGACAUGUUGAAAAAUUGACCUACACCUUUAUUGGGUCCUAGGGAUCACUGAUCUUAGGGCAGACUCUUAGUCAGAUUUGGAUGCUCGGCAUUGUCAAAUCAAGAACCUUUCUGACCAACGAGAUUACUGCCAGAUUCUGUUCUUUAAAACGAUUUUAUCUCCCUUUGACUCCUUCAUCAAAGUUGUAGUUCUAGACGCGUAGAUAAAUUUGGGCUUUUGAAUCACUUGAUUUCAAUAUCAGAAGCUCAAGAUAUUCCUGUUUGAAUAUCUAGUGUGAAAGCAGGGAUUCCUGCCACAAGAAGGAUUUUUUGCCCAAGUUCGCGGGACUGAUUCGAAGGAUUUUUUUUGGACCAAAGACUGAAUCGAAAAGUGCUAAAAUGAGGGAUUGAAUUGAAGAAGGAUAUUGAAAGCUGGAGAGGGGGGUUGGAUCAUCAUAAAUGACAGGAUUUUUACCACAUCAAAUAAGGAAAAUAAGACUUUGCCGCUGCACCCUCCAUCUGAUUUCUUUCCUUCUCUGUAAAUUCUAAUGUUUUUCCUUUAUCAUCACGCCUGAUUUUUAGAGCUGCAACCACGUUUUUAUUGCCUCAUUUUAAAGGGAGCAGCUGGCUCUAUGGAAGGAAAGAAAAGAGCCGCACCAUCCUCUAACUAGGAAAGAAAUCACUGGUGAUCACAGAAUCAGAAUCAAAUAUUCUGGUUUCCUAUUUCUGCUCACCCGAUAUUACACCCUAGAGUUAAUGUAAUAUUUGUUUCCUAAACAAAGCCAUGUAUAGGCUAUAUAGAAGCCUCGGCUGCUGACCUAAAGAAAAAAAAAGAAACACAGAAAAAGAAAGGAAAGAACAGAAAAAAACGAGAAAAGAAAGACAAGAAGAAACGAGAGAGAGUCAAGGCAGAGAAAGCCAUAAGAAGGACACCGUCGAAAGUAAGGAAAAACACAGAGACAAGGGCGACAACUCCACCAGCACAACACGCCUUCAUCGCCAUCAUCUUCGUCAUCUCGCGAGAAAGCAUCAGCAGAAGGAGAGAAAACGAACAGAGACCAAAACCGGCGUAGCCUAUCUGUUUCGCUGUCCCCAGAAGCAGCAACCAUUGGCUGAGCGCAAAAGCUUCAGCACCUGUCGUCUUAGUUCGUCUCAGCGCCAGCUUUCAAGAAAAGGAAAGCAGAACAGAGAAGAAGGGACAGAGAUAAAAGGAGGAGAAAACCGGAGAGAAAGGAGCAGAAAAAAAACAGCAAAGAGAAAGAUAAGAAAAACGCAAGAGAGGUAGAGUAAAAAGAAAAAAUAGAAGAAAAAACCAGUGAGACCUACAGUUCUAGAUGUUUUAACGUAGAGGAAAGAAAAACUAGAGAAGCAGACAUAAAUACAGAGCAGGAGGAAAAUAUUUGAAACAGACGAACACCGGAUCAACCAUCACGCUUUCAACGUCGCUGCAGCUUCUUCCCUUCCGUUCCCAGGUCUGUUUUUUUUCUCUUCACCUCCCAGCAUGCAUGUUUUUUGUUUUGUGUUUGCACUGUUCAAGUAAAUUAAUUCACUUGAACAGUGCUCGCCAGCUUUCUUUGAACUUUACCUGCGCCCCCCCUUUUUUUGUGUCCAGCCGGGUCACUGGCUUGCGCAAGUGACCCAGCCGGACUUCCUUACUUUUUUUUUUAAAGAGGAAGAGAUUUAUUUUCUGAAUAUUUAUUUUAAAGUCUGAAUUUUUUUUAUGUUGUAAAAAAAUAUAUACCAAUCUCGUAAUUAAAAUACCCGGUUUUCGACGCAACUGCGGCAAAUAUACAUAUAUAUCAAAAUUUGUUUUCUUGUGUGUUGCAUACGGCUAAUACCCUAACAUCUUUUUGAAUUUCCUCUUAAAAAAACAAAUAUUUGAAGUUUUGAAAAUGUGUUUUGGCAUGAAUUUCUUAAACACAAAAAUUAUUUUCUUGCAUUUAUGGAUUUUACAACAUGUUUGUAAAACUCCAAAGGGUGUUGGCCAAUAUUUUAAAAAAUAUAAAAAUCUUAUUUUGGGGGGAAUUCAUCUAUUAUUCACCGCUAAUGUUUGGAUAAAGAAAUCCUUAAAGGACGAAUAUCCAAAAUAUUAUUGGGAAUAAUUUGUUAUUAUUCACUGUUAAUAUUUGGAUAAAGAAACCUUGAGUGGUAAAUAUCUGAAAUAAUUUUUUAGGAAUAAUAAAUCCUCACACAUCCUUGAAAGAAGCCUUGAUUAUAAUCGAGGACAUUUCAAUUUUUUUUACUCCACGGUUUACGAGCCGUGAGAGUAUAAAACACUAAGGCAAAAAUAGGCUUUUAAAGCGCUCUAGAUUUCUAAAUUUUUGUCCCUCCUUGCGAUUUACGAGUCGCAAACUCUUGAAAUACCAAGGGAAAAUGAGCUUUUAAAGCACAUGGAAUCUCCUUGGAUUUCUAUCUUAAUAAAUAUAGUUAGAAUCAAACCUAGAAAAAACUGAUGGAAUUAGAAAACACCAACACCAUAGCAAUUAUAAGACAAACCAAACACCAAGCAACUUAUCUUAGGUAGGGCGUACUAUGGGUGCUAAUACCUUCCCUUUAUGCAACCAGUCCCUUGCCUUAGAAUCUCUGAAAGACCAGUUAGGUUUCCUAGUGACCAUAAUACUAGGUGGCGACUCCUUUAUUCACAAAACAAAAAAAAACCCCCCGAAAUCAAUCGAGGGUCGCCACUCCGCCGCGAGGGUGCGACAACAUCAAUGGCUGCUGAUACAGGUUUUCUUGUGAAUCAUGGUCCAUCUCAGGCUGUUAACAGAGGUUUUAAGCCUUAUAGUGGGAACAUAAACAAUGGUAGAGGUCGAUUUAUUCAGGGAGCUAGAUAGUUUCACUCUAGACCAGUGUUUUCAUCUAUGGCACAUAAACAUCCACACUCUAAUCCUGGAGUUCUUGGCCCUUCCCCUGGUCAGCAGUUUCACAGUAAUUCUGCAUCCAUGAUGCCAAUCUGCCAAUUAUGCAAUUCUAAGGGACAUACUGCCCCGUUCUGUGAUGCUUCCUCUUAUAAGAAAACCAAAUGUCAUAUAUGUGGUAGAACUAAUCAUACUACCUGGUUUUGCUUUUAUAAUGACAAAGGACCAAACUAUAUUGGCAUGCAUACUUCUAUUACUUACUCUUCACAACAGUCUUAUCCCACACAACCACCAACUAUGCAGCAUCCCUCAUACCGAGCUCCUUCACCACAUCUCUCAUUCUCAUCUUUUUAGUUUCCAGACCAACAGCCCACUAUGCAAGCCAUGCACACCAUGCUCAACUCUGCAUCUCCAUCAUCCAAUUCUUCAGGAUCAUCUCAAGUAUGGCUCGCUGAUUCUGGUGCCACCAAUCAUACGACGGCAGAUUUGAAUAAUCUGAUAUUGGCCUCACCAUAUCCAAUAGCUGACACAAUUCAUACUGCCAAUGGUGAACGUUUGAAAGUAUCUCAUGUUGGUCAUUCUAUCAUUAAUUCAUCUAUGUCUCCACUCAAAUUGAAUUCUGUGCUACUUGUUCCUCAAUUAACUCAGAAUCUACUGUCAGUCCAUCGGCUCUGCCUUGAUAAUAAUUGCUGGCUUAUUUAUGAUGCAUUUUGCUUUUGGAUUCAGAACAAAGCCACAAGGAGGAUUCUUUACAGAGGCUUGUGCAGUAAUGGACUGUAUCCUAUCCAUGCUUUUUCACCUUCACAUUCCACGACAUCGCCAACUCAGGCAUUUCUUGGACAACUCAUUCAGUCCAAUCUAUGGCACCAUAGGUUAGGACAUCCCACAAAUUCUAUCGUCUCCCUCAUGCUAAAUAAAGCUCAUAUUCGUGUUCCCAAAACUUCUUCCCCUAUGUUGUGUCAUCCUUGUCUUGCAGGGAAAGUUAGCAAACUACCUUUUCCACAACAUCAUUAUAAAUUUACUUCUCCCUUUGCCAUUAUCCAUACUGAUUUGUGAGGACUCGCACCAUGUAUAUCAGUGGAUGGUUAUAAAUAUUAUACUAUCUUUAUUGAUGAAUGUACAUGUUAUUGCUGGCUUUUUCCCCUAGUCAAUAAGUCUGAUUUGUUCUCUAAAUUUGUUGCCUUCUAUUCCUUUCUUGUUACACAAUUUUCUGCUACUGUUAAACUCUUCAAACUGAUGGGGGGGGUAUACUUGCAAUCAUUUGAAACAUUUUUUUCUUGACAAAGGCAUUGCACAUCACCUCUUUUGUCCACACACUCUUAAACAAAAUGGGGUAGCUGAGAGGAAACAUAGACAUAUUAUGGAAACUACAAUCACUCUAUUGCACACAACCAAAUUACCAUAGACAUAUUAUGGAAGCUACAAUCAUUCUAUUGCACACAGCCAAAUUACUAUCUCAAUUCUGGUCCUAUGCAUGUUUAACAGCUAAAUACCUCAUAAAUCGUAUGCCAACUCCUGUCCUUCUUCACAACUAUCCUUUAGAGAUGUUAUUUGGGUCUUCUCCAGAUCUUAAUCACCUUAGAAUAUUUGGUUGUGCCUGUUUUCCUCUCCUUCACCCUUAUAAUCAUAACAAAUUACAGCCCAAAACUACCAAAUGUGUGUUUCUUGGGUAUGCCAUCAAGUAUAAAGGUUAUUUGUGCUAUCAUGUGCCUACACUGCGAUUGUUUAUUUCUAGACAUGUUAUAUUUGAUGAACAUCAAUUUCCCUAUCCUGAAUUCCUACAUAUCUCUUCACCCACAGUUCUGUCAUCACCGUCCUAUUCCUCUUCCACAUGUCCUAUGAUUCUUGUUAAUACAGAGAACACAGUUAUUCCUUUCUUCUAAUCGUUUACAAUUUUUAGCUGAUAAUUCGCUUAAAUUUAAUUUUGAUUCCAGUCAUAAAUGUGACGUUUGUCCAUUGGCAAAACAAACUCGUCAACCUUUUCCUUCUAGUUCAAUUUCAACUUCGAAGUGUUUUUCUCUUAUUCAUUGUGAUAUUUGGGGUCGUUAUAAAACCCCUUCUAUUUCUGGUGCUUUUUAUUUCUUGACCAUUGUGGAUGAUUUUUCUCGUUUUACAUGGGUUUUUUUAAUGCGUAACAAGAGUGAGACACAAACUCUACUUCGUCAGUUUUUUCAUUAUGUUCACACUCAAUUCAAUACAAAGGUUCAAAAACUCCGUUCUGAUAAUGGGGCUGAAUUUCUUUCAUUAAAAAAUUUCUUUCUUGAGGAAGGCGUCCUUUUUCAACACUCUUGUGUAUAUACACCUCAGCAAAAUGGUGUCGUUAAGCGCAAACAUAGACACAUCCUUAAAACUGCUCGCGCUUUAUGUUUUCAAUCUCAUUUACCCAUUACUUUCUGGGGAGAAUGUAUUCUUACUGCCAUCCAUAUUAUUAAUCGCCUUCCUACUCUGUUGCUUAACAAAAAAACACCAUUUGAGAUUCUUUACAACAAACUUCCUGAUUAUUCUCGCAUGCGAGUUUUUAGAUGUGUUGCUUUUGCAACUAUAGUCAAUCCAUCCUCAAAAUUUUCUCCCAGUGCCACAAAAUGCAUUUUUCUUGGUUGCCCUAUGGGACAAAAAGCUUACAAACUUUACGAUAUUGCAACUCAGAAAAUUUUCACCAAUCGGGAUGUAGUAUUUCUUAAGGACACCUUUUAUCAUCCACCACAAGUCUAUCUUCCAGCACAUAAUCCACCAGGCUUGCCUAUUCCUCUUCCUAUUGUGUCUGAUUCUUAUUCCCAUCUUCCUCCCUCAUCAGUCAUCAUCGACCCCUUUGAUCCCCCCAUAUCCUCUUCACCUGCACCAACCGACCCAGUACCUUCUCUUCCUGAGCCACCUUCCUCUACUCCAUUAACUCCACCAGCUGCACAACAAACCCCUGUUUAGCCGGAUGACCUUGUCCUUCCUGCACCUACUCUGGUUAUUCCUGAUCAGCCACUUCGCCGUUCUCAACGCCCUAGAGAAGCCAAUGUUCGCCUCAAGGAUUAUGUUUGCUCGCAGGUGAUUCUGCCUCCACACCAAUUGUUCUCAGCCUCGUCUGCACCUACACCAGGUACGAAGUAUCCUCUCUGUCAUUUUAUUUCUUAUAAUCGGUAUUCUCCAUCACAUCUCUGUUAUAUUGCCAAUGUUAGUCGUGAUGAGGAACCUCCUUCAUAUGAACUUGCUAUGACUGAUCCUAAGUGGCAGGAAGCUAUGAAUUCUGAGCUUCAAGCUCUCAUUGACAAUCAGACAUGGAGCCUUGUUCCUUUGCCCUCUGGCAAACGCCCGAUCAGUUGUAAAUGGGUGUAUCGCAUCAAACGCAAGGCUGACGGGUCUGUUGAGCGCUAUAAAGCUCGCCUGGUCGCUCGGGGUUUCACACAAACUGCUGGAAUUGAUUAUCAUGAUACUUUUUCCCCCACUGCAAAAAUGGUCACUGUCCGCUGCCUCCUUGCUAUUGCUGCCAGUCUGAACUGGCCUUUACAUCAGCUAGACGUUAACAAUGCUUUCUUAAAUGAUGAUUUAUUGGAAGAAAUAUAUAUGUCUCCUCCUCCUGGUCUUCGGCGACAGGGGGAGAACAUUGUGCGUCGCCUCCACAAGUCACUAUACGGCCUUAAGCAAGCAUCUCGACAGUGGUUCUCUAAGUUCACAGAAGCUGUUCUUGCUGCUGGUUUUUUUCAGUCAAAAGCCGACUAUUCCUUGUUCAUCAAAAGAGAUGGCACAUCUCUUACUAUCCUAUUGAUCUAUGUAGAUGACAUUUUGAUAACCGGGAACAACAUUGAAUCCAUCAAAGGUUUAAAGCAGUUCCUUCAUACUCGUUUCCGCAUCAAAGACCUUGGUGAUCUGAAAUUCUUCUUAGGCAUUGAAAUAGCCCGUUCCAAGAAAGGCAUUUACAUUUCCCAGCGCAAAUAUGCUUUGGAAAUUAUCAAAGACAGUGGAUACUUGGGUGCCAAACCAGUUGAGUUUCCUAUGGAAGAAUGCAGACUUUCAAAUACAGGAGAAUUGCUCAAAGAUCCUUGUAUAUACCAGCGUCUAGUUGGUUGAUUAAUUUACUUAACCAUCACUAGACCUGAUAUCACAUAUUCAGUUCACAUUCUCAGCCGAUUCAUGCAUGAACCACGACAACCUCACAUGGCUGUUGCUCUUCGAGUUGUUCGUUAUUUAAAAUCAGCUCCUGGUCAAGGUUUGCUUCUUCAUUCAAAUAACUCAUUACACUUAACGGCAUUUUGUGACUCUGAUUGGGCGGGUUGUCCUGUCACUCGCCGCUCCACCACUGGGUAUUGUGUAUUCCUUGGCAAAUCUUUAAUUUCAUGGAGAACAAAAAGGCAAAAGACAGUUUUCUUAUCAAGUGCGGAAGCUGAAUAUAGAGCAAUGGCAGGUACAUGUUGUGAGCUUACUUGGUUAAGACAUUUAUUAACAGAUUUACAUAUGCCAGUUUCAGAUCCUGUUACUCUGCAUUGUGAUAAUCAAGCUGCCUUACACAUUGCAAAAAAUCCUGUAUUUCAUGAGAGAACUCGGCAUAUUGAAAUGGAUUGCCACUUCAUUCGGGACAAAAUUUUACGAGGUGAAAUUGCUACUCGAUACGUGAUUUCUUCACAACAAUUAGCAGAUGUGUUUACAAAAGCUUUGGGAAAAGAGAAGUUCAAAUAGCUCAUGUGCAAGUUGGGAGUUAUUGAUAUUCACUCUCCAACUUGAGGGGGAGUGUUGGAAAUUAUAUUAAUAGUGUUUUGAUGUAAAUAGGAAAGUUAUAUCUUGAGAUAAGUAGGAAAGAUACGUAAGAAUAUUUUGUAUCAAUCUGCAUUCAAUUAGCUGUCAUUUCUUAUCAGUCUCUGAUGUAUAAGGGAACCCUAAUGUAUCUUGUAUAUAAAUUGAACUUAAUCAAUACAGAAAAGCAUUCCGCUUGAAUAGUUUUUUACUUAUAAAGUUUUGUUUGGACAUUGUUUCACUAUGGAUUUAUACUUUUGCAUUUCCCUGUUGGGGACAGCAAUUAUCUUUAUCAUUUCAAUUAUGUGUGUUCUUGUUUGUGCCUUUGUUUUGUAAGUUGUUUAAGUUUUUCUCCUAGUUUAGACUUUAAAGGCACGCGUGACACUUUGCUCUACUGUCUCAUCUGACUAUGGGAGUUGCUUCCUCUUUUCUUUUCCUUUUUUUUUUUAAAAAAAAAGAACUAUACAAUGCAGAGAUAUUUAGGUGUACCAUUCUUAAUCCAUUUUUUGCACCUCCUAGCUCUUCAGUCUUGUUCUCUUUCUUUGAACAGAGGACUGAAUCUGUAACAGUUCCUGUGAUGAAACAGAUUAGAAUACACAAUAUCUUGGAGAAAACAAGGAAGAAAAAGGAAAAGGCUGAUGAUAGAAGAAUGGUGUAGAAGGUGAAUCCCCAGCUGUCACGAAGGAACAAGAAAACCUAAGAAAAAAGGUUACUGAUUUGAUUAAAAAAACAAAAGCUGCCAGCUAUGAGGAAGAUUGUGAAGGGGAAGGAUGAUUCAAAACCAUGGAAUGCAGAUGCUAGGGCUAAGGUUUGUGUGCUUGUAAUCAUUGAUGAAAGCUAAUUUUCUUGAACAGAUGUAUCGUGUACAAAUUUGAUUUCUGUCCUUGCACUUUGCAGGUUGGAAGCCGUACAAUUGAAUUGCUGUUACAAACAGCUCAUAUACAGCCUCCCUGUGAUUAGUUAGCUGAUAGUCCAUCUGAACCUCGACCUGAAUUUGUACAUACAUUCAGAACUGUGUCGUAUGAAAAUAAGCAUGGAGUCAUUCUUUAAUUGACUCGAUGAGCUCAAUUUAUAUUUUCUUCCUUGUAAUUGCUUCUAACUGAUGCACAAUGGCCUUUUCUCAAACAGGAAGGGCGCCAAAAAAUAUGGUGUUAUUCAAUGUGACCCACUAGUCCUCAAAGGCCUAGAGAAAACUGUGAGUAACCCUGUCAUAUUUUGUUCUUCUAGUGAUAUCUAGUUUUCAUAUUUUAUCAUCCUUUAUGACAUGAACUUGUGUUGGGGGGCCAUAUACUUUCAAAGCAGAUAGGUUAGUUUCUAGAUUUUAGAGCUGAAACAGAUAAGAUUUGUAGGCAAUUUCCAUGGUGCCUCUUAAGUUGCAGAUGUUUGUCUUUCAUUCUUUUUUCUUGCACAAGAGGUCAUAAAAAUGUUGUUUCUCCAAACAGGCUAGGCACAUGGUGAUUCCUUAUAUGCCAAUGUUGGUGCCACCACUUAGAUGCAGAGGGUAUGUUAACUUGUUUUAUAUUUACAGUUUUGCCACGAUUGUCUUGUUUUAAUUUAGUAUUAUUUAGUUGGAUAUAUUCCAAGUUCAGAAAUAUUAACAUAGUGUUUUGGUUACUUCUGCUUGAUGCCUGGAGCUGUUUUCAAUUUUCAUUUCAAGUUAAAUGCUUAAAAUGGUAUAAUAGAUGAAGGGAUGAAUCUCCUAUUAUCUACACUUGACUUUUGUUUUUCUAUUUGAAAACAGAGCAAGAAGAAGUAAAGAAACUUGCAAACCUCGAAGUCUAAAAAUUUUAACAUUAUUAUAUAAAACUGAAAAUUAAAAAUAUUUAUAUAAAUAAAUUUUUAUUUUAAAAGUUUAAAAUUUAAACUUAAAAUUAUAUCUUUUAACUUUCAUAUUACUUCAUUAAUUUUAUAAAUUACUUAUAUUAAUUAUAUAAUUAAUAACAUAAUUAUAUUAAAAUAUAAUUAACUUUUCUAAAUGACUUUUUACUAUUGAAAUGCAUAUAAAUAAAAAAAACUAUAUUUAUAUUAUUUAAAAAGCUAUUUUAUCAACAAAAAAAAUUAACUUUUAAAAAUAGCAUGUCUUAUUAGAGUUGCACUUAUGCAGAAUUAUAUAAGGGAGAGGAUGGCAAAGGGAAAGAGACAAAAAAUAAUUUAAAUACUCAUUAGCCAACGUCUCUUUAUGUACAGUUAACUUUUGUUUUUUUAUUUGAAAACAGAACAAGAAGAAGAGAAGAAACUUGCUGUGACGUUUUGAAAAUCAAAAAGAUUGGGAAAGGCAACAAAGCCCUUGGAGGUUUAAAAGUGGGUAUAAUAAAUAAGGGGUAUUGUUGUAAUUGAAUAAAACAUGGUAAGAAUAAAAAGAAAAAAAAAGAAGAAGAGAUCUGAAAAUUUAGGGCGAGUGCCGGCAGGAGAGAAGGGAGAAACAAGAAGAAAAAGAGAAAAGAGAGAAAGAUAAAGGAAGAAGAAGAAGAUAAGUAUAAAGGUACGAUGUAGGCUUUGAAAUGCAUAAAUGUGCCUUCUUUUAGCUUUAAAUUUCAGUUUUGUUGAAUAUUAGCAUUUUGAGAUUUUGUUUUGGGUUUAAUUAAUGAAUUGAUUUGAAUGUUAUGGGUUGAUUAUUAUGAGUAAUGAUGAGUUGUUUAGUUGAUUUUGGAAGAUUUUAGGUAAAGAUGAUAAUUUUGAGUUAUGAUUUGUUUAAAUGGUGAAUUUGAGUUAGAAAUAUUGAUAUAACAGUAGAUGAUCUAUGGAAAUUCUGGGUUUGAGGUUGAAGAUGACGGAAAUUAAGUUUGGUCCCUCAAUUUGUGAAAAUUGCAGUUUAGUCCUCAAACUUUGAAAAAUUAAAGACUGGUCCCUGAAGCAUAAUUAGAGAUUCUGGACAGAAAUGAGGAUGAAUUAUGGGCAAAAUUCCAGUAUAGUCAUGAAUUUAUGAUAUUUUUAGUUUGGUCCUCCAAUUUGACAAAAGUUACAAUUUGACUCUAAAAAUAUGAUAAAAUUCCAGAUUGGUCCCUAGCUGUAAUAUUAGAUUUUCAGAUUGGUUUGAUGAAUAAAUGAAGGUUAUUUAGUGAAUUAUUAUCAAGUCUUAUUAUUUGUUUUAUUAUGGGUUAGAUUUCGGGAAAGUCCGUUUAAUUUUUGGGUUUUUGGAAAAAAUAACUAGUUUAGUUUAAAAACAUAUGGGGUUAUGGAAUAUACCCUUAGUUAAGUGUAUUAAAUAGGCUGUAUGUUCUUUCAAGUUAUUUUUGCUUUUUAUUAAGAUAAUCCUGAUAUUCUACUAGUGGAACAUUAGUAGAAUUUUCUUCGGUAUUUGCUUCCGAGUUCUGUUUGCUUUCGAGUUAGAUGAGUGUAUAAUUUUUCAUAUGCAUAAGAAAUAUUAUAAAUAUUUGAGUUGUUAAUAUGAAUUGGAUCAUGCUUCUUGAUAAUAUAUAUGUUGAUUAUUAUUCUUGUUACGAUAAAGCAUGAUCAAUUUUUUAAUCUGAAUUUUUGAUAUGAACCAAUAUAUAUUUUGAAUUGAUAGCUUCCCAUUUGAUUAAUGUCAUGAGUGGAGCCUUGAAAUAUGAAUAUGUCUAUUUGAUUAUGAUUAUGAACUUAUUGUAUAUGCCAGUCAGAAUACCCAUGCUAACAUGUUAGUGUUAGUAUUUAUGCACAUCAUAUAUGAACCCUAGUUGGCUAGGGGAGUCACCAACCUGUGUGGACUGAUCAUCCCACAAUACGGAGCCUCAUGCUCAUUGCAUUUUGAUUUUCUGACGAGCUUUACCUUAUGAUAUUCUUGUUAUGACUUAUUUGAGAAACCUUCCUAUAAGAACCUAGAGCCAUAAUUGUAUAUAUAUUCCUCAUUCUUGUAUUACCUUAUGUGUGUAUAUUGAACGUUAUCUACUUAAUGAGUUGUUGAACUCAUCCUCUCAUUAUUUAUCUUUUCAAGCUUAUAGCUUGUUAGCGGGUCACUUUUGUUGGACCUUUAGGAUCUGUUCUUUUGGUUGUUAAUUAUACUUUCCUUUUUAUAUAUCUAGGUAGUGCUCCACAACUAUAAAAUUGUAUUAACUCUUGUAUUAAAACAAUUAAAUUAUAUUAUGAAGUUAGUUUUGUUGUUAUUGUUGCGUUGAACUCUGAUUUAGUUAUUUAAACGAUAAGUUGGUAUGUAAGUUUGGGUUCGCAUAGAUAUGAAACCUUGAAGAGGAACCUUGUCUAUGUGCCGGUCAUGGAUUCGGGAAUCAGGUCGUGCACUUGCAAACCUCAAUGUCUAAAAUUUUUAACAUUAUUAUAUAAAACAGAAAAUUAAAAUUAUUCAUAUAAAUAAAUUUUUAUUUUAGAAGUUUAAAAUUUAACUUAAAACUAUAUCUUUUAAUUUUCAUAUUACUUCAUUAAUUUUAUCAAUUACUCACAUUAAUUGUAUAAUUAAUAAUAUAAUUAUAUUAAAAUUAGUUUAAUAUAAAAUAUAUUAAAAUAUAAUUAGCUUUUCUAAAUGGCUUUUUACCAAUGGAGAGCUAAUUAUAAUGCUAAUUGGUUUAAUUUGUUAAUUACUCACAUUAAUUGCUAAAUGGUAGAUUUAAUUGCCGAAUUUCUUGAUCAUACCUUCUGUUUCAUGUUUGAGCACAGGAGCAGGCCAUAUACAAAAUGGCGUGGAAAGCAAUUGCUGAACCAAGCUAGCUAGUUGAGGCCAGAAGGGAUCGGUACUAGUUUAUCGCUAUAGGGAUUUUCAUGGCUUCCACCAGCGUGCAAGGAAUAACCUCAUCUUCAUCUUCUUCUCCUCCACUAUAUAUGUAUGAUGUGUUCCUUAGUUUUAGAGGCAAAGACACCCGGAACAACUUUACCAGUCAUCUAUAUUCUAAUCUGGCUCAGAGAGGCAUCGAUGUAUACAUGGAUGAUAGGGAGCUCGAGAGAGGAAAGACCAUCGAACCUGCUCUCUGGAAGGCCAUCGAAGAAUCAAGGUUUUCAGUCAUUAUAUUUUCAAGAGAUUACGCUUCUUCACCAUGGUGCUUGGAUGAACUUGUCAAGAUUGUUCAGUGCAUGAAAGAGAUGGGGCACACUGUUCUGCCAGUUUUUUAUGAUGUGGAUCCCUCAGAGACAUAUGAGAAAGCCUUCGUUGAGCAUGAACAAAAUUUCAAGGAAAAUUUGGAGAAGGUCCAGAUCUGGAAAGAUUGUCUCUCUACGGUGACCAAUCUAUCUGGCGGGGACAUACGGAAGAGGUAAAUCAUCUAUCUACUUGUUCUUAUUCUCAAAUCCUCCCUGUAUUGUUUCAAUGGUUGUCAAGGAACCAUCUCAACCCAAUAGCUUAAGCUAUUAGGUGAGGUCCCAAGAUAUGAUUUAUAUUAUUCUCUAACACACCCCCUCAAGUGAAAGCCCUUUAGGCUUGAAACUUGCACAGGCCCACUUUACCUUGUGCUUAAUUUUUAUCAAAUAAAUGGGGAUGGUGAGAUUCGAACUCGUGACCGCUUGGUCAUCAAGGCUCUGAUACCAUGUCAAGGAACCAUCUCAACCCAAUAGCUUAAGCUAUUAGGUGAGGUCCCAAGAUAUGAUUUAUAUUAUUCUCUAACAAUGGUGAACAAAGCUUUUUUUUCUUUAAAAAAAAUGUUUUUCAAUUGAAACGUGUGAUUAAAUAUAAAAAUAAUCACAAUACUACAAGAAUAUCAAAACUAAUUCUUGAAUAAAUAAUUGUUAGCAUAUAUUUUCGAACCAUUAAAUAGCUAUUAAACGACCCUUUUGUCUACGAUCAAACUAAUUUUUCUCUAAUUUUGACUUUUAAAAUAAAAGAGGAGCACAUCUCAAAUCUCAAUUGUCACAGUUUUUAUAAAAUAAAAAUUGAAAACAAGUUAAAAAAAUUCUUGAACUUUUUGCUAAUUUCUAUUAUUUAAUAGAUUGAAUAAUAAAAUUUGAAUUAUCUAAAUUGAAUUUAUUGAGGCAUCUUUAGAAAAAGUCAAUAUUACAAAGACACUUUUAGUAUCACUAGAAUAAUUUUUUCUGAUUGUAUUAUGGAAUAAUAGAGGAUAACUUUAUCAAUUGUAUUAACAAAAAUUUAAACCCUUGGGAAAUUUCUUGUUUACUUAUGGAUUGUAAGAAUGAAUUUACUAAUUUUUCAUUCUAAAAGAUAAGAGGAUCUUUUUAUAAGGGCUAAUUGUCAUUAUAAAAUUGAUAGGGAUAGUUAGGUAUUUCUAAAAAACAUUUGUACAGUAUAAUUAAUUAGUUGCCCUUAAAAUAAUAAUAAAAAAGAUUAGCUAUAAAGAUUUUUUUAAGAUUUCACUUUUCACCGUACAAUAAAAUAACUUAUUUCCUUUAAAAUAAAAAAUUAUUACCUUGUCUUCAAGAGCUUAUUCAUACUUUAUUUUUUGUGAUAAAAAAAGAAGAAAAGUCAUCCUGCCUUAUUUUAAAAUAGAACAUACAAGCGAGUAAGUCGUCUCGCCUUACUUAAGCAGCACGAGUAACGAUUUAUGACACCUAAAAAGUGCCUUUAUUGAUGAUUUCUAAUUCAUCACGACAUGACCUACCUCCUUGAGUAAUUCUCUCUGGAUUGGCGCUAGAAGACUUUUUUUCUUUUCUCUCACUUCUUGAGUUUCGCAUCCAACCUUCUAAAAUUUUCUAGUAGCUUUUUAAUUUUUUUGUUUUAUAUUUAAUCUAUAUUUUUUUAAUUAAUAUUUUUUUGUAUUUGAAUUAUUUUAUAGAAUUGAAAUUUGUUUUCAAUUCUAUACCUUUUAAUUUUUUAAUCUAUUAGAUUUGAUUCUCAUUUUUUAAUUAUAAUUUAUUUUAUAUAAGAUUAUUUUUAAUUUUUUUUUUGAUUUCAUCCUUCAUUUUUUAUUGUUAUGUUCUUUUAUGUUGGCAAAUUUUUAAAAUAUAUAUAUAUAUAUAUAUAUAUAUAUAUAUAUAUAUAUAUAUAUAUAUAUUAUUGAUUUUCAAGGUAUGACAGAUAAUAUAUAUAUAUACACACACGCAACUUGACAUGUAGGUCUCACAUGUCAAAAACAAUUUCCUAUCUUUUUUUGUUAGGUUAUUAUGAUCAUUUCAUUUAUUAUUUUGCACAAAAAAAUAUGUGAACUAAAGUUAAUAUUUAUUUCAAAUGAUCGCUAAAAAAGAGUUAAUUUUUUGCCUAAAAUAUUGUUAUUUUUUUCCCAAUUUAAAUAAAAAUAAGUUUAUAUUAAUGAAAUGAUCAUUAUAUUGAAAUUAAUAUUAAUAUUGUAUAAAAAUUGAAAGACCAAAUAAAAGAUUAAAUAGAGAAGAAAGACAAAGAAAUGGGUUGAAACAAUAAUCAAAGUAAAAGAGAAAAUUUGAGUUGCGUGUGAUACAUGUGUAUCUUAAGGUGUGUGGAUUGGAUUUGCGCAACCAAUUAAAUUAUGUGAAAAAUUAUUUUCGGGCUAUACUAGUAUGAGAAAAAACUCGAAAAUUAAUAAAUUUAAAGUUGUUUUUUUAAAAUUUAUUAUGCAAGAUAAUUGAAUUUUUUGUUAAAAAUAAUUAUAAAAACAACUUAGUGGUUGACAAAAAGUAUGAUAGAACUUCUUUUGCUUUUUGGUCUGUUAAAACCAAACUUCAUGGAUAUUUUAUUUCCUACCUUUUGUUCUUGUAUGCAUGCUUCUGUAGUAUGUGUGAUUCUACAGGCAAUAAGAUAGCUAUUGUACGGAUCAUUCUUAGCAUCAAUACAAUCCUAGUUUCGUUUUCAGUUUAUUCUUUCCUUUUCCUCUCUGUUCUUGAAGCUAUCUAUUAUCAGGGCCCUAUCUUUCUCAAAGGUUGGUGUAUUAAUUUCCGGCUAACAACCAUACAUUUUACAGCUAAAAUAUGCUAAUGUUUAUUUUCCUAUUUCAACCAUGAUUAAUGUUUUGCACCCUCCUAUGCAGGAAAGAGUCGGAAUCAAUAAAAAUAAUUGCUGAAUACAUAUCGUACAAACUAAGCGUCACUCUGCCAACAAUUAGCAAAAACUUAGUUGGAAUAGAUUAUCGUCUAGAGGUAUUAAAUGGCUAUAUCGGUGAAGAAGUAGGCAAAGCAAUCUUCAUAGGGAUUUGCGGAAUGGGUGGCAUAGGUAAGACGAUCGUGGCAAAGGUAUAUUAUGAUAGGAUUCGUUGGCAAUUCGAAGGCAGCUGCUUCUUAGCAAAUGUCAGAGAAGUUUUUGCUGAGAAAGAUGGACCACGUCGUUGCAGGAACAACUUCUUCUGAAAUCUGAUGGAACGUGCUUCUGUAUGGGAUUCUUCUAGAGGGAUUGAGAUGAUAAAGCGGAGGUUACGACUUAAAAAGAUUCUUCUUAUCCUUGAUGAUGUAGAUGACAAAGAACAACUAGAAUUCUUGGCUGAGGAGCCUGGAUGGUGUGGUCCAGGGAGCAGAAUUAUCGUAACUAGAAGAGAUAAAAAAGUGGUUACUGGAAAUAAUAAUUAUAACAUUUAUGAGGCUGAGAAAUUGAAUGAUGAUGAUGCUCUUAUGUUGUUUAGCCAGAAAGCUUUCAAAAAUGACCAGCCUGCUGUAGAUUUCGUGGAACUAUCCAAGCAUGUUGUGGGUUAUGCUAAUGGCCUUCCACUAGCUCUUGAAGUUAUAGGUUCGUUUUUGUAUGAAAGAAGUAUCCAUGAAUGGAGAGGUGCAAUUAAUAGAAUGAAUGAGAUUCCUGACGGCAAAAUUAUUGACGUGCUUCGCAUUAGUUUUGAUGGUCUCCAUGAAUCAGAUAAGAAAAUAUUUUUAGACAUUGCAUGUUUCUUGAAGGGGUUUAAAAAAGAUCAAUAACGAGGAUACUUGAAAACCGUGGAUUCCAUGCAGGUAUUGGAUUACCAAUUCUUAUUGAGAGAUCUCUCAUAAGUGUCUCUCGGGAUCAAGUCUGGAUGCAUAAUUUAUUACAGAUAAUGGGUAAGGAAAUUGUUCGUUGCGAAUCCCCUGAAGAGCUUGGAAGGCGCAGUAGACUGUGGACAUACGAGGAUGUCUGCCUUGCACUGAUGGACAACACAGUGAGUAGCUAAUAGAGAACAUUAUCCAUAAGAUUUCAUAAAGAUUAUUUUAAUUUAAGCUCAAUCUAUACUUUUGGUUGACAGGGAAAAGAAAAAAUAGAAGCCAUUUUCUUAGACAUGCCUGGAAUAAAAGAUGCACAAUGGAACAUGGAAGCCUUCUCUAAAAUGAGCAAACUAAGAUUGCUCAAAAUCGACAACGUGCAGCUUUCUAAAGGACCUGAAGAUCUUUCCAAUAAGUUGCGAUUUCUUGAAUGGCAUUCUUACCCUUCAAAAUCAUUGCCAGCUGGUUUACAGGUGGAUGAGCUAGUUGAACUUCACAUGGCUAACAGUAGUAUUGAACAAUUAUGGUAUGGGUAUAAGGUGAGAUCAACUAAUUUAAGGGCCUUUGUAUUUCUUUUUAUCGUUUUCCUAUAUAUGUAUGAUAGUAGCAUCCACAUUUCUUCUCCCCUGCCUGAUUGCAGAGUGCAGUUAAUUUGAAAAUCAUCAAUCUCAGCAACUCACUAAACCUGUCCAGGACUCCAGAUCUUACUGGAAUUCCAAAUCUCGAGAGUCUGAUUCUUGAAGGUUGUACAAGUUUGUCUAAGGUCCAUCCAUCACUUGGAAGUCACAAGAAUCUUCAAUAUGUGAAUCUUGUGAAUUGCGAAAGUAUUAGGAUUCUCCCAAGCAACCUUGAAAUGGAAUCGCUUAAAGUUUUCACUCUUGAUGGCUGCUCAAAACUUGAGAAGUUUCCAGAUGUACUAGGAAACAUGAACUGUUUGAUGGUGCUUUGUUUGGACGAGACUGGUAUUACAAAACUAUCUUCAUCGAUUCGUCAUUUGAUUGGCUUAGGUCUAUUGAGCAUGAAGAACUGCAAGAACCUUGAAAGCAUUCCGAGUAGCAUACGUUGUUUUACCAUGCUUGAAAGAUACCUCCAGGUCUUCUCUUAAUCAUACCCCAACCUCUUUGUAUCUCUCUCUCUCCCCUUCUCUCCAUCUAACAUUUUGGUUUUUCAUGGUAUAGGGUUUGUCUAAUCCAAGACCUGGAUUUGGUAUCGCUGUUCCUGGAAAUGAAAUUCCAGGCUGGUUUAACCAUCAAAGCAAGGGAUCUUCAAUUAGUGUGCAAGUGCCUAGUUGAAGCAUGGGGUUUGUUGCGUGUGUUGCAUUCAGUGCAAAUGGAGAAAGUCCUUCUCUUUUUUGUCAAUUCAAAGCCAAUGGAAGAGAGAAUUAUCCUUCGCCGAUGUGUAUUAGUUGUAACUCUAUCCAAGUUCUGUCAGAUCAUAUUUGGCUAUUCUAUCUAUCUUUUGAUUACCUUAAAGAGCUUAAAGAAUGGCAGCACGGAUCCUUUAGCAACAUUGAGCUGUCAUUUCAUUCUUUCCAGCCAGGAGUAAAGGUGAAGAAUUGUGGUGUCUGUUUGUUAUAUUCUCCAUCAUCUCAAUCUUCUGCCCAUUUUAUUGUUGCAAGCAAAGAAGCAUCUUCUUCAUAUAAAGCUUCUUUAUCGGUGUCUUCAUCUUACCGUCAAUGGAUGGAAGAUCUUGUGAUAAAAAAAAAGUGGUUCGCUGUUUAUAGAACACACAAGCGAAUAAGUUGUUCUGCCUUAUUUAAGCAACAUGAGCAAUGACUUAUGACACCCAAAAAAGAUCUUCAUUGAUGUUUUCUCAUUCACCACGAAGAAUCAGGGCUGUCAAUUAUUAUAUUUGCAAGAGAUUGUGCUUCUUUACCUUGGUGCUUUGACGAACUUGUCAAGAUUGUCGGAUUCAUUGAUGAAAUGAGAUCGGACACUGUGUUUCCAGUUUCUUGUGAUGUUGAACAAUCAAAGAUAAAUGAUCAAACAGAGAGUUACACAAUUGUCUUUGAUAAGAUUGGAAAAAAUCUCAGGGAAAACGAGGAGAAGGUACAAAGAUGGAUGGAUAUUCUCAGUGAAGUUGAGAUUUCAUCUGGAUCGAGAUCAGCGGAAAGGUAUCAUUACUUUUAUUUUAUAUCUCGACGUAUCAACCACUUCAAGUAAAUGAAACUGGGAAUACUGAAAGAUAAGAACUUAAUGUCAACAAAGUUGGAAAAAUAUGAUAAAAGAUCAUAAUUUUUAUUUUUGACUUUCGAAUUGGACUAAAAUUUCUGUAGAUUAUUCCUAAGGCUUAGUUUUACCAUGCAGGGAUGGGGACAAGAAUGUCCAGGUUUCAGGUACUUUUUCUUCAGCUUUCAUGUAUAGCUUUGCUUGUGUAUCGUUUAAAACACAAGAUAAAAUCAUCUUAUUGUUAAAAUUGAAUUGCUGAAUAGACUAAGCUCACUCUAGUCAUACAAAGCAAUGGUUAAUGUACUUGAUACAAAGAAUAGGAAGCAAACAAACUGAACUAUGAAGUACAAAAUUCCAAAGUUAGCACAAAAAUAAAGAAAAAAAAUUAGGGAUGUAUCCCAGUUCAAUUGGUUGAGUAACAUAAUCUAUUGAUUUAAAAAAAAAAAAAAAACAUAAAGCAUUGCGCUACUCACCAUAGCAUAACCUCUAAGAAUUAAAAUCUCAAAAAGUUGUGCUAGGAGUAGCGCGCUCAACCUUUAAAUUUUUUAUGCUAGAGGUUUUGAUAUAUAUAUAUUUCUAAACAAAAAAAAAUUUAAAAUAUAUUGGUUAAGAAAAAAAUUUAAAAUUGUUCAAUGACUGUCUACAUUACAUAACAGAACAUCAAAUCUUUGAUGGGAUUUAAUCAAGUAACCUGAAAAGGUAGCCUCACUGGUGUCAUAAUAACAUUCACAGACUUAGCUUUCAUGGUAGUAGCUAUCUCUCAAGCAACUUUAUUUAUUAUUUAUUUCUUAAUUUCCUUUCCUCAAGUGAUCACUUGAAAAGAUAGCUAUGUGUUUUGAUUGAUGUAUAAUUGUCUUUAAGAACAUACCAUCCUUUUCAAUCUUCAUAGCUCAAGCUCAAGUAUUCAUUGCUGCCCCAAAAUGGAAAUCGAAUUCUUGUACAAAUAUAGUUUGAUAAAAAAAAAAGGUUAUCUUUGUUCGUUGCUUCUUCAUCAUCAUUGUCAUUAAAUGUUUCUAUCUUGAGUCUUAGAUUUUGGAAAUGUAAACAAAAUUCCAAGAUUAAUUUUUGUAUUGUUAUUUCAGGAAGAGUCAAGCCAAGAAGGUAGUUUGUAUUCCAGCACCAGCUGCUGCAAACAGCAGGUCUAGUGGAGAAGUAGUUCCAUCUGACUUGUGGGCAUGGAAAAAAUAUGGACAAAAACACAUCAAGGGUUCUCCUUAUCCAAGGUGUGUGUAUAUAUAUAUAUAUAUUAUAUGAAGUUGAUAAGAUUACAAAGAACAAACAGCUGGAUUUUUCAGUUCUCUAUUCUCUCUAACAAAUUAUAUCAUUGCCUGGAAAAAUGUUUCUUGAUUUAAUUCUUCUUCUUCUUAUUACCCUGAAUAUAUUUUUGCUUAGUAAUGCCCUGAAAAAGUUCUGGUGAACCCAAGUAAUGCUUCCCGAGACACUGAGCUCAAACAGUUUGUUGUUCGGUGCAUAAACAACAUUUUAAGCAUUGAUUGACUGGUUGUAACUUGCAGUGCUAGUGUUGAUGAAUGUGUAUGCACUAUUGUUCUUUGAGCUCAACAGCUUCAAGAGUUCCCAAUUUGCAUGCUCAAAUGAUUGGCAGGAAGUGAAUCCAAAACACUGAGUUUCUUAGCAUAUAAUAUUGUUGUGAACAAUUAGUGGUUUUCUUGUCAUCUUUCUGAUCAGUUUUCAGUUUUGAACUUUGAUUUUCUUUGAGUAAUUAUUAUUGUGAAAGUGGUCUGUAAAUGUUUGGUUAAGAAUUGCACUGAAUGUUAAAACGUAUUGUCUUUCCUUCCAGAGGUUACUACAGAUGCAGCAGCACUAAGGGUUGCUUAGCAAAGAAGCACGUAGAGCGGAGCCGAAAUGAUCCUAACAUGUUGGUCAUCACCUACAAUUCUGAGCAUAACCAUCCAUGGCCAACACAGAGAAAUGCACUUGCUGGCUCAACAAGGUCUCAGCCAACAAAGAGCAAUGCAGCUUCAAAGAGCUCCACAGGUGCUCAAGCACGAAAAACAGCAAAUACAAAGGAAGAUCAGAAGGAGAGUAGCAAUGAUACAUUGUCUCCUACCGAUAUUAUUGGUGGUAGCUCAACAGCAAGCGCAUCUGUUAAAGAGGAGUCUGAUGACAUUGAGAAGCAGAUGGAGAUGGAUGAUAAUGAAUUCAGUGAAGGGUUUUCUUAGAGUUACUGUUGGCGGGAAAGACCACUAGUGGUGACUUUUAAAUAACACACUGUUUUUAUUUCAAAAUAACAAGAAGAUUACAAGCUCUCAAACUCACCCACUCUUUCUCGUAUUUUCCACACACAUUGCAAUGCUUUCUUGAUGUCUAUUUAUAGACAUGAACGGUAGGACAGAAAGGAAAACCAGAGAACAUGCAGAAUAUAUUCCACCAGCUCAUCUUUCUACUUUUUACUAAAGUAGAUGAGUUGUUCCACUUUGUUGCUUUAAUGGAGUGGGACUACCUCACAUGGUAAUGUUCUAACAAUUGGUCCUUAUGAUUGAGGUUAUAGCAACAAAUUCUCUCAUGGUUUAUUUGCUUUCUAGUUAACUUCUUUGGUAAAACUGGAUCUGUGAUGUUUGCUAAGGACACAACUUUCAUAGACUUCAUCUAGAUGAUUAAUAUGGGGCAUAACUUUGACUAUCUUUUUACUUACUAGCAUCUUCAAACUUGUAAAAUUUAGAUGUUCAAGCCUUAGGUGCCAAAGUCACUCUUCAUUGUUGGUGAUGACACUCAAAUACUUUGCUGGAGCAUAUUGGAUGUUUAUAGGAAACAUCUUAUUCUUGAACAUCUUCACAUAGGCAAUUAAUCUCCUAUUAUAAUCUUCAAUUGUUAGAUUACAGUUCUUCAUAAGAAGAGUGUAACCUUUCUCUAGAAGUUGGCCUAUACUCAGCAAGUUAUGCUUAAUUGCUAGAACAUAAUAAACAUCUGCAAUGUAGCUAUGAUCGCCAUUCUUCAAACGAAUUGGGGUGUUGCCUCUUCUUUUCAUUGGAACUUUUGAGGUGUCUCCAAAAAUGACUAGACGUUUUACAGUUUCAUCUAGAUCUCCAAAUAGAUCUCGUUGACCACUCAUGUGAUUGUUAGCUCCAGAAUCCAAAUACCAUAUAUUUUUCUUGUUGUUAUCCAUUUUUGGGUUUCCACAAAAAAAAUUUGAAAAUGAGAAAAUACAAAAAAAAAAAUAUAUGAAAAAUAUUAAAAAAAAUCCAAAAAAUAAUAGGAGCGAGAAAAGGACUGGAAUGCUGAAAAAAGGACAAAAUUGGUUGAGAAGGUUCAAAAAUACAAAAUAUUAAAAUUUAACAGUAUAUUUUUUACUGAUGGGAGUCCUGUUGACAAAUAAAAUUCAAGUUGAGAAAGAAAAGUUUAAAAUCAAAUAUUUAUGGACUCAAGUAAAUUUUAUCUAAGGUUUAAUUGAAUUUAUGGAGGGUUUGAUUACAAGAAAAGAUUGAUUUUCAAAUCAAUUUAGGCUUUUAUUGGAAGAAAUUAAAGUUCUAGGGUCUAAUUAUAAUUUUGAAGAGUUGAUUUGGUCAAAUCAUAGGCUUAAUUGCAUAAUUAUUAAAUUUUGGUGGUCAAUUAGGGACUUAAUUGAAACAAUUCAAAACUAAGAACUAAAUCAGAAAAGGUGCUAAAAUUAAGGGGUCUAAUUACAAUUUUUCCGAGGGGCUUGAUUACAAAAUUACAAAAAAACAUCCAAGGACCAAAUCAGAAAUAUGCAUUUUGAAUUAGCAAACGGCGUCAUUUCCUUGAGAACUGUUGAUCACCUUCUUCAUCUGCAACGGUUUCGACAGUUAAUGAGCGCUAUCAAUGGAGCCAUUUCAACAACAAAAACAGCAGAUUGCUUCAGUUAUGGGGAAUGUUUCACGGCUACUAUUCCUCUACAUGCCGUUACCAAGUUGGACGUUGCACUGCAGGCCAUUCUUUGGCUUAUAAAAGCCAGAGAAAGACGAUGAAAUAAAGGGGAGAACGACAAAAGGAAAACGAGAACAAAGGGAGAAAGGAGAGGUGACAGUGGGGAAAAAAAAAGAAGGGGAGAGAGUCGCACCAUCACUGCCAACGCCAUCGUGAUCAGCUCAUCAUCUACUUCGUCCAGCAGCCACUGCCAUUACCCAUCACAAACGCACCAGCACUGCACAAAGGAGGGGAGAAAAAGAACGAGACAGGGGAAACGAGAGAGGAGAAAGAAGAACAGAGGAGAGAACACAGUGAGAAAUUCAGGAAAAACAAAAGAAGGGCGCAUGAGGAUAUAGAAACCAAAGAGCAAAGGAACAGCAGUAGGACAAAUCGAACGGCGAAGCCAAAACGCAAAGACAGCAGGGGAGGUUAACACCACCAUCGGUUUCCUUUCCCCAGAAGCAGGUAUGUUCAUGUCCUUUCUUCGCAACAAUUGACGCCAGUUUUGUCUAGAAAAACAAAAAGAAACAGGAGACGAAAGUAAGCCAAAAGAUCGCCAUUUCGUUUUUACUCUGUUAAUAACAGCUAUCUGCAAAAAACGAAGGAUGAACAGUGCGAAGGUAAUAUAAUUACACGCAUAGAAUUUUACGCGUGCAUGGCUUGGUCAACCCACAUGGGUGGCUGGGUCCAGCCCAGCCAUUUGGGCCGGGCUGGACCCAGCCCCAAAAAUUCUUGAAAAAAUUAUUUCAAAAAAGGCUGUGAUUUUCCGCAAAUAUUUCUAUUGUAUUUUAAUCAAUAUUGGUUUGUAUUUUUAUACUAUAAAAAUACAAAUUUGGUAUUAAAAUACUCGGUUUUCGUAAAAAAAUAAAAAAAUAAAAAUAAAAUAAAAUGUUUUGUUUUCAUGCAUACGGCUAAGUCUCUCAAAAAUAAAAAUAAAAAUCAUAUUGUAUUUUCAUACAACAAAGAAAAUUUCAAAAAAUAUGUAUUAGCAUGCAUUUUGACUUUAAUAACCAGUUUAUUAAAGUCACGAGAACUAGGCCAAUAUUUCAAAAAUUCCAAAAAAAUUAUUUUGUUUUCUUUUAAUAACUGGGGUUACGACCUUAUACGCAAGACGUAUUCUAGAUAUUAAAUUCUUUUAUUGACAUCAGAAUUACCCGUUAAGAUAAGGAUCUCCUUACCGAGGAGAACUUUUCUUAAACCAUAGAUGGACCACCAACUAGAAAACAUGACAAGACCUUAGAUUUUAUCAUACAAUAAAACAAUGCGGCUUACCUUAGGUAAGGCGUAUUUGGGGUGCUAACACCUUCCUUUUACACAACCAGUCCCCGUACCCGAUCUCUGAGACCAGUUAGGGUUCCUAGUGACCAAAAUACUAGGUAGUGACUCCCAUUCCAUUUUUCCACUAAUAAAAGACAAGAAUACCUUGUCUCCCUAUAUUUGCCGCAUUAGAUCAUAUUUUGAGGGUGUAUGUUUUCGCCGCGACGCCGCACACGUGCGACACUCCUGAUUCUCGCCUAGUCCUUGUUGGACUAAUAAUGCAACUGGUCCUCUUAUGGUGAUAUUAUUAUCUACAUAGUUGACUUCUCCUUCUACCUCUGAUGGAGCUUUUCUUCGACAUUCAAUGCUAUAGUGCCCAAAUUGAUUGCAUUUAUAACACUAGAUAUUUCUCUUGUCAUAGUUGUUAUAACUGCCUCCCCUUCCUCUAGGAGUAAAUGUUUGUUAUCCUCGACCUCCUCUAAUGGUGUUUCUACCACCUCUUCCUCUGAAUUCUGUGUUCCAAGAUCCUCUUCAUUGGAAUCGUUUAAAUCCCCCUCAGCUUUGUUGACCGCUUCCUUGAGUGGUAUAUCCAAUUGUUGAAAUCUCCCUACCCUCCUUGAGAGAUAACUUUGAUUGUAAGGCAUGUUCAAUUGCCUUAUCUUUUUUUACUAUCUUUUGUUCAUGAGCUUGUAAAGAACUCAUAAGCUCAUCCAUUGUCAACUUGUCCAAUUCUUUGGAUUCUUCAAUAGCGACAAUAACAAAAUCAAAUUUUGAAUUUAGGGAUCUCAAAAUUUUCUCAAUAAUCCGAGCAUCUGAAAGGGCUUCUCCAUUUCUUCUCAUGUGAUUGACUAUCACCAUAAUUCUCGUGUGAUAUUCAGAAAUAGAUUCUAAUGACUUCAUUUGUAAUUAUUCAGAUUCACCUCGCAAAGAUUGAAGAAGAAUCUUCUUGAUUCUGCCAGCACCUUUAUAUUUUUGUUGAAGAGCCUCCCAUAUUUCUUUUGAUGUUUCUGCGGAAACUAUGAUCUCAAAUGUGGCUUCAUCAAGACCUUGAUAAAUGAUAGUCUUUAUUGUGUUGUCUUUCUUUCUAUGGGCUCUCAAGACUUGUUUUUGUGUCUCUUGUAAUGAUUCUUCUGCUUUUUUGGACUCUGAUUCAUCAUAACCAUAUUCCACAAUCUCUAUACACUCUUGAGAACCAUGAAAUGCCUUCAAUCUUAUAAACCAAUUAUCAUAGUUGUUUUUGGUCAGCUUUGGGAUAAGUGUUUGUGCAUUUUCUGUAGUCAUUUUAUUCUUUAAAUGACUAUAUCACUUUAUGGGAGUUGAAUUUGGCAAAACGGACACUGUAGAUGGUUUCAGAAUGCCCACAAAUGUAGGGUCAGAAAUAAGGUGAACCGGUCCAAGAAACGAUUUUGGAUGUCGAAGGGUUUGCUGCAGUUGAACUGGGAAUAUUCUGGGAAUGUUUGUUUGGCUCAGAUCGGCUCGGUUGGCGGUUAAGCGGCUCGGUUAGGGUACAACUUAGGAGGCUCGGCGCGACUCAAAUAUGAUGUGCGUGUGGCUUAGUAGUCUUCUUCCUCUGAGCGCGUCGGAUGCGCGUGGGCUACAGUGCUGGAUUUUCAGGAGGCGCAUGUGAGACACCCCUUGCUCCAAUGAAUCUAAUUUUUGUACCGAUAAGUUUGUAUAGAUGAACUCUACACCGUAGAAUGGUCAAAAUGUGUUUUGGACAAUUUUGAAAAUUCAGGUAUAUCCUAGAAACUCCUCUAUUUUCUGAUCAACGAGGCUCUGAUACUAAUUGUUGGUGGGAAAGACAAUUGGUGGUGGCUUUUAAAUACUUAGAAAAGAUAAAACACACUGUUUUUAUUUCAAAAUAACAAGAAGAUUACAAGCUCUCAAACUCGCCCACUCUUUCUCUCAUGUAUUUUCCACACAUUGCAAUGCUUUCUUGAUGCCUAUUUAUAGACAUGAACGGUAGGACAGAAAGGAAAAACAGAGAACAUGAAGAAUAUAUUACACUAGCUCAUCUUUUCAAGUGGAAAAAAUUAUUCAAGCACAACCUCCACCCUCUCCUCCCUCCCUUUGGUCAAUCAUGUGGGCAUUCCUUAAAUUAAAAAAAUAUAUAGACAUACAUGCUUUUAUUGCAUUGAUGGGAAAUAAAAUGGAAGAAGAAGACAAGAGUAUGUAUAUAAUUAUAUUUGUUUGAUGUUGUUGUUUAGAAUUUUUUUAAAUUUUUUUAAAAAAUAUAUUAAAAUAAUUUUUCUUUAAAAAUAUCACUCAAGAUUUCAAUAAUCAGUGAAGAUAUUAGAUUAAGCUUAAAUUAUUUAAAAAAGUUUAAUAGACUCGGUUUUAAAAUAUAUUGGUUUAUUGUAAUCAUCCAUGAUCAGAAAGCCUUCAAAUUUGGCACCAUUGAAUUAAAAAAAUUUCGAAGUUUAUGCUGCUGAGCUACUCCAAGCAACGCAAUCUUUGAGAAUGUAGCGCAACUUAUUGAAAUUUAAAAUUUCAACAAGCUGCGCUACUCCUAAGGACAACCACCAAUAGUGUAUUAUUUUUUUCACGCAUGCUACUUUGCAAAAAAAAAUGUUGUCACGUGUGCUAUUUUGUGAAUAACUCUAAGAAUAAUGAUCAACUUACGGGAAAAAAAAAACAAAAAAAUGAUUAGUGCAUGUAAUUUUCUAGUAAUUACACCUUAAAGUCUAGCAAUAUCUAGGUUUCUUCUUCUUUUUCGUUUUCUUAUAAGCGUCUGUCGUAGGUUUGGCACAUAACAUUAAAAAAAGUAAGCACAACUUUUUUUAAUGUUAUGUAUUGUAGACUGCAUGACUCUUUCACAAUAACGCACUCACAUUUCUCAUCACUGUGCAGAACGUGUUUAGGCUGUUGAAACUUUAGAUCAUAAUCGCUUGCCCUUUUAUCUUAAGCUGAUUUAAUACAUUUCUCCCAAUUUCAUUUGUAGCAUGGCAAGUUAAAAAAUCUAAUUAUCUUCGAUCCCCACUGAAACCCUUACCUGGAUGUGGAUCCUGAUUCAUACAUGACUCCAUUUCCAACUGUACGCAUUAUUUGCCCACAAAUAGUAAACUUUAAUUUCUAAUUGUCAUUGUUGUGAGUGUACUGAAGUUGAUGUGAAGGACUUAUUCAAACAUGAUACUAGAGGAAAUUAGUUCUUUACUUGAAGGCUGGUUGGAGUAUAUCCUUAUCAUUAGAUUGUUUUUUUUAAAAAAAAAAUAGUGAAGAAAGAUUAGCUCUGCUACUGCGUCACUAGCUAAAGAAAGUGCAUAUUAUUUGGGAUUUGCUCCUCUCAAAUCACAACUUAAUAUAAUUCAUCAUGUUGGAAACAUUCUAGCUUUUGAAUUCAUAUUAAUGUCUGGUGGACCCCCACGAUUAUUGUUUUGGUGUUGAUGAAAAGGUUUGGCCAUUGAAAUUAGGUUUGCCCCGACUGAUGUGGAGCUUGUGCUUUACUACUUGAAGAGGAAGAUAUGUGAGAAAGGUUUUGAGCUUGAUAUUAUUCGCGAUGUUGAUGUUUACAAGUGGGAUCCUGAGAGUUACCUGAGCUAUCCCCAUUGGAGAGCGACUGGCAAUGGUACUUCUUCAGUCCAGGGGAUAGGAGAUAUCACACUGGAGCAAGGUCAAAUAGGGCAACCCGACAGGGGUGGUGGAAAGCUACAGGGAGAGAUCGCAGUACUGUGUACAAUUCUCGAAAAGUUGGAGUUAAAAAGACCUUGUUUUCUAUAGAGGUCGUGCACCAAGAGGAGAGCGAACUGAUUGGAAGAUGCAGGAGUAUACUUUGUGUGAAGAAGAACUCAGGGGACGGGCAAAUGUGCAGGAGUUUUAUGCCCUUUACAAGCUUUGCAAAAAAGGUGAAAUGGAUUUCAUGGAAAUUGAUCUCGGUCCACAGCCUAAUUUCUCCGAGACGGUGUGACGUAGGACACAAAUCCCAGCUAAAUUAUUUAAAUUGUAAUAGUUAUUUAAUUGUUAAUUUUCUUUAGGAUUUUUUAGUUUUAUUUAAUUAGGCAUGUGGUUUCCCUAGGAAAUUAGUAAUAAUUCUAGAGUGUUUUUUUUUCAUAUUCGGUUUUUUUUGGACUUUCCAAAAUCACCAAUCAUCCUGCUGCUCUCCUUAGUGAACUUGUAUCACUUUCCCAAUGACAUGCUCGUUUUGGUCACCCAUCUUUAAAACUUGUCAAUUGAAUAAUGUCUCGGCAUCAUCUGCUAGUCACAACCGAGCUCUCUCCUGUGGUUUAUCAUGCAUACUAACUUGGUAAGAGUCAUUGUCUUCUGUUAUGAAUUGUUCAAUGGUACUGAGGGUAUAAGAUAAGUCUGACAUAAAUAAGGAAUGAGAGAGGUUUUUCAUGAGAGGUAGUUGUCUUUGGUAAGUUCAAUUUUGGAAAGAGUAGUGGUAGAGGAUUGUGGACGGGAGCAGAGGUUGUAGAAUUAAAGGAAGACAUUGGAAGAAGAUAAGACCAGUUUUGCUCUAAUACCAUAAAGAGUUUCAACGUUUUUGGAAAUUGCUUUGAUGUCUUUUGGAUGCAUGAAGUAUUAUUAUUUAUAGAUUAGUUUGCGACAUCAAUGAUCUGUACAUGGAAUACAUUUUGAAAUUUAAAUUAUGCGGCUGUGUACAUUAUCUUCGGUUUUAAAGGUCAUCUUCAACAUAUUUGAAUGUGUUGUCAUCUACAUGAUAUUCGACUAGUUUGGAAGUUGAUUGAGCAGAUUGUUUCUAUUGGAUGUGUGCUUGAUUUUUGGAUGCAGUUGUUGCUUUGCUUUCUGCAAAAUUGGUUGUUAAUCAAGUAGAUGAUUGUGACUUAAUUGAUGGUGCAAACCCUGGUAAAAAAAAACAAAUAUCGGUAACAUUACUGAGUAACAGUAAGAAGUCUGUAAAAGAAAUAAAAAGAGGGUUUGAUGUAUUAAGAAGUUUAAGAGUUAAAGUGUUCUUUUGAAGAAGGAACAAUUGGGCUUGGAGGGAAAUGUGGAGGAGAGCUUGAUUCAAUUUGUUUUGGAUUUUAAUUUUUUAUUCCGUAAAGGUAAGAAAACUCUCUUCCAUGAUGUUUCAUUGUGUUGUUUUUUAUGUUUGUUCUUGAAUUGAGAAGAAUUGGUAUUAUGUAAAGUGGUUCAAGACCUGUUUGGAAAUUUGAUUUAAAAAAAAAAAAUAAUUUUUUAUAUAUUUUUAAAUUGUUUUGAAGUGUUUAUAUCAAAAUUAUUUUUUAAAAAAUAAAAAUAAUUAUUUUUAUAUAUUUCUAAAAAAAAAUACUUUAAAAAAUAAUAACUACUAUAUUUUCAAUCACUCAUGGUAAAAGGUUUGAGAUGAGAUAUUGGUAAUGGGAGAAAAAUUGGUGUUUGGGAUUUGUAAAAAUCAAAGAUGGGCUGUUUGUGAUAAAAAUAUUAAAGUUUGAGAUUCUUAAAUUCAAUUCAAUAUGAUUUUUUUUUGUUUUUCGUUAAUUAGUUCCAGUUAAUAGGGUGGUACGUGGCUAAGUUUAUUUUUUUAUAAGAAAAAUAAUGGGAAUUUAUAAUAUUUAAUAUAAGAGUUCCAUAGUUAAUAGUUUGAAAAUUCAUUAAAAAAUACUUUUCAAUUGUGAUGUGUGUGGCCCAACCCCUGCUCUAGACAGGAAGGUGCCUCUGCUGUCCACUGCGCGUUCGAUACCCUUUCAUUUCUCUUUUUGUUUUUUCUCCACCGAAACUCCCAUCUUCUUUACAAUGUAAGAAAAAGAUCCGUAAGAGGUUGGAUUCUGUUUUGUUAUACAAGCACUAGUUUAUUAAACAUUAAAAAAAAAAACAUUAUUAUUAUUAUUAUUAUUAUUAGAAUUAAUAAAGAAAUAAAAGACCAUGAUAUUGUUUUACUAUAGAUAGAUCGAAGCCUAGAUCAUAUUUUUUUUUUUUCAAAACAUUGAUUUCAAUUUAAGACCGAUUAAAUUGGAUUGUAAUAGAUUUGAAGUUAGAAGCAGGUCUCCGGAAGAUAUUAGGACGAGUUUGAGGAUUUGUUUUUACUGGAAAUGAAGAAAAAAGGUGUUAGGAUGCACAUGGAUGGUGGCCCUUGAUUUUCUGACUAUCGAAGCGUUGUCGAGAAAACAUAGCACCACAUGUUCUUCCAAUAAAUGACGUGUCCUUUUCAACUUCUUGUUGUGGAUAUCGGAUUAAAAGUUACUUUUCAAUGGAAAAAAAAAAAGCGUGGGCACUGUCAACUUUUUUUAAGUUGAAGAAUUUUUUUUUUAUUGUGAAUAAAAAGAGUUGACGCAUGUUUUUAAUCAAAGCAAUCAGAAUUAUAUACAAUACAAAAAAUGUUAAAAUGCAAAUCAAAGAAUAAAUCUAGAAACUAGGUGAUAAAUACGGUUCAAAAUAUAUGAUUUCAUGUAGCCAAAAAAUUAACAAUUUAAGUUCUAUCAACAUAAAAUAAUUUCCUAGUAUGUUUAUCAGAAUGUUUAUUUUUUGAAGAACAAAAAGUUAUGAGAGUCAUAAAAAAAAUUAAUUAAAAAAAUAAUUAAUGGUUUUAUAAUUAUGCCAUGAAUGUAUAUUUUUUAUGUAAUCAUGCAGUAAUAAAAAAGUUGUGCGGAAAGCCAAAAAUCAAAAUUUAUUAUAGAGCCAACGGAAAUAAAGGUCGCGAAGAGGGUGAUGCCGCUGAUGGUUGGUUCUCUUCCUCCUUGUGACUUUUUGUGGACACGUUCGGCCUCGGACAUUGAGAUCGAGGCAGGUAAUUGCGUGGACUGGUGGAAGAAAAAUUGGGUUUUUCCUCUCGGAGUCUUCGUCUAUGCUAUCUUAUGGGUAGAAAGUGUCGGGGGAUGAGUGGCUGGGAUUCAUUCAUGAAUAGCGGCUUUAAGAAUUUUCAUUAUUGGACGGAUCGAGAACCUUUUUUAUGAGUUUGCAUUUGGUGUUCAAGCUAUGGUGGCUACAUUAUCCAAGAGGUUGGAUUCUGUUUUGUUAUACAAGCACUAGUAUAUUAAAAAUUAAAAAAAAAAUAGUAAUAAAAAAUAGAAUAAAAAUUAAAAAAUAAAUAAAUUAGAGUGUAACUAAGUUUUUUCAAUUGAAGGGUUAACUGAAAAGAAAAAUAACUUGAACAAAAACAAAAAUAAAAAAUAAUGAGGAUAAAAUUGAAAAAAAUAACACACCAUAAACUUGGAUUGAAUAGUGAGAUUAAAAGCCAAUAAAACUUUUAUAAAAGAGUUAAGGGAAAAAAAAAAAGAAAUCCAAAGAAUAUAGACCAAAUAAAAAAAGGAAUAUGUGAAAAUUCAAAAUCGAAGGAUUAAAUUGAAAAGAAAUAACACUUAUAUAAAAGGGCAAAAGGAAACAAAAAUAUAAAUUGAGGACCAAAUUAAAAACAAUAAAAUAAAAUAAAUUUGGAUUGAAGGAUGAAAUUGAAAAAAAAAGUAUCAUAAAAGAGUCAACUAAAAAAACUAGAAAUAAAAAAAAAAAACCAAAUUGAAAAGUAUAAUAUAUUAUAAAUUGGAAUUGAAGGAAUAAAUUAAAAAGAAAUAAAACUUUUAUUAAAGGCUCAAUGAUGAAAAUAAAAAAAUAAAAGAAGAAGGACCAAAACAAAAAUACAAAAAACAAAAAAACCAAUAUGCAAUUUUUGGGGGGCAAUAAAAAGAAAAGAUCUACUAACAACAAACCUAUAAUAAUUGAAUUGUUGACGAGAGGGAAAGAGGUGAUUGUAGAGCGGUUGUUGGGGCUGCUGGUAUGGGUGGUGGAUGUUGUGGUGGUUUGAUAUGGCUAUUUGGGUUGGUGUGAAGGAGUGGAGUUGUUGCAACGAUGACAGAGGGGCUAGUUCAUUGGUUAAGGUUUCUGACAAGGUGAGGGCGAUCAAGAAUUGAGGUUUUUGUAUUGAUAGAAAUGCAGAAAAAACUCCAAUCUUGAAAGCAAAAAAUGACAUCACUAGUAGGAAAGGAAGUGUUAUUGAAAGCUAUGGCGGCGGCAAUACUAAAUUGCAUGAUCUUGUGUAUCUUAUUCCUUACUAGUUUUUAAUUGGAAACUUAUAAAUCUAUGGAAAAUUGAAAGGCGCACCGGAGAAGUUGGAAAUAUCCGUUAAAAUCAAAGCUUACGACGACAUAAGUUUUAAAGAAUUUGAUUAUUUCAAUAAGGCCUUUCUAUAAAAGUGCUUAAAGAGAUUCGAAUCAAUAUCCCAAAAAGUUGGAUUGGGAAAGCGGUUUCAGACCGUUUGGAAAUUUGAUUUUUUUAAAAAAAUAAUAAUUUUUUUAUAUUUUUAAAUUGUUUUAGCAUACUUUUAUCAAAAUUAUUUUUUAAAAAAUUAUUAAAAAAAUUAUUUUAAUAUAUUUAAAAAAACACACUUUAAAAAAAUAACUACCAUUAUACAUCCAAGCACCCUUGUUAAAAGGUUUGAGAUGAGAUAUUGGGAAUGGGAGAAGAAGUGGUAUUUGGGAUCGGAGAGGAAUUAAAGUUGGGUUGUUUGUGAUAAAAAUAUUAAAGUUGGAGAUUCUAAACUCAAUUUAAUAUGAUUUUUUUUUUUGUUUUUCGUUAAUUAGUUCCAGUUCAUCGGGUGGUGGCUAAGUUUAUUUAAAAAGAAAAUCAAUGGGAAUUUAUAAUAUUUAAUGUAAGAGUUUUGUAGUUAUUAGUUUGAAAAUUCAUUAAAAAAUACUUUUCAACUGUGAUGUGUGUGGCCAAUGCGCGUUCGAUAUCCCUUUCAUUUCUCUUUUUGCUUUUUCUCCACCGAAACUCCAUCUUCUUUACAGUGUAAACUUACCAGUACGAGUUCUUGACCUCAAGGAACCGGAAAAAAAUUCGACGUCAUUGGGCUUGGCUAGAUCUUGUGCCUCUUUAGCCAACACUUACCACACGGUUUGUUUCGUCUAGAUUCGUGAAAUACUCGUAGAAAUUUGGUGUUUUCUGAUUUCUAAGUAGAAUUAUACAUGUUCCAGCUUGAAAUUGCUAAUUGGUAGAUUUAAUUGCCGAAUUUCUUGAUCUUACCUUCUGUUUCAUGUUUGACCACAGGAGCAGGCCUUACACAAAAUAGCGUGGAAAGCAAUUGCUGAACCAAGCGAGCUAGUUGAGGCCAGAAGGGAUCGGUACUAGUUUAUCGCUAUUGGGAUUUUCAUGGCUUCCAGCAGCAUGCAAGGAAUAACCUCAUCUUCAUCUCCUCCUCCUCCACUAUAUAUGCAUGAUGUGUUCCUUAGUUUUAGAGGCAAAGACACGCGGAACAACUUUACUAGUCAUCUAUACUCUAAUCUGAAACAGAGAGGCAUCGAUGUAUACAUGGAUGAUAGGGAGCUCGAGAGAGGAAAGACCAUCGAACCUGCUCUCUGGAAGGCCAUCGAAGAAUCAAGGUUUUCAGUCAUUAUAUUUUCAAGAGAUUACGCUUCUUCACCAUGGUGCUUGGAUGAACUUGUCAAGAUUGUUCAGUGCAUGAAAGAGAUGGGUCAAACUGUUCUGCCAGUUUUUUAUGAUGUGGAUCCCUCAGAGGUAACCGAGCGGAAACGGAAAUAUGAGGAAGCCUUCGGUGAGCAUGAACAAAAUUUCAAGGAAAACUUGGAGAAGGUCCGGAACUGGAAAGAUUGUCUCUCUACGGUGGCCAAUCUAUCUGGCUGGGACAUCCGGAAUAGGUAAAUCAUCUAUCUACUUAUUCUUAUUCUCAAAUCUGCCCCCUGUAUUGUUUCAUUGAUGAACAAGCAUGAUAGUAAAUGUGUAUUUUUUUCAUAUGCAUGAAUUUUUAUUUUUAUUUUUUUAUGAUAUUUUGAACUGAUGUGAUCAAGCAUUUCUAAUCUUUAUAUAAAACUUCUUUCUAUUCUUAGGUUUUUCUUUAUAUUUUGAAAAUAAAAUAAAAUAUUAAACAGAAAAAUUAAAAUGUAUAAAAAUGUUGAAAAACAAAUCUAGCAUGAACAAAUAAAAAGUUAGCUUAAAAAAUUAAAAAUGGUGAAGAAAUGACAACAAAUUCAUCAUAAGAAAUAAAAAAUUGGCCAAAGUUUUUGAAUAUGUUGGUUUUAGCUUUUCAAAAUAAAAUAAAGAGAUUUUCCAUCAUGAAUUAAAAAAUUCAAACUAUUUAUAAAUCAAAGAGACAAAUUUAUUUAUAAUUUUUUUUGUGAAUAUUUUUAUUUUUUUUUAUUUGGAAUUAAAAUUUUAUAGGUUUCUUUCUUUUACUAAUGCAUUGUAACAAUGAAUUUACUAAUUUUUCAUUCUAAAAAAAAAUAAACUACUUAUUAGGGAUAACAGGGUCUUUUAUAAGGGUCAAUAGUCAUUAUAAAAUUAAUAGGGGUAGUUAGGUAUUAUUUUUUUACGGUAUAAUUACUUAGUUGCCUUUGGGGCUCUUUUAAGAUUUUUCACUUUUCAGGGUGCAAUAAAAUAACUUUAUUUCCUUUAAAAUUAAAAAUGAAGUACCUUGCCUUCAAGGGCUUAUUCAUGCUUUUUUUUUUCUUUUUUUGUAAUAAAAAAAGAAGAAAAGUGGCUGGCUUGUUUGUAGAACACACAAGCGAGGAAGUUGUUCUGUUUUAUUUAAGCAACACGAGCAAUGGCUUUUGGCACCUAAAAAAAGCUUUCAUUGAUGUUUUCUGAUUCACCAUGACAUGAUCUAUCUCCCUGAGUGGCAUGUGUGGAGUAAUUCUUUCUGGUUUGUCACCAAAUGACCUUUUUCUUUUCUUUUCUUUUGUCUUUAUCCUUGAAUUCCGCACCCGACCUUCUAAACUUGUAUAGUAACCCUUCAAUUUGGUUUUUUUUUUUUCAUAUUUGGUCUUUUUUUUUAAUUGAUAUUUUUUUAUUUGAAUUAUUUUUAGAAUUGAAAUUUGUUGUUAAUUUUAUACUUUUUUAAUUUUUUAAUCUAUUAGAUUUGAUUCUCAUUCUUUUGAUUACUAUUUAUUUUAUGUAAGAUUAUUUUUAUUUUAUUUUUUUAACGAUUUCAUCCUUCAUUUUUUAUUGUUAUGUUUUUUUUACCUUGGCAAGUUAUAUAUAUAUAUAUAUAUUUCUGAUUUUAUACUUUAACAUUGAAUUAAGCUUUUUGGUUGAGUCUGGAUUUAGGAUUUCAUAUUUUAAAAAGCAACUGGAUGUUUUCAGUUUAUUCUUUCCUUUUCCUCUCUGUUCUUGAAGUUAUCUAUUAUCAGGGCCCUAUUUUUCUCAAAGGUUGGUGUAUUAAUUUCCGGCUAACAGCCAUACAUUUUCGAGCUACAAUAUGUUAAUGUUUAUUUUCCCAUUAUCACUAUCUGAUUUGAUUUCUGCACACUGCAUGAUUAAUGUUUUGCACCCUCCUAUGCAGGAAUGAAUCGGAAUCAAUUAAAAUAAUUGCUGAAUACAUAUCGUACAAACUAAGCGUCACUAUGCCAACAAUUAGCAAAAAAUUAGUUGGAAUAGAUUCUCGUGUAGAGGUAUUAAAUGGCUAUAUAGGUGAAGAAGGAGGCAAAGCAAUCUUCAUAGGGAUUUGUGGAAUGGGUGGCAUAGGUAAGACGACUGUUGCAAGGGUACUAUACGAUAGGAUUCGUUGGCAAUUUGAAGGCAACUGCUUCUUAGCAAAUGUCAGAGAAGUUUUUGCUGAGAAAGAUGGACCACGCCGUUUACAGGAACAACUUCUUUCUGAAAUCUUAAUGGAACGUGCUUCUAUAUGGGAUUCUUAUAGAGGGAUUGAGAUGAUAAAGCGGAGGUUACGACUUAAAAAGAUUCUUCAUAUCCUUGAUGAUGUAGAUGACAAAAAACAACUAGAAUUCUUUGCUGCGGAGCCUGGAUGGUUUGGUCCAGGGAGCAGAAUUAUCAUAACAAGCAGAGAUACAAAUGUGUUAACUGGAAAUGAUGAUACUAAAAUUUACGAGGCUGAAAAAUUGAAUGAUGAUGAUGCUCUUAUGUUAUUUAGCCAGAAAGCUUUCAAAAAUGACCAGCCUGAUGAAGAUUUCGUGGAACUAUCAAAGCAAGUUGUGGGUUAUGCUAAUGGCCUUCCACUUGCUAUUGAAGUUAUAGGUUCGUUUUUGUAUGCAAGAAGUAUCCCUGAAUGGAGAGGUGCAAUUAAUAGAAUGAAUGAGAUUCCUGACGGCAAAAUUAUUGAUGUGCUUCGCAUUAGUUUUGAUGGUCUCCAUGAAUCAGAUAAGAAAAUAUUUUUAGACAUUGCAUGUUUCCUGAUGGGGUUUAAAAUUGAUCGAAUAACAAGGAUACUUGAAAGCCGUGGAUUCCAUGCAGGUAUUGGAAUACCAGUUCUUAUUGAGAGAUCUCUCAUAAGUGUCUCUCGGGAUCAAGUCUGGAUGCAUAAUUUAUUACAGAUAAUGGGUAAGGAAAUUGUUCGUUGUGAAUCCCCUGAAGAGCCUGGAAGGCGCAGUAGAUUAUGGACAUACGAGGAUGUCUGCCUUGCACUGAUGGACAGCACAGUGAGUAGCUGAUAGAGAACAUUAUCCAUAAGAUUUCAUGAAGUUUAUUUUAAUUUAUGCUCCAUCUCUACUUUGUAUUUGUUUUUUACUUGUAUUCCCCUUUUGAUUGACAGGGAAAAGAAAAAAUAGAAGCCAUUUUCCUGGACAUGCCUGGAAUAAAAGAGGCACAAUGGAACAUGGAAGCCUUCUCUAAAAUGAGCAAACUAAGAUUGCUCAAAAUCAACAACGUGCAGCUUUCUGAAGGACCUGAAGAUCUUUCCAAUAAGCUACGAUUUCUUGAAUGGCAUUCUUACCCUUCAAAAUCAUUGCCAGCUGGUUUACAGGUGGAUGAGCUAGUUGAACUUCACAUGGCUAACAGUAGGAUUGAGCAAUUAUGGUAUGGGUGUAAGGUGAGAUCACCUAAUUUAAGGGUCUUUGUAUUUCUUUUUAUCGUUUUCCUAUAUAUUUAUGAUAGUAGCAUCCAUAUUUCUUCUCCCCUGCCUGAUUGCAGAGUGCAGUUAAUUUGAAAAUCAUCAAUCUCAGCAACUCACUAAACCUGAUCAAGACUCUAGAUUUUACAAGAAUUCCGAAUCUCGAGAACCUUAUUCUUGAAGGGUGUACAAGUUUGUCUGAGGUCCAUCCAUCACUUGCACGUCACAAGAAGCUUGAAUAUGUGACUCUUAUGGAUUGUGUAAGUAUUAGGAUUCUCCCUAGCAACCUUGAAAUGGAAUCACUUAAAGUUUGCAUUCUUGAUGGAUGCUCAAAACUUGAGAAGUUUCCAGAUAUAGUAGGAAACAUGAACAAAUUGACGGUGCUUCAUUUGGAUGAGACUGGUAUUACAAAACUAUCUUCAUCAAUUCAUCAUUUGAUUGGCUUAGAAGUAUUGAGCAUGAACAACUGCAAGAACCUUGAAAGCAUUCCGAGUAGCAUACGUUGUUUGAAAUCCCUUAAAAAACUUGAUCUGUCUGGCUGCUCUGAACUUCAAAAUAUACCACAGAAUUUGGGGAAAGUUGAAGGUUUGGAGGAGAUUGAUGUAAGUGGAACUUCAAUAAGACAACCGCCAGCAUCCAUUUUUCUUUUAAAGAGUCUUAAAGUAUUAUCUUUGGAUGGAUGCAAAAGAAUAGCUGUGAAUCCCACGGGUGACAGGUUGCCUUCUUUGUCGGGUCUUUGUUCUUUAGAAGUACUAGAUUUAUGCGCUUGCAAUCUAAGAGAAGGGGCACUUCCUGAAGAUAUUGGCUGCUUAUCGUCAUUAAAGUCUUUAGAUCUGAGCCAAAAUAACUUUGUUAGCCUGCCUGAAAGCAUAAAUCAGCUUUCUGGACUUGAAAUGCUUGUCUUGGAGGAUUGCAGGAUGCUUGAAUCAUUGCCUGAGGUUCCAUCAAAAGUUCAAACAGUAAAUUUGAAUGGUUGUAUACGCCUAAAAGAAAUUCCAGAUCCGAUAAAGCUAAGCAGUUCCAAAAGAUCAGAGUUCAUAUGUCUUAACUGCUGGGCAUUGUACGAGCAUAAUGGCCAAGACAGCUUUGGGUUGACGAUGCUUGAAAGAUACCUCAAGGUCUUCUCUUAAUCAUACGCCAACCUUUUUGUAUCUCUCUCCCUCUCCCUCUAUCUAUCUAACGUUUUGUUUCUUCAUGGUACAGGGUUUGCCUAAUCCAAGACCUGGAUUUGGUAUCGCUGUUCCAGGAAAUGAAAUUCCAGGCUGGUUUAACCAUCAAAGUAAGGGAUCUUCAAUUAGUGUGCAAGUGCCUAGUUGGAGCAUGGGGUUUGUUGCGUGUGUUGCAUUCAGUGCAAAUGGUGAAAGUCCUUCUCUUUUUUGUCAUUUCAAAGCCAAUGGAAGAGAGAAUUAUCCUUCGCCGAUGUGUAUUAGUUGUAAAGCCCUUCUCUUUUCAGAUCAUAUUUGGCUAUUCUAUCUAUCUUUUGAUCAUCUUAAAGAGCUUAAAGAAUGGAAGCAUGAAUCCUUUAGCAACAUUGAGUUGUCAUUUCGUUCUUGCCAGCCUGGAGUAAAGGUGAAGAAUUGUGGUGUCUGUUUGUUAUCUUCUGUAUGUAUUACACCACGACCAUCUUCUGCCCAUUUUAUUGUUACAAGCAAAGAAGCAGCUUCAUCAUAUAAAGCUUCUUUAGCUUUUUCUUCGUCGUACCAUCAAUGGAAGGCCAAUGUUUUCCCUGGCAUCGGAGUCGCAAAUCCAGCCCAGAGAUUCAUUGUCCCAGUCAUGAAGGAACCAGAGAAAGUAAUGGCAAUUAGAUCAAGACUCUUUGAGGCCAUUGAAGAAUCAGGGCUGUCAAUUAUUAUAUUUGCAAGAGAUUGUGCUUCUUUACCUUGGUGCUUUGAAGAACUUGUCAAGAUUGUCGGUUUCAUGGAUGAGAUGAGAUCGGACACUGUGUUUCCAGUUUCUUGUGAUGUUGAACAAUCAAAGAUAAAUGAUCAAACAGAGAGUUACACAAUUGUCUUUGAUAAGAUUGGAAAAAAUCUCAGGGAAAACAAGGAGAAGGUACAAAGAUGGAUGGAUAUUCUCAGUGAAGUUGAGAUUUCAUCUGGAUCGAAAAGGUAAUAAUUACUUCUUCUUAUUUGUGUGUGUUGCUCGACUUAUCAACCACUUCAAGUAAAUGAAACUAGGAAUGCUGAAAUAUCGACUUUCAGAACUUAAUGUUAACAAAUCUGUUUUUUUUUUUUGCAUGGGAAAAACAGUACACAAUGGGGUUACAAGUUUUUUUUUCAAGGUACAUUAUGAAUUUUAAAAAAAUUAAUAUUAAACUCAGUUGAGUUUAUGGUCUGAAUUAAAUUGACAUGUUGUACUGUGGAUGAUAUUGUUUACUUUAUUUUUUUUUAAGUUUGUUAAAAAUUCAAAGGGAGAAAAGUAUUGAACCGGUUGAGUGCAUAAUCCAGGUCACAAGUUUUUUUGAAUGGUUGAGUAUAAAUUUAAGAAAAAAAAAUUUCAACCCAGUUGAGGUUUUUUUAUAAAGAUUCAUUUUUUGAUGGUGUUGUGUAUUUUUAAUUUUUGAAUUUGUUUUUUUAAAGUUGAAUAUAAAUUUAAGUGAAAACAAUUAUUGAACCUCAUUGAAUUCAUGGUCCGGGUCACAUAUUUAAUUUUUUUAAGGUUUAAGGAAAAAAAUAUUGAACCCGGUUGACUUCAUGAACUGAGUUACGGGUCUUAAGAGUUAAGCCACAAUAACCGGACAAUUUUUUUUUCUAAUGUUGCUUUUUUUUACUGAUAUCUUUUUUUAUAUAUCUUUUUUAAGAUAAUUUUCAAUUUAUGUUUCAAUUAAUAUCCCUCAUCUGUGAUUUGUUUUGUUUAUUUAAUCUUUUUUUUAAUAUAAAUUAUUUUUUGAUGGUGUUGUAUGUAUUUGUUUUUAAAUGUUGAAUAUAAAUUUAAGAGAAAACAAUAUAGAGUCUGGUUGAGUUCAUGAUUUGGGUCACAUGUUUAACUUCUUUUUUUGUUAAAGGUUGAAUAUGAAUUUAAAGGGAAAUCAAUAUUGAAACAGGUUGAGUUCAUGCUCCGGAUCACGGAUUUAACGAGUUAAACCACAACAAUGAAACAAUGUUUAUUUUUCUGAUAUUGCUUUUUUUUACUGAUAUUUUUUAUAUAUCUUUUUUAAAAUAUUUUUUAAAUUUAUGUUUCAAUUAAUAUUCCUCAUCUGUCAUUAUUUUUUUGUUUAUUUAUUUAUUUUUGGAUAAAUAUUGUUUUUUAUGGUGUUGUUCGUAUUUAAUUUUUAAAAAACUUAUUAUGAUUCAUAAAUAAUUUUUUGAUCUUUUUGUAUAAAAGAACUUUAUUUUAAAAAAUAAAAAAAAUUAUUUUCAUCUAACAUAAUAUGUACAACAACCUUGCAUAAUAUUUUUUCUAUUUUUAUUUUAUUUAAUCAAUUUAAUACGUGUGUUUAUUUUUAAUAUCAUUUGAUUGAAUAAAAAAAUAAAUUUUAAAAAAUAAAUUCAAAAAAUAUAAUUGGGUAAAUGUUCCGUUUAUUAACACAUUUGAAUUUUUUAAUUUUAUUUUUUGUUAUUGUUAAUAUAUUUUUAUUAUUAGUAAUUCACAUAGUUAUCAAUGUACAUGUAUGUAUGAGCUUUUAAAUUUACAGUUUAAAUUUUUUUAUGUAUAAAAUUGCAUCGAAAAAACAUGCAUGCACAACUUUUUUGUAAGAGAAAAAAAUAUCUUGUCUGUAAAAGAGUGUCAUCUUAUAGUGGGCCAUAACAAAAUGCUACAAUUGGAUUGGCUUGACUUAGUAGUCCCAACAACACCUGACCUUUGCUUUUUCUUCUUUUUUUCCUUUUAUAUGUUUUUUUUUAAAUUAUAUUUAGAUUAACAUCCCUUCUUUUUUUUAUGUUAUUUAGAGAUCCUCUUUGAAAUGAUGGUUAAUUUUUAGUUAUGCAUUUAAUUUUUGAGAAAGUUUUUCUGAUUCAUUUAUAAUUUUUUUAAUUUUUUGUACAGAUGAACUUUAUUCUUGAAAAUAAAUUUUUUUAUUUUCAAAUAAUAUUUCUAAUAUGUGCAACCUUACAUAUUAUUUUUUUUCAUUUCAUUUUAUUCAAUCAAUUUGAUGUGUAUGUCUAUUUUUAUUAUCGUUUGAUUGAAUAAAAAACUUGUUUUAAUUAAUAAAUUUAGUAAAUAUAAUCGCGUAAAUAUCUCGUUUUUCAAAAUUAAAUAUCUUAAUCUACACUUGUUUAUCGAUUUUUCCACUUUUAUUUUUAGUUAUAGUUUAUAGUUGUUUUUUUUACUUAUUAACACACAUAAUUCUUGAUUUACUUAAUUAUAUUUAUGCAUAUUUUUUUCCACUUAAAAUUUUUUAAAUACAAAAACAUGUUGAUAAAAAUCUAUCAAUAAAUUUUUUAUUAAAAUUUUUUUUUAACACCCAACAAAACAUGUAACAUCGAUUCCAUGUGCAGUUUGACUAUACCUAAGCUGCAGCAGCUGCUCAAGCAGGAGGAGCAGCUGCUCGAUCAGCUGGGGCAGCUCAAGCAGCAGAUGCUUGAUCAGCAGGUGAUGCUGCAGUGGUGGAAGCAGCUCAAUAAGGAGCAACUGCUCGAGGAGGAGCAGCUGCUCAAGCAGCAGGAGCAGCAGGUGCAGCUCGAGCAGCAGGUGCUCGAUCAGCAGGUGCUCCAGCAGUGGCGGUGGCAGCUCGAUGAGCAGGUGCUCCGGCACCAGCUCGAUGAGCGGUGGCGGCAGAUGCUCCGGCACCAGCUCGAUGAGCGGCGGCUGCAGGUGCUCCGGCGGCGGCAGCAGGUGCUCUGGCUGCAGCAGGUGGGGUUGGGGCAGGUGCUCCAGCUGCAGCGGCAGCAGCUGUAGCAGGUGCAGCGGCGGCACCAGUUUGAUGAGCGGCGGCAGGUGCUCCAGCUGCAGUAGGUGCAGCGGCGGCAGGUGCAGCGGCAGCUUGGUAGUGUGUUAGACCGAGGCGCGUUGAGUCUGGCAUUGACCAGACCCAAUAGAUAAUUGAAUUUAACACCAUAAACACUCCCUAGUCAAAGGUUUGAGAUGGAAUAUUUGCAAUGGGAGAGGAAUUAGUGUUUGUGAUCGGAACAUCAAAGUUGGGUUGUUUGUGAGAGGAAUAUUGAAGUUUAAUUUAUAAUUAAUUUAAUGUCAAAGGAUGAAAUUAAAAAAAAUAUAAAUAAAAAAAUCCUAGGUCAACCCGCUAAAUUCGCAACACGAGUCAUAAAGCUAAAAUAAUUUUAUAAAAAAAAACAUCAACAAAUUAUAAAACUCAAUCUUUAAAAAAUAAAAUGUUGAAAGAUAAAAAAAAACAUGUAGAUUUUUUUUUAAAAAAUACCAUUGCAAAUUUUAACUUGGUAAGAUUUUAUGUUAAUAGUACUAUAUUAGAUGAGUCCAGCUCACCAUAAGCUACAUGGAUGAAUAUGAGUUAAUGGUGAGUCGAGCUUGUAUAAUAAUUUAUGGGUAACAAAAGUUGUGCCCAGUAUUUCUAUAAUACGACGAGGUUUAAUUUCUUUUCUUUUCAUGGUUAUCUCUCAGUGGAUAGCAGCAUCAAUCAUAAGAACUUCUAUAUUUAUAUUUAAUUUAAAUACUAAUUAAACGUGAUAAGAGUGGGAGUUAAAUAUAACGCUUCACAUCAAAUGCUCUUGAAAAAACCAAAAUCUACUUCUUUUCAUUCUGGUUGCAUUCGCUUUCACCCCUGACUAUGAACAGGAACCCCAAUUAAAUGAAAUGGAUUUCUUGGAAAUUGAUCUCCUUGGUCCACACUCCACAGCAGAUAUCCGUGGCCUGCAGGAACCCCAAUCAAAUGAAAUGGAUUUCCUGGAAAUUGAUCUCCUUGGUCCACAGCCUAUUCGGUUAAACCAAGUCGGCUACCACUUGCAGCACAAUUCAUCAAAAGACGAUGUGAAUUAUGAUUUGACGUCAAACCAGGUGGAUUAUCAGCUGCAGCCACAAUUAUUUGAUGCAUAGCAAAAUAAUUAUUCAGAAUCACAGUACCUUGGCAGUCCUUUCCAGCCAACUUGAUGUGUUGUGUGCUAAUCCGAUGAAAAUCAAGAUCCCAAAGAGGGUGAUGCAGCUGAUGGUUGGUUCUCUUCCUCCUUGUGAGUUUUUACAUAAUAAAAUAGCGGCCUUAAUUACGAGAGUUCUUCCAUUUUUACAUGAAAAAUGGCUGGGAUUUCCUUUCGUUAUUUAUUAAUCUCUAUCACGACCACAAAAUUACUAAACGCCGACCGAAUAUGAUACACAAGUGCACUAAUUUUUUUUGGUUUAUUAAAGAUUAUUGGAGUGCAUCUUCCUUGGAUAAUUGUAGACUUUAUUUUCCUAAUUAAUAAAAAAGAUUUUUAUCCAUUGUGGUUAUAUCAUAUUCUGGUAGCUUUAAUGCUUUAUAAAUAAAGUAUUGAUCAUAAGAACUCUAUCAACCUUACUUUUUCUUGUUGUCAAUUUCAAUGGCCAGUGAAUCUAACUACAACAUCCGAAGAACAUAUUGCUUUAGUCAUAAUCUGGUCAUAGAUGAUUUCCCCAUCACAAGCUAUAAGUGCCUCUAUAGAGAACCCUAAUCCCUUCUCCAUGCUUCUUGACAGCCUCUUAAAAAAGGUUCAAGCUUGGGACUAAUGGGUUUGUUUCCUCUGUGGUCUAAGGUUCGAGUCCUGUGGUUGCUCAUAUGAUGGCCACUGAAGGCUUACAUGGUCGUUAACUUCAGGGCCCGUAGGAUUAGUCGAGGUGUACGCAAACUGGCCCGGACACCCGCGCUAAUAAAAAAAAAAGGUUCAAGAUUAGUCAUUUCAAAUGAGAAAAAAAAAGAAGAAACAAUCAUAAAGAGCGAAUCUUGUGAAUAAAUUACCGUAUUUGGACGCAACGAAACCGAGAAAAAACUAAGGUAAAGUCUAGACAAGAGCGCGCGCAUAAACUAUUUAUUGAUGAGCUUGUUCGUAUCAACAUAAAUAAAUAUCAAAGUAAUCCAGGCAAACUUUUGCAGAUUACGAAGAAUCUAAGUCGACAAAAAAGCUUUCAAUCAAAGUGUAUAUAUAUUUGAUAUAGAUUCAGUUUAGUAAUAAUUGUUUUUUAAUAUUUUAUUUUUAUUUUUUUAAAAUUAAUUUUUAACAUCACAAGCAUAUAAAAACAAUAUAAAAGAUUGAAAAAUUACAGUAAACCAUAUAACUUUUUGAAAGAUUUUAUACACGAAACCCUUGCUUAAUGACCAUAUAACAAUAUAAAAUUAAUACAAUAUAAAAUUAAUACACUUGGACAGUACUUUUGCUACAGUUUUUUGGAUAGUUCAAACUCAUUUAAAGUAUUUUUAGUUGGAUGUUCAUAUAGGUGAAAACAGAAAGAUUACUGUUACCUGAAAAACAUGAAGUCGAGAUGAAGGUUUACAAGGUCAAAGACAGCGAUCAGACACUCAUAAAUGCAAUGAAUCAGCUUGUUUUGGACAUCCAUCAAUGCAAGAAAUGCCCGUUUUCAAGAACUCUAAGCAACUCCUGAAUCCAGAACAAAACCCUCAAAUAUCAGAUCUUUAUAUGUUUGAAUAUCUAAAAAGAAGAAAAAGCAAACAAAUUUUUUUCUAUUUUUUUAAAUUCAUCUUAAUCUUAUUUUUAUUUAUAUUUAGAUCAAUAUAUCUUCUCUCUUUUAUGUUAUUUAGAAAGCCUAUUUGAAAUGACAAUUAUUUUUUAAUUUUUUAGAAUGUUUUUCUGAUUAAUUUUUUUUUUAAUCUUUUGUAUAGAUGAACUUUAUUUUUUAAAAUAAAAAGAAAUUUAUUUUCAAAUAAUAUUUUUAAUAUAUGCAGCCUUGCAUACUAUUUUUUUUAUUCAAUCAAUUUAAUGUACAUGUCUAUUUUUAUUAUCGUUUGAUUAAAUAAAAAAAUUAUUUUAAUUAACAAAUUUAGCAAACUCAACCAUAUAAAUGUCAUGCAUGUCUUGUGAAAUUAAAUAUUUUGAUCUACACUUGUCUCUCGAUUUUUUCAGUUUUUAUUUUUACUCAUCGUUUAUGAUUUUUUUCACUUUUUAACACACAUAAUUCUCAGUGAGACCUUCAAAACAGAGAUGUUCAUAAUCUUCAUUUUUUAUUGCAUAUGUAAUUUCAGAGCAUUUCUCUCUAGAAUAUUAUUAUAUUGUUCUUUUUUUAAAAGAUACUUAUUUAAGCAUUAGAGAGUCCUCACCUUCACCAAAUAAGAUCUUUUGCUGGUACUAACCACAAACUAUCUUGUCCUACCAAACACCCAGUAUAAUCUAUCAGUCAUAUUGAGUAGGGAUAAUGAAUGAGAUUGUUAAGAUCAUUUAAUUAACUAAUUAUUUAACCUGGAAGUCUAUUUCUAAACUACUUGAAUUUUUUUGGACUUCAUCAUAAAACAUGUUCAUAGCAAAAAAAAAAAAAAAAACCCUGAUUCAGCAAAGCAAGUUAUAAGGGGUCUAUAUUUGCUUUCAUUAACUAAAAUAGCAAGAGCAACACAAUCCAUAUAUACAGAGUGUGUUCAUCCAAAUCAGUUGGAAAUUGAUGAUCCAAAUAACAGGAAGCAUUACAAACAACGCCCUGCAUGCCAUAGAGAUGAACAUUUUUUUUUCUAACCACCUGUAAAUCAAAGUGCACUAGGCUGACCAAUAAGAAACUGGGAACAACACGCAACCGCUAUUGAAUCCAAGCUCGUCUUUCCUCCUCUCCUUUUUCUUGGGUCAAAAAUCAUCACUACCUCUCCUUUUAAUCCCUGUUAAAAAAACCAAAACAACCUUCAAAAACAACCUUAUUUUCCAACAAACCAUAGACAAAACCUGCAGUGUUAAAUUUGAAGUCAAUUGUUUGGAAAGUUGUCGAGCAUCAAGAGCAGUAGAGCAACUACAAUGGAAGAGGUCAGUGGAAAGAGAAAACCAAAAAACUAUUAUUUUAGCUAUUAUUUUCAAUUUUAACAACUCUUAUGAUAUAUUUGAAUAGCUAAAAUACAUUUUCUUCUACUAAAAUAUUAUUUUUACAUAUUUACAUAUAAAAGCCAAAAACAAGGAGAAAGUAUAUACACCCUUUAGCCAACAUCUCUUUAUCUAUGGUUGGCUUUUGUUUCUCUCCUUAAAAACAGAACAAGAAGAAGAAAAGAAGCUUGCAAACCUCAAAACCUAAAAUUUUUAACAUUAUUAUAUAAAAUUGAAAAUUAAAAAUAUAAAUAUAAAUAAUUUUGAUUUUAAAAGUUUAAAAUUUAAACUUUAAAUUAUAUCUUUAAACUUUCAUAUUACUUCAUUAAUUUUAUAAAUUACUCAUAUUAAUUGUAUAAUUAAUAACAUGAUUGUAUUAUAUAAAAAAUAAUUAAACUAGUUAUAUAAUUAUAUUAAAAUAAGUUUAGUAUAAAAUAUAUUAAAAUAUAAUUAGCUUUUUUAAAUAGCUUUUUACCAUUGGAAUUGCACAUAAAAAAAGCUAUAUUUACAUCCAUUUUUCAAUUUAAUUUUUAACUUUUAAAAAUAGCAUGUCUUAUUGAAGUUGCUCUUAUGCAGAAUUACACGGGAGAGGAAGACAAAAGAAGUCCAAAAAUAUUUACUUUUUAAACAUAGAUGCUUGACUUGAGAAUUCAUUACAAAACAUAAAUCAACUCAAUUGUGAUGUGUGUGGCCCAACCCCUGCUCUACUGCACAAUGCGCGUUCGAUAUCCCUUUCAUUUCUUUCUCUACUUUUUCUCCACUGGAAGUCCAUCUUCUUUACAGUGUAAGAUCCGUAAGAAAAUCAUUGGAAACUUACCAAUACGAGUUCUUGACCUAAAGGAACCGGAAAAAAUUCGAAGUCAUUGGAAUAAAAAGAAAGUAGUGAGGGCUUUGGAAGUAUGUUACUAAGAUACCAGAAGAAGAAAAAAUAUUGAGCCUGGCUGGAUGUUGUGCCUCUUUAGCCAACACUUACCACACGGUUUGUUUCGUCUAGAUUCGUGUAAUACUUGUAGAAAUGUGGUGUUUUCUGAUUUAUAAGUAGAAUUUUACAUGUUCCAGCUUGAAAUUGCUAUUUGGUAGAUUUAAUUGCCAUAUUUCUUGAUCUUACCUUCUGUUUCGUGUUUGAUCACAAGAGCAGGCCUUACACAAAAUAGCGUGGAAAGCAAUUUCUGAACCAAGCUAGCUAGUUGAGGCUAGAAGGAUCGGUACUAAUUUAUCGCUAUAGGGAUUUUCAUGGCUUCCACCAGCGUGCAAGGAAUGACCUCAUCUUCAUCUUCUCCUCCUCCACUAUAUAUGCAUGAUGUGUUCCUUAGUUUUAGAGGCAAAGAAACCCGGAACAACUUUACUAGUCAUCUAUAUUCUAAUCUGAAACAGAGAGGCAUCGAUGUAUACAUGGAUGAUAGGGAGCUCGAGAGAGGAAAGGCCAUCGAACCUGCUCUCUGGAAGGCCAUCGAAGAAUCAAGGAUUUCAGUCGUUAUAUUUUCUAGAGAUUACGCUUCUUCACCAUGGUGCCUGGAUGAACUUGUCAAGAUUGUUCAGUGCAUGAAAGAGAUGGGGCACACUGUUCUGCCAGUUUUUUAUGAUGUGGAUCCCUCAGAUGUAGCCGAGCGGAAACGGAAAUAUGAGAAAGCCUUCGUUGAGCAUGAACAAAAUUUCAAGGAAAAUUUGGAGAAGGUCCGUGUUGGGUAAUUCCAGAAAUCAAACACACAUAAAUUUACGUGGUUCGGCAACUUGCCUACUCCACGGAACUACUGGUUUGUAUUAAUCAAUCAAAGAAACAAUACAAACAAGGAGGAGGAGAACACUCUUCUCAACUCAACUCUACUCACUCAAGCUCUCUCUACUGCUCUCUGUUCUGCCGCACGCCCUCAGCUCUUCAAUAUGUCUAUUUAUAGACUAAGCUGGGAACAAGAGAUUAUGGCCACCAUGAACUUCCACUUUGUGCUAAGUGGGAUGAGUUGUUCCCACCAUGUGCUUCCACUUUAUGCUAAGUGGGAGAUGAGUUGUUCCCACUAGCAUAAAGUGGAGGUGGGGCAUUGUUUGUCUCCAUUAUUCUAACAAUCUCCCACUUGGAGACAAACAAUGAAAUUAUCUUUUAUCCUUGAAGACUAACUGAAGUUUUACACAACUUCAGUUUAUCAAGUGUAACUCCUUUGGUUAACAUGUCAGCUGGAUUCUUGCUUCCACAGACCUUUUCUAGCAUCAGUUGUUCAUCGUCUAGCAAUUGUCGGAUGAAGUGAUAUUUGAUCUGAAUAUGCUUAGUCCUGGAGUGAAAUGCUGGAUUCUUGACAAGGAAGAUUGCACUCUGACUGUCGCUAUACAGAGUUCCCUUUCCAUUCAUCUUGCCCAAUUCUUUUAGGAAACUCUGUAGCCAUACUAUCUCCUUUGCAGAUUCUGAAACUGCAACAUAUUCAGCUUCUGUUGUUGAAAGAGCGACGAUCUUUUGCAAGGUAGAACUCUAGGAAACAACAAUACCUCCUAGAGUAUAUACAUAUCUUGUAGUUCUCUUUCUGCUAUCAACAUCUCCUGCUAGAUCAGCGUCUACAAAACCUUCAAGUUUCAAACCACCAGCUAUGAAACUGAGACAAGUUUUCGAGGAACCUUUUAAGUAUCUCAUGAUCCAUUUUACCGCCUCCCAAUGCUGCUUUCCAGGAUUGCUCAUAUAUCGGCUUACAACUCCCACUGCAUGGCCAAUGUCUGGUCUGGUACAGACCAUAGCAUACAUCAAAGAGCCAAUAGCUGAGGCGUAUGGAAUCUUAUCCAUAUGUUCACAUUCUAGCUCAGUUUUUGGUGACUGGUCUUUGCUGAGCUUGAAAUGAUUCCCCAGAGGUAUACUUACUAGUUUAGCAUUAUCCAUACUAAACCUGCUGAGAACCUUCUUGACAUACUCUGUUUGUGAAAGCUUUAGUAUGCCUUUGUCUUUAUCUCUGAUGAUUCUCAUGCCAAGUAUUUGUUUAGCAGCUCCCAGAUCCUUCAUUUCAAACUGUUUUGACAAUUGUUGUUUCAGCUUGUCAAUCUCCUCAAUGCUGGAUCCUGCAAUCAACAUAUCAUCUACAUACAUUAGUAGAAUGAUGUAGGAGUUGUCAAAAUAUUUGACAUAGCAACAAUGAUCAGCUUGACAUCUUGUGUACCCCGAACUGCACAUGAAGUUGUCAAACUUCUUGUACCACUGUCUUGGAGCUUGCUUCAAACCGUAUAGGCUUUUCUUUAGCUUGCAGACUUGGUUCUCCUUUCCUUGUAUUGCAAACCCCUCUGGUUGUUGCAUGUAAAUGUCUUCCUCCAAGUCACCAUGAAGAAAUGCUGUUUUUACAUCUAAUUGUUCAAGAUGUAAAUUUUCUGCAGCUACUAUCCCCAAAACAACUCUGAUUGUUAUGUGCUUCACAACUGGAGAAAAUAUCUCAGAGUAGUCAAUCCUUUUCUUCUGUUGAAACCCUUUUAUAACAAGUCUUGCCUUGAACCGUUUGCUUCCGUCAUGCUCAGUCUUUCCUCUGUAAACACACUUGUUUUGCAAAGCCUUCUUUCCUUCAGGUAGUGUGGUUAGAUCCCAAGUCUUGUUCUUCAACAACGAAUCCAUCUCAUCCUUCAUGGCUAACUCCCACUUGCUUGAGUUUCCAUCUUGUAAAGAUUCUUCAUAAGUUUGCGAUUCACCACCAUCUGUCAGCAAAAUAUAAUUCAGUAGAAGUGUGAAUCGUUGUGGGGGCUUCACAGUCCUUGAAGACCUGCGAACAUAAACAAUGGGUUCACUUGGCUCCGCAUCUUCCUGUGUAGUAGUGGGUACAGAUGUGCUUGAAUCUUCUUGCAAAGGCUCUUGAUUUUUGUUCUGCUCAGUAACAUCAGGAAGCCCUUCUAAUCUUAUGAAUUUAGAUUUUUGUGGACUUGUAUCUGAAUCAGCCAUAUCUGUUUCUACACUUGAUCUGUCUUUGUACAAAACUUUAUCAUUUAAGAUCACGUUCCUGCUUCUGAUAAUCUUUCUAUUCUGAUCAUCCAAGAACCGAAACCCAAAUUCUUCAUCUCCAUAGCCAAUGAAGAAACAUUUCUUGGAUUUGGCAUCUAGCUUGUUGCGAGCAUUAAAAUCUAUGUGAACAUAGGAAACACACCCAAAGACCUUGAGAUGAGAGAGUUUUACCUCUUUUCCUCUCCAUACAUCCUCAGGCAAUCUGAAUUCCAAAGGAACUGAUGGACCACGGUUGAUUAAGUAAACUGCAGUAUGAACUGCAUCAGCCCAGAAUGUUUGAGGUAACCCUGAAUGCAACCUCAUGCUUCUGGCUCGUUCAUUGAUGGUCCUGUUCAUCCAUUCAGCAAUGCCAUUCUGUUGUGGUGUGUCUGGAACGGUCUUUUCCAUUCUGAUACCAUUGACAGCGCAAUAUUCUUUAAAACCUCCAUCAAUGUAUUCUCCUCCAUUAUCAGAUCUUAAGCAUUUCAACUUCAGACCUGAUUCAGUCUCAACCAUAGCCUUCCAUUUCUUGAAUGUUUCAAACACAUCAGAUUUAUUUUUUAGAAAGUAGACCCAUACCUUCCUGCUGAAAUCGUCAAUAAAGGUCACAUAAUACCGAGAACCUCCAAGAGAUGCCACUGGAGAAGGUCCCCAUAAAUCUGUGUGUACUAGCUCUAGCUUUCUUGGUCUUAAGGUCUUGCCAACCUUUAAGAAACUAAGCUUCUUUUGUUUUCCAAGAAUGCAACUUUCACAAAUGUCUAGAUCAAUAUUUUUUAACUCUGGCAACUUUCCCUUCGACUGAAGUAUCUUCAUCCCCUUUUGACUCAUAUGGCCGAGUCUACAGUGCCAUAGAUGUGCCUGAUUUUCUGGUUUAGUAGAGGCAAUAAUGUCUGCAAAUCUUGUGGUCAUAUAUAAGGUGCCGAUUUUCUUUCCACGAGCCAAAACCAUUGCUCCCUUCGAUACAUUCCACAUACCUCCAGAAAAAAGGAUUGAAUGACCACUAUCGUCAAGUUGUCCGAUGAAGAUCAACUUCUUCUUUAAUCCAGGAACAUGCCUUACAUUUUGCAAGUUCCAUAUAGAUCCAUUCAUUGUCUUGAUUUGCACAUCUCCUAUACACACAAUAUCCAUUGGUUGUCCAUCGGCCAGAUAGAUUACACCAUGAUCUCCAGCAACAUAGUUUUGCAUCAUUUCAUGGUGUGGUGUACAGUGGAAUGAAGCACCAGAAUCAAGAAUCCAAUCAUCAAUUGAACUUUGUACAGCAAGAAUCAAAGCAUCUUAUACCUCAUCUGUGGUAGCGUUUGCAAAGUCAGCUUCAGGUUUUUUCAGUUUUGUGCAACUCCUCAUGAAAUGACCAGGUUUGCCACAAUUCCAACAUUCAACCUGCUUUCUGGGUCCAAACUUGCUUUUACUUCUGUAUCUGGAUUUUGAUUUGCCUCUGGAUAAGCCUCUAUCCUGUCUCCUCCCUCGAGUGUUGAUGUUGAGAGCUAGCCUGAACCUGAACUUUCAUCUGAGUCUUUCCUUCUCACUUCUUCGGCCAAAAUCAGGUCUCGGAUGUCAUCAUAUUUCAGUUUGGAUUUUCCAGCUGAGUUACUCACGGCUGUUCUCAUACCUUCCCAACUGCUUGGAAGUGAAGCUAGCAAAAUGAGUGCACGAAUCUCAUCAUCAAACUCAAUCUCAAUAGAUGACAAUUGAUUUGUGAUGGUAUUGAAGUUGUUGAGAUGUUGUGUAACAGAGGUGCCUUCUAUCAUCUUUAAGUUGAACAACUUUUUCAUCAGGUGCACUUUAUUAUUUGCUGAUGGCUUCUCAUACAUCCCAGACAAGGCUUCCAUUAAUCUUGCAAUGGAUCUUUCUUUUGUAACGUUGUGAGCAACUCUUCUUGAUAAGGAUAGCCGGAUAAUGCCCAAAACUUAUCUAUCAAGAAGUAGCCAUUCUUCUUCUUGCAUAUUCUCUGGUUUGCUCCCCAACAAAGGAAGAUGAAGUUUCUUCCCAUAUAGAUAGUCUUCGAUUUGCAUUUUCCAAUAUCCAAAAUCUGUCCCAUCAAAUUUUUCAAUUCCAGCAGCCUUUAUUUCAUCUACCAUUUUUAAUAAUUUUAAAUUUGAAUCUGCUGAAUCUGAUCUUACGGAUGUGUCCGGAAUGGCCAAAAAUGUUGGAAACAACUCUGAAAUCACCCAGAUCGGACUUUGAUGGCUCAGAUCUUAUCAAUCAAACUUUUGGAUCAAUGACGAUGCAGAUGAAGCCGCGUGUCAGAUGAAAUAGUGUCUGCGGCGCACCGGAUCAAACCUCAACAUGAUGAUGUGGCAUAGAUGACGUGUCAGACACAUAAGCAAACUGGGCCCACCAUAGAUGACAUGUCUCAGCCAUGUGGGUUUAUUGCUGACGUGGCAUUAGCUGACGUGGAUGAUGACUGGUCCAAUGACAUGUCUGCUGACUGUGCGGGAUUGCUGAUGUGUCUACUGACUGGCUGAUGACGUGGCGGGUCAACCUGGUUCGGUUGCAGGAAUUCUAGCGAAGAAGGAGCGUGUGGUGCGUGUGGCGCGUGGGCAAUCCUGACGUAGGCGCGUGUUGGCGCGUUAGGGCAUGCAGAACAUUGGUUCUUCGCUGGGUUUUCACCAGUGGAUUUGUCUUGUCUUCCCCUACACGAUGGUAUGUUUAAAAACACAUUUUGAGAACUUUUAUUUCUGGGUUUGGAUCAAACACCCUUUUUUUUCAAGAACAAGCUCUGAUACCAGUUGUUGGGUAAUUCCAAAAAUUAAACACACACACAAAUUUACGUGGUUCGGCAACUUGCCUACUCCACGGAGCUACUGGUUUGUAUUAAUCAAUUAAAGAAACAAUACAAACAAGAAGGAGGAGAAAACUCUUCUCAACUCAACUCUACUCACUCAAGCUCUCUCUACUGCUCUCUGUUCUGCCGCACGCCCUCAGCUCUUCAAUGUGUCUAUUUAUAGACUAAGCUGGGAACAAGAGAUCAUGGCCACCAUGAACUUCCACUUUGUGCUAAGUGGGAUGAGUUGUUCCCACCAUAUGCUUCCACUUUAUGCUAAGUGGAGAUGAGUUGUUCCCAUUAGCAUAAAGUGGAGGUGGAGCAUUGUUUGUCUCCAUUAUUCUAACAGUCCGGAACUGGAAAGAUUGUCUCUGUACAGUGGCCAAUCUAUCAGGCUGGGACGUGCGGCAUAGGUAAAUCAUCCAUCCACUUUUAUUCUCAAAUCCACCCUGUAUGGUUUCAAUGAUGAACAUAGCUUCUUUCUUUUAAUGUUUUUCAAUUGAAACAUGUGAUUAAAUAUCAAAAUAAUCACAAUUAAACAAGUAUAUCAAAACUAAUUCUUGAAUAAAUAAUUGUUAGUAGAUAAUUUUGAUCCAUUAAAUAGCUAUUCCUAGCUUUUGUUCUUGUGUGCAUGAUUCUUUAGUAACUGUGUGAUUUCUAUAGGCAAUAAGAUAGCUAUUGUAAGGAUCAUUCUUAGCAUCAAUACAAUCCUAGUUCCGUUUUCAGUUUAUUCUUUCCUUCUUUCCUUUUCCUCUCUGUUCUUGAAGCUAUCUAUUGUCAAGCCCUAUCUUUCUCAAAGAUUGAUUUAUUAAAGCCAUACAUUUUCGAGCUAAUAUUUAUUUUCCCAUUAUUACUAUCUGAUUUGAUUUGCACACAGCAUGAUUAAUGUUUUCCACCACCAUAUGCAGGAAUGAGUCGGAAUCAAUUAAAAUAAUUGCUGAAUACAUAUCGUACAAACUAAGUGUCACUCUGCCAACAAUUAGCAAAAAAUUAGUUGGAAUAGAUUCUCUUCUAGAGGUAUUAAAUGGCUAUAUAGGUGAAGAAGUAGGCAAAGCAAUCUUCAUAGGGAUAUGUGGAAUGGGUGGCAUAGGUAAGACGACUGUUGCAAGGGUAGUAUAUGAUAGGAUUCGUUAGCAAUUUGAAGGCAGCUGCUUCUUAGAAAAUGUCAGAGAAGAUUUUGCUAAGAAAGAUGGACCACGUCGUUUGCAGGAACAACUUCUUUCUGAAAUCUUAAUGGAACGUGCUUCUGUAUGGGAUUCUUAUAGAGGGAUUGAGAUGAUAAAGAGGAGGUCACGACUUAAAAAGAUUCUUCUUCUCCUUGAUGAUGUAGAUGACAAAGAACAGCUAAAAUUCUUGGCUGANNNNNNNNNNNNNNNNNNNNNNNNNNNNNNNNNNNNNNNNNNNNNNNNNNNNNNNNNNNNNNNNNNNNNNNNNNNNNNNNNNNNNNNNNNNNNNNNNNNNAGGGAGCAGAAUUAUGAUAACAAGCAGAGAUAAACAAGUGUUGACUAGAAAUGGUGUUGCUAGAAUUUACGAGGCUGAGAAAUUGAAUGAUGAUGAUGCUCUUACGUUGUUUAGCCAGAAAUAGGUUUUUCCAGCUACUAAUUCUAUAAAUAUAAUGAAAACAGAAAUGAGAAACUCGUCAGUUUUUCUAUUGAUGUAGAACGAGGAAGAAGACGAGGGAGAGAAUAGAUGAAGAAUAGAAAGGUGACGUAUAAAGGAAUUGGGGGGGGGGGGCUUUUAAAUGGAUAUGGGUAAUAUUAUUUAUAUUAAUAAAGUAAUAUAAAAAAAGAGGAUAAAGAGUUACAUCCUAAUAAUAAAAAUCAAAUAUCAUAACUCUUCAUUCUUAUAAAUAAAUAUGUCUGUUAUACAAUAAUAAACACUAAGAAAAAAUAUUGAAAAGAAAAAUGGAUUCUCAAAAAAAAAAAUCUAUUUUAAUUUUCAGAAGAAUUGUUAAAUAAAGUAGGCUUAUUGAGUAAUGUGAUGUGAUAGUAAUUAUUUUUAAAUUUUUUUAUUUGAAAAUACAUUUAAAAAAUAUUUUUAAAAUGUAAAAACAAUAGUAUUAAUUGUUAAAUUAUGUGCAGACAUUAUAUAUAUAUAUAUAUAUAUAUAUAUAUAUAUAUAUAUAUUAUUGCUUAUGUGUAUUUAUUGUUGUGCAAUUCUUUGCUCCUCUGUCUGUCUUGUUGAAACAAACUAAAAAGAAAAAUAAUGUGCCAGUUAGAAAUUGAACGUUGAACACCCACUUGGUGAGAUUGUCUGAAACUUAAAUAGUAAAAAUGUGAUGGCCUCAUUCACCACUGGGCUGUUGCUCAAGUUUUGUCAUGCAUACAAUAUAAAUAAUAAUCAAACCUAAGACCUUAAGAAGGAAGAGAUUGCUGGCUGCGUACUGCAUUUUAGGGGUGUUCAAAAAAACCGAUUAACCGAAAAAACCGAAGAAAAAUUAACCGAAAAAACCGAACCGAGAUAAAAAACCAAUUAAACCGAUUUUUAAAAUCAUAAAUUCUAAUAGGUCCGGUUCGGUUUCGGUUUUAAAACUGAAACCAACAAACCGAACCAGACCAACCAAAAACCCAAAGCUAUACAAAUUAAGAGGGGUAUAAAUAGUUAAAUACUGAAACCUAACCCUAAAAGCCGUCGCUUGACCCCUGAGAAUAUUUAUGUCAAUCUUCCUUUCCCUUUCAAAUUUCAAUUGCUCUGCCUCCUCCAUCUCUAAAGUGAUUCUCAUCUCUUCAUCUACGUUUAUCUCCAUCUCAAAAGUGAGCCAAACACAAACUCAUCUCCUUAACUUCUCUUCUCUUUACUUUUGCACAAUCCUUCUUUAUUUCUGCUUAAGUUGUUGCAGUUACAGUAGAAGGAGAUGGAUCCUGUAGAGAAAAGAUAACAAGGUAAUUUUUUACCCAGUACUUGGUGUUUGCCCAGGGAUCCAAGGUAUAUCAACAGGAAACAAUGAUUAAUGACCGAAGUUGAAUUUAUAGCUUUUGUUAUUUACUGCAACAAAGACGGAUCUAUUACAAAAUCCUCUGAAUGGUUAGCUAAACUGCAUUGUUCCUCGCUUGUCAGCUCAAGAUUGUAAUAACUGGAAAUAUAAAAUUCCAAACAAGGAAAAAUUAGUGUUUGAUCUGUGAAGGGAUUCGGUUUUCUGGUUUUUUGCCAAAAAAACCAGAUUUAACCGAACCGAACCGGUUCGGGUGAUAUUUCAUAAAAUUAAUAUAACUCGGUUCGGUUGGUUUUUUUAGUCUAAACCAAACUGAACCGAACCGUGAACACCCCUACUGCAUUUAGUUGUGUAGUGGAUGUAUACAUUAAUAAUAUAUUUAGAAACAAAGGGUAUAAUUCUGCGUUGGAGAUUUAUAUUAAUGAUUUGGGCUAAUUGUUGUGCAUUUUAUUUUCAUGUGCAAUUCUAUAUUAAUGAUAUGUGCAUUGAUUAGUUAUGAUAAAUUAAUUUAUAUAUGUUAUGACUACAAAUUUAUUAUUCACAUAUGUUUAUAUAUAUGUAUACAUGUUUUCCAAACACAGUGUAAUUCCAUGUUUAACCUAGUAGAAUUGUGAAUUUAUUGAAUUCUUAAAAUAUAUGUUAUUUUAAAUAUAUGAUCCUUACGUUAUUAAUUAUGAUAUUAAUAAUAUGAUUAUGAAAAUAGUGAGCUUUCGAUUUUUGAUUUUAAAUAUGAUAUCAAAUCAUUGUUGGCAUAAUUAAUUGAUAUUAAGGAUAUGUAUAUAUGUUUUAGUCAUCAAUUAAAUGUGAAUAUGUGACUAAUAAAAUAUUUUUUUAUGUGAAAAAAAUAAGAAAUGACUAUUGCUGCCAAGAAUAUUGUGGCCGAGCUUAAUAUGAUCUUCUUAAGCCAACAAACCUAAAAUUAAUAUAUUCAUUGCUGUUGCACUUUAGGUCGUGGCGAAGAGACUUGUUUCUUUCUUCUGCAUCCGGGUUCGAUCUUCUCUGUGCAUGCCUGUAACCCCCGCGGUGUCUUACAUGUUCACUGGGCUUGCAGGAUAUUCAGUAGGUCCGAGGAUUAGUUGUGGUGCGCGUAAGCGUAAGCAUCAAAGUGAAUCUCAAUAUAAGCAAGGUAAAGAGAAAUCCAUGGAAAAGGAAAACAUUCUUUUAAGAAGAAAAGGAACAAUCACCAAGAGGUUCCUCUGGUCCACAAAGGGAUUUGAGUUUUGGACAUCUGCUGAUCUCAAGUUGCUUUAACUGGGGGAAAAUAUUUAGUGGGAAGAACUCAGGGGACAACAAGUAAUGCCAAUUUUUUUAAAAGUAGUGCAAGCAUAACCCCACUCUUCAAUUUCCUGACAUAUAAAAUUGAUGAUGGCAUGGAAUGAAUCGACUGUGAGACUUUGCGAGUCAGAAAACAAUUUCUCUAACUGCAACUUAUGAAAAUCAUUAGCCAACAUUAUUUUAUUAAUGCGUGCAGGAGACCAUCCAAAAGGUGGACCCAUAAGCUUACAUUUUGCAAUCUCAAGCUCCACUAAAGAAGGAAGGUCGCUGGGCAGUGUUGUUAGGCUCGAACACUUUUUUAUGCAAAGCACUUGAAGGCUUGGGAAAGCUCUGCCUUUAGAUUUCCAUUCACGCACUUACCAAAAAAAAAAGAUUUCCAUUCACGCCAUUGCAACAUCCUCUCAAAAGUUAGGCUUUCAAGGGAUUGGGAUGGGUUUCCUACGGUCGUGGGACUUCCAUAGAACUCAUAACCAACAGACUUUAAAUUAUAGAAGUCUUCAAUCAAGAGCCUUUUUAGAGUUUCUAACUGACCAAGAGAUGGUAAAGAAACACAUUAUUUACAUCCACUAAGCCUCAGAUCGACCAUAUUUUUGAAAGAAGUGUGUCCUAUCCAUCCUGGAAGUUUUUUACCUCUUUAACAAAUUAUAGAAAGAGUUUCCACUUUUGCACUAAGCCACAAUGCUUCAAGUACAUCUUCUUCUGUUAAAGAAUCAUCAGUAUCCCUCAUGUCACCCCAUCUUAACUCUAAUUCUUAAGAUCCUUGCCCUUCAAAUUGGCUUCAGAAGCAUUUAGACCAUGAAAAGCUCAAGCUUUACUAAAGAUAAUGCUCUUUAUAGUCCUAUCUCUUUCAUUCGAGUGCGCUUUCUAUCCCUUGUAUACUAGAUAAUACGCUUUCUAGUUAUAUUUAUGUUUCUUUCGAGUAUGUUUUUUAGUCCUCAUUUAUUAGAAAGUGUGCUUAAUAGUCAUAUCUCUUUUCUUUCAAUUGUGUUUUGUAGCCCUUAUAUACUAGAUAAUGCACUUUAUAGUAAUAUUCAUUUUUCUUUUGAGUGCGCUUUUUAGCCCUUGUAUACUAGAUAAUGUGCUUUUGAGCUCAAUCCAUCUUCCUUUUAAGUGCGCUUUCUAUCCCUCAUCCAUUAGAUAGUGCACCUUUUAACCUUAUCUUUUUUCCUUUCGAGUGCGCUUUCUAGCCCUCAUCCAUCAGAUAAUACACUUUCAAGUCCUAUCCUUUUCUUUUUAGUACGCUUUUUAGUCAUAUCAUUUUCUUCCCAAGUGCGCUUUAGAAAUCUCAAUUCUAACACUCUUGGAAAGAUUAACUAUUUUGUUAACUGUAAAUCUAUGAUGUUGUGUCUUUUCUUAUUUACAACUUACUAUUUAAAGUCUCUUAUAAAAUUUUUUGUCAUAGGCAUUAUAAAGAUGAAGCAACUGUUAUAACCUAAUUUUGGGAUCCCCCCAAAUUACAAGUUUUUUAAAUGAAAAGCAAUAAAAAAAUUGAAAAUGAAAAAGACUGAUAAAUUAAAAAAAAAAAAAACAAGUUGAGAAGGGUUUCAAAUGCAUGGAGGAACCAAGCUGGAGUUUUAGACAAAAUUGGAAUCCUAAUUGUACCUAUUUGUACCCAAGAUCAAUAAAGGGCAAAUUAAAUUAUUAUUGGAUUAAUUUGUAUUUUAAUAGGUCAACUUGAGUUAAUCAUGACCCUACUUAAAGGUUUUAUUAAGUUUAAAAAUUAAUUUGGGUCAAAUUAAGAGAAAUAAUUAAGUGUAAGGACUUAAUUAGACUUUUAAUAGGUUAAAGUUAUUUUUAUUAGGAAUUUAAUUGGUGAAAAAUUAAGUUUGAAAGCUUAAUUUGGGCUUAAUUGAGAAUAUUGAAAUUUUAGAUGAUCAAAUUUAUUAUUUUUAAGCUUAAUUGUUUGAAUUCAGGGAUAUAAUUGCAAGAAAAUCAAAGUUUAGUGGUCCAUCAAGGGUCAAAUUAAAGAAAUUCAAGACUAAGAAUCUUUAUGCAAAGGAGCAAAAAUUUAGGUCUCAAAUUCGGUUGAAAACAAGGAUGAAAUUCAAAAAAUUAAAAGUUUGAAAUUCAAUUAAAAAUAAAAUCAAAGAACCUUUAUGUAAAAGCAACGUGUUUUUCGAAGCCAUCUCUCCCCUCCACAUCCCUCACACCAUGACACUAAACAUACCUCUCUUGUGACCUGCUACUGUACCCCCAUCAAGAGCAGAAAAACAAGUCCUUUGGCAGUACUAAGAACACUGCCAAUCCGGCUUUUGUGGCUUUGUUUGGACAUGAGAAGCGUAGGCCAACACGUCCCUCACCCUCUAUAAAUGCCAACCUCAUGGCAACCAUAUGGCAGGGGGGAUAAAAAAAAGAAAAAAGAAGAUCAAACACUACACCAACACUAAACCCUCUCUACACCGACGACCUCACAAAAAUCAAACAACCUCAAUCCCUGUCCCAAAGAACAACAACUAGAGACCAUUGAAAGAGCAAUCACAGCAACAUUUGUUUUUCUCUCCUAGCCUUCAUUCCUCCAUCGAUACUCUCUUGUGCACCAGCAACAGCCUUGACAGAUCAAAAUUCAUUUUGUUAUGUUCCAAUUCGUGAGUUUGAGAGAGAAAGAAGAAAGUCACUUAAUAUUGGGUGAGGAGAGAGAAAGAGAUAGAUUGCCACAAUUCGAUAAUAAAAAAAUUGAUUUGGUUCCACUUGCCGAGAGUGGAAUUUCAUUGUGGUUUCACACCUUUUAUCUUAUCAGACAAAUAUAGAUCGAAGCUUGUAAUUUUUUUUUGAAUUGGAUGAUUUCUUAGUUUUUUUACCGGUUAAAAGUUGAUUUGAUGUUCGAUUUGAAUUUAUUGAGAAGUGUGGAGGUAUUUAUUAGGUGUUUUUAAGUGAAAAAUAACAAAAAAAAUAUAUUUGAGUUUAAGAGAAUGAAACCUAACUUUUAGAUCACCUAAUUUAGCCGGAAAGGUUACCAAUUUAUCUUUUCACAAUACAAGAUUAUAUAUUUUAAAUUGCAUUUAUCUUCUAAUUUUUUGAUUUAAUAUUUAAUUACUAUCACAACUCUUUUAAAUAAUUAUCACUGCACAUUAUUAUCAAUUUAUUUUAUUAAAUACACAUGUUAAAUUUUUAAUUCAUAGUUAGUUUUCUUAUAUGUUAAAAAAAACACUAACAGCCCCUAUCUUUUUUUUACUACAAAAAAUAAUGUUUGAUUCACUCGUUAUGAAGUUGCUAGUUAAGUUAUCAUGCAUUGAAGAGGUUGAGUUUUAGAGGUGAGUAUGAUAGGUAAUAAUAUAUAUGCCUUUUGUUUUGAAACUUUAAUUUCAAUUUAAAACUAUUUAAAGUGGAUUAGAAUUGAUUUUGAAGUUAAAAAUGGGUUUAUAUAAACUAUUAGGAUGGGUUUGAGAUUCUUAAGCUGAAAAUGAUUGAAAAUGGCAUUUUUGAUACCCAUGGAUGGUGGCUCUCGAUUUUCUAGCUAUCGAAGCGUCGCUUAGAAAACAUAGCAGGAAUCAUACCCACAGUAUAGCUCGGAUGCAUUGGCUGAUUGAUCAAGAAAGGGUUCUACGAAACUACAAAAUUAACCAUUGCCACUCAUCUUCUAGAGUGAAGGAACCCUUCUCCAGAUCUGGUCAUAGUUUUUUGGAUAAUUCAAACUCAUUUUUUUGGAUAACAAAAAGAUUGCUGUUACCUGAAAAAAUGAAGUCGAAUGAAGGUUUACAAGGUCAAAGACAGCGAUCAAACACUCAUAAAUGCAAUGAAUCAGCUUGUCUUGGACUUCCCACAGAUACACCUGUUUUCUACCACACUUAUUUUGGGACUCAUUAUAUCUGAAAAUGUCUUCAGCAAAGCAUAUUCUCCUUCUUCUUCAUUUUUUAAUCUUUUGAUAUGCAUAUUAAUUCAACAUUACAUAAGGGCUAAGGCUUUUGUGAAUAAGGGGCUAUUCACACAAAAGAAUAAAAAGCCAUGAACAAAUGUGCAGCAGACAUCCAUCAAUGCAAGAAAUGCCCAUUUUCAAGAACUCUAAGCAACUCCUAAAUCCAGAACAAAACCCUCAAAUAUCAAAUCUUUAUAUGUUUGAAUAUCUAAAAAGAAGAAAAAGCAACCAAAUCUUUAUAUGAACUUGACAUCCAUCAAUGCAACAGCGUCACCGUUUUAUCCGGGAGCACGAGCACUUGUCUGAGCAGCAUCUGCUUGAGCUGCCGCCUGAGCAGCUAAUAAUCUGAUCAAUCAAUACUAACUACAAACGUAGUCAAAUUGUAUCCUAUUUGAUGUUAUUUUCGAUGCAACUGUCAGUCCGCUAAACAAUAUUUGCUUGAUCUUGCACAACCAACAUACAUACAUGAAGAAAAGAAGUAUUCUUUUUCCAUUCCAAUAGCCAAAAAAAAAAAAAAAGGCAAUCACAUUUCCAUGUUCUUCAAAGCUAUUUGUUAUGCAACUUCCUCACCAACUGUUAACACUCAUUAAUCUCUAACAGCAGUAGACAUAUAUGAAGAAGAAAUCAACAAUAUUCAUCCCACUUUAACACCCCAAAAAAGGUGGGUUAGAAAUCACCCCACCCACCUUCACUAACUUUCCUUACCUUUUGAUAGCCAACAAUACAACGCGAAGAAAAUAAGUGUUCUUUUCCCAUUUUCAAAGCUAAAAAAAAAAAAAAAAAGAGUAAAUGAAGAAGUAUGGUGUGUGGUAUCUGAGUUUAUCCUAUGUCGGGUUCUAUCAAAAGCUGGUUUUUGCUUGGUGAGACCAGGUGUAUUUAUACAUUAACUUCAAAUUUUUUUAUGAAGAAGAAAAUCAUGUCAUUAGCUAACCAAGAUGGCUCGUUAAAGCGAGCUUGGGUUUUGUGCCUAGCUUGAUGAAGCAGCUUGGAAGAGAUCGAAGUUGGUGUGCCAGUGUAACAGGGUAUUUACACACCAACUUAAAACUUCAUUUGCUUUUUUAAAAAAAAAAAUCUUUAGUUAAUAAUAAAUCUCACAAUUAUUAAUUAUUGGUUAUAUAUACUUUUUUACUAUGUAUCAUAUUGGUGCCCACCAGUGCAGUUUCAUCCCUCAGCAGGGUCUGGAUCCAGCAGACCAGCAAAGACAGCAGCUUGUUCUUUAGUCUUGCCAUCAGCAAUGUGAGCAACAGCUUCGUCAGUUAAGCCGGCACUAAAAUCAUGGGAUGUUUUUUAAAUGGAAAGAGUGAAAUUAAAUUGAUUUUUAGAAUCAAAAUUUAAUUACGGAUCUCAUUGAAUAAAUAAAAAAAUUACGGAUUGAAAUCGAGAGGAGAUUUAAACCUAAUUUGAAUCUAAAGAGCCAAAACCACUCUGUUUGAUUUAAAUCGAAUGGCAUGUUUUGCAUAAAAUGACAUGGUUUUGGUAAUUAAUUAAUUAAUAAAUAAAAGAAGCGAGAAAAAGAAAAGAAGGAAAAGACGUCGUUUUACUGUGCACCGUGUUCUUUCUCUGUGCCAGAUUUUGAAGAUAAGAGAUGGUUUUUCCCCUUUGUUUAAACCCUUUUUUUAGGCCCUCUCUCUCCUCCAUGAUAUUAGCUCGGAAAGAGUGCAACAACAGAUAUAUUAUGCAUAAAUAAUAUGUAAAAUGAGUUGUCUAUGUAAACGGUGUUCUAUCGAUUUAUAAGAUAGCUAGGUAGGUGUUGUUAUGAUAUGUGUUUUACUGACAAUUUAUAAUUAAGAAAUGGUAGGCAUUAUAUAAUUAACAAUUUGUGAGAAAGGAUAGCAGUACCAUACUAAUAACAAUUGUUUGGUCUGAGUUGUUUAAGUGGUGACCCAUACUAGUAGCAGUUGUUAAGUCAGGUCUAAAGAUAUUCGCACUCUCUCUUUUCUAUGAGGCCUUUGGCCCCAUCAUGUAUAAAGAAAUAUUUCCAAGGAAUCCUAGAGAUCGAAAUUCUCUCCAUCUGUGCAACUUCCCUUGGAUUCUCGCUUUUCGUCCUCACCAUUCUAAUGAUAUGCUUCCCGAUGACGUGCGAAGUAGAAACCGACAGCUUGGCCAAGUAGCAGUUGUUAAGUCAGGUCUAAAGAUAUUCGCUCUCUCUCUUUUUUAUGGGUCCUUUGGCCCCAUCAUGUAUAAUGAAAGAUUCAUUUGUGAAUGAAAAAUAGAGCUUUGUUCCAUUAGGAGUUGAAACCACCUAACUUGGCUUAAUUAGAUGUGACUAUAGAAAAAUCUAACAAUAAAUUUCAUUAAUCGUAUUUAAUGUGAUGAAUGUUCUUUGUAGCAGACGUACGUGAAGUGAUUUGAAAAAUAUAAAUAUUGAGUUUUAGAAACAUACAUUUCGUGAAAAUAAUUAUAUAAACACUUAUUGCACUAACCAAUAGCUAGCAGUUCAUACAUUAAAGUGUCCUUUCAUUCAUAUUAGUCUAACAUAGUGAUUCCUUUCUUUAUCCUCAUACUUUUUGUUAUUGAUUGCAUCCUUUAGUUUGUUGUUUGUUGGUUUUUUUUUAUUAGUAGUCUCUUUUAUUGGCAUGUUCUUGGUAAUCGAAGGUUUUUAUCAUAUUUUGAAACUUGAUUUGAGAUCAAUUUAAAUUUAAUGAGAUGAUGUUUGAAUUUUUUCCAUAAAGACAAAAUUUAGAAAAAAGGAUUAAAAAAAAUGCACUUUUGUCCCUUUUUCUUUACAUAUUUUUACUUUUGUUCCUUUAGUUUUAGCAUUUUAGGUUUUGGUCCAAAAUUCAUUAUGUUAUGUGUCGCACGUGUGCGGCGUCGCGGCAAAAACAUCCACCCUCAUAAUUUUCUUAUUAUCUAAUGUUAUCUAAAAAUGUGGCAAAUGUGGGGAGACAAUGAAUUCUUGUCUUUUAUUAGUGGAAAAAUGGGAGUCGCCACCUAGUAUUUUGGUCACUAGGAACCCUAACUGGUCUCAGAGAUCAGGUACGGGGACUGGUUGCGUAAAGGGAAGGUAUUAGCACCCCAAAUACGCCCUACCUAAGGUAAGCUGCAUUGUUUUAUUGUCUGAUAAAAUCUAAGGUCUUGUCGUGUUUUCUAGUUGUUGGUUCGUCUAUGGUUCAAGAAAAGUCUUCCUCGGUAAGGAGAUUCUUAUCUUAUCGGGUAAUUUUGAUGUCAACAAAAGAAAUUUAAUAUCCGGAAUACGUCUUAUGUAUAAGGUCGUAACCCCAGAUAUUAAAAGAAAACAAAAUAAUUUUUUUGGAAUUUUUGAAAUAUUGGCCUAGUUCUCGUGACUUUAAUAAACUGGUUAUUAAAACCAAAAUGCAUGCUAAUACAUAUUUUUGAACUUUUCUUUGUUAUAUGAAAAUACAAUAUGAAUUUUUUUUAAUUUUUGAGAGACUUGGCCGUAUGCAUGAAAACAAAAUAUUUUUUUAUGUUUUGACAAAAACCAGGUAUUUCAAUACCAGAUUUGUAUCUUUACAAUAUAAAAAUACAAACCAAUAUUGAUCAAAAUGCAGUAAAAUAUUUGCGGAAAAUCACAGAUUUUUUUUUAAAUAAUUUUUGAAGAAAUUUUUUUUUCUUUUUUUCGGGCUGGGCUGGACCCAACCACCCAUGUGGCUUGACCCAACUAAGCCAUGCACGCGUAAAAUUCUACGCGUGCAUAUAUUACCUUCGCACUGUUCAUCCUUCGUUUUUUCGUGCACCAGCAACAGCCUUGACAGAUCAAAAUUCAUUUUGUUAUGUUCAAAUUCGUGAGUUUGAGAGAGAAAAAAGAAAGUCACUUACUAUUGGGUGAGGUCUUAGUUUUUUCACCGGUUAAAAGUUGUUUCAAUAUUUGAUAUUAAAAAGUGUAGGGUGUUUAUUAGGUGUUUUCAAGUGAAAAAUUAAAAAAAAAAGUUUUUUUAGGUUCAAGAAAAUGAAACCUAACUUUGAGACCACCUAACUUGGCCGGAAAGGUUACCAAUUUAUCUCCCCGUAAUACGAGAUCAAAUAUUUUAAAUUGUAUUUAUCUUCUACUUUUAUAUUUAAUAUUUAAUUAUUAUUAACAACUCUUUUUAAUAAUUAUCAGCACAUAUUAUUAUCGAUUUAUUCUAUUAAAUACAUAUGUCAAAUUUUUAAUUCAUAGUUUGUUUUUUUAUACACUAAAAAACUAUUAACAAUCCCUAUCUUUUUUUUAUUAAAAGAAUAAUGUUUGAUCUCACUCGCUGUGAAGUUGCUAGUUACGUUAUCAUGUAUUGAAGUGGUUUGGUUUUAGAGGUAGGUAUGAUGGGUAAUAAUAUAUAUGUAUUUUGUUUCGAGAUUUUAAUUUCAAUUUAAAACCAUUUAAAGUGGAUUAGAAUUGAUUUUUAAGUUAAAAAUGGGUCUAUAGAAACUAUUAGGAUGGGUUUGAGGUUUUUAUGCUGAAAAUGAUUGAAAAUGGCCUUCGAUUAAUUAUAUUAUUAAAUUAACUAAUUUUAUUUAAUAUAAUCAAGUUAAUCACCAAAAUCUUAUAUUUUUUUUAAAGUAGUCUCAACAUUAUUUUUCCAUGUUAAAAAAAUCACACGGUAGAUAGCAAUCCGCGAGCCACCUAAUACUAAUACAUCAUUAGCUAACAUCCACUGGAGGAUUUAUUUUAUUGAAUAUAUAUAUAUAUAUAUAUAUAUAUAGACACACACAUCAAUCUUGGGUUCCCACUAGGAAAUUUUCUAGCUAUCGAAGCGUCGCUUAGAAAACAUAGCAGGAAUCAUACCCACAGUAUAGCUCGGAUGCAUUGGCUGAUUGAUCAAGAAAGGGUUCUACGAAUCUAAUAUAGUUUGUUUUCACUUGACUACAAAAUUAACAAAGGCCACUCAUCUUCUAGAGUGAAGGAACCCUUCUCCAAUAUCAAAUCUUUAUAUGUUUGAAUAUCUAAAAAGAAGAAAAGGCAACCAAAUUUUCAAGCUUUUUCCCUCUAUUUUUUUUUUUUGGGGGGGGGGGGGGGGAGCAAAAAAGGUCAUGGAUUUUUGCCAUUUUUUGGUUACAUGGAGAGCAGGGGGAUCUCAUUAAAGCAAAUAAUUCAUCAAUCAUAAUCAAAACUCAAAACAAAGCAUGCAAGUACAAGUACACCAUGAAUUUUAAUGUUGAUGGUAAAAAAUUAAAAAUGGUGUAAAUUGAGAUGGAGAGCUAAAUAUAUAAAAAGACCAAAAAACAAAACGAAUGCUAUAAUCAAAUUUCGAACAUCUAAAAGGUAUCUUGUGUGCGACUAUUUCCAUGUCAUUAUGUACGACAGAAAAAAGAGAGGAUGCUAUAAAAGAAUGUGUGGAACCAAGUGAAACAAUGAACAUCCAAAAGGGGAGUUUGAAAUUGAUGAAUUAAAUUUUUAUCUCUAUAUUUUUUUAAAAAAAUUAUAAAUAUAAAUUUUCAGGAAUAUAAAUAUAUUACAAUGAAAGCAUGUUAAGUUCGACGCUAGUCAGACCCGUGCAUGUUAGACUUAACAAUAUACCAAGCCUCAAACAUGUUAGGUCCGACAAUGUGAAAUGACCUUCCUCUCUUUUAGACUAAAUAUAUUGUUUUAAACAACAAUAAUUUAUACAUUAAAGGGUCUUUUCGAUCCUACUAGACCAACAAAAUUAUAUAAAUAUUUAAAACAAAGCUAUUAAUAUGAUAUUUAUUAUGGAUUAUAUUCUAUUAUGCCUUUCAUUGUUAAAUUUUGUCAUCCAAUUUAUAAUUUGAAGUCAUUGGAGCAUAGCUAUUUGAAUAGCUAAAAUAGCAUCUUCUUACCAAGCUUACCGAUCGAGCCAAAAGCAAGUUGAAAGUAUAUAUACCCGCUAGUCAACAUACCUCAAUUGUGAUGUGUGUGGCUCAACCCCUGCUCUUGACAGGAAGGUGCCUCUGCUCGCAAUGCGCGUUCCAUAUCCCUUUCAUAUCUCUUCUCACUUUUUCUCCACUGAAACUCCAUCUUCUUUACAGUGUAAGAAAAAGAUCCGUAAGAAAAUCCAGGAAACUUACCAGUACGAGUUCUUGACCUAAAGGAACCGGAACAAAUUCAAAGUCAUUGGAAUAAAAAGAAAGAAAAAGGCUUUCGAAGUUGGUUACUAAGGCUAAGUUUGUUUUCCGGAAUUUAUUUUCUAGAAAACUAUUUUCCAAACUUUCUUGUGUUUGUUUGUCAUUAGAAAAGUUAGUCAACGAAAAAUACUUUUCAGUCAAAGGAAAAUUUGACUUGGUUUACAGGAAAAUAUUUUCCUGAAAAAUUUGAGCGGAAAACACUUUCCGGAAGUUGUGAAAAAUUUAGAAAUGUCAAAUUUGAUCCUCAAACUUUUGAUUGCUAUAUAUAUUUUGUUUUGAAUAUUUAUUUUUCAAUUUCAUCUCUUAAAAUUUAAUUUUUAUAAACUUUGGUCCUCAUUUUUAUAAUUGUUAUUUGCUUUUCCCUUAUCAUUUUUUUAUUGAAAUUUUUUAUGUAUCAAAUUUGAUCCUCAUUCUUUUGAUUGUUACUUAUUUUAUUUGAAAUAAUUUAUGAAAUGUUAAUUAUUAUUAUUUUAAUUUCUUCAUCUUUUUUUUUAGAUUUGAUCUCUAUUAUUUUGAUUAUUAUUUAUUUUAUUUGAGAUAAUUUAUGAAAUUAUAUUUUUUUUUCAAUUUCAUUCUCAUUCAACUUUUUAAUUUGUAAGAUUUGUUUCUCAUUAUUUUAAUAAACUUGAGAAAAAUAAAAUAUUAAUAAGUUAUUUUCCAACUCAUUUUCCAUGACAUAACCAAAUACUGAAAAGUGUUUUCCAACUUAUUUUCCAUUACACUACCAAACAUCAGAAAAUAAUUUACUUUAAAAAAAAAACUACUUUCCAGCAAACAAACAGAGCCUAAGAUACCAGAAGAAAAAGAAAUAUUGGGCGUGGCCUGGAUCUUGUGCCUCUUUAGCCAACACUUACCACCCGGUUUGUUUCGUCUAGAUUCGUGAAAUACUCGUAGAAAUUUGGUGUUUUCUGAUUUCUAAGUAGAAUUGUACAUGUUCCAGCUUGGAAUUGCUAAUUGGUAGAUUUGAUUGCCAAAUUUCUUGAUCUUACCUUCUGUUUCAUGUUUGACCACAGGAGCAGGCCUUACACAAAAUAGCGUGGAAAGCAAUUGCUGAACCAAGCGAGCUAGUUGAGGCCAGAAGGGAUCGGUACUAGUUUAUCGCUAUUGGGAUUUUCAUGGCUUCCAGCAGCAUGCAAGGAAUAACCUCAUCUUCAUCUCCUCCUCCUCCACUAUAUAUGCAUGAUGUGUUCCUUAGUUUUAGAGGCAAAGACACGCGGAACAACUUUACUAGUCAUCUACAAACUAAUCUGGCACAGAGAGGCAUCGAUGCAUACAUGGAUGAUAGGGAGCUCGAGAGAGGAAAGACCAUUGAACCUGCUCUCUGGAAGGCCAUCGAAGAAUCAAGGUUUUCUGUCAUUAUAUUUUCAAGAGAUUACGCUUCUUCACCAUGGUGCUUGGAUGAACUUGUCAAGAUUGUUCAGUGCAUGAAAGAGAUGGGGCACACUGUUCUGCCAGUUUUUUAUGAUGUGGAUCCCUCAGAGACAUAUGAGAAAGCCUUCGUUGAGCAUGAACAAAAUUUCAAGGAAAAUCUGGAGAAGGUCCAGAUCUGGAAAGAUUGUCUCUCUACGGUGACCAAUCUAUCAGGCUGGGACAUACGGAAUAGGUAAAUCAUCUAUCUACUUAUUCUUAUUCUCAAAUCCUCCCUGUAUUGUUUCAAUGAUGAUCAUAGCUUUACAAACAACGCCCUGCAUGCCAUAGAGAUGAACAAUUUUUUUUCCUAACCAAUUGUAAAUCAAAGUGCACAAGCCCUGACCAGUAAGAAACUGGGAACAACACCCAAUAGCUACUGUAGUGAAUCCAAGCUCGUCUUUCCCUUUUUUUUUUUUUUUUUUAAACUCAUGAGCUAUAAAUACAUAAUGAGAUUUUUAGAAUAAAGAUUCAUAAUUUUCUUUUUUUAUUGAAUAUAUAAUUUCAAAGCAUCUUUCUAAAAUAUUAUUUUAUUUCUUUUAAAAAAUAUAUUUAUAUAAGCAUCGAAUUUCAUUAUAAAUCAUGUUCAAAAAAAAAAAUUCAGCAAGCAAGCUAUAAAGGGGUCUAUAUUUGCUUUCAUUAACUAAAAUAGCAAUAGCAACACAAUCCAUAUACAUAGUUGGAAAUUGAUGAUCGUCCUGAUAAUUAAAAAAAAAAAAAAAACAGGAAGCAUUACAAACAACGCCAUAGAGAUGAACGAUUUAUUUUUUUCCAACCAACUGUAAAUCAAAGUGCACAAGCCUGACCAAUAAGAAACUGGGAACAACACGCAAUAGCUAUACUGAACAAAUAAAUCAAACCGCGAAAUACAUGAAACUGGAGACGGUCAACAAAAACCAAACAAGACAAACUUAUAGUGCUGGAACCAUCAUCAUCACCCCAUCUUUUUUUUUUCUCUCUGUCCCCUUUUAGGAACCACAAUUCUACACUUCUCUUCCCACUUUAUCCUCCCAUCUCAUCUCUUUUUUUAUCCCUGUUAAAAAGACCAAAACAGCCCUAAAAAACAACCUUACUUUCCAACAAACCAAAGACAAAACCUACAGUGUUUUACCAGUUACAGUGAUUUCACUGCAUGUUUUAGCUUUUUGUUAAUUAAUAUAUUUUAUGUGAAAAAAAUAAUAUAAAUAUUUAAAACAAAGCUAUUUUCUAACUUUUACACUAAAUAUAUUAUUUUAAACAACGACAAUCUAUACAUUAAAGGGUCUUUUUGAUCCUACUAGACCAACAAAAUUAUAUAAAUAUUUAAAACAAAGCUAUUAAUAUGAUAUUUAUUAUUGAUUAUAUUUUAUUAUGCCUUUCAUUGUUAAAUUUUGUCAUCCAGAUUAUAAUUUGAAGUCGUUGGAGCAUAGUUAUUUGAAUAGCUAAAAUACAUUUUCUUUUACUAAAAUUCUAUUUUUACAUAUCUACGUAGCAUAGCCAAAACCAAAAGGAAAGUAUAUAUACUCGUUAGCCAACAUAUUUUUAUCUAUAAUUAGCAUUUGUUUGUCUCUUUAAAAACAGAACAAUAGAAAAAAAAAGCCUGUAAAUCUCAGAGCCUAAAAAAUUUGAUAGUAUAUAUAAAACUGAAAAUUAAAAAUAUUCAUAAAAUUUUGAUUUUAGAAAUUUAAAAUUUAAACUUCAAAUUAUAUCUUUUAACUUUGAUAUUACUUUAUUAAUUUUAUAAAUUACUUAUAUUAAUUAAUUGUAUAAUUGAUAACAUGAUUGUAUUAUAUAUAAAAUAAUUAAACUAGUUAUAUAACUAUAUUAAAAUAAGUUUAAUAUAAAAUAUAUUAAAAUAUAAUUAACUCUCCUAAAUAACUUUUUACCAUUAAAAUUGGACAUAAAAAAACUAUAUUUACAUCCAUUUUUAUCAAUUUAAUUUUUAACUUCUAAAAAUAGCAUGUCUUAUUGAAGUUGCUCUUAUGCAGAAUUACAAGGGCCAAAGGGAAAGAGACAAAAGAAGUCCAAAAAUAUUUAUUUUAAACAUAGAUGCUUGACUUGAAAAUUCAUUACAAAACACGAAUCAACUCAAUUAAUUGUGAUGUGCGUGGCCCAACCCCUGCUCUUGACAGGAAGGUGCCUCUGCUGCCCAAUGCGCGUUCGAUAUCCCUUUCAUUUCUUUCUCUACUGUUUCUCCACCGAAAGUCCAACUUCUUUACAGUGUAAGAUCCGUAAGAAAAUCAUUGGAAACUUACCAAUACGAGUUCUUGACCUAAAGGAACCGGAAAAAAUUCGAUGUCAUUGGAAUAAAAAGAAAGUCAAGGGCUUUGGAAGUUGGUUACUAAGAUACCAGAAGAAGAAAAAAUAUUGAGCCUGGCUGGAUCUUGUGCCUCUUUAGCCAACACUUACCACACGGUUUGUUUCGUCUAGAUUCGUGUAAUACUUGUAGAAAUUUGGUGUUUUCUGAUUUAUGAGUAGAAUUGUACAUGUUCCAGCUUGAAAUUGCUAAUUGGUAGAUUUAAUUGCCAAAUUUCUUGAUCUUACCUUCUGUUUCAUGUUUGACCACAGGAGCAGGCCUUAUACAAAAUAGCGUGGAAAGCAAUUGCUGAACCAAGCGAGCUAGUUGAAGCCAGAAGGGAUCGGUACUAGUUAAUUUAUCGCUAUAGGGAUUUUCAUGGCUUCCACCAGCGUGCAAGGAAUAACCUCAUCUUCAUCUUCUCCUCCUCCACUAUAUAUGCAUGAUGUGUUCCUUAGUUUUAGAGGCAAAGACACCCGGAACAACUUUACUAGUCAUCUAUGUUCUAAUCUGGCACAGAGAGGCAUCGAUGUGUACGUGGAUGAUAGGGAGCUCGAGAGAGGAAAGACCAUCGAACCUGCUCUCUGGAAGGCCAUCGAAGAAUCAAGGUUUUCUGUCAUUAUAUUUUCACGAGAUUACGCUUCUUCACCAUGGUGCCUGGAUGAACUUGUCAAGAUUGUUCAGUGCAUGAAAGAGACGGGGCACACUGUUCUGCCAGUUUUUUAUGAUGUGGAUCCCUCAGAGGUAGCCGAGCAGAAAGGGCAAUAUGAGAAAGCCUUCGGUGAGCAUGAACAAAAUUUCAAGGAAAACUUGGAGAAGGUCCGGAACUGGAAAGAUUGUCUCUCUACGGUGGCUAAUCUAUCAGGCUGGGACGUGCGAGAUAGGUAAAUCAUCUAUCUACUUAUUCUUAUUCUCAAAUCCUCACUGUAUUGUUUCAAUGAUGAUCAUAGCUUCUUUUUUUUUUUUUCAAUUUAAACGUGUGAUUAAAUAUCGAAAUAAUCACAAUACAACAAGAGUUUCAAAACUAAUUCUUGAGUAAAUAAUUAUUAGUAUAUAUUUCCUGUAAAAUUAAAAAUACUUACCUUAUCUUCAAGGGCUUAUUCAUGCUUCUUCUUUUUUUGUGAUAAAAAAAAAGAAAGUGGUUGGCUUGUUUGUAGAACACACAGAAAGUUGCCUUAUUUAAGCAGCACGAGCAAUGACUUAUUAAAUCACCAAUUUGUGCUUCAGAUCGCGAGUUUCACAUGUUAAUUAUAGUUAUUCCAAGUCGAUCUAGUAUUUUGUCAUCACAAUUAUAUUUUUAAUUAAAUAUAUCAUUCAAUAUAUUAUUAUCUUAAUAUUUUAAAAGUGUUUUUAUAGCAUGUAUUGAAUUUUUUACUGUCAAAUAUUAUUAUAUUUUUUAAAGGUUAGAAACAAAUAAUAGGUUAAAGAACUACACGUUGAAGUGAAGUUUUCAACAAGUGGCAACUUAUCAUUAGUAUUUUUAAAAGGUUAUCAUCUAUGGUUCAGUUUUUAAGGUAUGACAUAUAAGCUACAUGAUUAUUUCUCAAAAUACUAUAGGUGGGAAAAAAACUUUUCAAAGUAGCACGGUUUCAUCCAUAGUUAAAGAAAAAAAUAAGGGAAGGAAAACCCAGCGUGACCCGGGGACCCUGUUAACUCGACAAGACCCGUUCAAAACCUGGUUGCGACCCAUUAAUUUUUUUUUACUCAAACGACGUCGUUUUGAUUUUUUUAAAAAAAAAUUGACCUGGACCUUGGACCGGACCGGCCACCAAGCCGGGUCUCAAAACUAUGGUUUCAUCAAUUGCAUAGGUCUCACUUACGCAACUUGACACAUCCAGGUCUCACAUGUCAAAAAAAAUCUUCCUUUCUUUUUUUGUUGGGUUGGUCCCUCAAUUUUUAUAUUUAGUUAACUUUAGUACUAUUAUUACGAUCAUUUCAUCUAUUCUUCUGCACACAGAAAAAUAUAUGAAUUAAAGUUAAUAUUUAUUUCAAAUGCAAUCGCUAAAAACGAGUUAAUUUUUGCCUAAAAUAUUGUUAUGUUUUUGCCCAACUUAAAUAAAAAUAAGUUUAUAUUAAUGAAAUGAUCAUUAUAUUGAAAUUAAUAUUAAGAUUGUAUGAAAAUUGAAAGGCCAAAUGAAAGAUUAAAUAGAGAAGAAAGAUGAAGAAAUGGGUUGUGAAAAUGGCAUACGUGAUAUCAGUGCAUCUCAAGGUGCGUGAAUUGGAUUUGCGCAACCACUUCAAAGGUUAGUCUGGGAAAUGUUUUUUGGGCUAUGCUAAUAUGGAAAAAACUCAAAAUUUAAUAAAUUUAAAGUUGUUUUUGUAAAGUUAAUUAUGCAAGAUAAUUGAAUUUUUUGUUAAAGAUAAUUAUAAAAAUAACUUAGUGGUCGAAAAAAAAUAUAAUAGAAUUCCAUUUGCUUUUUGGCCUGUUAAAACCAAACUUAAUGGAUAUUUUAUUUCCUAGCUUUUGUCCAUGCUUCUUUAGUAACUGUGUGAUUCCAUAGGCAAUAAGAUAGCUAUUGUAAGGAUCAUUCUUAGCAUCAAUACAAUCCUAGUUCCUUUUUCAGUUUAUUCUUUCCUUUUCCUCUCUGUUCUUGAAGCUAUCUAUUGUCAGAGCCCUAUCUUUCUCAAAGGUUGGUGUAUUAAUUUCCGGCUAACAGCCAUACAUUUUCGAGCUACAAUAUGCUAAUGUUUAUUUUCCUAUUAUCACUAUCUGAUUUGAUUUCUGCACACUGCAUGAUUAAUGUUUUGCACCCUCCUAUGCAGGAAUGAGUCGGAAUCAAUUAAAAUAAUUGCUGAAUACAUAUCGUACAAACUAAGCGUCACUCUGCCAACAAUUAGCAAAAAAUUGGUUGGAAUAGAUUCUCGUCUAGAGGUAUUAAAUGGCUAUAUAGGUGAAGAAGUAGGCAAAGCAAUCUUCAUAGGGAUAUGUGGAAUGGGUGGCUUGGGUAAGACGACUGUUGCAAGGGUAGUAUAUGAUAGGAUUCGUUGGCAAUUUGAAGGCAGCUGCUUCUUAGCAAAUGUCAGAGAAGUUUUUGCUGAGAAAGAUGGACCACGUCGUUUGCAGGAACAACUUCUUUCUGAAAUCUUAAUGGAACGUGCUUCUGUAUGGGAUUCUUAUAGAGGGAUUGAGAUGAUAAAGCGGAGGUUACGACUUAAAAAGAUUCUUCUUAUCCUUGAUGAUGUAGAUGAAAAAGAACAACUAGAAUUCUUGGCUGAGGAGCCUGGAUGGUUUGGUCCAGGGAGCAGAAUUAUCAUAACAAGCAGAGAUAAACAAGUGUUGACUAGAAAUGGUGUUGCUAGAAUUUAUGAGGCUGAGAAAUUGAAUGAUGAUGAUGCUCUUACGUUGUUUAGCCAGAAAGCUUUCAAAAAUGACCAACCUGCUGAAGAUUUCGUGGAACUAUCCAAGCAAGUUGUGGGUUAUGCUACUGGCCUUCCACUGGCUCUUGAAGUUAUGGGUACCUUUAUGCAUGGAAGAAGUAUCCUUGAAUGGGGAAGUGCGAUUAAUAGACUAAAUGAUAUUCCUGACCGUGAAAUUAUUGAUGUGCUUCGGAUUAGUUUUGAUGGUCUCCAUGAAUCAGAUAAGAAAAUAUUUUAGACAUUGCAUGUCUCCUCGAGGAGCAGCAGCUGCAGCUCGAGCAUAAGCUGAUGCUCGAUCAGCAGCAGAAGUUCCAUUAGCAGGUGCUUCAGCAGUGGCGGCAGCAGCAGCUCGAUGAGCAGCUGCUCCAGCAGCAGCAGGUGCUGCUCCAGCGGCAGCAAGUGCAGCAGCUCCCUGGGUUCUGGUUAGGAAUUUAACUUGCUUUAGCUUGAAGAUCUUCGUCAGUUUUUGCUCAUGGUUUUGGUUUGGGGUAAUUAGAUUCACAUUUUACUAUGUAUGGAUUUUCUUCUUAAAUUUAGGAUAAUCUCAUGUUUGCGGAUGGAAGGAUUGUUUCCAUAUUAAAACUUUUACAUGGCGGAAAGCCUGUGCUCUGGAAAAUUUCAACCAUUAUUUUGGAAUAGCUACUCUGCCUACUUUUUUUACUCUGGUUUUGGCGGGUAUAUGUGUUAGAUUUAAAUUAAAAACAAUAUAUAUUUCUAAAAGAUAAAACCAAUAAUUUCUUAUCAAUAUGAUUUUUUUUUCAUCAAUUUUAUUCAGAAUUCUUUGAAAUUAAUUUUUUAUUUAUCCAUAAUUAAUUUUAAGUAUUUUAAUAUUUCAUGUUAUAAUUAAUAUUCAUUCAAAAAAAUAUUUUUCAACAAAAUCUUAACUCAUUAAUUUAAUUUUUUAUUAAAAUUUAAAUACAAUAACUACGUUUUAAAACUAAUUUCUCCUAACUGUCAAAUAAUCAAUUCAAUCUAAUAACUUAAGCUGUUAAGUGAAGUCUCAAGAUAUGAUUUAUAUUAUUCUCUAACACCCCACUCAAGUAGAAGUAUUUUGGACUUGAAUUUGUAUAAGGUCACAUUACCUUAUGUUUAAUUUUUAUUAAAUAAAUGAGAAUGAUGAAAUUUGAACUCGUGAUUGUUUGGUUAUCAAGGCUCUGAUAUAAAUGGCAAAAAUAAUUUUAAAAAAUAUAUAUUAAUAUUGAUAGUUUUUAAUUUAAAUAUUGUAGAUUUAACUAUUGUUAUUACAUCAUGAAAUAAAUAAUACUUUAUAUAAAAUAUGUUUUAUUGUUCCAUUGAACUAUCUACAAUUCCAUCACGUAUGAAAUACAUCCGACAAGGAUUACAGUUUUCACAAAUUUCUUAAGAGCGCAACAACAUCAGGUAAAAUAUAAUCAGGAAUAAAAUUGGAAUUGCUAUCAAAUUCUGCAAAUGUUACGUCAUCAAACAAUCUCUGUCUAAUUAUACACUACAAGAUUUCACAGUUUUACUGAUGGAAAAAUUCCUUCAGUGUGUGAUUAGAAGUUCGUCGAUGAUUUUUUUACCGACGUCAUCACCGACGGAUUACGUCCGUCGGCUUUUCUUUUGUCGGUGAUUUCCCAUUCCGUUGCUAUAUCGGUCGGCAACACAAAAAAACCAUUUGCCGAUGGUUUUACAAACAUGAUUUGUGCGCCAAAAAAAAAAGAUUCCCGCUUGAAAUAUACUGACGAAUUUUUAGUCCGUCGGUGAUAUCGUGAAUUACCGACGACUACUAACCGUCGGUAAAUCUGUCGGUGAGUGUAUGAAAUACCGACCGAAUAUAUCCGUCUGUAAAUUCGUCGGUAAGUGUGGUAGCUACUGUUAAAUGCUGACAGAUUAAUUCCAUCGGCAAGUCUGUCGGUGAGUGUUUAAAAUACCGAUCGAAUGAAUCCGUCGGUAAAAUCCUUGGUAAUAGUUUUUUUCUAAAUUUGUUUUUAAAAAAUUAUUUAGGAUAUAUAAUAUAAAACUAUAUAAAUUAAUUGUAAUACAAACCUAUGCAAAUAAAAUUUAUAUUAAACAUAAAAAAAAAACAAAGUUAAAUAAUAUUCAUUACAAACUGAAUAUGUUUCAAAAAAAAUAUUAAAUGAAGUUUUAAAGGUAAAUAAUGUUUAUUACAAAUUAAUAUAAAGGUGGAGCUGGAGGAGGAGGAGGAGAUCCUGGAGGAGGAGGCUGGAGGUUAUACAGCCAAAAAGGAUUAGGCGCACAUGUUCCACUAUUUGCCAUGUUCAUAACCAUUUCAUGAAGCUGUUCAUAAGCCGCUUUUUGUUGUUCAUACUCCGCUUUUUGUUGUGCUUGAGACGCUUUGAUUUGCUCAGACUCCGCUCUUUGUUGUGCAUAAGACGCUUUGAGUUGUGCGUACUCCGCUGAUAGGUGGUCGUAUUUGUCGGUGAGCUGAGCCGUGUGUUGCUGCAAUGCCACGAACUCCUUAGAUUGGGAGCUCGAUAUUGAUUGGGAGCUCCCAACGGUUGAAACACUACGGGUCGACCACAAGUUGUCGGCCAUUGUGUUGGAGAACCCGUAAACCCGAUUUUUAUCGGGUCCACCUGACGAGCCAACCUCCAUCCACAAAUUCAGAUCGAAUUUUGGAUGGGUCAAAAUAUCGUCCCCGUAUCUCUCCUUCAACCGAUUAUUAUAGGUCUCCUGAAAAUAAAAAAAAAAGUAAUCAUCAUAUUCAAUUCAAUAAACAUAAUAACUUACAUAAUAACUUACAAAAUAAAAUGGUCGAACAAACAUACCACGAAAUGUUGAGCACAGUUAUCAACGAACUGUUGCGCCCCCUUUUAGCGGUCAUGACUCCGCACGUGCGUCUCCACAAACAGCUCCAUCGGGCUCGGCUCACGUCCAAGAGACGCAGCCUAUAAUGAAAAAAGAUAUAUUAACAACAACUUAAUUUAAUGAAAUAUUUCAUUUAAAUUAAUCUUACCAUCUGUUUCACAUGUGCAGCAAACGAAACGGAGCCGCCAGUGUGCGUUGCAACCGAGCCAUGAAUUGGCCGAUUCCGGAUGCCAGCACCAGACUGUGAGCGUCGUGUGAACCGAUCAGACGUCACGUGCUCAAGAUAGUGCGGCCAUAUAUCUUCCAGGAUGUAUAUCGGUUUGAAAUCCCUCCAAACCGCAACAUCAUUCCAGCCUUGGAAACCCCUAUCCCUCACGGUUUGUUUUUCCCUUUUCUGUACUUCAUACCAAAAAUCACGCAACCUACUUCACGCAACCAAAAAUUACAUUUUGAAACAUAAAUUUUAGUCUAAAAAAAUCUUGUAUUUUUUUCGAUCUUACCUAGGUGCCGCGUGAUUUUCCCACACCCUCCUCACAACAGUGUUAUGCUCACUGUCCUAGCAGAAUUUGUGCUAUGUAUAAAUAAACAAGUUUAAAUAAAAACAAUAAUUUAUUUACAAUUAUAUUAAUAAUUUAUUAGAAAUAAGCUGAAAAUUAUAAAUUAACACCAACCUGAAAUCUGCCAAACAUGCAUUGAUUUGAGGCAUCCAUUCAGGAUGCUUGGACAUCUGACUCCAUUGAAACAAUGGAAUCUCCAUCGACGAUUUAAAUGCCGAUGAUAUUACUCGGGUGGCCUCAAUGUUUGUGAACCUGAAAAUAAAUGAAAUAAAUUAAAUAGUGAUUACUUCAUAAAUUAUGUUGUAAUUUUAAAAAAAAAAUUAAACCUUAACAAACUUAUAUUGAAAGGUCGUCCUUCCACUGUGCCUCGUACUUGCGGGUAAAUUGAUUCCACUGCGAAGGCACGCCGCCUCUGCGCUGUGAAGUACCGCUGGAAGAGGCAGCAUCGGUUGACGGCGCAGGUGAUGUAGGUGCCUCUCAAGGAAAUAUCAUCAUCGUUGCUAGACGAACUAGCUGCGACCGUACGUGAGCGACUAGCUCUGGUUUUCAUUCUACGCAUCUCCAUAAUUUUAUACAAAUAAUUAUAUAAUUGAAUUCAAAUGUUAAAAAAAAAUUCGACAGCACCUCCCCUAUACCGGAUACUACUCCCCUAUACUGGAUACUACCCAAAUCCACAAACCUGCACAUAUUAACAAAAGCCACAACCAAUUGACCCAAUCUAUACUAAUUAUUCCAACAUAUUCAAUUACUAAUCCUAAGGUAAAUUCAACAUUAAGAAUUACAAUUCAACAAAUUAUUCAAUAAUUAUGCCAAUACAACAAUAAAAUAUAUUCAAUAAAUAAAAAAAACUGUAGACUGACAAUUAAAAUUAAUUGAAAAAAAUUAAACAUAAAUCAUGCAAUAAUAGAGUAUAAUUAACAAUUAUUCCAAAAUAUUCAAUUACUAAUACAAAGUAAAUUCAACAUUAACAAUUACAAUUCAAAAAAUUAUUCAAUAAUUAUACCAAUACAACAAAACAAUAAAUUAAAAAAAAAACUCUAGAAUAACAAUCAAAAUAAAUGCAAAACAUUAAACACAAAUCAUGCAAUAAUAGAGUAAAAUUAAUAAUUAUUCAAACAUAUUCAAUUACUAAUUCUAUGGUAAAUUCAACAUUAACAAUAAAUAUUCAACAAAUUAACUAAUAAUAAUUAUGCCAAUACAACAAUAAAAAAUAUUCAAUAAAUUCAAAAAACAAAUUAUAGACUUUAGCAAUGAAUUAUGCAAAAACAACUAUAGACUUUAUCUACAUUACAAAAAAUACACCAAAACAAAAAACAUACCAAAAACAAAUAGCAAAAAAAAAAACCCUUAAAGCAAAAAACAUACAUACCUUUUAAACUGAUGGAGAUUCAUGAGAAAAAUUGCUAGAGAUUGCUGGUGAAACCUUUGAAGAACGGAGAGGAAAAGAAUCGGUGAAAAACUGAGGAGAAAAUUGGUGAAAAAACUGAGGAGAAGAAAAAAUGAACUGAAACGGCGGAUGGGGGGACUUAUAUGGCAGUUUUACCGACGGAUUCACCGAUGGAUAUAAAAUUAAUUAUUAUUUUAAUUUAUUCCGUCGGUGAAGUGUCCAAAAUCCGUCGGUAAAUGUUGAAUUUCGCACCAAAAUUUUUAAUGACCCUCCAUAUUUUUCGUGGUCCGUCAGUAAUUCCGUCAGCGAGCUGACGCGGUCACAGAUGCAUUUAAUGCACAACCCUUUGGAAUUCGCGCGGUCCGUCGGUAAUGGCGUCGGUAAAAUUGACCCGCCGACAACUUGCCGACGUACUUAUAUCCGUCGGUAUAGUCGUCGGUGAUUGUGGCAUUUCAAGUAAUUAUUUUCGAACUCCCUGUGAAAUGCCGACGGACUUAAUCCGUCGGUAUGCACGACGGUGAAUAUGGCAUUUCAAGUAAUUAUUUUCGAACUCUUUGUGAAACGCCGACGGACUUAGUUUGUCGGUAUCGACGUCGGUGAUUGUGGCAUUUCAAGUAAUUAUUUUCGAACUCUCUGUGAAAUGCUGACAGACAUAUAUCCAUCGGUACGGACGUCGGUGAUUGUGGCAUUUCAAGUAUUUAUUUUCGUGUUACAAAAUAUAUCAUCCAUGAUCUAUAAUUAUUUCAAGUAAUUAUUUCGUGAUUGUGGCAUUUCAAGUAAUUAUUUCAAGUAAUAAAUAUUUCGUGUUACAAAAUAUAUCAUCCAUAAUCUAAAUUACAUGAAAGAAAGGGUUUUACACAGGGCUUAAAUUUGAUUGUUAGUCAGAAUUUUCUUCUUCUUCGUCAUAAAUUGAAUUGUCAUCACCCUCAUCGCAAUCUUCAAUAUGGAUAUUGUCUUCUUCAUCCACAUUUGCUUGUCCGCUAGAGCUUAAAACAACAUUCAACUCCUCUGCGUCAACAUCAACAAGACUAUCAUCGAAAACACAAAAAAUUGAAUUUUCUUCCAAUUCAAUCGAAGGAGCAACUCGAUAUGGUUCAACCAGCUCACUAACUUGAAAGACUUCAUCUCGCACACUUGUGUCUUCGUUCUCAUCCUGAACAACCUCGACACGACCCCGGGGUUUUGUUUUUAAAACGGACAACCAAUCCACUCUUGAUUGAUCCUUUCUAAAUGAAGGGGUGUAUGUGUAAUAAACUUGUUGACAUUGCUUUGCGAAAACAAAGACAUCGUUUAUGUUGCGGAGUCUAGCUUUUGAGUUGAUUUCGACCAGACCAUAGUGCGGAUCAACUCUGAUUCCUCUGUCAGUCGUGUCAUACCAAUAGCAUUUGAAUAAAAACACUCUAUUCUGUUCGUUAUGAUAUUGCAGUUCGACGACCUCUUCUAAUCUACCAUAGUAGUCAACUUCUAACUCAUUACUAGUGGAUCCCUUAACACAAACACCGCUGUUGUAUGUCUUUCUUCCUUGCCCAUAUUCUUCAGUAUGGAAAACAUAUCCAUUGACAAAAUACCCAUUGUAGAACUUACAUUUUCUUCUAGGCCCAGGCUUAGUGAAGACAAUGACUUAGGCGCACUCAUUUCCAUUUGAUAAACCUUGUAUGUAAUGUACAUCAAUAAACAGUAAAUGAAUGAGAAUCUCGUAAUGACAUGCAUACGUACAGUAAUUUUGCAAGCUAGGAUGAGUUUGUGAUAGUGCUUACAUGUGUUCUGAACCACGUGGCAAACUGUUCAUCUUGUAAUUGAAAGAUCUGGGAUUCGGUCAGCUAUGAGUUAUUGGAGAGCAAAUAUUGUCGAUGUUGCCUACAAGUGAUGAUGAGUGUAUGAUAUUACAAUAUAUAAUUAACAGUAUAUUACUAACAAAGUUUAAUUAGUAUAAACUUACUGAAUAAAAGGUCUCAGCUCAUCACAGUAAAUAGAACAUAGUUGUGUGCUUGUUUGAACUCUAUUUCCGAAAAAUAUCUUCCUCUUACGACAUUUUUAGGUGUGGGUCGUCCAGUAUUGGAGAAUAUUGACAAGUUCCCACUGGAAGGCACUUCACCGCCAUCAUCAUGCAGUGGAACGCGAUUGAUUCUCGUUCUCAGAUGAGGUUUGAAAUAGUACAAGAUAAAUGUUGAGAUCUCCUCAACAAUAUAGGCCUCACAUAUCGAAGCCUCAACAUGCGCCUUGUUCUUAACCUUUUUCUUGAGAUUAAACAAGUACCUGCAUUGAAAUAUUAAUCAAGUAUUUUCAAUUAAGAAAAACAUAUAAAAUACUUUUAUAUAUGAAUUACAUUGCAACUGUAAUAUCUAAUCGUUCGAAUGGGUACAUCCAUCUAUAUUGGACCGGUCCUCCAGCUUUUGCCUCGAACGGUAGAUGUAUAGGGAGAUGCUCCAUUAAGUCAAAAAAUGAUGGAGGGAAUAUCAUCUCAAGUUUGCAUAGUGUCUCGACGAUAUUCGUUUGAAGCCUCUCAAUGUGAUCAACAUUCAACUUGCUGGAGCAUAUAUCUCUAAAGAAAUGACUGAUCUCCGUGAGUGCAUCCCAUAUUCCCUUUGGCAACAAAUCACGAAAAGCUAAUGGGAUGAGUGUUUGCAUAAACACGUGGCAGUCAUGACUCUUCAUUCCAUACAAUCUGCAGUCCUCUAUAUUAACCAACCUUGAUAUGUUCGAUGCAUGUCCAUCCGGAAAACGCAGACUCUUAACCCAUUUGUAGACUAGUAGUUGUGCGUUUUUCUCUAACACAAAGCUUGCUCUUGGUUUUGCGACCCGUGACUCAUCAUAAACCAACUCCAUAUUUUUACGGUUACAGUAUAAAGCUAUAUCCAAUCUAGCCUUGAUGUUGUCCUUUGUCUUCCCCUUCACAUCCGUGAUGGUGUUGAAAAUGUUCUCAAACAUGUUCUUUUUGAUGUGCAUGACGUCAAGGUUAUGGCGGAGCAGAUUGGUCUUCCAAUAAGGAAGCUCCCAAAAGAUACUUCGCUUUACCCAAUUAUGGGUCAAACCAAAACCGGGAAACUUUUGCUUACCUGAUUGAAGGCCAAACACAAUGUCACCGUACUCUGAGACAACAUCAUACAAUUCUUCACCAGAAAGAUGCGGGGAUGCAACAUCUUUUUCAACUCUGCCAACAAAGAAAUCUUUUCUGUUCUUUCUGUACCUGUGAUUAAGUGGCAAGAAGCAACGGUGACAGUCAAAAAAAGAAGCUUUACCUCCAUUUGCUAGCGUGAAUGCCUUGUUGUUUUCCAUGCAGUAUGGAUAUGCGAGUAUCCCAUGCGUGCUCCAACUAGAAAGCAUUCCAUAAGCUGGAAAAUCAUUGAUAGUCCACAUCAAAGCCGCCCUCAUAAGGAAAUUUUGUUUCCUCGAUAUAUCAUAAGUCAGAGCUCCGAAGGACCACAACUACGCCAACUCAUCAAUCAACGGUCGAAGACAAACAUCUAUAUUCCGCCCCGGGCUGCUUGGACCAGGUAUGACAGUAAAUAAAAACAUGAACUCCGACCUCAUACACAUUCCCGGUGGAAGUUAUAAACUGUGAGUAUGACCGGCCAACAAGAAUAAGGAGCAGCAAAUGACCCAAAUGGGUUGAAUCCGUCUGUACACAACCCAAGACGCACAUUCAUUGAUUCAGCUGAAAAGUGAGGAUGGACACUGUUAAAGCGUUUCCACGCUUCGCCGUCAGAAGGAUGAACCAUCACUCCAUCAACCGCAUGGUGUGCUUGGUGCCAUGUCAUGUGCUCAGCAGUCCUUGGUGACAUGAAUAACCUCUGCAGUCUAGGUGUGAUCGGGAAGUAUCUAAGUUUUUUAUAUGCCACUAGAGUCUUUCCCCUGCCAGUUCUAGGUUUGUAACGGGAAUGCCCGCAUGUCAUGCACUCAGUCAUCUCAGCAUUUUCAAGGUAGUAUAACAUGCAGAAGUUAGGGCACAUGUUAAUUUUCUGGUAUCCUAAACCGAUGGGUUUCAUCAUGGACUUCGCAGCAUAGAAGUUCUCUUUCAGCCUGUUCUCUUCAGGUAAAAUGCUUCUUGCCCAUUCAAUAAUCGUGGGAUACCCGGCCUCACUCAACCCGUGAUCUGACUUGAUGGUGAACACCUGUGCUACGACCGAUAAUUUACUGUGAUUCGUGCAGCCAUCCCAUAAUGGUUCGUCAGAAUCUUUCAACAAAUCAAAAAACCUAGCUGCAUCUACAUUAGGUUCUUCUUUUACGAUUGGACAUUAACUGACAUUACCUUGAUUCAUUCUCAUUGCAUCCAUAACCAUAUUUCUGUAAGGAUUAGUGUUGUCAUUUGCCGCUUCAUGCACGUUGCUAGCACUAGAAGUAGACCUAACCACCGUUUCUUCCAUUCUCCUCUCACUAACAUAUACUUCUCCAUGUGCAUACCAACAAUGGUAAUUCUCCAUAAACCCUUUGUGUAGAAGAUGCAUCAUUACAACAUCUGGAUGCAUAUACUUUUUAUUUUGACACUUCCUGCAUGGACACCUAAUACCGCCUCCAGUAAAAUUUCUAGGAAUAGAUGUUGCGAAAUUAAUAAAACCCUGAACCCCGUUACAAUAAUACAUCCUCCGCAAUCCUUGGGGUGAAUCUCGAUACAUCCAUGAUUUAUAUCGAACCUCUAUAAAAUUAUGAUGACAUCAUGUAUUAAUUAACUAAGUUAGGUAAAUAAACUUGCAAAAAUAUUACUUUACCUCGAGAUUAUCCAACAAACAAAUCACAACUUCUCAUAAAUAUUAAAUAUUCAUUAUCAUUUAUCAACGUCCAUACAAAUUAAAAUAUAUAAAUUUACAGAAAUUACCACUCCGCAAUACCAUUGAUAAAACUUUAAACGGACCCAUUAAGCAAGCUAUUAAUUAUUUCAAAACAGCACAUGUACUUCGGUAGUUCCAUAAAGUUUUAACAAUUUACAAACAAAUACAAUCUUACAAAAUCUAAAACAAACCAUAACAGGUAUAGAAUUAUACAUUCAUAUACUACAAGUUUGUUUGAGAAAUAACAAUAAAACAUGUACAUCUACUAACAAAAUACAUAUACUAAAAAAACAAUAAAAUUGACAUUUAAUUAAAUGUUAAAAUUUAAAAAGAUAGAAUUACUUACAAAAAUUGAUAAAAUCCGUCGGUAAAUUAGAACACGGAUGCUGUGACCACAAAACUUCAAGAAAUAUAACUUGUUGUGCUGAUAUGAGGGAGAUUUUUGUUUGGGGGGGGGAGGGGGGGUUGGUUGUUUGCAAAUGGGGAGAGUUGGGAUUGGGAAGAAGAAGGAGAAAUAGGGGAGGAGAGCGUCGGUAGAUCGAACAUAUAUUAACUUUUCCCGACGGUUUCACCGACGGACACUCCGUCGGUGAAACCGUUGAUGAUUCUGACGGAACAAUCGACACGUCACCGUACGAAUCUGCCAUUUCAAAUCCGUCGGUGAUUCUGUCAGCAAUAUAAACGGUGGUCACUGUACAAGUUGUCUUUUUGAAUCCGUCGGUGAUCCCGUCUGAAAAAAUAACCCGCCAAAACCUCCACGUCAGUGACCCGCCUUUUUUUUACGAGGGAAACUUUUCCGUCCGUAAUUCAGUCGGUAACUACCGAUGGAAAUUUUCCGUCAAUAGUUACAGACUGAAUUACGAAUGAAAUAUUGUCCAUCGGUAAUUUCAACCUCAAAUUACCGACAGAAAUAUUCUGUCGGUAAAUCCGUUGCUAUUUAGCGAAUUUUUGGUAGUUAACACUAGUUUUUCGAAUAAAACACAAUUAAAAAAAAAUAUUUUUUUAUUUUUAUUUUGCCGGGUCGAGCCCGGUUCAAUGCAUUUUUAGCUUUGGACCGGACCUGAUCCGGCCGGAACAAUGGAGAAUGCCUCCACUGUUCAUGUGAACAGUAGAGCCAUGCUCAACUGUUCAGUGAUUCCUCCCCCAAAAGAAACAGCAAAAUUGUGCUUCUACAAAACCUGUAGCAUAGCCAUAUUUCUGGUGGGUUCUACAAGCAUAAACUUGUGUUUUUUCCUUAACCAAACAGUAAUAUCUGUGGCUGCGAAUGAACCUCACCCACGACCACACUACCAAACGGGCGGCAUCUUUAAUUUGUUCCUUUUACUUAAUAAGUGUUUGUUUUUUUCUUCUCAAAAACAGAAAACCACCUUCGAUAUGCAGUGCAACAUUUCAUGCCCCAAGUUAGCUAGCUGCUUCAAAACCCUGAAAUAUUGGAAAUUAAAGUUUGCUGGUAGUAAUUUUAGGUUAUAUCUUUGUGAACAUCUUGGAUUCAAUUUGCCAAAUUCUCAGUUAUUCUUGAAUUAACAUAAAUCUUGCAACUCAAGAUAAUUCUUAUUAAUUUUUUUUACAAAGACUUAUUUUUAUUAAUUUAUAUUUUGGAUUUUAUAUAUUUCCUUUUAUUUUUUAGUUAAAUAUAUUUUUAUUUUUUUUACUAAUUAAUAAACUUCUAUACUUUUCUCUUAGAUGCACCAACAAUUUUUAUUAUUAAUAACUUUAUAUUUACAACUAUAUAAACACACACACACACACACACACAUAUAUAUAUAUAUAAUCACUUACUCCAAAAUUGGACUUGCUUCGUUUGUAACUGGUUUGAGACAAAAAUAAUAAAAUUUAAUUCUACAUUCCUAAUUAUGCUCUGCAAAUUACAAACAAUAAAGAUUAAUAAAAUUAUAUGCCAAAAUUAUUUUUCUUUGUUAUUUCUAAUUGGCCCAACUUUAUCUUAAGAAUCCACCCAGGACUUGCAAUUUAUAACCCCAAGCCCUUGGAAACUUUAGAGAUUAUACAAAUGCCCCUUCUAGUCCUAGAUUCAUUGCAACACAUGUAGUGAAAAGAGAGAAACAAACAAGACGAUUUAGCCAAAAACCUCAAAGAAGGUUUAUGCAGGGUUUAAGGCGGCCGGUAUGCUAAUACCACUAUCAUACCCUCUCUAUGAACUCAUUUCCUUUCUCAAAUUGCAUUACCCGCGCAUUUUAAUUCAUUUCUCAAUCACUUCAAUUCCAUUUCUUUUUUUCUUUUUUCUUUCUCAUUUCCUUUAAUUAGAGUGCCAACUCCCGUAUAUUUUCUACCAAAAAUUUUGAUCCUUUGAUUACUUUUGAUAAGAAACCCACAAUUCUAUCUCUAAACCAUCCACAGUUAUGUGGAGAAACGUCGCAAAACAAGCCACUUUGAAAUCCCAAUCAAAGUCCCUCAAUUUCCCUUCAUUUCCAAGAACUUACAGCUUUUUAGGAGCCUCUAAAGAACCCAUCUUUUUUGAGAAACUUAAGUUCCAUUCGCUUAAUAACACAAGUCCACGACUGAGUUUUCGAGCAAUUGGCGAAAUAUCAACCCAUGAAGAUUUUAUGGGAAAACCCCGUUUUAUUUUUUUGAGAAAUAGUGAUAGUACUAAUGGGAAUCGGUGUGCUGGAUUUUGUCCAAGAGGGUAUGUGAGUGUAGUUGAGGCAGUGUCAUCAACAGAUGUUGAAGAUAAUGUGUAUGGUGCGGAUGAAGUGCAAGAAUUGCUGCCAGAAAUGAGGAAAGAAGAGGAGAAAGAGGAGCACUUUAGGAGGAGGCUACAUGCUAACCCUGGAAUAGGGUCAAGGAAGCAUAGGGUCUUAAGGAGAAGGCAAGUGAAGAUUGAGGCGGAAGCAUGGGAACUGGCAACGAAAGAAUAUAAGGAGCUUUUGAAGGAUAUGUGUGAGCAUAAGUUGGCUCCUAAUUUGCCAUAUAUGAAGAGUUUGUUCCUUGGUUGGUUUGAGCCUUUUACAGAUGCAAUUGCGAAAGAGCAGGAGUUGAUUAGAACGGGGAAGAGUAGGCAGGGUUAUGCUCCGUAUUUUGAUCUGUUACCAGCUGACAAGAUGUCUGUUAUUGCAAUGCAUCAACUCGCAGCAAUGGUAAUGACAGGUAGGGAAGAUGGAUGUGCAAGAGUUGUGACUGCUGCUUGUAUGAUUGGUGAUGCAAUUGAGCAGGAGGUAAGUAAUUUUUAAUGUUUUAUUUGUUUAUUUUUACUUGCGGUUUGAUUUGUAGACAGAGGAUAAUGAGUGCCCAUAUAAAAAUAUUGAAAGAUAAGGGAAAACAUAAAGUUUCUUAAAUUUAAUUUUAGACAACCUUCAUCUGAGGUGAUGAACUAGGAAGAAAGAUGAAAGUUACUAUGUACAAUUAUGAGAUAAAAAUCAGCUAUGGAGCUAGUAGUGCCUGGAAAAUUAGAUUUUGAAGUUACGUUCCGUAAAGUUUUGUCGAAUGUUGAAUGGGGUUUUUCUGGAUUUCUUUUUUAUAUAUCUAUAGUUUUUACUUUCAGUCCAAGUUCUUCUGCUGUUCAUGGUUCCAGGGAGGACACUAAAUGUAGGUACGAAAAACAAUGUAGUGUAAGAUCCUUUAGAUACUAAGUUUUUACAAUUUUUUCAUUAUGUGUUAAACUUUUCAUAUCACGGGCCUUAUUAGGCUGAAUAUUCUAUUACGCCUUUCUUUUUUGAGCUACAAUUUCUUCAAAGCAUGGGCAUGGUGGACUCAUAAGAGUGACAUUCAACUUUCCAUUCUUAAUCCAUUUUUUGGACCUCCUACCUCUUCAGUCUUGUUCUCUUUCUUUGAACUGAGGACUGAAUCUGUAACAGUUUCUGUGAUGAAACAGAUUAGAAUACACAAUAUCUUGGAGAAAACAAGGAAGAAAAAGGAAAAGGCUAAUGAUAGCAAGAAUGGUGUAGAAGGUGAAUCCCCUGCUGUCAUGGAGGAACAAGAAAACCUAAGAAAAAAGGUUACUGAUUUGAUUAAAAAACAAAAGCUGCCAGCUGUGAGGAAGAUUGUGAAGGGGAAGGAUGAUUCAAAACCAUGGAAUGCAGAUGCUAGGGCUAAGGUUUGUGUGCUUGUAAUCAUUGAUAAAGGCUAAUUUUCUUGAACAAAUGUAUCGUGUACGAAUUUGAUUUCUGUCCUUGCACUUUGCAGGUUGGAAGCCGUCUAAUUGAAUUGCUGUUACAAACAGCUUAUAUACAGCCUCCCUGUGAUCAGUUAGCUGAUACUCCAUCUGAACCUCGACCUGCAUUUUUACAUACAUUCAGAACUGUGUCGUAUGAAAAUAAGCAUGGAGUCAUUCUUUAAUUGACUCGAUGAGCUCAAUUUAUAUUUUCUUCCUUGUAAUUGCUUCUGACUGAUGCACAAUGGCCUUUUCUCAAACAGGAAGGGCGCAAAAAAAUAUGGUGUUAUUAAAUGUGACCCACUAGUCCUCAAAGGCCUAGAGAAAACUGUGAGUAACCCUGUCAAAUUUUGUUCUUCUAGUGAUAUCUAGUUUUCAUAUUUUAUCAUCCUUUAUGACAUGAACUUGUGUCGGGGUGCCAUAGACUUUCAAAGCAGAUAGGUUAGUUUCUAGAUUUUAGAGCUGAAACAGAUAAGAUUUGUAGGCAAUUUCCAUGGUGCUUCUUAAGUUGCAGAUGUUUGUCUUUCAUUCUUUUUUCUUGCACAAGAAGUCAUAAAAAUGUUGUUUCUCCAAACAGGCUAGGCACGAGGUGAUUCCUUAUAUGCCAAUGUUGGUGCCACCACUUACAUGGAGAGGGUAUGUUAACUUGUUUUAUAUUUACAGUUUUUCCACGAUUGUCUUGUUUUAAUUUUAUAUUUUUUAGUUGGAUAUAUUCCAAGUUCAGAAAUAUUAACAUAGUGUUUUGGUUACUUCUGCUUGAUGCCUGGAGCUGUUUUCAAUUUUCAUGUCAAGUUAAAUACUUAAAAUGGUAUAAUAGAUGAAGGGAUGAAUAUCUGAUUAUAAAGGCUGGAAUUCCAAUCCAAUUUCAGUUAAUUGAAAUUAAUAUUUCAGCAUGUUUCAAGGCUCUGCCUCUCCAUUUCUGUAACCUGCAUUGGAAGGGAAACUAAUUGUCUUGCAGGUGUUUAUUGAAAACAUGGUGAAUGUGAGAUAUGAGAUGGAAGGUUUUGUCUAGGAUUCUCAACAAAACAGAGAACAGUGUCUUUAAACAUUGAAGAGCAUUUGCUAAUCACAACCAUGUCUAAUACGGGAAAAUUAACAUUAUUGCCACAGGCAGGAGAAUUUAGAGAUUGCUAUGGAAUUCUUUAUUAUAAUGUUUUUGAUGUUAAAGGGAGAGGUAUACUUCAUGGAAAAGAAUGAUUGGCAGUUAGAGAUAAAAUAUAGAGAAAGAAAAGGUGUUAGGUUUUCUUCAAGGAUGCUGUGGUGGAUUAUUUUAGCGGAAGAAAAGAUAAGAGUAGCGAAUUGUUGUUUUCAUGUGAAGUCAGACACCUAGUUAAUUUAGGAUUAGGAUAGUACAUAGAGAACUUGAUUGAAGUAGUUCAGUUUCUUUAGGUGAUGAUUCAUAGAUAGGUAUUUAUUUUAAAUUUCAAAUGUGCCAGAAGUGCAAGGAGACAAUAGAUGAUUACAUGGGCAAAAUGGCACAGACGGAUCUCUGCAGUCAAACUGAGAUUUUUGAACCUUAUUGUUUCGCAAGUUAGUUAGGAUAUGUUUUUCAUGGACUUUGGUUAAGUUUUUCAUGAAUAGGUGAUCACAAUCCUCAUUGGAAAAACUACACAUGCUUUGGAAUAUGAAGAGGCCUCUAUGGCAGCUUCUGCCAUUCAACCUAUUGCCUUUAAAUCUGAUAAGCUCCCUAGCGCUUUUGGUUGUAAAUUGCCCAUUAGGACUGAGAUUCCUGGACACACUUUCUAUCUACAAAAAGAAAAGAUUUAAACCAGUGAUUGCACUCUGAAUAUCUUAAUUUGAUCAGAUUGAGCAUCAGACGAAAACCAUUCCAUGAAUUGGUUUUGGGGAAAGAGCACUUUGUUUACUAGCAAGUUUAUAGGGGGUCUUGGCUCUUUCACUCAAUCAUCAUGCAAGUUGCAGGAGGCACAUUAGCAUAGUCCCCACUAAAAUUAAUUUUAGAUCCUUGUAUACAAAUUUGGAAGAUACAAAUUCUUCAUACAUGUUCCUUACAUAUGCUACUUUAAUCUGGAAUUUAAUGAGUUUGUGGUUGGAUUCUGGUUCCCAUGUAGUUGUAGCAACUCUUAACACCACUAUAGCUUCUAGUAACAAAUCAGGACCUGGCAUUUAAGUAGCUUUUUGGUGUGUUCUAAGCUCUUCUUAGAUAAUUGUGUCAUAGCUCUCUUACUCGUGUCGAGCAUAACCUCAAUGCCCUUUGCAGUUAUGAUAAAGGAGCUCACUUGUUCUUACCAUCCUAUGUCAUGCGGAUACAUGGUGCUAAACAGCAACGUGAAGCAGUUAAGACGGCACCUAGGAAGCAGCUACAACCAGUUUUUGAGGUCUGUACAUAUUAGAUGCAUUGCAUGGUUACUGAUGCAUAUUUUAUUGUUUGAACUAAAUCAUCUUUUGGUACUAACAUGUGAUGUUCUUUGAACAAAAUCUCAUACUGAUAAUUUUGUAUACCUUCACAUGCUAUCACAUGUGUAGAUUUUACCAGCUUAGCUUCUGGUUUAACAAGGAUUCUCUUUUGUUUGAAUUAAUUUUCCAGGCCCUGGAUACACUAGGGAAUACGAGAUGGAGGGUAAAUAAGAGGGUACUUAGUGUUGGUGAUAGAAUAUGGAGUAAUGGAGGCUGUCUUGCUGAUUUGGUAGACCACAGUGAUGUGAGUAUCUUUUCGAAUAUUUCUUUUGAAGCUUUUGAAAAGAAAUAUUAACAUUUAUCAUUCAUUUAUGCACUUUUGACCAAAUUUUUCUUUUGCUUUUUUAUGUUGUCCCACUGAGAAGACCUUUUUUGUUCUUUUGUGUGAAAAAAAAAAACUAAAUAAACUAAUUUCAGUUUUUAAAUUCUAAAACAGAUUGAACCAGAUGAAGUCAUAGACUAGUCAUUAUUAUUAUAUUCCCAUUAUUAUUUAUUAUUCUAUAGAUUUUUCGAAGCUUUUGAAAAGAAAAAUAAACAUUGAUCAUUCAUUCACUUUUGAAAAAAAAUUCUUUUGCUUUUUUAUGUUCCACUGAGAUGGCCUUUUUUUUUCUUUUGUGAAUUAUGAUUUGACGUCAAACCAGAUGGAUUAUCAGCUGCAGCCACAAUUAUUUGAUGCAUAGCAAAAUAAUUAUUCAGAAUCACGGUACCUUGGCAGUCCUUUCCAGCCAAAUUGAUGCGUUGCGUGCUAAUCCGAUGAAAAUCAAGAUCCCAAAGAGGGUGAUGCAGCUGAUGGUUGGUUCUCUUCCUUCUUGUGAGUUUUUACAUAAUAAAAUAGCGGCCUUAAUUACGAGAGUACUUCCAUUUUUACAUGAAAAAUGGCUGCGAUUUCCUUUCGUUAUUUAUUAAUCUCUAUCACGACCACAAAAUUACUAAACGCCGACCGAAUAUGAUACAAAAGUGCACUAAUUUUUUUUGGUUUAUUAAAGAUUAUUGGAGUGCAUCUUCCUUGGAUAAUUGUAGACUUUAUUUUCCUAAUUAAUAAAAAAGAUUUUUAUCCAUUGUGGUAGCUUUAAUGCUUUAUAAAUAAAGUAUUGAUCAUAAGAAUUCUAUCAUCCUUACUUUUUCUUGUUGUCGAUUUCAAUGGCCAGUGAAUCUAACUAUAACAUCCGAAGAAUAUAUUGCUUUAGUCAUAAUCUGGUCAUAGAUGAUUUCCCCAUCACAAGCUAUAAGUGCCUCUAUAUAUAACCCUAAUCCCUUCUCUAUGCUUCUUGACAGCUUAUUAAAAAAGGUUCAAGAUUGGGAAUAACAGGUUUGCUCCCUCUGUGAUCUCAGGUUCGAGUCCUGUGGUUCAAGGGCGAAGCUAGGAUUAUUUGAUAGGGGGGCCAAAAUAAUAUAAAAAUAUAUAAUUUUUUUUAAUUUAUUGUAUAUGAAUUGUUAAAAAAAAACUGCAUGAUUUAGUUUUAUUUAAAGAAGUAACUACAAACAUAUGACAAUUUUUGUAUAAGAUAAGAGGUUUAAAACAAUAUCAAAUUGAGUCAAAGUUAAGAAGUUAAUUUCAUCUUCAUAAUAUAUUCAUCACUUUAAUUUUGUUGGUCUUUGUACCUAUCAAAUAUAAACAUACAAAAUAUAUAAGAAACAUUAGCUAAAGCGAUGCAUUAUUUAUGUUUGAUAAAACUUUGAAAUAAAGUAAAAAAUAAUAAAGAAUGAUUCUUACAUAUUUAUUUUAAUUGUGCUCGUCGUUCUUUCAUAGAGUAGAAAUCAUCGAUUAUUAUAUCACUUGUGAAUCUUUCAGCAAUUUCUUUUUCUAUAUAGACAAUCAAAUAAUUUGCAAGAAAAUCAUCCUCCAUCCGAUUGCGAAGUUUUAUUUUAACAAUCUUCAUCGCUGAAAAAGCUCGUUCAGUAGUUGCUGUCGAAACAGGAAGAGUUAAAAUAAGCCGAAUCAACCUGUCAACAAGUGGAUAAAUUGUUGAUUUUUCUGUUUCAACCAAUCCUUGACAUAAUUCAGCAAUCGAUGACAUAUUCUUUAACUUUGGAUGAUUGGGUACAUCAAGCUCAUAAUGCUGCAACUGAAAUCUCAAAUGAGUUUUUUCUUGGUCAGAAAAGUCUUCAGGAUAGAACUUGUCAACAAGUAAGCAUAUAUCUUCAACAUUGAAUAAUUUAUAGUUAUUUUUAGGAUCUAAAGCUGUGCUCAACUUAAGAAGCUCGAUUGCCUGCUCAUUGAAUCUAUUAUUUAGCUCUUGCAACUGUUGAUCAAUGAUAGCUGUAAACAUAUCAACUCGAUAGUGAUGCUCAACUGUUAUUGAUUUUGUUUUACGGCGAGAUCGUCCCACACUAGAAAAACAAGCAUCCAUAUCAGGAACUUCAAUGUCUUGAUGCUUACAAAAUGAUAUCACUUCUUCUAAAAGAGUUUCCCAGCCAUCAUCUCUUAACUUCUGAAUUAAAGUCUUUGUGGUAGUCACCAAAUGCAUAGCAUUUAAAAUGUCUUGAGAUUUCUGUUGCAAAGCUUGGCAAAGCACAUCAGUAAUUCCCAUAACAUUCUUCAUUAUAUGCAAGAUGAAUGCAAAAUCAAAUGACAUUAGCAACUUAAAUGAAAAAGCUGCAUCACCACAUUGAGAAUAAGUAGAUCCAUCUAAAGCGAUGUUUUCAAGAACCAAGCAAGUUGCCCCAUACAUUUUUAUCAAACUGCAAAUUGAUUUGAAGUGCGAACUCCAUCUGCUAUCUCCAGGUCGUUGCAAACCACCUACUUGAUUAACUCCUUUACCCGUUUCAAUCUCACCAAUAUCAACUAAAUGUUCAAUUGUAGCUGCUUGAAAAGCCCGCAAUUCAUCAUUACGCUUGCAAGAAGCACUAACAAUGUUAAUAAUAAAAAUCAAGUUCUGAAAGAAAGUGUGAACAUCAGAUAUUUCUCUAGCUGCAGCAAUAAGAGCCAAUUGUAAUUGAUGAGCUAAGCAAUGUACAUAAUAUGCAUAAGGGCCAUCAUUAAUGAAUAAAGCUUGCAAUCCAUUCCACUCUCCACGCAUAUUACUAGCACCAUUAUACCAUUGGCCCCUAAUAUUUUGAACAUCAAGAUUGUGAUGAUAUAAAACAAAGAAAAUCUCUUUCUUAAGAGUUGAAGCAGUUGUAUCUUUGACAUGAACUAUAUCCAAAAAUCGUUCUCGUAUAAAUCCACUUCUAUCAACAAACCUUAUAACAAGGGCCAUUUGCUCUCUUCUAGAUUCAUCUCGAGCUUCAUCAACAAUUAAGCAAAAUCUUGCAUCACCAAUGUCAUGACGAAUUGAAGACUGAACAUUUCUAGCAAAGACAUGCAAAAUUUCUUUUUGAAUUUGAUGCGAGGUGUAUUUAGCAUUUUGUGGAGCAUUAUUCAAAACAAGAGCACCUACUUGUUCAUUGUAUGAUGCUAAAAGUUCCAACAUUUCAAGAAAAUUACCUCGGUUUUUUUAUUCUGGACGUUCAUCAUGUCCUCUAAAAGCACAUGCUUGAAAUGUGAGCCAACGAACAAUAUCUAUUGAAGCUUUAAUACGCAAUCGAUUAUUUAGAAUUUCUUGAGUAGUUUGCCUCUUAACUACCUUCUCAAUAUGACAUGACUGAUUUCUCAAAUUUUCCAAGCACCUGGUAGCAAAUCUAUGAGCUGAAUUCGGAUUUUUUCCCAUAUGAGUUAAAAAAGCACAUCGUUCCCCGUCAUUAACUUUCUUCCAACAAUUGAAUCCUUUAAUAGUAAAUGUGUCUGAUCUUGGCUUUCCAGAUGACUUACUUGAAAAUAGAUAGCAAGGGAAACAAAAUGCAGUAUUUUUCUCUGAAUAUUCAAGCCAUGGAUAACUUUUGAACCAAUGAAACUGAAAUCGACGAGGAUGUUUUUUACCAGUCAGCGGAUAUUCAGACAUCAAAGGUUGAUAUGGCCCCAAAUUAAUGUAUGCCCUUCUAAUUUCAUCUUGUUGAUUAACCGGGUAUUCCCAAAUUUGAGGACGAUUGCUUGGAUCUCUAAUCAGAUGAGUAGUGUCGAUUCUAGUUGGAGGCCGCUCGUUAAUCAAUGCAGGUUCUUCAUAAACUGAAGCAUAUUGGAGUUGUUCAACUAUAACUUCAACAUUACACAUUGGAGUUGAUUCACUAGGCUGUGAGUUAUCAAUAUUUUUUCUCUUUUUCUCAAAAAAGGAAUCAAUUCUUCUUAUUUUGUUCAUGGUUCAACCUAAAAUCAAAACAUCAUAAAUUUUUAUUGUUUCCUAUUUAAAAAAUAAAUACAAAUAACAAUGUAUUGAAGCAAUAAUCAGAACCAAAAAUAAAUUUUUACAUGUAAACAACACUGACAUAUAAAAGUAAAAUUAACAUAUUAAAAAAAGAAAUUGAUAUAUAAAAGCAUAUCUAACAUAAAAAAUGGGAUUACUGGUUCCUAAAUAAGAAAACUUACACUGAAUCAAAGUUGGGUAUACGCUCUUCAAAGAACUCAAUUUGGCUAGAAAGAUCGUGUCUAAUUGUAUAUUGGACCUGGUGAUAGUAAGGUACACGUGAGAAAAAAUUGAUAAUUUUGGUGGCUCUGCUAAAAACAAAACAUAAAAAAAUCCAAGCAUAAUCGAAACAAACAAACCCAUAAAAUAUAUCCAAUUAAUUAGAAAAAACAAUAUUCACUAUAACAAGAAAUAAAAAAUGGUAAAACUAGUAAAUUUGAAAAAAAAAGCAGAAUUAUAUAUAUAUAUAUAUAUAUAUAUAUAUAUAUCAAAUUCUUAACAAACAUAAAAAAAAAAAAAGAAUUACUAAUUACCUUGAUGAAGAAUUAAUUGGCAGCAGCUUUGCUUUACCUUUAUGCUUUGUAUUAGUAAUAUUUUCGGUUAGGGUUGCAGAGAAGAAAGAGAGAGAGGUAGUAAAGGAAGGGAAAAAAAGUAAAAAGCUUAUUUGGCCUUUUAUAUAGAGAUACGGAGAUAUGGCUUUAAAAGCAAACAUAACUAAUAAAAUAAUAAUUUAGUAUUAAAUAGUCUAUUAUUUAUUAUAUUUAAAAAAAAAAUUUUGCAGGGGCCGGGCCCCUGCUGGCCUCCCCUUGGUUCUGCCGCUGCUGUGGUUGCUCAUAUAAUGGUCACUGCAGGUUUACAUGGUCGUUAACUUUAGGGCAUGUGAGAUUAGUCGAGAUAUGCGCAAGUUGGCCCGAACAUCCACAUUAAUAAAAAAAAAUUCAAAGAUUAUUCAUUUCAAAUGAGAAAAAAAAAAAUCAUAACGAGCGAAUCUUGUGAAUAAAUUACCGUAUUUGGACGCAACGAAACCGAGAAAAAACAAAGGUAAAGUCUAGACAAGAGCGCGCGCAUAAACUAUUUAUUGAUGAGCUUGUUCGUAUCAACAUAAAUAAAUAUCAAAGUAAUCCAAGCAAACUUUUGCAGAUUACGAAGAAUCUAAGUCGACAAAAAAGCUUUCAAUCAAAGUGUAUAUUUGAUAUAGAUUCAGUUUAGUAAAAAUUGUUUUUUAAUAUUUUAUUUUUAUUUUUAAAAAUUUAUUUUUAACAUGAAAAGCAUAUAAAAACAUUAUAAAAGAUUGAAAAAUUACAGUAAACCAUAUAACUUUUUGAAAGAUUUUGUACACGAAACCCUUGCUUAAUGACCGUGUAAAAUCAACACCCUUGGACGGUACUUUUGCUACAGUUUUUUGGAUAGUUCAAACUCAUUUAAAGUAUUUUUAGUUGGAUGUUCAUAUAGGUGAAAACAAAAGGAUUACUGUUACCUAACAUGAAGUCGAAUGAAGGUUGACAAAGUCAAAGACAGCGAUCAGACACGCAAAAAUGCAAUGAAUCAGCAUGUUCUGGACUUCCCACAGAUACACCUGUUUUCUACCACACUGAUUUUGGGACCCAUUAUAUCUGAAAAUGUCUUCAACAAAGCAUCUUCUCCUUCUUUCUUUUUCUUUUUUUUUUUAAAAUCUUUUGAUAUGCAUAUUAAUUCAACAUUACAUAAGGGCUAAGGUUUUUGUGAAUAAGGGGCUAUUCACACAAAAGAAUAAAAAGCCAUGAACAAAUGUGCAGCAGACAUCCAUCAAUGCAAGAAGUGCCCAUUUUCAAGAACUCUAAGCAACUCCUGAAUCAUUAUAAGAAGCACAAUACUGUCCAGUUGUUCUCAUGAAAUUAUUUUCCUCUAACCUCAUUAACAAUUCAUUGAGAAUCCCAAUAACUGAUUCAGUCACUUAAAAACCUGAACAAAACCCUCAAAUAUCAAAUCUUUAUAUGUUUCAAUAUCUAAAAAGAAGAAAAAACAACCAAAUUUUCGAACUUUUUCCCUCUAUUUAAAAAAGGGGGAAAAAAAAGCAAUAUAGGCCAUCGAUUUCUUUUCCUUUUUUUGUUACAUGGAGAGCAGGUAGAUCUCAUUAAGGCAAAUAAUUCAUCAAUUAGGAGGUGAUGCCACCUAACUCGGCAUUUGACGCAACACUGAUGAAUUAUAGAAAAAGUGAUGUGGCAGAGGUAAUAGAAAUUAAGGGUUUUGAGCAAUUUUUCAGAGCUAAAUAGAGAUUUAUCACAAACAAAUUUUAUUAGUAAAUGCUUUUAUAAACAAGUGAGAUAAGGCUAAAUCUAAAAGAAUGCUUGAUGAAUCACACCAAACUAGCAAAAUGAUAAUAAAAUAUCAUAAUUUUUUAUCUUACUAUUGAAUUAGACUAAAAUUUCUAUAGAUUAUUUCUAAGGCUUAGUUUUAUAAGUUGCUGCGCUUGCGGCAACCAUAUAUUCGAGUCCUGGAAGACCUCAAAUCAUGCCUCAAUGAUACUGUUUGAUUCAAUUUUAUUAUUUUUCCUUGAUUUAUUUUGGAUUUUACAUUAUUUUUGAAUUUUUAGCUAUCUUUCUGUUUUGUUUUAGGAUAAUAAUUUUUCUUACUAUGUUAAGGUUACUUUCACGCCUAUAUAAAGACUUGUAAAUAUCUAGAGAGACAAAAGUUAUCAAUUCAUUAUUUCAGAAAUAAAAAUAAGAUCUUAGGAGUUAGGAUUCUUCGUGUUUUAAUCUUAUUUUGGCUAAUUCUUUAUCUUUAUGUGCUUAUUGAUUGUUAUCCUUGCAGGGCUUUCGACUAUAUCAAAAAGUCUACCCAUAAUUUUCAUUAAUUGUAUUUAAGAAUGGAGUUAUAGUUUGACUCACGGUGAUGAGGGAUGAAUGUUCAAUUUUGAAAACAUGACCUUUGAGUUUUAGAUAAUUAGACUCGGUUAAGAGGGUGGUGGCUAAGUUUUUUUUUUUAAAAAAAAAAUCAAUGUAAAAUUUAUAAUAUUUAAUAUAAGAGCUUUAUAAUUAUUAGUUUGAAAAUAAUAAUAAUUUUGUAAAUUAUUAGAUGUUUUUUGUUGAUAUUUUUUAAAAUAAUAAUAAUUUUAUAAAUUAUUACGUGUGUUAGGGAGGACAUAAACUGUCAUCAUACACUAUAAUUUCUGAAAAAAUAAAGAUAAAAUAACUAAACUACACAAUGAUCAAGUAAUUUCUCCUUUUAAAAAAAAUAUCAUAGAAACUUUUUAUUGUAUCUAAAAUGUCCUUAUUUACUUUUUGAAAAAGAUAGUCAUAGGAAAAACUUAAAAGAUUAGAGAAAUAAACAUGAUUAUUUAAUUUAAUUUUGUUUUUGAGUUUAUUUUCUUAAAAAUAUUUCUAUAAAUUCUUAUUAUUUUCAUUUUAACUAUUUUUAUCUAGACAAUAAUUAAGGGCGUUAUAUGUAUUAGAAUAUGUCCUAUAAAAUCGCCAAAUUUUUAAAUAAUUCUUACAAUUUUACAGUACUUCGCACGAUUUUUGUGAUUCACCUUAGAACUUUUGCAUGCACAUAUUAAUGCACGGUUUAUGGUGUUUUUUUCACGGUCAGUUUUAAAAUUUUGUUGGAAAGUUCUUGGAACGCAAAAAUAUUUAUAUAUGUUAAAUGAUAUGGACUUGAUAAUUCAUUAAAAAAUAUGAAUCACUCAAUUGUGUGGCCCUGCUCUUGACAGGAAGAUCCGUAAGAAAAUCAUUGGAAACUUACCGGUACGAGUUCUUGACCUCAAGAAACCGGAAAAAAUUCGAAGUCAUUGGAAUAAAUAGAAACAAAAGGGCUUUGGAAGUUGGUUACUAAGAUACUAGAAGAAGAAGAAAUAUUGGGCUUGGCUGGAUCUUGUGCCUCUUUAACCAACACUUACCACACGGUUUGUUUCGUCUAGAUUCGUGAAAUACUCGUAGAAAUUUGGUGUUUUCUGAUUUCUAAGUAGAAUUGUACUUGUUCCAGCUUGAAAUUACUAGUUGGUAGAUUUAAUUGCCAAAUUUCUUGAUCUUACCUUCUGUUUCAUGUUUGACCACAGGAGCAGGCCUUAUACAAAAUAGCGUGGAAAGCAAUUGCUGAACCAAGCGAGCAAGUUGAGGCCAGAAGGGAUCGGUACUAGUUUAUCGCUAUAGGGAUUUUCAUGGCUUCCACCAGCGUGCAAGGAAUAACCUCAUCUUCAUCUUCUUCUUCUUCUUCUCCUCCACUAUAUAUGUAUGAUGUGUUCCUUAGUUAUAGAGGCAAAGACACCCGGAACAACUUUACUAGUCAUCUAUAUUAUAAUCUGGCACAGAGAGGCAUCGAUGUGUACAUGGAUGAUAGGGGGCUCGAGAGAGGAAAGACCAUCGAACUUGCUCUCUGGAAGGCCAUUGAAGAAUCAAGGUUUUCAGUCAUUAUAUUUUCAAGAGAUUACGCUUCUUCACCAUGGUGCUUGGAUGAACUUGUCAAGAUUGUUCAAUGCAUGAAAGAGAAGGGUCACACUGUUCUGCCAGUUUUUUAUAAUGUGGAUCCCUCAGAGACAUAUGAGAAAGCCUUCGUUGAGCAUGAACAAAAUUUCAAGGAAAACUUGGAGAAGGUCCGGAACUGGAAAGAUUGUCUCUCUACGGUGGCCAAUCUAUCUGGCUGGGACGUCCGGAAUAGGUAAAUCAUCUAUCUACUUAUUCUUAUUCUCAAAUCUGCCCUGUAUUGUUUCGUUGAUGAACAAGCAUAAUAGUAAAUGUGUAUUUUUCAUAUGCAUGAAUUUUUAUUUUUAUUUUUUUAUGAUAUUUUGAACUGAUGUGAUCAAGCAUUUCUAAUCUUUAUAUAAAACUUCUUUCUAUUCUUAGGUUUUUCUAUAUAUUUUGAAAAUAAAAUAAAAUAUUAAACAGAAAAAUUAAAAUGAAUAAAAAUGUUGAAAAACAAAUCUAGCAUGAACAAAUAAAAAAGUUAGGUAAAAAAUUAAAAAUUGUGAAGAAAUAACAACAAAUUCAUCAUAAGAAAUAAAAAAUUGACCAAAGUUUUUGAAUAUGUUAGUUUUAUAGCUUUUCAAAAUAAAAUAAAAAGAUUUUCCAUCUUGAAUUAAAAAAUUCAAACUAUUUAUAAAUCAAAGAGACAAAUUUAUUUAUAAUUUGUUUUGUGAAUAUUUUUAUUUUUUUAUUUGGAAUUAAAAUUUGAUAGGUGUCUUUCUUUCACUAAUGGAUUGUAACAAUGAAUUUACUAAUUUUUCUGCCUUAUUUUAUAGAACACACAAGCGAAUAAGUUGUUCUGCCUUAUUUAAGCAGCAUGAGCAAUGACUUAUGACACCCAAAAAAGAUCUUCAUUGAUGUUUUCUCAUUCACCACGACAUGAGCUACCUCCCGGAGUGGCAUGUGUGGAGUAAUUAUUUUUGGUUUGGCACCAAAAUGACUUUCUUUUUUUUUCUUUUCUUGUCUUUUUCCUUGAAUACCGCACCCGACCUUCUAAACUUGUAUAGUAACUCUUCAAUUUGGAUAUCAACUAUGUUAAUCUGGGAAAAAAGAAAGACUACUAUGGAAAGAAAUCCGAAAAUAAGUUGUUUUUUAAAAAGUUUACUAUGCAAGAUAGUUGAAAUUUUUGUUAAAAAUAAUUAUAAAAUUAACUUAGUGUUCGACAAAAAAUAUGAUAGAACUCCAUUUGCUUUUUUGGCCAGUUAAAACCAAACUUAAUGAAUAUUUUAUUUCCUAGCUGUUGUUGUAUGCUUGCUUCUGUAGUAUCUGUGUGAUUUUAUAGGCAAUAAGAUAGCUAUUGUACGGAUCAUUCUUAGCAUUAAUACAAUCCUAGUUUCGUUUUCAGUUUAUUCUUUCCUUUUCCUCUCUGUUCUUGAAUCUAUCUAUUAUCAGGGCCCUAUUUUUCUCAAAGGUUGGUGUAUUAAUUUCCGGCUAACAGCCAUACAUUUUCGAGCUACAAUAUGCUAAUGUCUAUUUUCACAUUAUCACUAUCUGAUUUGAUUUCUGCACACUGCAUGAUUAAUGUUUUGCACCCUUCUAUGCAGGAAUGAAUCGGAAUCAAUUAAAAUAAUUGCUGAAUACAUAUCGUACAAACUAAGCGUCACUCUACCAACAAUUAGCAAAAAAUUAGUUGGAAUAGAUUAUCGUGUAAAGGUAUUAAAUGGCUAUAUAGGUGAAGAAGUAGGCAAAGCAAUCUUCAUAGGGAUUUGCGGAAUGGGUGGCAUAGGUAAGACGACUGUUGCAAGGGUAUUAUAUGAUAGGAUUCGUUGGCAAUUUGAAGGCAGCUGCUUCUUAGCAAAUGUCAGGGAUGUUUUUGCUGAGAAAGGUGGACCACGCCGUUUACAGGAACAACUUCUUUCUGAAAUCUUAAUGGAACGUGCUUCUGUAUGUGAUUCUUAUAGAGGGAUUGAGAUGAUAAAGCGGAGGUUACGACUUAAAAAGAUUCUUCUUAUCCUUGAUGAUGUAAAUGACAAAAAACAACUAGAAUUUUUGGCUGCAGAGCCUGGAUGGUUUGGUCCAGGGAGCAGAAUUAUCAUAACAAGCAGAGAUAAAAAUGUGUUUACUGGAAAUGAUGAUACUAAAAUUUAUGAGGCUGAGAAAUUGAAUGAUGAUGAUGCUCUUAUGUUAUUCAGCCAGAAAGCUUUCAAAAAUGAUCAACCUGCUGAAGAUUUUGUGAAACUAUCUAAGCAAGUUGUGGGUUAUGCUAAUGGCCUUCCACUGGCUCUUGAAGUUAUAGGUUCGUUUUUGUAUGGAAGAAGAAUCCCUGAAUGGAGAGGUGCGAUUAAUAGAAUGAAUGAGAUUCCUGACGAUGAAAUUAUUAAAGUGCUUCUCGUUAGUUUUGAUGGCCUCCAUGAAUUAGAGAAGAAAAUAUUUUUAGACAUUGCCUGUUUCCUUAAGGGAUUUAAAAUUGAUCGAAUAACAAGGAUACUUGACGGGUGGCGUGGAUUCCAUACAGGUAUUGGAAUACCAGUUCUUAUUGAGAGAUCUCUCAUAAGUGUCUCUCGGGAUCAAGUCUGGAUGCAUAAUUUAUUACAGAAAAUGGGUCAGGAAAUUAUUCGUCGUGAAUCCCCUGAUGAGCCUGGAAGGCGCAGUAGAUUGUGGACAUACGAGGAUGUCUGCCUUGCACUUAUGGACAACACAGUGAGUAGCUGAUAGAGAACAUUAUCCAUAAGAUUUCAUGAAGUUUAUUUUAAUUUAUGCUACAAAUAUCUAUUUGUUUUUUACUUGUAUUCCCUUUUGGUUGACAGGGAAAAGAAAAAAUAGAAGCCAUUUUCUUGGACAUGCCUGGAAUAAAAGAGGCACAAUGGAACAUGGAAGCCUUCUCUAAAAUGAGCAGACUAAGAUUGCUCAAAAUCGACAACGUGCAGCUUUCUGAAGGACCUGAAGAUCUUUCCAACGAGUUACGAUUUCUUGAAUGGCAUUCUUACCCUUCAAAAUCAUUGCCAGCUGGUUUACAGGUGGAUGAGCUAGUUGAACUUCACAUGGCUAACAGUAGUAUUGAGCAAUUAUGGUAUGGGUGUAAGGUGAGAUCACCUAAUUUAAGGGCCUUUGUAUUUCUUUUUAUCGUUUUCUAUAUAUUUAUGAUAGUAGCAUCCAUAUUUCUUCUCCCCUGCCUGAUUGCAGAGUGCAGUUAAUUUGAAAAUCAUCAAUCUCAGCAACUCUCUAAACCUGAUCAAGACUCCAGAUUUUACAGGAAUUCCGAAUCUCGAGAACCUAAUUCUUGAAGGUUGUACAAGUUUGUUUGAGGUCCAUCCAUCACUUGCACGUCACAAGAAGCUUCAAUAUGUGAAUCUUACGGAUUGCGUAAGUAUUAGGAUUUUCCCUAGCAACCUUGAAAUGGAAUCACUUAAAGUUUGCAUUCUUGAUGGAUGCUCAAAACUUGAGAAGUUUCCAGAUAUAGUGGGAAACAUGAACAAAUUGAUGGUGCUUCAUUUGGAUGAGACUGGUAUUACAAAACUAUCUUCAUCAAUUCAUCAUUUGAUUGGCUUAGAAGUAUUGAGCAUGAACAACUGCAAGAACCUUGAAAGCAUUCCGAGUAGCAUACCUUGUUUGAAAUCCCUUAAAAAACUCGAUCUCUCUGGCUGCUCCGAAUUUAAAUAUAUACCAGAGAAUUUGGGGGAAGUUGAAAGUUUGGAGGAGUUUGAUGUAAGUGGAACUUCAAUAAGACAACUGCCAGCAUCCCUUUUUCUUUUAAAGAAUCUUAAAGUAUUAUCUUUGGAUGGAUUCAAAAGACUAGCUGUGCUGCCUUCUUUGUCUGGUUUGUGUUCUUUAGAAGUACUGGGUUUACGCGCUUGCAAUCUAAGAGAAGGGGCACUUCCUGAAGAUAUUGGAUGCUUAUCUUCAUUGACGUCUUUAGAUCUGAGCCGGAAUAACUUUGUUAGCCUGCCUAGGAGCAUAAAUAUGCUUUAUGAACUGGAAAAGCUUGUCUUGGAGGAUUGCACGAUGCUUGAAUCAUUGCCUGAGGUUCCGUCUAAAGUUCAAACGGUAUAUUUGAAUGGUUGCAUAAGCCUAAAAACAAUUCCAGAUCCGAUAAAGCUAAGCAGUUCCAAAAUCUCAGAGUUUAUAUGUCUUAACUGCUGGGAAUUGUACAAUCAUAAUGGCCAAGACAGCAUGGGGUUGACCAUGCUUGAAAGAUACCUCAAGGUCUUCUCUUAAUCAUACCCCAACCUUUUUGUAUCUCUCUCCCUCUCCCUCUAUCUAUCUAACAUUUUUGUUUUUCAUGGUACAGGGUUUGUCUAAUCCAAGACCUGGAUUUGGUAUCGCUGUUCCAGGAAAUGAAAUUCCAGGCUGGUUUAACCAUCAAAGAAAGGAAUCUUCAAUUAGUGUGCAAGUGCCUAGUUGUGGCAUGGGGUUUGUUGCGUGUGUUGCAUUCAGUGCAAAUGGUGAAAGUCCUUCUCUUUUUUGUCAUUUCAAAGCCAAUGGAAGAGAGAAUUAUCCUUCGCCGAUGUGUAUUAGUUGUAACUCAAUCCAAGUUCUGUCAGAUCAUAUUUGGCUAUUCUAUCUAUCUUUUGAUCAUCUUAAAGAGCUUAAAGAAUGGAAGCAUGAAUCCUUUAGCAACAUUGAGUUGUCAUUUCAUUCUUCCGAGCAACGAGUAAAGGUGAAGAAUUGUGGUGUCUGUUUGUUAUCUUCUGUAUAUAUUACAUCACGACCAUCUUCUGCCCAUUUUAUUGUUACAAGCAAAGAAACAGCUUCUUUAUUUAAAGAUUCUUUAGCUUUUUCUUCGUCGUACCAUCAAUGGAAGGCCAAUGUUUUCCCUGGCAUCAGAGUCGCAGAUCGAGCUCGGAGAUUCAUUUUCCCAUUCGGGAAGGAACCAGAGAAAGUAAUGGCAAUUAGAUCAAGACUCUUUGAGGCCAUUGAAGAAUCAGGGCUGUCAAUUAUUAUAUUUGCAAGAGAUUGUGCUUCUUUACCUUGGUGCUUUGAAGAACUUGUCAAGAUUGUCGGAUUCAUGGAUGAGAUGAGAUCGGACACUGUGUUUCCAGUUUCUUGUGAUGUCGAACAAUCAAAGAUAGAUGAUCAAACAGAGAGUUACACAAUUGUCUUUGAUAAGAUUGGAAAAAAUCUCAGGGAAAACGAGGAGAUGGUACAAAGAUGGAUGCAUAUUCUCCGUAAAGUUGAUAUUUCAUCUAGAUCGAAAAGGUAAUAAUUACUUCUUCUUUUUUGUGUGUGUAGCUCGACUUAUCAACCACUUCAAGUAAAUGAAACUGGGAAUGCUGAAAUAUUGACUUUCAUAGCUUAAUGUUAACAAAUCUAGGGGGUUUUUUUUCAUGGGAAAAACACUGUGCAAGGUUCAGUACACAAUAUUUGUUUUUUCAAGGUAGAUUAUAGAUUUAAGAAAAAUUAAUAUUAAACUCAGUUGAGUUUAUGGUUCGGAUUAAACCGACAUAUUUUACUGUAGACAAUAUUGUUUACUUUAUUUUUUUUUUAGGUUUGUUAUAAAUUCAAAAGGAGAAAAAUAUUGAACCGGUUAGUGCAUAACCUAGGUCACAAGUUUUGUUUUAAAGGUUGAGUAUAAAUUUAAGAAAAAAAAAAUCAACCUGGUUGAGGUUUUUUUUAUAAAGAUUGAUUUUUUUAUGGUGUUGUGCAUUUUUAAUUUUUAAUUUUUUUUAAAUUUGAAUAUAAAUUUAAGAGAAAACAAUUAUUAAACCUCGUUGAAUUCAUGGUCCGGGUCACAUAUUUAAUUUUUUUUAAGGUUUAAGGAAAAAUAUAUUGAACCCGGUUGAGUUCAUGAACUGAGUUACGAGUUAAGCCACAAUAACCGGAUAAUUAUUUUUUUCUAAUGUUGUUUUUUUUUUACUGGUAUCUUUUUUUAUAUAUCUUUUUUCAAGUAAUUUUCAAUUUAUGUUUCAAUUAAUAUAACUCAUUUGUGAUUUGUUUUGUUUAUUUAAUCUUUUUUUAAUAUAAAUUGUGUUUUGAUGGUGUUGUAUGUAUUUGUUUUUAAAUGUUGAAUAUAAAUUUAAGAGAAAACAAUAUAGAGUCUGGUUGAGUUCAUGGUCUGGGUCACAUGUUUAAUUUCUUUUUUGUUAAAGGUUGAAUACAAAUUUAAAGGGAAAACAAUAUUGAACCUGGUGGAGUUCUUGCUCCGAGUCAUAGAUUUAACGAGUUAAGCCACAACAAUAAAACAAUAUUUUUUUUCCUGAUAUUGUUUUUUUUUCACUGAUAUUUUUUAUAUAUCUUUUUUACAAUAUUUUUUAAAUUUAUGUUUUAAUUAAUAUUCCUCAUAUGUGAUUAUUGUUUUUUAUUUAUUUAUUUUUGGAUAGAUAUUGUUUUUUAUGGUGUUGUUCGUAUUUAAUUUUUAAAAAACUUAUUAUGAUUCAUCAAUAAUUUUUUUUAUCUUUUUAUAUAAAAGAACUUUAUUUUAAAAAUUAAAAAAAAAUUAUUUUCAGAUAACAUAAUAUGUACAACAACCUUGCAUAAUAUUUUUUCUAUUUUUAUUUUAUUUAAUCAAUUUAAUAUGUGUCUUUUUUUAAUAUCAUUUGAUUGAAUACAAAAAUUAAUUUUAAUAAAUAAAUUUAAAAAAUCUAACUGGGUAAAUGUUCCGUUUAUUAACCCAUUUGAAUUUUUUAAUUAUAUUUUUAGUUAUCGUUAAUAUAUUUUUAUUAUUUUUAAUUCACAUAAUUAUCAAUUUAUUUCAUGUAUGUAAGCUUUUUAAUUUACAGUUUUAAUUUUUUUUAUGCACAACUUUUUAUUAAGAGAAAAAAAUAUUUGGUUUGUAAAAACAUUUUGCAACAAAAAAAAAGGUUAGUGGGCGUGGGCCCUAACAAAAUGCUGCAACUGGACUGGCUUGACUUACUAGUCCUAACAACGCCUGACCUUUGCUUCUUCUUUUUUUUUUUCUUUUAUAUGUUUUUUUUUAAAAUAUAUUUAGAUUAACAUCCCUUCUCUUUUUUUAUGAUGUUUAGAGAUUCUCUUUGAAAUGAUGAUUAUUUUUUAGUUAUUCAUUUAAUUUUUGAGAAAGUUUUUCGGAUUUAUUUAUAAUGUUUUUAAUUUUUUAUACAGAUGAACUUUAUUCUUGAAAAUAAAAAUUUUUAUUUUAAAAUAAUAUUUCUAAUAUGUGCAACUUUGCAUAUUAUUUAUUUUAUUUUAUUUUAUUCAAUCAAUUUAAUAUAUAUGUCUAUUUUUAUUAUCGUUUGAUUGAAUAAAAAACUUGUUUUAAUGAAUAAAUUUAGUAAAUACAAUCACGUAAAUAUCUCGUCUUUCAAAAUUAAAUAUUUUAAUCUACACUUGUUUCUCGAUUUCAACUUUUAUUUUUAGUUAUAAUUUAUAGUUGUUUUUUUUUAUUUAUUUAUUAACACAUAUAAUUCUUGAUGUAUUUGAUUAUAUUUAUGCAUAAUUUUUUUUUUCACUUAUAAUUUUUUAAAUACAAAAAAUCUAUCUAUACAUUUUUUAUUAAAAACAAUUUAUAACACCCAACAAAACAUGUAACAACGAUUCCUUGUACAGUUUCUUUCCACUUGAGCAGGAGCAGCUGCUCGAGCAGGAGCAGCAGCUGCAGCUGCUCGAGGAGCAGCAGCUGCAGCUGCUCGAGGAGCAGCUGCUGCAGCUCAAGCAUAAGCUGAUGCUCGAUCAGCAGCAGCUCCAGCAGCAGGUGCUCCAGCAGCAGCUCAAUGAGCAGGUGCUCCAGCAGCAGCUCGAUGAGCAGCUGCUCCAGCAGCAGCAGGUGCUCCAGCCGGUGUGGCAGCAGGUGCUCCAGCAGAAGCAGGUGCUCCAGCGGCGGCGGCAGCGGCAGGAGAUGCUCAAGUGGCGGCAGUUGCAGUUCGAUAAGCAGCUGCUCCAGCAGCGGCGGCAGCAGCAGCUCGAUGAGCAGCUGCUCCAGCAGCUCGAUGAGCAGCUGCUCCAGCAGUGGCAGGUCGAUGAGCAGCUGCUCCAGCAGCAGCAGGAGCUCCAGCCGGUGUGGCGGCAGCAGCGGCAGCAGCUGCUCGAUGAGCUGCUGCUGAUCCAGCAGCUGCUGGACCGGCAGGUCCAGCAGCUGCUCAUGCCGGUCCAGCAGAUGCUCAAUCAGCAGCAGCUCAUCGAGGAGCUCCACCAGGAGCUGCUCCAGCAGCAGGAGCUGCUCCGGCAGCGGCGGCUGCAGCAGCAGCUCCGGCAGCAGCAGCUGCAGCAGCAGCUCCCAGCGUUUUGGUUAGGGAUUUAACUUGCUUUAGCUUGAAGAUCUUCGUCAGUUUUUGCUCAUGGUUUUGGUUUGGGGUAAUUAGAUUCACAUUUUACUAUGUAUGGAUUUUCUUCUUAAAUUUAGGAUAAUCCCAUGUUUGCGGAUGGAAGGAUUGUUUCCAUAUUAAAACUUUUACAUGGCGGAAAGCCCGUGCUCUGGAAAAUUUCAACCAUUAUUUUGGAAUCGCUAGUCUGCCUAUUUUUUUUAACUCUGGUUCUGGGUGUAUGUGUUAGAUUUAAAUUAAAAACAAUAUAUAUUUCUAAAAGAUAGAACCAAUUUUUGUAACUGGUUUGAGACAAAAAUAAUAAAAUUUAAUUCUACAUUCUUAAUUAUGCUUGUCGCACCCGACAUCGCGGCGGCUUUAAAAAUUAAUUAAAUCUUUGGAAAGAAUGGAUUUCUGGCAUCCUGUUCUUUAAUGAGGAUAUUCUUUGUUUAAGGAGUCGCUACCUAGUAUUACGGUUACUAGGAACCCUAACUGGUCAACAGAUAUUCUAUGGUCCGAGACUGGUUACGUAAAAGGAAAGAUAUUAUCACCCCUUAAACGUUUUGCCCAAGGCAGGCUAUAUUGCUAAUCUUUGUCAUUAAUUGCUAACAUUUUUUUUUGUUUUAUACUAUGAUUGUUUGCGUGUAAUAUUUUUGACUCUAGCGCCAGUGAAUAUUCAACUACGAAUAUUUCCAACUCUGGCGCUGGUAAAUAUUACGUAGGUAUCAGAAUAAAUAAAUUUAAAUCAUCAUUUUUUAUAUUCCUGACUCUGACGUCAGUGAAUAAACAAAUAAAAUCAAUUUAUUUUUUACGCAUACACAUUAUUUUUAUUUUUUAUGUAGCUAAAUAAAAACAAAACAAAAUAAAAUAAAAUAAAUUUACAUUAGUAUUUUUUAUUCCUGACUCUGACAUCAGUGAAUAUACCAAAUAAAUUUAUUUUAUUUUAUCUUAAGUUAUUUUUUUUGCACGCAUAUUUUUUAUAUAACCCAAUAAAAUACAAUGAAAUAAAUAUGAAUUGAUAUUUUUAUUCUAACUCUAGCGUCAAUGAAUAAAUAAAAAAAUAAUAAAUUUAUUUUUAUAUUUUUUUUUACAUACAUAAUUUUUAUUAUAUAUUUUUUAUCUUUUUAUUAAUAUUUUUAGGCUGGGCUAGACACAACCAGCCCAGCCCGGUCACUGGCCCCAGCCAGUGAUCCGGCUGGGCAAAAAAACUAAAAGCACGCGUGAAUUGUUCACGCGUGCACGAACACUGUGUGAAGGUAAUUAAAUUACCUUCACACAGUAUUCUUGUAACAAUUAAAUUUGAAAUGAAGAUACAAGAAGGGAUGAAGAGACGGGCAUACCUGCUUCUGUUGACUGAAGGUGCGUGCAGCGCUGAUGAUGUUUCCCUUUUGCCUUCCUCUGCUUCGGGAGGCGAAGAUGCUUGCAGCGCUGAUGGAUUCUUGCCUAUUGCUUCCCUUUAUCUUCCUUCUGUGUUCACUUGUAUGCGUGUUCCUUUUGUUUUCUCAGCAGCUUUUGAAGCCGAGAAGAUGAUGAAGAGGCCAGCCUGCUGGGAAUUUGUUUUGAUUCUGGGUUUUCGUUGUUUGCAGGGACGAAGGCAUUGGCAGGGCCAAUACUCGUCUCUGUGUAUUGCUGCUCUCUUGUUCUCUCCGUCUCUCUGUGUAUUAUUUCUUUCUCUGGAUUUAUGCUCUGUUUUUCCUCUGUUCUUUUCUCCGGUUUCUGGUUUUUUGUCUGGGUUUAGCUUCAGUUCUGCCCCUCCCUGUUUUCGUCUUUCACCCCAUCGGUUCUUGGCCUGUUAGUCCCUCUCUGUUUUCUGGGUUUUUUCUCUGGGUUUUUACUUGAGUUUUUGCAGAGCAGGAGGAUUUUUGCUUGCGUUUUCUGCCUUGGUUUUUCGCUCAAACCCCCUCCUGGUUCUGUUUCAUCCUCCUGCUCGUUGUCUGUGUGUCUGUCUUUUUUUAUUGUCUCUUGUAUUUUUCUUCUGUUUCAAUUCGUGCUCUGCCUUUCCCUGUAUUUUUUUUGGGUUUUUUCCUUGUGUCGUUUAGGUUCCUCUCUAAUCGUCUUCUCCCUCCUUUUUUAUACCUGAGAUCUGUAUUUACAGUGAUAAAAUUUUUUCGUGCGGUAAACUAAGUUUUAAUUAAUUUUUUUAAUUUAAAUUUAAUUAAAAAUUAAAUUUAAAAUCAAAUAACUAUCAUUAUUUUAAAAAUAAAAAUUAUCUCGAAGAUAAAAAUUAUCUUAAAAAUAGAAAUUAUCUUGAAGAAAAAAAUAGAAUGAUAAAAACAUAUUGUAGUUUUUAAUUUUUACAGAAAUUUAAUAAAUUAUAUUUUUCAUCAAAAUAAAUUUUUGAUUUUUUAAUUUUUAAUUUUAAAUUCUAUAAAAAUUAAAUUAAAAGCCAAAAGUUAAAAUUGGGUUAAUGCUCUGCAAAUUACAAACAAUAAAGAUUAAUAAAAUUAUAUGCCAAAAUUAUUUUUCUUUGUUAUUUCAAAUUGGCCCAACUUUAUCUUAGGAAUCCACCCACGACUUGCAAUUUAUAACCCCAAGCCCUUGGAAACUUUUGAGAUUAUACAAAUGCCCCUUCUGGUCCUGGAUUCAUGGCAACACAAGUAGUGAAAAGAGAAACAAACAAGACGAUUUGGCCAAAAACCCCAAAGAAGGUUUAUGCAGGGUUUAGGGCGGCCGGUAUGCUAAUACCAUUACCAUACCCUCUCUAUGAACUCAUUUCCUUUCUCAACUUGCAUUACCCGCGCAUUUUAAUUCAUCUCUCAAUCACUUCAAUUCCAUUUCUUUUCUUUUUCAUUUCCUUUAAUUAGAGUGCCAACUCCCAUAUAUUUUCUACCAAAAAUUUUGAUCCUUUGAUUACUUUUGAUAAGAAACCCACAAUUCUGUCUCUAAACCAUCCACAGUUAUGUGGAGAAACGUCGCAAAACAAGCCACUUUGAAAACCCAAUCAAAGUCCCUCGAUUUCCCUUCAUUUCCAAGAACGUACAGCUUUUUAGGAGCCUCUAGAGAACCCAUCUUUUUUGAGAAACUCAAGUUCCAUUCGCUUAAUAACACAAGUCCACGACUGGGUUUUCGAGCAAUUGACGAAAUAUCAACCCAUGAAGAUUUUAUGGGAAAACCCAGUUUUGUUUUUUUGAGAAAUAUUGAUAGUACUAAUGGGAAUCGGUGUGGUGGAUUUUUCCCAAGAGGGUAUGUGAGUGUAGCUGAGGCAUUGUCAUCAACAGAUGUUGAAGAUAAUGUGUCUGGUGCCGAUGAAGUGCAAGAAUUGCAGCCAGAAAUGAGGAAAGAAGAGGAGAAAGAGGAGCACUUUAGGAGGAGGAGGCUACAUGCUAACCCUGGAAUAGGGUCAAGGAAGCAUAGGGUCUUAAGGAGAAGGCAAGUGAAGAUUGAGGCGGAAGCCUGGGAACUGGCAACGAAAGAAUAUAAGGAGCUUUAGAAGGAUAUGUGUGAGCAUAAGUUGGCUCCUAAUUUGCCAUAUAUGAAGAGUUUGUUCCUUGGUUGGUUUGAGCCUUUUACAGAUGCAAUUGCGAAAGAGCAGGAGUUGAUUAGAACGGGGAAGAGUAGGCAGGGUUAUGCUCCGUAUUUUGAUCUGUUGCCAGCUGACAAGAUGUCUGUUAUUGCAAUGCAUCAACUCGCAGCAAUGGUAAUGACAGGUGGGGAACAUGGAUGUGCAAGAGUUGUGACUGCUGCUUGUACGAUUGGUGAUGCAAUUGAGCAGGAGGUAAGUAAUUUUUAAUGUUUUAUUUGCUUAUUUUUACUUGCGGUUUGAUUUGUAGACAGAGGAUAAAGAGUGCCCAUAUAAAAAUAUUGAAAGAUAAGGGAAAACAUAGAGUUUCAUAAAUUUACUUUUAGACAACCUUCAUCUGAGGUGAUGAACUAGGAAGAAAGAUGAAAGUUACCAAGUACAAUUUUGAGAUAAAAAUCAGCUAUGGAGCUAGUAGUGCCUGGAAAAUUAGAUUUUGAAGUUACGUUCCGUAAAGUUUUGUCGAAUGUUGAAUGGGGUUUUUCUGGAUUUCUUUGUUACUUUUAGACAACCUUCAUCUGAGGUGACUUUAAAGGCACGCGUGACACUUUGCUCUACUGUCUCUUCUGACUGUGGGAGUUGCUUCCUCUUUUCUUUUCCUUUUUUUUUUUUUAAAAAAAAAAGAACUAUACAAUGAAGAGAUAUUUAGGUGUACCAUUCUUAAUCCAUUUUUUGGACCUCCUAACUCUUCAGUCUUGUUCUCUUUCUUUGAACCGAGGACUGAAUCUUUAACAGUUUCUGUGAUGAAACAGAUUAGAAUACACAAUAUCUUGGAGAAAACAAGGAAGAAAAAGGAAAAGUCUAAUGAUAGCAAGAAUGGUGUAGAAGGUGAAUCCACUGCUGUCAUGAAGGAACAAGAAAACCUAAGAAAAAAGGUUACUGAUUUGAUUAAAAAACAAAAGCUGCCAGCUGUGAGGAAGAUUGUGAAGGGGAAGGAUGAUUCAAAACCAUGGAAUGCAGAUGCUAGGGCUAAGGUUUGUGUGCCUGUAAUCAUUGAUAAAGGCUAAUUUUCUUGAACAAAUGUAUCGUGUAUGAAUUUGAUUUCUGUCCUUGCACUUUCAGGUUGGAAGCCGUCUAAUUGAAUUGCUGUUACAAACAGCUUAUAUACAGCCUCCCUGUGAUCAGUUAGCUGCUAUUCCAUCUGAACCUCGACCUGCAUUUGUACAUACAUUCAGAACUGUGUCAUAUGAAAGUAAGUAUGGAGUCAUUCUUUAAUUGACUCGAUGAGCUCAAUUUAUAUUUUCUUCCUUGUAAUUGCUCCUAACUGAUGCACAAUGGCCUUUUCUUAAACAGGAAGGGCGCGAAAAAAUAUGGUGUUAUUCAAUGUGACCCACUAGUCCUCAAAGGCCUAGAGAAAACUGUGAGUAACCCUGUCAUAUUUUGUUCUUCUAGUGAUAUCUAGUUUUCAUAUUUUAUCAUCCUUUAUGACAUGAACAUGUGUCGGGGUCCAUAUACUUUCAAAGCAGAUAGUUUAGUUUCUAGACUUUAGAGCUGAAACAGAUAAGAUUUGUAGGCAAUUUCCAUGGUGCCUCUUAAGUUGCAGAUGUUUGUCUUUCAUUCUUUUUUCUUGCACAAGAAGUCAUAAAAAUGCUGUUUCUCCAAACAGGCUAGGCACAUGGUGAUUCCUUAUAUGCCAAUGCUGGUGCCACCACUUAGAUGGAGAGGGUAUGUUAACUUGUUUUAUAUUUACAGUUUUGCCACGAUUGUCUUGUUUUAAUUUUAUAAUUUUUAGUUGGAUAUAUUCCAAGUUCAGAAAUAUUAACAUAGUGUUUUGGUUACUUCUGCUUGAUGCCUGGAGCUGUUUUCAAUUUUCAUGUCAAGUUAAAUGCUUAAAAUGGUAUAAUAGAUGAAGGGAUGAAUCUCUGAUUAUAAAGGCUGGAAUUCCAAUCCCAAUUUCAGUUAAUUGAAAUUAACAUUUCAGCAUGUUUCAAGGCUCUGCCUCUCCAUUUCUGUAACCUGCAUUGAAAGGGAAACUAAUUGUCUUGCAGGUGUUUAUUGAAAACAUGGUGAAUGUGAGAUAUGAGAUGGAUUCUCAACAAAACGGAGAACAGUGUCUUUAAACAUUGAAGAGCAUUUGCUAAUCACAACCAUGUCUAAUACGGGAAAAUUAACAUUAUUGCCACAGGCAGGAGAAUUUAGGGAUUGCUAUGGAAUUCUUUAUUAUAAUGUUUUUGAUGUUAAAGGGAGAGGUAUACUUCAUGGAAAAGAAUGAUUGGCAGUUAGAGAAAAAAUAUAGAGAAAGAAAAAGUGUUAGGUUUUCUACAAGGAUGCUGUGGUGGAUUAUUUUAGCGCAAGAAAAGAUAAAGAGUAUUGAAUUGUUGUUUUCAUGUGAAGUCAGACACGUAGUUAAUUCAGGAUUAAGAUAGUACAUAGAGAACUUGAUUAAAGUAGUUUAGUUUCUUUAGGUGAUGAUUCAUAUAUAGGUAUUUAUUUUAAAUUUCAAAUGUGCCAGAAGUGCAAGGAGACAACAGAUGAUUACAUGGGAGAAAUGGCGCAGACGGAUCUCUGCAGUCAAACUGAGAUUUUUGAACCUUAUUGUUUGGCAAGUUAGUUAGGAUAUGUUUUUCAUGGACUUUGGUUAAGUUUUUCAUGAAUAGGUGAUCACAAUCCUCAUUGGAAAAACUACACAUGCUUUGGAAUAUGAAGAGGCCUCUAUAGCAGCUUCUGCCAUUCAACCUAUUGCCUUUAAAUCUGAUAAGCUCCCUAGCACUUUUGGUUGUAAAUUGCCCAUUAGGACUGAGAUUCCUGGACACACUUUCUAUCUACAAAACGAAAAGAUUUAAACCAGUGAUUGCACUCUGAAUAUCUUAAUUUGAUCAGAUUGAGCAUCAGACGAAAACCAUUUCAUGAAUUGGUUUUGGGGAAAGAGCACUUUGUUUACUAGCAAUUUUAUAGUGGGUCUUGGCUCUUUCACUCAAUCAUCAUGCAAGUUGCAGGAGGCACAUUAGCAUAGUCCCCACUAAAAUUAAUUUUAGAUCCUUAUAUACAAAUUUGGAAGAUACAAGUUCUUCAUACAUGUUCCUUACAUAUGCUGCUUUAAUCUGGAAUUUAAUGAGUUUAUGGUUGGAUUCUGGUUCCCAUGUAGUUGUAGCAACUCUUAACACCACUAUUGCUUCAAGUAACAAAUCAGGACCUGGCAUUUAAGUAGCUUUUUGGUGUGUUCUAAGCUCUUCUUAGAUAAUUGUGUCAUAGCUCUCUUACUCGUGUCGAGCAUAACCUCAAUGCCCUUUGCAGUUAUGAUAAAGGAGCUCACUUGUUCUUACCAUCCUAUGUCAUGCGGAUACAUGGUGCUAAACAGCAACGUGAAGCAGUUAAGAGGACACCUAGGAAGCAGCUACAAGCAGUUUUUGAGGUCUGUACAUAUUAGAUGCAUUGCAUGGUUACUGAUGCAUAUUUUUACCAGCUUAGCUUCUGGUUUAACAAGGAUUCUCUUUGUACAUGUUUGAAUUAAUUUUCCAGGAUACACUAGGGAAUACCAAAUGGAGUGUAAAUAAGAGGGUACUUAGUGUUGUUGAUAGAAUAUGAAGUAAUGGAGGCUGUCUUGCUGAUUUGGUAGACCACAGUGAUGUG
Molecule: long non-coding RNA, 245373 nt
Filed under: Populus trichocarpa (black cottonwood)
Lineage: Eukaryota; Viridiplantae; Streptophyta; Magnoliopsida; Malpighiales; Salicaceae
Description: long non-coding RNA (PTRI_LNC003867)
Rfam family: MIR478 microRNA precursor family (bases 52688-52778)
Source: RNAcentral